GGGAAGAAUAUGAGAUCAUUGAUAGAACCUAAAUACAAAUUCAAUCAAUUCAUUAAGCCAUCAAAAGUUAGUUAUAAACCAAUAUAUCUUAACAUAUGUAAUUUACCAUCAUCUAAAACCACUAUAUCCUAACAUAUGUAAUGUACCAUUAUCAAUUUUCGCUAUGUUAUGUCUGUAUAGCCUAAUAUGUUUGGCUUGGUUUUGUCUAAUAUGUUUAGCUUGGUUUUGUAUCCUUUCCAAACAUAUGAAUAUUUACUCAAGCGCAUGUUUGGGCCAUCUGAACAUUGAGUGGUUUGAUAUCUCUGCAGCGCAUGUAGGUCAGAAACUGACCAGGCAGCUCCUCCAAAAGUGCUUGUACAACAGAAAUUUGCCCACCUGUUCAGAAAACAAUGUGUUCAUUUGUUAAGGCAUGAAAAAAUUCAGAAACUUUUGUGAAUUAACUCCCAAAUUCAAUAUUUUGAACUAAUUUUGUCAAAGAAUCAUAUGCACUCACUAUGAACUUCUCGCAUUGGAACAAAUUGUACUAUAUCUCUGGUAGCUACCCGAUCAGUAGAGCUCUCUAAUCUACGGCCAUUAUCAGCAUCAAGAAUCUGCCAACAAAGUUAUCAGCAUAAAAAAUCUGCAACAAAAGUGGGAUAAUACCACACUGCAUAUGUACUCUAAAUUGAAUCUAUCAAACUAUAGAAAAAAGAAGUCCAUUGCUAGUAAGAAGAUAUUCCAGUUAGAAAACAUUGUGUACCUCCAUUUGUGUAAAAUCUGCACCUCCCACACCCACAAUUAGAAUUGACAGGGGAAGAUCAGAAGCCCUUACCAAAGCAUCUUUUGUUUCUUGGAGAUCUGUCAGAACUCCAUCCUAAAUAGACAAUGCAAAUUUACAAAUCACCCAAAAAGAAUGAUAGAAAGAGAAAACUGUGAAUAUAUAGAAUCAUUGUAAUCACCGUUAUAAUGAGUAAGACGAAAUACUUGCUUCUGUCGUAUGAGAGGGACUGUCCAGCAAUUCGUGCAGCGGUGUUGAUCACUUGACCAAACAGAGUCGGUCCUGCCAAAGCAACAUUGUUUAGAGCGCUUGCAUAAGCAGCCAUAAUGCCUUCAACUCCAUCUACCUAUUAAAUAAAGAAACCAGCAGUUAAUGAAAAAAUGGAAGAGGAUAAAAUCCACAUCUUUUAGGAUAAAAUUCCAAGGAAAUUUUAAAAAAAAUGUAGAAACAUAUUAUAUUGUUUGUUAUUAAAAAUGAAAAGUUAUGGGAGACAAGCCAACCAAAUAAGGAUUAUAGCAAAGUUGCGAACUCCAGCUACCCCUACCUCAAAGCCACCUGCUCUUCCAUUCAAGUUUAAACAAUGUGAUACAGUGCCAUCAAAUGUCUUCCCUCCAAAUCCCCAUGCAGGAAAGCGUCUAUCAGAAUCAUAAAAUUGUAUGACCUCCCCAAUUUCCGUUAUUGCCUGUAAAUGGUUUAAGAGGCCAAUAACUAAUCAGUGAUAUUCUCUCUCAACUUCUACAAACUAUUGAAAUAUGUAUCUCACUAUGACGGGCACAGAAAAAGUUGAAAGUCACAGGCAUUUUCUAAGUCGAAAACACUGGACAAAAUGACCAUUUUAUGACCUUCAGAGUUCAGAGAUCACUUGUCAAAGUGCGAGUCAUAACAAAACCUUACCUGCUGGUAAGAAUUCAAUCUGCCUGAAGGAUCAAUAUAGUGCAAAGAAUUUGGAUUUCGAGGAUUUCCAUUUGAAGCUGGAUGAUUUUGCAUUUAAUGAGAGACAAGAUGAAAUUGGACCAAAUAAGAGGAAAUAAACAAAACAAAAAGAUUAUAUUGCAAAUUUAUCUUCAACAAGUAAUCUCUUUCUAAUUACCUGUAAAGUCGACUGCAACCAUAAAAUUCAACUCAAACCCACUAGAUAUGUAAUCCAGGAAACUAUAUUGCUCUUGCUCAACGAACUUUUCAACAAACAACUGACUUUUCAGAACCUAGGAAAAAGUCAGAUAAAAAAUAAAGUGAUAUUAAAUUAUCAAAAACUGUAAGCAUGAACAAACACCUUUGGUGGAGUUAAAACAAAAAAGAAUAAACACCUUGUCAUGGCCACGUUGAGUUGAUGGUAACAUAAAAGUUGCACCAGUUCUUUCUUGAUGAAGUUUCUCCAGGUCUCCAACUGAUUUCUGAAUUUUACUAAUAACAGAAAUAGAAAACCUUGACAUCAGAAAGGCAAAAGGAUAAAAGAGGGAAGCUGAUGACAUUAAGAAAUUUAACAGUUACCCCAUCAGUACGUGAUUUCCACUGGUAUUGAAAUCAAAACAUUCAAUGAUUAAUGGGUUUUCCUGUACCAAAGAAAAUCAUAUACUAAAAAACAUUUCCCCAUGACCAAACUUCACUACCUAAUAUACAUUUAAGUAACAAGCACAAGAAGAUGAUAAGGUUACCUUGCUCACAAAUUGCUGCAUGCUCAAAGUUAUUGGUCUCCAAAUGGGAUUCAAGUUAUUGUUUAUCACCUCCGUCUUGUAGAUAGGAACAGAAUUUCCACUCUCAACAAUUCUAGAUAUUCUUAAGAAUGGAUCCUAUGCAAUAUAAGAAGAAGAAAAAAUAGCAUCUAAAUUAAUAGAUUAAUUAGUGAACCUCCAAACUUAGCUACUUUUUCAGAACUUACACUUUUGGAAAACAGGUCUACAUUUUGCAAAUGCGAGCAACGGAAUGCUAUUUCAACAGCACUCUUGGAAGCAACCGUUUCCUCAGCAUGGACAGAGAGUGUCCCAAAGUUUCUUGAAACUCGAAGCCCAUAAUUGUUAUGGAGUUUUAAGGUUAAAGUUCGAUUGUGUUUGGUCACUAUCUGCCAUUUAAAAGGAAAAUAUGACACUUGUUAGUGCAAAACAAGAAUGCUAAAGAAGAAGACGAAUGCUAGUAAAAAGCAUCUGAGAAUAUUUUGCCCUUUUUUUAUAGGAAACAGAUUUUUACAGAAAAUUAGAUGGGCAUAUUUUGCCCAUUGAAUAAAGAGAAAAUACAUAAAUUCAUCAAACAAAAUAUAACCCAGAAGCUUACCUCAGAGAGAACACAGCCAGCUUCUCCCAGGAAGUCUUGAUCCUCCAACUUUAGCAUCUGCAGGGCAAUGUAAAUAAGAAGUUUGAACUUUAAACUUCACGCUUCAACAACUAUUUUGUCAUGAGAUAAUAAUGUCUUGAAAGUAAUUAGGGAUCACUGCAGCAAAGAAUCAAAAGAACACUAGAUUCCCUACUUAAUGUCUUAGAAUCCAUCUGGAUUUGUUCAUUUUCUCUUUCCACUAGCAUAAAUUUAAAUAUUUCUCAUUUUUCCCAUUAAUGUUAAUACCAUUUACAAUUGACAUAAAUAAUAAUCACAUUUUUAGAUUAUCUAACUGUUUUCAGCAAAUGCUUCCAAAUGAUUACAGUUUCUAGGAUUAUAACCAUAAAUUUUUUUUCAUUUUGAAUCAAAUUCCACAGACGAAUACAUCAUAGGCUCUAAAGAUUUACUUAUCCAUUCCAAUACUUACAAUAUGGUCAUUUUUUACAGAAACUUCUUUAGGUCAUGGCAGCAACUAUUUAACUGUAUUGUUUUUAACAACAUAGAUCAAAAUUCCAUUUUGGAAAAAAGAAAAUUUAGCCGUAAGGACCAUCAGAAAAAUUGUUCUUUCCCAGUUAUGGUAGCAGGACAAAUAUGUCAAACCUUGCAAGAUGCAAUAACAGAAAGUUCCAUAAUAACUAUCCUGGCCUUAAGAUUUGUUUAUGAUAUACGACAGCCAACUUUUUAAGUUUCUUGCCAUGCUAAGUGUUAGUUUAUAAUCAAUCAAGUGUUCACAAAUUUCCCGAAAUUGAUAGAAACUAUUGCUGAUGCAAUUUAGUUGAGACGUAUGCUUAGACAACAAAUGGAUCAGUCAAAUGCCUUGGCUAACUCUAAACUUUGGAACUGAAGUAUGUGCAUAAUUAAGAAAUUUUUAUAUACCUUCACUGGAAUAUUGUGGUACUUGGUAUCCACAUCAUACACACGAAAACUGGAAAAAGAAGAAAAGCAUUAAGUAAUUCGAAAACAUUAAAUAUUAUCAAAUCAAGCAAGGCUUAUGAGAAAUGAUAAGCAAAUGACCUAUCAAGGGGAAAAAAAAAACAAACUUUAAAAAGAACAUAGUAAAAUCUUACAGCAAGGGCUGGACGAUCUCAAACUGAAAAGCAAUUGAAAUCUUUCCAAUCCAAGCAGGAUUCAGAUUGUUCAUAAUCACCUCUGUACGUCCAAUCUCCACCAGCCUCCCAUCUCUUUUCUUUGCAUACACAACUGCAAUGGGAUCACUCUAUGACACAAAAAGUCAUGUAAAUACAUUUGCUUGUGAGUAUAAAAAUAAAAAGACAGAAGGCCUAUGGGUAUGUAUCCACUUAUGUCAUAUAAAAUAUAAACAUAUAUUAGUUAAAUAACUUUAGUUAGUAAUCCACAUUAAAAUACAGCAGCAUUUGAUGUAUGCUAGUAUCAGCUAGUAAAAAGAUAUACCGCUGAUAAAUGUUCAUUAUCAAAGAAUUUUAUCUUGCACAUAUAACAUAUUUGACUAGUGCACAAAAUUGCAAAAACAAUAAAACCACCAACCAUGACUUGUUAUACAUUAUCUGGAACUCUCAAGUUACUGCUCCUUACUGGAUUACAUUGGAUAUAGACAGUGUAUAUAACAAACUAUUCUUCUUUGUCUAAGUUUAGAAUUUUGGUGCCAGCACUAAGCGUUAUUCAGAUCAUAUAUCCCUAGACCCUUCAUGAACAGAGAAAGGAUAUUGACAGGGCCAUUAUGAACAAAUAAGCAGAUCAUAUAAGGAGGAUACAAGAUAAUAUGAGAAUCAAUCACCAAGACUACCAACAGCAUGAACAUGGCAUUACUAGACAUAAGACAACAAUAAUAUGAAGGCGUACCUUUGAUGCGAUGUCAAGAUCACGCAACUUUGAAGCAGAUAAAGAUAACUGCAAUAUAUAUUCAAAAACAUACGAACGAAUACAGAUACAUGAAAAAGCGGAAAAGGAGUAAUCCAUGCAUAUGCUGCACGAAAUGAAAAUUGUCAGUACGAUGUGGGUCAACUGACAGGCAAUAUAUAUCUGUCAUAAACAGAACAUGUAGAAAACCAUCAUUUCCGAUUCUGACAGAAUCACUUCUAAUAUUAAAUCUUAUAAGCAGCAAGCAAUAAUAUAUGUAAUUAAGUUUUAUAUAACAACAGGAUGUGACACGUCAAUUACAAGCAUUGAACCACAUUUAAUUUGUUAUCAUAUGACUUGUUGCCUUUUCUCCAGGAAAGUUUGCAAGGAGAUCCUCAGGUAAGGUCCACAUCAAUACAGGAAUAUUACAAUCACUUGGUGGUCCACGUUAUGGAAAGACAUUCUUAUCCUCGUAACAACAUAAUCCUUAAUCCACAAUCUUUUAUAAAGUUAAUGGUUUGUCUUAUGCAAACCAGCAUUCACAAAAUCAUGUUCCAAUCAGGGGAGCAUUAUCAUGGGGAAUCUUCACGAGGGGUAUAAGUCAAAUUUGAUCACGAGGGGUAUGAGUUAAAUUUGAUAAAUGAGGCAUAACAGAAUAGUCAACUUUGAGGAUACACAGGAAAACCACUGUGCAUUCAACAGGAUCAAACAUCAACUUUCUCAAUGUUCACAAGGCCAUUGUGCAUUCAACGCCAUUCUUUUUUUAUUUACCUUAACCAAUCUUAAUCUAAAAUUCACUCCACAGAAUGUUGUUAUUGGGUAUAAGCAGUUAAACUUACUGUUCUCCAUAUGCAAAACAAAAGCACUUGCUUGGUGUGAAACCGUCGAACCAACACCAGCAAAAGAAUUGGUAGAUUUGUAAUGAAAUAUGAAGAAACAGCAAGGUAUUAAUUGAAGAAUUCAAUUUCUCAUUAUAUUUGGACAUUUGGACGUCAUUAAUGUUAAUUGAUUUUUUCCGCGUAAAAAACUUCCCGAUUGAUUUUGUUCCUCCAAAUGCCAUUCAUUGGAAAUAAGUUUAUUUUUCUGACAACUUCAACUCAUAAAUUUAAUUAUUUUGUUAUAAUAAUAGGUUGAAUAAUUCUAUGUAUUACGACAAAAAAAAAGAAUCUUAAUUUUAUAUCAUAUAUAAUUAUAUAUAUAUAGACUCAAGCAAGAGUAUUAUUUAUCAUGUAAUUUAUUAAACUAAUCUCACCUAAAAAGUUGUUGAGAAAAGACAGUAAGUUAAUAAAUAUUUCGUCUUCCCCAAGGUUUUUGAUUAAAAGAAUGACUUGAUAUGGCUGAUGUUGAUAAAUUAAAAAGGGAAAAAUAAUAAACAAUGGAGGAAUUUUCAAAUUAGGUCAACAAUCGUAGUCUAUUUAAUUUCGUAAUAAUGGCAAUGACGAAGCCCUUAUAACAUAAGCUUGCAAACGUAAUCAAGAUAUCCGUGGAAAACAAGCAACAAUUGCAAUGGGGUGGAAUAAAAUGUCUAAUAUUUAAAUUUUUUAUUUCAAUUUCUAUUUAUAUAAUUUAUUUAAUUUAUAAUAAAGAUGAAUAAUUAAAUAAAUUUUAAAAUAUCUUAAAAUAAGAAUAAUACUAUAAAAUUAUGAUAAAUGAAAGUUAUUGAUUAUUAUGAAAACAAUAAGAAGAGAAAUGUCAUGUAUUAAUUUCUACAUGAAGGAAACUGCCAACCUCCCUUUAAUAUGUUGUGACAAUCAUUAGAAUUUCAAUAAAAUGAUUUUGUUGACGAAGCCCUUAUAACAUAAGCAUACAAACGUAAUCAAGAUGUCUGUGGAAAGCAAGUAACAUUUAACAAUUCCAGUGGGGUGGAAUAAAAUGGCAUUCACAGUCAACUACUAAGGUACUGAAGGUUCAAUCGUUUAAGGGUAUUGAUAGUUUCAAUAAAAUGACAAACUCCUCUACAUAAUCAAUAGUCAUUGAUCACGUACGUGUACAUUUAAGUUGGAAAAAGAAGAAGAAGAAGAAGAUUAUAGUAUAAUAAAAUCAGAAUGCGUAUGUCAUAACUAAUUUCACUAAAUGGUUAUAAUACGUUUUAUGUACUUGAGAUUUUCUCAUAAUUCCUUUAUCCAUAACACUGGUAAUAAAGUCCGAUUAUAUAUAGGCAUGCACACUUUUUUCAUGGGGGAUUGAUAAUAAAAUUUUAUAGUGGGUAAUUGGUUGCAACCGUGUUGGUAGAUACACCUACCUAAUAUUAAUUAAUGAUUGAAAAGAAGAACAUUUAGUUCAUAGUUAAACCAAGAUUGUUACAGAAAAGGGAAAAGACUAAGACAGUGCUCAUGAAGUGGAUAGAAAUAACAGAGAAAGAAAUAGCUAUAUACAAUAAAAUAUUUCUCCUAUAUAGUCAUAUAUCCUUUAUAUAGAAAGAAAAUAUUUCUCCUAUGUAGUCAUACUUUAUAUAAAAAUAAUUUUUAUUUAAUUAUAAAAAAGAUUUAAUCUCAAUUUAAGUUAGUUAUAAAUAAGGAUAUACUCUAUAUUAUAAUAAGUUAUAAUUUUUUUAAGUCUUGUCUAAAAAAAAAUUGUCUCUACAUAGUCAUAUUAUUUGUAUAUUGCAAAAAAGUAUAGACUUUUUUUUUAAUUAAGCCUAUCUUUAUUAUCAAUUUCUGACAUAAUUCAGUAAUUAAUUAUUAAUAUAGUGGAUAUUUGACCUCUAAUUUAAUUGCACGAAGGAUAAGUAAGUGAAAACGAUAAUUUCUGUAACUAUAUCUUUACUAAGUUAAUUAUAACAUUCUCAUAUUAAUAAAAUUAAUUUGCCCCAAUAUUAUGAUUAUAGAGAAAUUGGACUAUAUUUGCAAAUUUUGAAAAUGAUGGUCAUGACUUAUGUGCUCGAUCUGUGAUUUUACGUUGAGGUUGGUAGAGCUGAACCAUCAAAACGUUUAAAGCAUAUUGUCGUUAGUCUUUGUUUCCGAGUAGACAAAAGUGUCAAAUACUAUGUUUAUCAAUAAGAACAUUAUUGAAUCUUUUUUUUCUUUUUUAAAUGACAAAUGAGAGAUGAAUUCAAAUUAAUUAGGAAUUUUUAUCCAUUAUUUAUUAGAGUUGUGCUAGUAUUUUUUUUUUUAAAAAAAACUACUAAUUACAACAACCUUAAGUAAAACAAACAUAUAUUAUAUAGCUCAUCAUGUGAGCACGGAAUCCGACAUUCCUUUGAGACUUAUAUAUCUCUCAAAUUAAAAUACCGCAAACAAGAAUAUUAAACAAAGUAAUAAUCAAAAUAACACAUUUCCUUGCAACGACUCAUUAUGAUUCCAAGUGAAAUGGUUCGUUCGACCAAAAAAUGCUGGAAAAAAUGUAAUUCAAGUUGGCUUCCUCUUUCAUAUUCAGUUCAGAACUUUAGAUUUGGUGUAAAUGAAGGGAAAAUGCCUACGAAUAUGUUCUCAGCUUGCCCGUCGUCUUGCCCAGCUUCUAGUUGUUUUCGUAAUUACGUCGUCACAACGACUGAUGCGGAGUAUGUAGAAAAUAAAGUCAUUCAAAGCCGUACAAAAGUGGAUAACCAAUCCAAUCCACUUUUGGCUCGUCAUUGAGUAAUUUGAGUCAAUUAUCCAGUUUGGUCAAUAUUAUAUUUUAAAAGAUUAUCCAGAACAUUUCUUUACUUACUUUCUUAGUUGUUGGACAUAAAUUUUUAAAGCUAAAACAGAAUUUUUAUAUGAUAAAACUAAUUUAAUAUAUAGCAGAUGGAAAAUAGAAAAUAAUUAGGUAGAUUUUAACCAAAAAAGAAUAUAGAAUUUAUAUUUUUUUUAGAGUGAAUUUCUAAAAAUAUAUUGACUCCUCCAUGGGUACAUAAACUACAGGGACAAAGAGACAUUCCCUUUUUUGUUUUAUGCAAGUCGUCGCAAGGAUUAUUCGUUGUGCGUGUACGCACAAUGACAUGAUCACGUGUCAUCCAUUGAGACUUUUCCAAGACAACAUUUUGUGAUGUACCAUAUGCAUACUAAAUUACAAGUGCAUUUGUUGGGUACAUGCAUGCAUGGACGUGGAAUUCCAUGCAUAAAAUGAUAAAAUACUUUUUCAAUUUUUCUUAGUUUAAUUUGCAAAGAUGUUUCACCAUUAAUUUGAAGUCUUUAGGUUUGGAAAUCUUUAUUCAUCGUAUAUUUGUUUGUCUCUUGGCACAAGCGCAUGCACACACGCACGCACGCACAUGUAUGUGUGUGUAUAUAUAUAUCUUAAUAUGUAUACUUAAGAUAUAUCUAUCAUUGUAAGUUAAACUAAUAAUCACUAAAUAUCCACUUUGUAUUUUGCUCUAGAGCACAAUAAAGUCAAAUUAGUAUUUAUAAUCGAUUUUUUUUUUUCUAACAAGUAAAUUGAUAUUGCAUUCCAUUAAACUGCUCACAACAACAAUACAAGUCAUGGUGGCAGUGACGAGAGUAAUUUACAAACUGUCUAUAAAGAACAUAAUUUGUUAAACCAUUAAAUAUUCAAGAGAUACCUUUAAUAACAAGUACUUUCAUGAGCACAUAAAACUUAAAUUUUACAAGAGUUAUUCUCAAAUUUAAGUCCUCUUUUGAUUUGAUCUCUUCUGAACGUUUAAAGAUCUUAUAUAACUUGCCUUUUAAUAUUAUGUAUGAUUAAAAUUUAACUAUUUUUAUUACUUACUUGAUUAACCAAUAAACAUAUAAGUGAAAUUUGCUUAAAAAUCAGGUCAUUAAAGGAUCCAUCCCAUUAAUGCUUCCCAGUCACUCUCUAUCAUCGAAGUUAUUUGUGCUAACCACCAAUGCACUAGCAAAUAUUGAUUCAUGUUUAAGCUCAUGUGUCACAUACUCAUGAAUACUUAGUGAUCAUUUAUAAAUGUUUAAUUAAUUAAUUGAGUAAAAGAUCAACAUUAAAAAAAAAAUCCCGUUACGCUACUCUGUAUAUACAACGCGUGAUAAAUUAAUUAAUACGGAGUUACCGGUAGCAAUUUAUAAAAAUUAAUUAAUAGGAGUUAGUGAGUUACACGGCUGCUAUUAAUACUUUCAUUAAAGUGUGAAUGAUUUAUUAACAAGAAUUUCAAUAUAGAAAUUUCACCAAAACUGUUUAAGCUUGAUUUUUUAAUUCUGCAUAGCAAUGAGUCCAUGACGGCUCCAGCACUAAUCUCAUCAUGAAACAAAGGUAAAAUUAACGAAGUUUCUUUUUUUCUUAGAAAAUCAUUGACAUCAAUAAGGUAAAACUAGUACAAGAUAAACCGAGACUAAUUUUAUUUUAUUUUUAAACAUUCUAUUAAAUUUUUCUGUCUAAAUAUCAUUGUUCUCUAUUUCAGAGUCAAGUCAAAAUUGUACAAAAUGAAAAAGAGAGGGUUAAAAUGGAUGGAAAUGACAAUAAAGAAAAUAGCUAGCUUUUUGCAAGAGCUUUUGAAGACGAUAGGCUUGUGCUCUUAUCAUGAAGCUUUUACGUCUUAUGCUUGUAGAAUUGACCCAGCGAAAAGGUUUAAUGAAUCCCCGUGAGAGUCUUUAAUGUGUUUCCGGGAAGAUAAUCAAUUAAUUAACUGCACCAAUUAAGCAGUUGAAUGAUCUACUAAGCAAGUUCAUAAAAUCUUAAUGUAAUCUAAUUGUUCGGAGAAAGUAUUUAAGAUCGAAUGUAGGGGUGGGCAUGGGUUGGUUUGGGUUGGAUUUUAAGUCAACCCAAACCAAACCAUAAAAAUUUGGAUCCAACCCAAACCAACCCAAAUAUUUUUAACCCAACCCAAACCAAACCAUUUGGAUUUGGUUUGGUUUGGGUUUGGUUUGAAUUUUAUUAUCAAAAUAAUUUUUAUUUUAAUAAAAUUUAAUUAUACCAAAAUUAUUAUAAUUAUUAAUUGUUAUUAAUUAUUAAAUUAAUAUUAAAAUAUAAAAAAAUAUAGUGGAUAAAAAUUAUAAAUUUUACAAUAACUUCAUCCUUAAAUUAAAGAAUACUAGAAAAUCAAAAUAAAGUUUAAUCACAAAAAUUAUUAUUUCUCAAUAAAUAAGAACGUACACUUUAAUAAUAAACUUUCACAAACAUGACAUUAACAAAUCUAAUAAUAAAUUUUACCACUUGUUAUUUAUUAUGCAAUAUUUAUUUUUAUUUAUCAUUUUGGUAGUUUUGCGUUAUGUUGUCUACUUAUAUGCUUAAUUUUAGGGAGAUUGCCACUUUCCCCCCUACAGUAAUCAAUAUAUAUCAUUUUUUCCCCUUCUGUUUUUAUAAUGGUCAAAAACCCCCCUAAUAGUAUAAGUUUACAAUAUUACCCUUAUUUUCAACUACUCUUUUAUUUAUAUUUAUUAUAAAUUAAAUAAAUCACAUGAAUAGAAACUAAAUAAAAAAUAAAGCAUUAAAAAUAAGAAAUAUAUGUUUUGAUAUGAACAAAAAAAUUAAUAAUAAAAUUUUUUUAUACUUAUUUAUUUUGUGAAAAUUUUCUUAUAAGAAAAUUAUUAGUAAAAUGAUAAAAAAAUUAUUAUAAGAAAACUUGAAUGACAAAUAAAAAUUUAUUAUAAGAUAAAUAAUAAAAUAUUUUACUAUACUUUUUACAUUUAAUUUUAAAAUAUUACAAAAUGUUUAUUAUAAGAAAAUGUUCACAAAAUAAAUAAUUACAAGAAACAAUUUUAUUAUUAAUUUUUUUGCUCAUAUCAAAACAUAUAUUUCUUGUUUUAAUACUUAAUUUUUUAUUUAGUUUCUAUUCAUGUAAUUUUUGUAAAUAAGAUAAAAAAUUUAUGUUAUUUACAACAAUAUUUAUUUAAUUUAAAUUUAUUUUUACUGUUAUUUUCAUUUUCUAACUGUUGACAAUUGAUCACGCCGCAAAAAAUUUAACGGUGGCCUUUCACUUAUUUGUAUUUAUUUAUUUUGUUUUCAUUUAUUUCUUUGAAAAAUUUGAGUGUUGGGGUUUUGUCCAUAACCCAUGGGUAAACCAUACCCAACCCAUAAUGAAAUGGUUUUCUAUAUAAAACCCACAUCUAACCCAUUUUCAUGAUUUACCCAACCCAAACCAUUUAAUUUGGUUUGGGUUUGGGUAAACCCAUGGGUUGUGGGUUUAUGCCCACCCCUAAUCGAAUGAAAGAUGAAUUUCAGGGACUCUUCCAAUUGCAACUAGUCAUCAUGGAUAUUCCAAUCAGUGAAGGAUUCUUUCGACACAAGGAAAAAUAAAAGAUAAAAAAGGGUCAAUAAAGACGAUGGAGAAUAUUCAAAUAAAGUCUUUAACGUAUGUAAAUGUAAUGUAACUUUAAUUUGACAACUGCGGGCCUGACGAAUCCCUUGCAACGUGAGCACAAUGACACAGAAAGGAUAGUGCAAAUCAAAGUGGCCGUCUUUAUGAAUUACGAGAGAGAGCGUAACACAAGUUAUCCAAAUUCAGUCAGUCAAGAUAGGUCAAAUUAGCUUGCCAUUGUCGUUUUCGGGGAAAAAAUGUUAGAAUAAAAUGUUAAAAGAAAAUUUAGAAUGUCUACUAACUACUAAUAUGAGAAAGAGUAAUAAAGACUUUAGAAUUAAAAAAAGAAAAUAGUAGCAGACAAUUAAUAGUUGUAAAUGGCUAAAGUUGUUUCAUAUAACAUUUUAGACAGGCCCGACUUUAACCAAUUGGGGGCCUUAGGCGAAAUUUUAUUUUAGGCCUUUUGAUGUUAAAAUAUCAAAUCUCACAAAAACAUUAAACAGCUCAAAAAAUUCUCACAACAAUAUCAAAUAGCUCAAACUUUAACUAUAUUCAAUAAUAUCUUGAAUUACAACAAUUAUUAACAAGGUCCAAAAAAAAAAAAAUUGUCCGAAAGAUAUCUAUUUAUUUCCACACAAAUAGUAACUAACUUUGUCUUCCACAAAUUCCAUCUUCUUAAGAUGCUCUAAAACUUCAUAAGCCACAACCAUAAUCUUCCUGUGAACUUUAAAUCAUUGCUCCUACCUACUAUGAUCCUUGCUGCAAGCCAUCACUAAUGCAAAUUACUAAUCAAUUAAAUUUUAUUCUUCUUGCUUUUUGAGAUGCAAAAUUAUUAAUUAAAAUCUUAUAUUCUAAUUUAGCUAACAAAUUUUUUUUCAAUAGCUAAUAUUGCUAAUCCAUUUAAUCUUUCUUGUGACAUUGUAGUUCUUAAAUAAGAUUUUAUUAACUUCAAUUUAGAAAAACUUAUCUCAGCAGAAGCAACAAUUAUAGGUACAGUCAAUAAUAUUCUAUAAGCAACAAAUGCAUUUGGAAAAGAAUCUACUUUUUUAAUAUAAUUAAGUAUAUCAAGUGGACUAUUUCUUUCCAUGUGUAAAACUUCUUUUAAGACUUUUAACUCUGAAAACAAAUCUAAUCCAUCAAUAUCAGAAAACAUAUCAUAUUUCAAGAUAUUUUCAAGAUUAAUACAAUAACUUUUUAAACUUUCAUCAUCUAAUGAUUUUAAUUUUUCAAAAUUAAAUAAAAAUCCGUAAAUAUUUUCAUAGAAUUGAAACUGCUCAAAUCUAUUGGUGAUUGAAGAAAUAACUUGAUCUACUAUAUAUACAAAGUAAUCAAUUCUAAAAGAAUCUUCGGGAGAUAGAAUUUUCUCUUCAUUAUUAUUCUCGCCAAAUUUAUUUUUUCUACGAAUUAUACGUUUUUCAUGAAAUUUUGGUUCUAUUUCCAUUUCAUUUGCAAUCUCUUUAGCUGAAAUCAUAGCAGACACAAAACCAUUUUAUCUGUAAUUCUCAAAAAAGGAUGUAAGACCUUUAGUUGAUUUAUGGCAACAUCAAUUUGCAUAUAUUCCCUUUGUAAGCUUUUACUAACAGUGUUUACAACAAAUAAAAGCAAAUAAUAUAUCAUACCAAAUAAUCAUGCCUAACAAAAAUUCAAAGUUUUCCAAUUCAUAUGUUGCUAAACAUUUCGCUUCACUUUUUUAUUUUAGGAUCUUCACUAACUUCUGCUAAUUUGAGUAAAGCAUCUCUAAUUUGGGGAGUUUGAAAUCUUAUUGCUUUGACACUUUCUAUGCGACUCUCCCAACGUGUUUGUGACAAUGAUUUAACAGUUAAAUUAGGUAUAUUAUCUUGUAAAAUUUUCCAUCUCUUAGGUGAAGAAGAAAAUAGCGAGUAAAUACGUUGAACAACUCCAAAAAAUGAAAUAGCCUUAGGACAAGAAUUAGCCAUAUCACAAAGCACUAAGUUAAAACUAUGAUAGCCACAUGGUGUGUAAAAUACUCUAGGAUUUAUUUCUAAUAAUCUUUUUUGUACACCUUGAUUUUUUCCUUUCAUAUUAGAUCCAUUAGCAUAUCCUUGUCCUCUUACAUCAUUAAUAUCAAGUUCAAGAGUUUUAAUUACAUCCACAAGUUCAUUAAAAAGACCUUUUCCAGUGGUAUUGUCAACUUGUAAAAAUCCUAAAAAAUAUUCUUCUACCUUUACUAGAUUUGUUGAAAUAUCCACACAUCUUAAUAUAAGAGACAUUUGUUCUUGGUGGCUUGCAUCUGGAGUACAAUCAAGUAUAACUGAAAAGUACUUUGCUUCCUUAACUUUGUUAACAAUUGAUUUUUUUUAUUUCAAGUGCUAGCAUUAAUAUGAGUUCAUUUUGUAUGUUAUGUCCAAGAUAAUGAUCAUGAAUUUCACCGGUUUUAAUACGUCGAAUAUGUUCUUGCAUUGUUGGAUCAAACUCUGCAAUCAUUUCAAUUAAACUUAACAAAUUCCCAUUUCUCUCUUCAUAGAUCUUCUCAUUUUUUCCACGAAAUGCUAAAUUAUUUUUAGCAAGAUUUUUUACAACAGCAAUAAUUCGUAUUAAUACUUUUUGCCAAUGUUCUUUUUCCUUGUCAAUUCUUUCUUGAACAUCUUUAUCAAUUGUUUUUCUUUUUGAUAGUCUUGCUUCUAAAUCAACCCAUGCAUUCAUAUUAGUUAUAUGUUCAUUGGUUGUUUCAUGACUUUUAAGUUUAGAACUAAGAUUUUCCAAUCUCUUGUUCCUUCAUCACUAAGUUGAUUUUUGCUACAACUUGUAUUGAAUAAUUUGCAACAAAAACAAUAUACUUUGUUAAAAUCUUUUGAAUAUAUUAACCAUUUUCUAUCAUGUUUUUCUCCAUUUGUUAACAUUUUAACAUAAAAUGCAGUAGAGAAAUGCCUAGAAUUUUCAUCUUUUGGGAAAGUUAUGUUAUUCUCUCUAAUUGGGCCUUUUUUCUACUAAAAGAUCUCUUAACUUUGUAUCAACAUUUUCCCAUCUUCCUGGAUCAUAAAUAUUAUUUGGAACAAAUAAAUUUUCUACAUCAACUUUGUCCGCAUUUUUAUUUUUAUCAUCUUCAAUGUUGUUUAUUUCAUUCACUGUUUCAUCAUUAUUUAAUUCAUUUAAACUUGGUUGUUCAAUAGCUAAUUCUUCAUUUAAAUCUAUAUCUUUUUUAUUAGUUGUGACAAAUUUAUCAAGAGCUCCUUUUUUAGAUUGGACUAACUUUUCUAUUCUCCUCUUUUUUUUUUUCAAUUUUUCAUAUCCCGAUACAUAUUUUCUAGUUGACAUGCUUUUCAAAUAAAAAAAAACAAAUAAACAAACACAAUUUUUUUCUAGAUUAUUCAAGCCAAAAUCAAUACAAAAAAUCAAAAAUAAAUUAAAUUUAAAAAGGAUAAGAACAGUAAUAAUAAAAAAUAGAAAAAAAUAGAAUGAUAGCACCUGGAUUUGAGUCAAUUGACUAGUUGAGAUGAAGAUGAUGAUGGCAAUGAAUUUUGUAGAGAAAGAGAAGAGAGCACAAAAUUUUUUUGCUGAAAAUAGCUUUGAUUCAAUGUGUAUCGGUUUAUAGAUAAUGAGGUUUUAAAUAUAUUUUAAUAGAAUACCAAAAGUUAGUUCUAAAAAUCUAACGUUACUAAUUUUAAUAAGAGUUUUUUUUGGAAAGGGUAAGCAUUGAUUGUUUUUUGGGAAAUAGUUAAAGAAAGUAAAGAAGUAACGUUCAAAAUCAUUAUUAUAGCAUAAAAAUAUAUCUUAUAUUUAAGGUAAAGAUUAUUAAAUAAGAGAGAUAAUUAUGAAUGAGAGUAAUGAUAGGGUAAAGCCUAAAAAUUAGGCUUUUUUUACUGUAUAAAAAAUAUAUACGUAACUUAAUUUUUUUGAAUCUUAAAAAAAUUAAUUAUAUUAAUUAAUAAAUAGAUACAAAAAAUCAGGGCCUUCCUAAAUACGGGGCCUUAGGCAACUGCCUAGUUCGCCUAGCAUUAAAGCCGCCACUGAUUUUAGAAUAAACUUUAAUUUGCCCCUCACUUAAAAUGAUAAGUCUUUGAUUUACUUCUAGGAGGAUAAGGCUCAAACUCACGACUUCCGCCCUAAGAAGGUAAUGCUCUUAUCAUUCAGUGCUAAGUCUUUGCCUCUAUAAACAACCAUACAAAGAACAUGCAUCUCUUUUUUAUUCCCCCCCCCCCCCCCCCCACAAAAAAAAAAAAAGAAAAAGAAAUCCAUCACUGCAUCCACAAUUUGCUCUCACCUUAUUGAAUGAAAAUGAAGGCUAAAUUGAUAUUUUCACUCUUUUAGGUGAUAAAACCAAGAUUGUUGUUCUAUCGGGAGAAUGAAUUAAAAUUUAUCAACUUUUUAAGUUAGAUUUCUCCGGUAUGUCUCGAAAUGAUUGAGGCUAUAAUAAGUAUAGGUUUUAAUAGAAAAAAAUAUCGGUGGAUUGGCUGUCAAAUAUUCCCUUCACAAAGACAAAAUAUAGCUUUUAUUCUAAUUCUUCAUAGGCUUUAUUUGAUUAUUUCCAAUAACAAUCCAUUAUAACAGUGAAUAGCUUUUUACCAGCCGUAGUUAAGAUAUUGGAUUAGAAGCAUAGUUUGAGAAGCCAAACAAAACUGAUUCCUUGGAAGAAAUGUAUUGAAAACCUUGAAUCACUCAAUAUGUGUAACAAAUUUACAAGUUAUCUUCAAAAUUCCCAAAGCAAACUUCGCCAAAAUUUAAUUUCCCUCCCACGAAAUUUUUUUUUUUUUUUUUGCUUUGAGCAGCUAACUUUCACAGUAGGCUUUACAACUCAAAAAAAGCCAUAUCCUAGUUAAAGACAAAUCCAGGUCUUAUAAAGUAGCUUAGGAACACCGCGAUGGGAAAUUCUUGUGCAUGAACAUGCAACUCAAUCAAGCACAGAUAAUGACAUAAUGGAACCGAAUUAAGUGUCGAACAAAAUACAGAAUGAAAAGAGUUAUAUCAUUGGUAAAAAGUUGUAUUGCUAACUGCUUGACACUAUCAGUCAAUUAAUUUUAUGGACUGACCAUCAGUGACAAAAUGCAACAAAUAUUUCGAUAAAGUCAUAAGUUUCCCAAUAGAGCUAAUUGGUUUGAAAGGUUUAAAAUAUACUUUCAAGGCAAAAAAGUUGUCUACAAUUAAACUUUUAUUAAGACUCAUAAUACAGAAAGAAAUUUGCUAAAGAAACAAAUAGUAAAGAGGAUGAAUAGUAAAAAUGCCAUCGGUAAGACAUAGAUGGACCGGAAAAGGAGUAUCUUGAUGAUACUGGUGCAGCUAUCAAUUUUGGCUUGCGCCCUUCGCACGGGUGUUACCUGUUGUGGUUUGAUAAAGCACUUGUGGCAUACAAUGAGUAUAACCAAUCAGCUUGAUCAAUUUCUCUCCCCUUCUUAAGGGAUCAAAUUUACAAUGCUUUCAUAAUGAAUACAGCAGAUGGUGGCUAAUUGCCAAACACUUGACAAUGAUAGGCAAAUUCUUCUGUCAGAAAGCGGGGUGAAAAAGGUCAGAAUCUUGAGACCUGCUCAACCACAAGAAUGCAACAAAAGGGAAUCUGAUAAUAUACAAUGGGAAAUCAGAUUAUUAGCUUUCUCAUGAACAUUUCAAUAAUCUGAGCCACCAGUUUAUGACAAGGAAGCUUCUAAUGGUUACAACAUUCUAAAUCAUAAAAAAUGGUUCGAGGUCUCUAGCCAGAAGCACGUUGUUUAAAAUGUCAUUUGACACGCAGCAAUACAAUCCACCAUCCGAUCUUAUUAACUUCCGCUAAAAAUAAAGUGAGAUUUUAUUAAAGAAAGGAAAUUUAUAAAAGCUAACAUACCAUCACAAAAAACUUCUUAGUUCAAAUCUAAGUACAGAUGAAAUAAUCAGAAUAAGUUUAGGCUCAAAAGCAUUGGUGUCUCCUUUAAACAUCUAUUCAAACAAAUUCUGCAAUUCCUCCAAGGUCUCCUCACCAUUUUCCUGUCAAAUUUACAAUCCAAGCAUACAAAGAUAAAUACCAAGCAAUAACACUGCUGGAAGAUUAAGUCAGGUUUGAAUAAUUCAAUUAUUCAAUUCCUCCAAGAACAACUUUUGUGGGGCCCACAUAGAUGUCAAAAAGUAAGCAGUGGGCACUGCUAGUGCUCAACCGCAAAGGAAAAAGAAAAAAAAAGAAGAAAUAAGAAGAAGAAGAAGAAAAGAAAGUGGCGGGCCGCUCAGCAGAAAUAAUAAUAAUAAAAUACUAAUAAAUAAAUAAAAUAAUAGGCAUGAACAGAAGCCAAUUUUUGGCUAUAAAGGACGCUUCUCCUCAUUUCAACAUCCAGUUUGAGAGAAGCAUUUCCUACAUUUAGGGAGUUGAGAGUAUUAAGAAUUUAAUAAACUCUUGGCUUGAGAGAUUAGUGAAUAAGCGAUUGGGUACAUUGGGGUUCUGGAUAGUGAGCCAAAAUAUUACAAUACUUGUAAUUCUCAUAUCACUAGUAAAAUAUUUUUCUUCUGUUUUCACCCGUGAAUCUAGGUUAAAAGCCGAACCACUUAAAUCCUGGUGUCCCUGUGUGAUUCUGUUGUCUCAUUAUUUCUCAAUUUCACUUUAAUUGCGUGUCUGCUUCACCAAUCAAUUUCCCAACAAUAGAACUUAUAUGUAAUUCGCCAUUGAACAAGACCAAAACUAGGCACCAUGAAUCACUACUUUUCAGAGCAUGAACACACUGAGGAUAAAAAUAAAAACAGAUUAAAAUAUGUUGCCCUUGUGACUAAAUGACCCAUUUGCAAUCUGAUUAGGAGAAAUCAAAAUACCGUCAUUCUUUUGCCAACCAGCAAAGUAAAAGCCAUAACUAAAGCUUGGAAAAAGCUAAAUAAUGCCUAGGAAUUUCCAAACACAAUUCUCAAAUUAUUCUAUAGAAAACAUAAAUAUGCAUUGAAGAAUGCUUACAUUAGUUUGUGUUUGGCUCAUCAUCACAGCCAUUUCAUUCAAGAAAUCUCCCAUUCCCUCAAAACAAAACUAAAAAGUCUCAUGUAAUAAAAUCCUCCCCCGUUCCCCACCCCCCCCCCCCUUCUUGUAGGAGUUAAUUUUCAUGUAUCUUCAAAGAAACAAAAGCGCAUUAAAAAGUUAAAGAUGAAAUGAAAACAAUAUAUAUAUAUAUAUAUAUAUAUAUAUAGAGAGAGAGAGAGAGAGAGAGAGAGAGAGAGAGACACACACACACACACGCGCGCGCGCGCAAAAUUGGAGCUCAUAUUAUUUUUUUCAUCAUCACUAUCAUAGACUCCUACAUAGUACAAGAACCUCUUGUUGGCAUCAGAUAGAACUUGAAGAGAGAAGAAGGAAAACAACAUCUCGUGAAUCCGAUAAUUAUCCAUCAUUAUAAAAAAAGAUUACAAUUUUAUUUCUUAUUGUAUACUACAAAUUACAUGCAUAAUAAAUAAAUAAAUAAAUAAAUAAGAAUUAAAAUUUUUGGAAUUUAGUAAGGUUAACAGCAGAAUAGGCAUGUUGAAUGGCGUAAAAUCUCUUCGUGGCUUCUUUCACAAAUUUUGGAUCUCUUGAAGUUGAACAACGACUUGGAUAUAUAGAGCCACAACCACCUUGUAAAAAAAAAAUCAUACGUAUGUUGCAUGAGAAGAUUGGUUGUAUAAAACUGUUAUAGACCCACAUGAUUUAGAAAAAUAAUAGUUAUCCAUUUUUAGUUAAUGUCUUUAUGCCACAUUAGUUUGUUUACACAAGUUCUUAAUGUUUGUGGUUAUAUCAUUAUUGAUUUCGAAAAUAAUAUUUUAAUAUUUUUAUUGCAAAUGAUAGGAUAUUUUUUAACACAUUGGAUGCUUUUGGAUUUAAUGAUACCUUUGUUUAUUUCAUUUAUUGUUUCAUCUAACAUUGUUUGAUGAGUGAUGAUAGAGUUAAAAGCUCUUGUAUAAACUUAUUUUAUACAAAUUUGAAAUUUAAAUUUAUUGAUUGAAUGAAAUUACCAAAUAAUAAAAAUAAAUAAUGUGGGUCAAGAGCUAGGGGUAAGCAAACUCAAUCCAAUCCCGGUGAAUUCAAUCCAACCUGACAAAUCCAGUCCAACCCAAUCUAAUCCAAUCAAAUUUUGAUGGAUUAAGUGAAUUAUUAUAGGGUUAAUUAGGUAAUUUUUUAGAAUCUAAUUAAUAAUUGGGUUGGGUUGGGUUGGAUUGGGUUAAUUAUGAUAAACCUGUCUCACCCAACCCCAUCCAUGUAAAUAAUAGUAAUAGUAAUAAUAGUUAGGCAUCCAGUACUGCUUACCAAAUAGAAGCUAAUUCCUGCAAAUUACAUGAAAAUUGCACGAAAUAUCAUUAUCCUUAUUUUCUUGAUUUCACCUUCAUUGUGUAUUUUUCUCCAGCAAUUCCAAACUUACGAAGAGGAUUCGGGCCACGUUCUAUGCAUCAUAUGGAAUGCGGCCAUUUUUCUGUGUAAUUUGUGAGGCGUUAUAUUACAUGGAGCUUGACUUCUUUCUUUCUAUCAAGGGUCAGAUGGCAUUGGUGAGAGUUUCUUCUGUUUCUUUGUUGAUUGUUUUGCUUUUGGCUUUUUUAUUAAAGUUAUUUUGAAUCCGCUUUCAGAUUGUGUGUUUAAUGAUUUGAUUAAAUUAGUGUUUAGUUAAAUGUAUUUGGAUUUCUGGAGUAUUUCAGCAGUUAAUGAUGAAAUUCAGCAUUAAAUUAACUCAUAAUCAUUCUAAUUAUUGAAUUUUUUGUCAUGAAAAAUCAUUUAGUAUUAUUGCGGCAGUAAAAUUCAAUGAAGUAGCAUUCAAUAUAUAAAUAAAUACGGUUUAAUCAAAUCGUACAUGUAUCAUUCAGCUUACAACAAUCGAAGGAAUUGAAGUUUUCGGAGUGCUCAGUUUAAUCAAAUCAUGAGAAAUAAAUACGGUUGCAAAGUUGGAUACUUAUUAGUUGCUAUAAAUUUAACUAAGUCGUUAAACGUGUACGUGAUUGCCACUAGUAUUGAAAUCAAAACAUUCAAUUGAUUUAUGGUCUCAAGUAAUAAAGGUUCCACAAAUUUCUUUACAGAGCUUUCUUUUAUUUUCUUUCAUUUUCUAGCUUGCCAAACAAUAUAGAACUAAGUUUCUUUCAAUUAUAAACACCUGGCAAAGACACCAGGUUAAUUUUUAUCUCUUAGCACUCUGUUUUGCACCGAGAUAUCCAAUAUAUACUAGUUUAUCAGAUAAUUUUGAUUAAUGUUGAGUGAUAGUGUAUUAGUCUCCUAGUUAAUUAAAUGUGAAAACAUUAUACUAUAUACUAGUUGAUUGAUUCUAGUUUUUUUUAAUCUUCUUGUUAUUUUCCACGACAUAGCUGAUUUAAAGACUUGGCCCAACUCAUCCCUCUAUGUUCAUUUAAUGUUACUAGUUUUUCUGCCCCAAGGUUGACUUGAUGGUAGGUUAUUUUGAUUAACUUGUAUUUUUGGCUGAAUAUUGACAAAAGCAAUCAGCUCAUGUAACGUACUCUGUUUUCCACUAAAAAUAUAAUCAUUUAUUACCUCUAGUUUAUCAAAUGAUCAUGAUUAAUGCUGCUAGGAAAGCUUUAUUAGUCUUUCUUUUAAUAUAUCAUUACCAAUCUUGCCAACUUUUGCUUAUCUUUCGCGGUCUUUGUUUAUAUUUCAUGAUCCCCGAAAUACACGUCAACGCAACCAUUUCCUAUAGCAAAUGUUUUUAACUCUUUUUAAGUUAUUGGAUUGCUGCUUUCCAUGCAUAUAAAUUAUGGAAUAGCUUACUUAAUCUUUCAUUAUCAUCACCAAAUCUCGAAUUGUUUGCAUUAUUUUCUUUUUGAAAAUGCUUCACGGAAUCAAAUUACUAACAGAAGUCAUAAAUGUCCUGCUCCAGCAUUUUCUUAAUCAUCCAACUUUUCUCGGAUUCUCUGAAAAUCCCUUAUACAUUUUCUGGUUCCCUUUUCUUAAUCAUCCUUUUUCUAAACCUUCUUUGCAGAUCUUUCACUGUACUCCCUUUUUUUUUCUAGCUUUUUCACUCCUUGCCCUCCUUGUCUCUUAUUUCUUGUUGUGAUUGGUUUUGUUUUUCCCUGUUUUCUCAAAGCAAAAUAAAAAUAAAAUAAAAUAAAAAGGAUAAUGGAAAUUCUUACCUCCGUUGUUGCAAAAGUUUCAGAGUACUUGGUUGCUCCCAUUAUUCAUCCAUUUACUUACUGCUGCACGUACAAGACCAACUUCGAGAAGCUGAAGAAUGAUGUUGAUAAACUAAAGAAUGCUAGAGACAGUGUACAGUAUAAAGUAGAUGAUUCCAAAAUCAAAGGGGACGGAAUUCAACAGCACGUUGAGGAGUGGCUGAUUAGUGUGGACGAGGUCAUCAGUGAAGUUAGGAAGCUUACAGAAGUUGAAGAAAAAUCAAACAACCAGUGUUUUAAUGGGUUGUGUCCCAAUUUGAAGACCCACUACCAGCUUAUCAAGAAAGCAGAAAGGGAGGUGAAUGCUAUUGUUGGACUCCAUGAAAAAAGGAAAUUUGACAGUGUUUCUUUCCGUACAAUUCCAGAGGAGAUAUGGCUUAAGUCCACCGAAGGUUUCAUUCACUUUGAAUCAAGAAAAUCCACUUUGAAGGAAAUACUAGGCUCAUUAAGCAAUCAUAACUUCAACAUGAUUGGGGUAUACGGGAUGGGUGGCAUUGGAAAGACAAUGUUGGUGAAGGAAGUCGCUGGGCAAGCCAAGGGAAAUAAUCUCUUUGAGAAGGUCAUUUCUGCGCAAGUAUCCCAAACACCACAAAUAAAGAAGAUACAAGAAUAAAUUGCAGAGAAGAUAGGUUUGGGAUUAGUUGAAGAGAUUGAAACUGUUAGAGCAGGGAGGCUAUAUGAAAGAUUGAAAGUAGAGAAGAAGAUCCUUAUAAUCUUGGAUGAUAUUUGGGGGAGUCUUGACUUGGAGGCUGUUGGAAUUCCAUUAGCAGAUGAUAACAGCAGAUGUAAAGUUCUGCUGACAGCAAGAAGUCUAGAUGUGUUGUCUUGUAAGAUGGAUUGUCAACAUAAUUCUUUUAUCGAUAUUUUGAAUAAGAAAGAAGCUUGGAGUCUUUUUAAGAAGAUGGCAGGUGAUUGCAUAGAAAAUAGUGAACUAAAAUCUGUAGCGACAGAUAUAGUCAAGGAAUGUGCUGGUUUGCCCAUUGCCAUUGUACCCGUAGCAAAGGCGUUGAAAAAUAAGAGUCUCUAUGAAUGGAGGAAUGCUUUACGACAAUUACAAAGGCCUUUUUUGAUAAGCUUCUCUGGGACACAAGCGGUGGCCUAUUCAACUGUAGAGUUGAGUUACAAUCAUUUAGAAGGUAGGGAACUUAAAGAAACAUUAUUGCUAAUAGGGUACUCGUUCAUCUGUUGUGUUGAAGACUUGCUCUGUUAUGGCAUGGGUUUGGCUCUGUUUCAAAACAUCAACACGUUGGAAGAAGCACGAGAUAGAGCGCUUACAUUGGUUGAUAAGCUCAAAAACCCUUGCUUGUUGCUUGAUGGAGUUACAAGUGAAUGGUUUGCUAUGCAUGAUGUUGUUCGUGAUGUAGCCAUAUCAAUUGCAUCAAGAGACCAACAUGUAUUCGUAGUGGAUAAUGAUGUUGUCCCACAGAUCAAAUGGCCAGAUAAGGAUAAACUAAAGGUUUGCACUGCAAUCUCCUUAAAUAAUAGUAAUAUUAGUGAGCUUCCUCAAGAGUUGGAAUGUCCACACCGUGAAUACUUUUCUAUUGGCAGUGAUCCUUCGUUGAGAAUCCCAGAUAACAUUUUUACUGAGAUGACAGAGCUUAGAGUACUUGUUUUGUUAAUUACCAAAGUUUAGCCGUACUUUUGAUAAUCAUUUGAUAAUUAAAUGCGUGCUAGUGAGGAAAUACUCUUAAUUAAUUAAUGUGUUAGUGGAGAGUAUGUAGUGUUAUUAUUAUUUCCUAAACAAUAAUGUUUAUAGGAAAAGUAAAACUACAAAAAAAAAAAGGGGGGAAAAUAAUUGACCAUUAAGUGUCCAUUUUGUAUGAUUUCUCUACUAAUAGAUCAAGAGAGUAAUUUUGCUUUUGAAUAUUUUUUGGCAUCGUUUGGCUAUAAAUUGAAUAGAGUUUAUUAAAAAUAUUAUUUUGUCUUUAUUAGGAGAAGUUUAAAUUUUGGACUUCUAGGAGAAUAGGUUGUAGAGCUCCUUAAAAGAAUUAGAUUUUCUAAAAUACACCUAUUUAACUGCAUGCAUAAUCCUAUUUCAUUUGUUUUAUAACAUAUAGGUUUAAUAGGAUCCAGCUACUUUGCAACAGUUGCAAGGUGCCACCAUUUUUGUCUUAUGGAGUUAUGUUAUGCAUGUUAAAUUUUCUUUAACCCCUUACUAGCCUUCUUAUUUACCUUUUUUUUUUUUUAUAAGUUUAUAUACUUUAGCUGGUGACCUUUGAAAAUGUAAUUUUAUUUUAUUUUUUUACAUUUAUUUAUAAGUUUAUAUGCUUUGGCUGGUGACAUUUUAAAAUGUAAUUUUAUUUUUUUAAUAUUAUUUAUUUUUUUAAAAGAAUAAAUAUAAUAAUAAGUUUAUGACUAAAUAAUAUUUAUUUUUUACGACUCAAUAUUUUUUUUUAUUUUAUUUAAUAUUAUUUAACUUUUAAAAAAAUAAAUAUAAUAAUAAGCCUAUGAAUAAAUAAUAUAAAAUUAAUAAAAUUAAUUUUUUAAAAUAAAGUUAAUAAUAUUAUAAAUAAUAUUUAUUGUUUAAGGUUCACUAUUGAUUUUUUUAUUUAAUAUUAUUUAGUUUUUUAAAAGAAUAAAUACAAUUAUAAGCCUAUGGAUAAAUAAUAUUAAAUAAAAUAAAGUUAAUAAUAUUAAAAAUAAUAUUAAUUUUUAAGACUCAUUACUAUUAUUUUAUUUUAUUUAACAUUAUUUAGUUUUAUGAAAGAAUAAAUAUAAUGAUAAGUUUAUGACUAUAAAACGUUAAAUAAAAUAAAAUAAAUAAUAUUAAUUAAAAAUUAUAUCUAUUUUUUAUGAUUCACUAUUGAUUAUUUUAUUUUAUUUAAUAUUAUUUAGUUUUUUGAAGAAUAAAUAUAAUAAUAAGCAUACGCUAAAUAAAAUUAAAUAAAAUGAAAAUAAAUAAUAUUAAAUAAUAUUUAUUUUGAAUAAAAUAAAUAACAUUAAAAUUUUAUUCUUUUAAAUAAAAAUAUAUAAUAUUAAAAUUAAAAUAUUUUUUAAGACUUACUACUAAUUAAAUAAUAUAAAUUGGAAACAAUAAAGACUUAUAUGCUAAAAAUUUUAACUCUUUCAUUUUUUUGUGUUUUUAAUACUUAUCAAGAAUAUAAUGUUAGUAUUCAAAUGGACAAAUCUCUACCAUUGAAAUUACCUUUUUCAUUAAAUCCAAAGGUAAAGGAAUAAAAUAAAAAAAAAAAUUAGUUGUACCUUGCAGCCGUUGCAAAGUAGAUGAGUCCAGGUUUAAUAAACUUGUUACUAAAGUAAUUUUAAUUUACAACUUUUUUUAAAAGCUUUUUUUUUAUAACUAAACAACUAAAGAUUUUCAUUAAAAACUUUAAGGAUCCUCUUCCUCUAAGUUACAGUUACAGCUGCGUUUGUCUUUUUCUGAAUUCUUGCUGUAAAAUAUUGUUCAGCCCCUUUUACUUAAUAGUAUUUACAAUUUAUCAAUAAGUAUAUAAAAAUUUCUAUAUUGUAACAUUUCGUUCAGCCCCUUGCACUCUAUUUUAUUUCAUUAAAAACCUUAGCGUAUCAAAUUUAUCCCCUAUAUUUUUUAAAUUCCCAAACUACCCUCCAUUUAAAUAAAAAUAAUUAUUAUUAAAUGGAUUAUAAUUAUAAUUACUAGUUUAUUGUAAUUACUAUUAAUAAGAAUAAUAAAAAGUAUUGUAAUUAAUUAAUCUAUUAACAAUAAUUAAUAAUAAUUUUUUAGUUAAAUUGUUAAUAAUAACAAUUGUUAUUUAAACAUUUUUGAAUUUUUUAGUUAAAUCAUUUAUAGAACUAAACACAAAUUUAAUCAAAUCAUUAAACAUGUACGUGAUUGCCACUGGUAUUAAAAUCAAAACAUUCAUGCAACGAUUAAUGAUCUUAAAUUUAAGGUUAAAAAUGACCUAAUCAAUUUCAGCAACUAUGUCCAAAUGAUUUUGGUUUUGAUGUUUACAAAUAUGAAUUUUUCUUUUCGGCUCAAAUUUCACUAAUGAAUAUACCAAAACCUCAAAAGUUUUUCUUUCACUUUGAUGAUUAUAUUGUGUUCACUGAAAAAAUAUUAGAGCACCUUCGUUGCACUACACCCACUUAGUGUACAUAUGACAUAUAUGUACUAGAGAGUAAUAGUUACAUUUAAUUCACACAUACAUCGUUCAGCGUUUGGAAUUCGUCAUUGGGGUCCUCACGUGUAAGCAUCACGUGCACCACUAAUUCUGAGUUUCUGACGAAGUCUAAGUUCAGUUAAAAUUCUUUGCAGCAGGAAGGUGGUGUGGUGAGUAGCUCCCUCAACUUGUGAACCGUGAUUAGUCAAAUAAUCAAGUACACGUGGCAUCAUGAAACGCUUCGAAGAAUAACCUCGGCAGGUCUGUCCAGUAUGAUGACAUGUCAGCAACGUUUUACAACAGAAAGCUGCUAUGGGGUAAGCAUGAUAGUGGUAGCGUAGAAGCUGUGUAUGCAUAUCACCCGUCUGUUGAAAUGCUCGCAGUAAUCAAACCUCUUAUAACACUGCUUCAUCUGUCAAGUCAAAUUUUCCUCGGAGUCAAGAAAUGGAGAACUAACAGGUAUGCAUUUCUGAAACCAUUAUUAUAUUCAAACACAAGGAUUCGUAUAAAAGCUUAUAAAUGAUUAUGAAAGUAAGCAUGACGGAAUCAGCAUUUCUUGAUUUUCUUCAAUAAGCGGAAAUAGUGUGUCCCAAUAAAUUUAUAAACGAUGCGUGAAAAUAUUAUAUUAUAUACUUAGUUGUAGUUGAUUGAUUUUCCUUUUAAUCUUCCUGUAAUAUUCCACGACAGAGCUGAUUUAAAGACUUAGCCCAACUCAUUCCUCUAAGUUCAUUAAAUGUUAAUAUUUUUCUGCACCAAGGUUGACUUGAUGGUGCGUUAUUUUCAAUUUUUUUCAUUGACUUGUAUUUUUGGUUUAAUAUUCACAAAAAAUAAAGAAAGCAAUCAGCUCUUGUAACGUGCUCUGUUCUGUUUUCCACCAAAAAUAUAAUUAUUUGUUACCUCUAUUUUAUCAAAUAAUCAUGAUUAAUGCUGCUGGGAAAGCUUUAUUAGUCUUUCUUUUCUUUUAUCGUGGUCGUUGUUUGUAUUUGAUGAUCCCAAAAUACACGCUACGCAAUAUAGCAAUUGUCGAUUCCACAGUAAAGCAUAUAAAAUAAUAAGUAGGUUAUGUGAUCUUUCAUUGUCAUCACCUAGUCUCCAAUUGUUUGCAUUAUUUUCUUUUUGAAAAUGCUUCACGAAAUCAAAUUACUAAUAGAGGUCAUAAAUGUACUGCUCCUGCAUUUUCUUAAUCAUCCCACUUCUCUCAAAUUCUCUGAAAUCCCUUAUACGUCUUCUGGUCUCGUUUUCAUAAUAAUCGUUGUCCUAAACCUUCUUUGCAGAUCUUUCACUGUGCUCCCUUUUUCUUAUUUCUAGCUUUUUGCUUUUCUUUUUCACAUGGUCUUUAUUUAUAUUUGAUGUUUCCAAAUAUACACGCAACUAUUUGUGGGGAGUUAUGUUGCAACAGUGGUACGAUAUUAUUGUUGCUUUCAAUCAUUGAAUUUACCUAAUACAAUUGUACAACUAUAAAUUUAAUGGUUAGUUGCAACCACUGUUUCACCAUAGUUUUGCCCCCAUUUGUGACAGCGAAUAUUUUUACCUAGUUGUUGGAUUGUCGCUUUCUAUGUUUUGUCUUUUUGGUCGACUUUAACAUGGUUUAGAGUUUUUGAACGCGUCUUCCAAGUGCAGAUGCCGAGUAUAUCAACAGUUCGAUGAAAUGCCCAUAUGAAUAAUUUGAGGACCCAGGGGGCCCGCUACUGGUACUAUAAGUCUCAUCUUUUGUCUUUUUUUUGUAUAUCUAAUUUUUUUUUUAAAUGAUAAUAAAGUCCGCAAACUUCGGCUUUAUAGUUUGUAGGAGGGUAAUUAGAAAAGCACAUAGGUCACUUCACUUUGGGUCUCUUGGCCUUCAUCGGUUCAUUGUAAUUAUCAACAGUGAAAGAACAAGACAACUGUGAUGCAUUUUCACAAAAAAUUUGCAAAGUCUUCAGAUUUUUUUUAUCCUACCGCCAACACACUCAUUGCUAAUAGAAAUUUUUUAAGUAAUAUUGUUGUUAUUGAAUGUAACUGACAUGUAAUUAAGAUACGCCCUCCGUAAUUACAUGAUUGUUAUUUAUAUAGAGGGUUUUUCCCGUAAUGUUCUUUACAAAGCGCUUGUGUUUAUUGGCUAAAAGGAUUAGCAUUUUGAUUGUUCGUAAAGCACUCGAAAACUCGCCCUGAAUCAAAAAUCAUUCUCAAUCUAUUUAAUUCUCUCUCUCUGCUAUUAUUGCUUAUCAACUGUAAUUUUUAAAUUAUAGUAGUAAAAUAUUUGAUUAACACUUAAAAUUAAUGGAAGCUACCAUAAAAUUUGCUUGAGAAGCCUUAGAACUACAAGUUGAAAAAUGUCGGCAACUCAAUAGCUACUGGUAACAAGAAAAUUCAAUGAAACGCCAAAAUGCCCAAUUAACACCAUCUACAUGUAAUUGUAACUAGGGUUAUUAUUGCUUGACUACAUUAUAAAGUAUGAAGCAUCCAAUAACAAAAAAAAAUAUUAAUGUUUAGCAUUUUAUUACUGUAUCUUUGUAAAUCUUUCAUUUUACUAUAUUUCCGUUUAUCAUUGUUAGUUAACUAGUAAAAUACCAAGUAUGACCUUAUUUUAAAAAUUAAUUAAAUUUUUAAUAAAAAAUAAGAAAACAAAAAUAAAAAAUUAACCCCAGUUGAAGAAUACCUCUCUUCGCUGUCAAAACUCCUUAUACUUGUGAUUAAAUAUCUUCCUCUAAUGCUAAAUUGCUAAUUUUGCUCUCAUCAAAGUAUCAAAUUGAAACCACCGGUGAGGCUUGAAGAUAACAAGUUGAAACUGCCAUUAAAGCUCGGAGAUCAAUAUGUUUUCUAUCAAUCUUAAUUUCUAUUUCAUAAAUCCUUCAAACUCAUAGUAAUAAAACCAUCAUUCCAUAGCCAAAUCAAACUGAUCAAUCGAAAAGCAAUCUCAAAGAAUUUUGAUAUGAAAUCCACUUUGAAAUUGAUCACGCAUUCCUAGAGAUAAAUCAUUUUUUAAAAAAUUACACAGCCACUGCUGCUGCCAAAAUUCCUCUUUCAGAUGAGACCCUCAAUGCCAAUGCAUGGCUUAAUACCCAUUCGAAAGCGCCAAUAAUUUUUCAAAGAUGGUAGACCACUGUUUGGAAAAAGAAAAAAAAAUGAAGGAAAAAAAGAUAACGAUGACGCUAGAUAUUUGUGAUUCCAAUUUUUUUUCCCUCUUUCUUAACCAAUAAUAAAUAUGCCGCCCUUGUAAUGUUAAUUUGCAUACAAUUUUAUCAUAGUUUUGAAUGUAAAGACACUUUUAUGCCUUUGAUAUUAGUAUGACGUUAGUUUUGGACUCACAAUUUUAACAAAAAUAUUAUAAAAUAAAAGGUUUUUUUUUAAAGAUACACUUAUAAAAUGAUAACACCAAUACUUCUUAUAGUUAUUUUAUAUCUUAUAAUUUUUUAUUUUUUAAAAUGAAACCAUAAUAACCCUUAUAACUAUCUAUCUCAAUCAUUGAGAAUCUAGUUGACUUAGAAGCACAAGUCUUCUCCUCAUAUGAAUUUAGUUUGGCAUUUUUGCAUUAUUCAGAUUACCCAUUGAGUCUUGACAUCAAACCUGUGCCUCUGUAUUUUUUUUAGCCUAAUCGCUUAGCCUACCUUAUUAUUCGUGUAUAAUCAAUUUUUUUUUUAUGUUUAUUAACAUCUAAUCACUAAUCUUUGUUUGCUUCGGUCAAAACUUUGAUCAAGAUAGAGUUGCAGUUUACUGAUAAAAUGAUCACGAUUUUAAAUUUAAAGAUUUGAUUCCAAGAUCCUAACAUUCACAUUUUAAUUAUAUUUGUUGAUAAACAAGAAAAAAAUUGAUUAGAAGAAUAUGAUAAUAAGAAGAUGAAAAUACUUGCUCAAAUACUCCGCCGUCUGCUUACAUACAAAUCCACUAUCUUAGCUUUUUAAUCACAUAUAUAAAUCAUCAUCAUCACCAGAUUAUCAUAUAUUUACUCAAUAAUCAAAGCUAGUUAUUGAAAGCUUUGAAUGGUCUUCCAAGUUUGAAGAUGAAGGCAGCACUUGCAACUUCCAGACCUUCAUGUAAGUUUAGAUAGAUGCCGAGUGUAUGGACUGUUCGAUGAAAUGCCCCUAUGAAGUUGAGGAAUGGAGAGAUUGCAUGAGGACCACAUGUUUGAAACUUGAAUUCAGACUGUUAUUAUUAGAAGCACAUGUCAUGGGGUCUCUUCACUUAAACUUUUGGUCCCAUCCUCUUGCCUUCUGUCACCUGGAUCUUCGUAGCAACUUUGCUGAGUAAGGUUGAUGAUUGUAGUGCUACGUUAUUUGUCACUUUAGUCUGGAUAUAAAGCUUAAAAUCGUGUCGGAGGGUAAUAAUAUCAGUAAACUUUUGACAAAUCACUGAUCAAUUGAUCUUUUCAAGUCACUUAUAUCGUUUCCAUCGGAUUUGACGCCAUCAAACCUAAAUUUUUUCCAGUAAAAAAACUGUCUUACCCCAUCACACACGAUAGAAUCUUGGAUCAUGAAUGAGUGAUGUCAAUUACAAUUAAAAGAUUUCAGUCUCAAGACCUUAACCCAUUUAGGUUAUUGAGCGAACGACUUAUCAAAAUGAGAAAGCUACAAAAUAUGUGACAAUAGUAGGACAGGCUGACAGCAAAGAAAGCCAUCAGCUCUUGCAGUGUAUUCUGUUUUGCACUAAAAAUAUAAACCAGUGAUCACCUCUAGUUUAUCAAAUAAUCAUGAUUAAUGCUGUAAGGAAAGCUUAAAUAGUCUUUCUUCCUUGUUUGUAUUUGAUGUUAGUCAGCGCAACCAUUAUUAUUCUCACAUUGUGUGCUUUAACUAUGAUCUUCUCUAAUUAAAAAUUGAGAUCCUCUCUUAAAUAGAGUUUACACUUGAAAAAUAUGUCUACAUUACCAUUCAUGUAUUGUCAAAAUUUGAGCUUAAGAUCCAACUAUUUACAAAUUAUUAAUUAUAUUUGUUGGUGAAAGCAAAUUAAUUAGAAGAAUGUGACAAUAAGAAGAUAAAAAUACUUGCUCAAAUUCUUCGCCGUGGGCUCGCUUACAAAUCCACUAGCUUAGCUUUUAAUCACACACAUAAAUCUUCAUCAUCACUAGAUUAUCACAUAUUAUACAAUAAUCAAAGCUAAUUAUUGAAACCUUUCUUUCAAAGUGAAUAGGAAAAAUUAUUGAAACCUUCCGAGUUUGAAAAUGCCGGCAGCACUUGCAACUUCCAGGAACCUUCGUGGAAGUGUAGAUGCUUAGUACAUCCAACUGUUCCAUUAAAUUUAAAUGCCGAAAUGAUUUCGAGGACCCACACGACCACGCAACAGUUUUUUUAAUUUCAUUUUAUUUGUAUAUCUAUUUCUGAAAAAUAAAAAAUCAUAAAGUCCGCAAACUUAGGCUUUAUAGCAGAGUUAUUAGAAAAGCGCAAGAAAAUUCAAUGAAAAUUUAAAAAAAAAUAUCAUGAAGUCCGGCAACGGCAGCAUAGCACUUACUGUCCAAUUAACCUAUAACUUUGACACUAUUUACAUGCAACUAUAACCAUCUAUCUCAGUUAUUAAGAAUCUUGUUGACUUGGAAGCACGAGUCUUCUCCUUGUAUGAAUUUAGUUUGGCUUUUUUGCAUUAUUCAGAUGACCCUUGAGACUUGAGAUCACAACUGCCUGCCUCCGCAUUUUCCUAAUCAUCCCUCUUCUCUAAUCUCUAGAGUUCUCUGAAAUCUCUUCUUCAUUUUCUGUCUCCCUUUUCUGAAUCGUUCUUGUCCUCGAUCCUACACCUUCUUUGCAAAGCUUUCAUUUUCUGCCUUUACAAAGGAUCCCCUUUGUUUUAUCUCUAGAUUUUUCACUCUUUGCCUCUCCUCCUCCCUUAAAUCUAUUCAACCUCUUAUUUUAGCAAUUUAUCCAAACUUCUUAUUUCCCUCUUCCCAGCUGAUUGAUUAGUUCUGCUCAGUUUGAUUAGUUUUGCUUUCCCCUGUUUUCUGAAAGGGAAAAAUAAAAAAGAAAAGGAUAAUGGAAAUUGUUAUCUCCGUUGCUGCAAAAGUUGCCGAGUACUUCGUUGCUCCCAUAAUUCAUCCAUUUACUUACUGCUGCACUUAUAAGACCAACUUCGAAAAGCUGAAUAAUGAAGUUGAUAAGCUCAAGAAUGCUAGAGACAGUGUGCAGUAUAAGGUUGAUGAUUCCAGAAUUAAAGGGGACGGAAUCCAACUGCACGUUGAGGAGUGGCUGAUUGCUGCGAACAAGGAGAUCAAUGAAGUCGAAACACUUAUUGAAGGCAAAGAGAAUUCAAACAACCGGUGUUUGAAGGGGUUAUGUCCUAAUUUGAGGACUCGGUACCGGCUUAGCAAGAAAGCAGAAAGAGAGGCGAAUGCUAUUGUUGGACUCCAUGAAAAAGGGAGAUUCGACAGUGUUUCUUUCCGUACCAUUCCAGAGGAGACAUGGCUUAAGUCUACCCAGGAUUUCAUGCACUUUGAAUCGAGAAAGUCCACCUUGAAGGAGAUACUAGAUGCACUGAGCAACCGUAACUUCAACAUGAUUGGAGUGUACGGGAUGGGUGGGAUUGGAAAGACAACGCUGGUGAAAGAAGUUGGCAGGCAGGUCAAGGAAAAUAAUCUCUUUGAGAAGGUCAUUUCUUCACGUGUUUCACAAACACCGCAAAUAAAAAAUAUACAAGGAGAAAUCGCAGAGAAGAUAGGCUUAGAAUUGGCCGAACAGAGUCAUGAAACUGUAAGAGCAGGGAGGCUGCUUGAACGAUUGAAGAAAGAGACGAAGAUCCUUAUAAUCUUGGAUGAUAUUUGGGGGAGUAUGGAUUUGGAGGCGAUUGGAAUUCCAUUGGCAGAUGACAACGGCGGAUGUAAAGUUCUGCUGACAGCAAGAAGUCAGGAUGUGUUAUCUUGUAAGAUGGAUUGUCAACAUAAUUUUUUUGUUGAUGUUCUGAACGAAAAAGAAGCUUGGAGUCUUUUCAAAAAGAUGACAGGUGAUUGCAUAGAAAAUGGUGAACUGAAAUCUGUAGCAACAGAGAUAGUCAAGGAAUGUGCUGGUUUGCCCAUUGCCAUUGUACCCGUAGCAAGGGCAUUGAGAAAUAAGAGAUUGUCUGAAUGGAAGGAUGCUUUGCUGGAAUUUAGAAGGCCUUCCUUGAGAAACUUCACUGGAACAACGGAGGUGGCGUACAAUAGUAUAGAGCUAAGUUACAAUCAUUUAAACGGAGAGGAACUGAAGAAAACAUUUUUGCUAAUCGGGUACACGUUCUUCUCUUGUGUUGAAGACCUACUCUAUUAUGGCAUGGGUUUGGGUCUGUUUCAAAACAUCAACACGUUGGAAGAGGCACGGGAUAGAGCACAUACAUUGAUUGAUAAACUCAAGAACUCUUGUUUGUUGCUUGAUGGCGGUUCAAGUGAAUGGUUUUCAAUGCAUGAUGUUGUUCGUGAUGUAGCCAGAUCAAUUGCAUCAAGAGACCAACAUGUGUUUGUGGUGGAAAAUGAGGUUGUUCCGCUGACCAACUGGCCAGAUAAGGAUACACUGAAGGUUUGCACCGCAAUCUCCUUAAAUAAUAGUAAUAUUAGUGAGCCUCCUCAAGGGUUCGAAUGCCCGCAACUUAAAUUCCUUUGUAUUGGCCGUCAUGCUUCUUUGAGGAUCCCAGAUAAAUUUUUUACUGGGAUGACAGAGCUUAGAGUUUUAGAUUUCACUAUGAUGCAUUUAAAACCAUUGCCUUCAUCUCUUGGUCUCUUACAAAACCUUCAAACAUUGUCUCUCGAUGAUUGUGAAGUAGGAGACAUGGCCAUUAUUGGAGACCUAAAGAAAUUAGUUAUCCUUACGCUUCGAGGUUCUAAUAUGGAGGAACUGGCUGGAGAGAUAGGCCAGCUGACUCAAUUGAGGUUGUUGAAUCUGGGCAACUGUUUCAAUCUACAAGUUAUUCCACCAAAUGUCAUAUCAAGCUUAUCACGAUUAGAAGAAUUGUAUAUCGGUGAGAGUCCCAUUAUGUGGGGGAAGGUUGGAGGAGUCGACGGUGAAAGAAGAAAUGCCAGCCUUGAUGAGUUGAAUAAUUUAUCUAAAUUGACCUCUUUAGAAAUACUCAUCCAAGAUGAAAAGGCUCUACCAAGAGACUUGUCGUUCUUCAAAAUGCUGCAAAGGUACAGGAUAUUGAUAGGAAAUUGCAGGGAGUAUGGCGCAUGGGAUGGGAUUUCUAGAACGUUCAGACUGGGGCUCACAAAUGGUGACAACAUUUGCUUGAACGAGGGGCAUAUCAUGCAAUUGAAGGGUAUUGAAGGCCUAACUUUGGAUGGAUUGCCGGACAUUAAGAAUAUUCUUUGUGAACUAGGCAGAGAAGGUUUUCCACAGCUGAAUCGUCUCGAAAUCCGACGUAAUGGCAACAUUGUUCGUCUUGUUGACACAAUGGAUUGUACGCCAGCUCGGACGACUGCAUUCCCACUUUUGGAGUCAUUAUUUCUGAGAGAUUUAAGGAACCUUGAGGAAAUAUGUCGUGGUCCACUCACACCAAAGUCUUUUAGCAAAUUAAAGACCAUAAGGGUGGAAGGGUGUGAUAAAUUGAAAAAAGUAUUUCCAUUGGUCAUUGGCAGAGGCCUUCAACAACUUCAGUCCGUUAAAGUGAGUAGUUGCCAAAAUAUGGAAGUGAUUUUUGCUGCCGAGAGAGGAGAUGAAUCCAGCAAUAAUAACGGUACUGAAGUGAUUGAACUCACUCAAUUAAGGACACUUGAGCUUCGUUCUCUUCCGCAGCUUACAAGCUUCGGCACAGGAGAUCUGCAUUUUGAAAAGGUAUUUCUACUUUUGAGAGUUCAGAGUUUUAUUGUCGUCAUCGCCCUCAUCACUUCGUCUUUUAGAAACAAAAUGUUAGUUCUAUAAAUCAGUUUAUUUAAUUAUACUUUAUAAUAUCCUUAUAAACAUAAUUAUCACUCUUCAGUAAUUCUUCUCAUUAUCGAAUAUUGAAUUGGCUACAACCAUAGAUGGAUUUGGAUGUCAGUUAGACCGAAUAAAAAAAAAAAGAAAAGAUAUUUAUACAACCAUGAUAACAGAAAUAGUGGCAGAUGAGGAUGAUGAGGGAGAUAAUUAUGCAGCAAAAGAUGAAAUUGUUUUCAGCGAAUUAAAGGAAUUGUUGCUUUGGGACUUAAAAAGUCUGACUAGUUUCAGCUGCUCUGGGAAUAAUUGCGACUUCAAAUUCCCAUCUCUAGAAAGAUUAGUGGUGGAAAAUUGCCCCAAUAUGAAGAUUUUCUCAGAAGGGGAAUUAAGCACACCCAAGUUACAGAAAGUGCAGCUGAGCGUGUUUGAUAAUAAACUUUGGGCUUGGGAUCGGGACCUUAAUACAACCAUUCAAUACCUUAAUACAACCAUUAAAAGAAAAAAGGUAAGUAUUCAUUCACUAUGAGAUGUUGAUUUUUUUUUUAAAUUACUGAUUUAAUAACAGAUAUAUAUAAAAAAGUAAAAAGAAAAAAAUACAUAUUAAUUUUUUUAUAAAUUCAUUUUAAAUCUGAAUAGGAAGAGGAGGAAGAAGAGAAAGAGAAGUCUGCCAAGGCGAAUGAAAAGGAGAAAGAUGCGAAAGACAGUGGUAAGAUAAAAUCUAUACAAUUUAGGAGGUUUUGAUUUGAUUCUAUUUUGCUGACUAAAAAUGUUUUAUUUAUGUUGAAUUUUUUGUUAUACGUAUUUUACUCUUUGUCUACAGAGUCUCGAAACUUAUGAAGACGAUUCAUGCUACUUGUGCAGCAUUUUGGAUAAGGCUCGAGCUCGAGUUCUUUGUAUAUAUUGAGAGUCAGAUGGUGUUGGUGAGAGGAUUUUUUGUUUCAGUUUUCAUUCAUUUUUAUGCUUUUAGCUUUGUUUGAGUGCUCAGAAAUCCAAUUUGAAUUUAGUUUUAUUUCUUAUGGAUGGUGUCCAAGAUCUGCCAUAUUCAAUUUGUAGGCAUCUGAAAAUCUCUUUAAGCCCUAAAUUAAUUAAAGAGAUGUGUGCAUCAUAUUUGUGUUCGUACACCUAUUGGUAUUUUUUGGAGACAAUUAUGUAAGAAAUUAUGUAAUUUCAUGAAAAUAUGAAGAUUUUAUAUAGAAAAUUAUGGAAAAAUAAAAGUUUACGGGUCGAUUGCUGUUGACAAGUUCCUCCAUUUACAUUAUUAUUAAUUAUUUUUGUUGGUGAAAGCUAAGAUUAGAAGAAUGCGACAAUAAGAAGAUUAAAUACUUUGACAAGUUCCUCCAUGUUCAUUGUAGUAGAUAUUCAACAAAGAUGAUAAUACAGCAACAGAAAUUGGAGUUUUAAGCCAUCAGACACAAACAAUUGUGAAACAAGUGGGUAGAGGGAAUAAUAAAAAUCGAAAGACAUGGAUGGGAAGAAUAUGAGAUCAUUGAUAGAACCUAAAUACAAAUUCAAUCAAUUCAUUAAGCCAUCAAAAGUUAGUUACAAACCACUCUAUCUUAACAUAUGUAAUUUACCAUCAUCUAAAACCACUAUAUCCUAACAUAUGUAAUGUACCAUUAUCAAUUUUCGCUAUGUUAUGUCUGUAUAGCCUAAUAUGUUUGGCUUGGUUUUGUCUAAUAUGUUUAGCUUGGUUUUGUAUCCUUUCCAAACAUAUGAAUAUUUACUCAAGCGCAUGUUUGGGCCAUCUGAACAUUGAGUGGUUUGAUAUCUCUGCAGCGCAUGUAGGUCAGAAACUGACCAGGCAGCUCCUCCAAAAGUGCUUGUACAACAGAAAUUUGCCCACCUGUUCAGAAAACAAUGGGUUCGUUUGUUCAGGCAUGAAAAAAUUCAGAAACUUUUGUGAAUUAACUCCUAAAUUCAAUAGUUUGAACUAAUUUUGUCAAUGAAUCAUAUGCACUCACUAUGAACUUCUUGCAUUGGAACAAAUUGUACUAUAUCUCUGGUAGCUACCCGAUCGGUAGAGCUCUCUAAUCUACGGCCAUUAUCAGCAUCAAGAAUCUGCCAACAAAGUUAUCAGCGUCAAGAAUCUGCAACAAAAGUGGGAUAAUACCACACUGCAUAUAUACUCUAAAUUGAAUCUAUCAAACUAUAGAAAAAAGAAGUUCAAUGCUAGUAAGAAGAUAUUCCAGUUGGAAAACAUUGCGUACCUCCAUUUGUGUAAAAUCUGCACCUCCCACACCCACAAUUAGAAUUGACAGGGGAAGAUCAGAAGCCCUUACCAAAGCAUCUUUCGUUUCUUGGAGAUCUGUCAGAACUCCAUCCUAGAUAGACCAUGCAAAUUUACAAAUCACCCAAAAAGAAUGAUAGAAAGAGAAAACUGUGAAUAUAUAGAAUCAUUGUAAUCACCGUUAUAAUGAGUAAGACGAAAUACUUGCUUCUGUCGUAUGAGAGGGAUUGUCCAGCAAUUCGUGCAGCUGUGUUGAUCACUUGACCAAACAGAGUCGGUCCUGCCAAAGAAACAUUGUUUAGAGCGCUUGCAUAAGCAGCCAUAAUGCCUUCAACUCCAUCUACCUAUUAAAUAAAGAAACCAGCAGUUAAUAAAAAAAAUGGAAGAGGAUAAAAUAUACAUCUUUUAGGAUAAAAUUCCAAGGAAAUUUUCAGAAAAUGUAGAAACAUAUUAUAAUGUUUGUUAUUAAAAAUGAAAAGUUAUGGGAGACAAGCCAACCAAAUAAGGAUUACAGCAAAGUAGCGAACUCCAGUUACCCCUACCUCAAAGCCACCUGCUCUUCCAUUCAAGUUAAAACAAUGUGAUACAGUGCCAUCAAAUGUCUUCCCUCCAAAUCCCCAUGCAAAAGCGUCUAUCAGAAUCAUAAAAUUGUAUGACCUCCCCAAUUUCCGUUAUUGCCUGUAAAUGGUUUAAGUGGCCAAUAACUAAUCAGUGAUAUUCUCUCUCAACUUCUACGAACUAUUGAAAUAUCUAUUUCCCUAUGACGGCCAUAGAAAGACUUGAAAGUCACAUGCAUUUUCUAAGUCGAAAACACUGGACAAAAUGACCAUUUUAUGACCUUCAGAGUUCAGAGAUCACUUGUCAAAAUGUGAGUCAUAACAAAACCUUACCUGCUGGUAAGAAUUCAAUCUGCCUGAAGGAUCAAUAUAGUGCAAAGAAUUUGGAUUUCGAGGAUUUCCAUUUGAAGCUGGAUGAUUUUGCAUUUAACGAGAGGCAAGAUGAAGUUGGACCAAAUAAGAGGAAAUAAACAAAACAAACCGAUUAUAUUGCCAAUUUAUCUUCAACAAGCAAUCUCUUUCUAAUUACCUGUAAAGUCGACUGCAACCAUAAAAUUCAACUCAAAGCCACUAGAUAUGUAAUCCAGAAAACUAUAUUGCUCUUUCUCAACAAACUUUUCAACAAACAACUGACUUUUCAGAACCUAGGAAAAAGUCAGAUAAAAAAUAAAGUGAUAUUAAAUUAUCAAAAACCGUAAGCAUGAACAAACACCUUUGGUGGAGUUAAAACAAAAAAGAAUAAACACCUUGUCAUGGCCACGUUGAGUUGAUGGUAACAUAAAAGUUGCACCAGUUCUUUCUUGAUGAAGUUUCUCAAGGUCUCCAACUGAUUUCUGAAUUUUACUAAUAACAGAAAUAGAAAACCUUGACAUCAGAAAGGCAAAAGGAUAAAAGAGGGAAGCUGAUGACAUUAAGAAAUUUAACAGUUACCCCAUCAGUACGUGAUUUCCACUGGUAUUGAAAUCAAAACAUUCAAUGAUUAAUGGGUUUUCCUGUACCAAAGAGAAUCAUAAACUAAAAAACAUUUCCCCAUGACCAAACUUCACUACCUAAUAUACAUUUAAGUAACAAGCACAAGAAGAUGAUAAGGUUACCUUGCUCACAAAUUGCUGCAUGCUCAAAGUUAUUGGUCUCCAAAUGGGAUUCAAGUUAUUGUUUAUCACCUCCGUCUUGUAGAUAGGAACAGAAUUUCCACUCUCAACAAUUCUAGAUAUUCUUAAGAAUGGAUCCUAUAGAAUAUAAGAAGAAGAAGAAUGAGCAUCUAAAUUAAUAGAUUAAUUAGUGAACCUCCAAACUUAGCUACUUUGUCAGAACUUACACUUUUGGAAAACAGGUCUACAUUUUGCAAAUGUGAGCAACGGAAUGCUAUUUCAACAGCACUCUUGGAAGCAACCGUUUCCUCAGCAUGGACAGAGAGUGUCCCAAAGUUUCUUGAAACUCGAAGUCCAUAAUUGUUAUGGAGUUUUAAGGUUAAAGUUCGAUUUUGUUUGGUCACUAUCUGCCAUUUAAAAGGAAAAUAUGACACUUGUUAGUGCAAAAGAAGAAUGCUAAAGAAGAAGACGAAUGCUAGUAAAAAGCAUCUGAGAAUAUUUUGCCCUUUUUUUGAUAGGAAACAGAUUUUUACAGAAAAUUAGAUGGGCAUAUUUUGCCCAUUGAAUAAAGAGAAUACAUAAAUUCAUCAAACAAAAUAUAACCCAGAAACUUACCUCAGAGAGAACACAGCUAGCUUCUCCCAGGAAGUCUUGAUCCUCCAACUUUAGCAUCUGCAGGGCAAUGUAAAUAAGAAGUUUGAGCUUUAAACUUCACACUUCAACAAAUAUUUUGUCAUGAGAUAAUAAUGACUUGAAAGUAAUUAGGGAUCACUGCAGCAAAGAAUCAAAAGAACACUAGAUUUCCUACUUAAUGUCUUAGAAUCCAUCUGGAUUUGUUCAUUUUCUCUUUCCACUGGUAUAAAUUUACAUAUUUAUCAUUUUUCCCAGUAAUGUUAAUACCAUUUACAAUUGACAUAAAUAAUCAUCACAUUUUUAGAUUAUCUAACUGUUUUCAGCAAAUGCUUCCAAAUGAUUACAGUUUCUAGGAUUAUAACCAUCAAAAAAUUUUCAUUUUGACUCAAAUUCCACAGACGAAUACAUCAUAGGCUCUAAAGAUUUACUUAUCCAUUUCAAUACUGACAAUAUGGUCAUUUUUUACAGAAACUUCUUUAGGUCAUGGCAGCAACUAUUUAACUGUAUUGUUUUUAACAACAUAGAUCAAAAUUCCAUUUUGGAAAAAAGAAAAUUUAUCCGUAAGGACCAUCAGAAAAAUUGUUCUUUCCCAGUUAUGGUAGCAGGACAAAUAUGUCAAACCUUGCAAGAUGCAAUAGCAGAAAGUUCCAUAAUAACUACCCUGGCCUUAAGAUUUGUUUAUGGUAUAUGACAGCCAACUUUUUAAGUUUCUUUCCAUGCUAAAUGUUAGUUUAUAAUCAAUCAAGUAUUCCCAAAUUUCCCGAAAUUGAUAGAAACUAUUGCUGAUGCAAUUUAGUUUAGACGUAUGCUUAGACAACAAAUGGAUCAGUCAAAUGCCUUGGCUAACUCUAAACUUUGGAACUGAAGUAUGUGCGUAUCAUUUACAUCUGAAUUGAGAGAAAAAAAAAUAAUUAAGAAAUUUUAUACCUUCACUGGAAUAUUGUGGUACUUGGUAUCCACAUCAUACACACGAAAGCUGGAAAAAGAAGAAAAGCAUUAAGAAAUUCGAAAACAUUAAAUAUUAUCAAAUCAAGCAAGGCUUAAGCGCAUGACCUAUCAAGAAAAAAAAAACUUUAAAAAGAACACACUAAAAACUUACACCAAGGGCUGGACGAUCUCAAACUGAAAAGCAAUUGAAAUCUUUCCAAUCCAAGCAGGAUUCAAAUUGUUCAUAAUCACCUCUGUACGUCCAAUCUCGUCCAGCCUCCCAUCUCUUUUCUUUGCAUACACAACUGCCGUGGGAUCACUCUAUGACACAAAAAGACAUGUAAAUACAUUUGCUUGUGAAUAUAAAAAUAAUAAAAAAAAAAACAGAAGGCAUAUGGGUAUGUAUCCACUUAUGUCAUAUAAAUAUAGACAUAUAUUAGUUAAAUAACUUUAGUUGUCAUAUAAAUAUAGACAUUUAUUAGUUAAAUAACUUUAGUUAGUAAUCCAUCGUUAAAAUACAGCAGCAUUUUAUGUAUGCUAGUAUCAGCCAGUAAAAAGAUAUACGGCUGAUAAAUGUUCAUUAUCAAAGAAUUUUAUCUUGCACAUAUAACAUAUUUGACUAGUGCUCAAAAUUGCAAAAACAAUAAAACCACCAACCAUGACUUGUUAUACAUUAUCUGGAACUCUCAAGUUACUGCUCCUUACUGGAUUACAUUGGAGAUAGACAGUGUAUAUAACAAACUAUUCUUCUUUGUCUAAGUUUAGAAUUUUGGUGCCAGCACUAAGCGUUAUUAAGAUCAUAUAUCCCUAGACCCUUUAUGAACAGAGAAAGGAAAUUGACAGGGCCAUUAUGAACAAAUAAGCAGAUCAUAUAAGGAGGAUACAAGAUAACAUGAGAAUCAAUCACCAAGACUAUCAACAGCAUGAACAUGGCAUUAUCAGACAUAAGACAACAAUAAUAUGAAGGCGUACCUUUGAUGCGAUGUCAAGAUCACGUAACUUUGAAGCAGAUAAAGAUAACUGCAAUAUAUAUUCAAAAACAUAAGAACGAAUACAGAUACAUGAAAAAGCAGAAAAGGAGUAAUCCAUGCAUAUGCUGCACGAAAUGAAAAUUGUCAGUACGAUGUGGGUCAACUGACAGGCAAUAUAUAUCUGUCAUAAACAGAACAUGCAGAAAACCAUCAUUUCGGAUUCUGACAAUCACUUCUAAUAUUAAAUCUUAUAAGCAGGCAAUAAUAUAUGUAAUUAAGUUUUAUAUAACAACAGGAUGUGACACGUCAAUUACAAGCAUUGAACCACAUUUAAUUUGUUAUCAUAUGACUUGUUUCCUUUUCUCCAGGAAAGUUUCCAAGGAGAUCCUCAGGUAAGGUCCACAUCAAUACAGGAAUAUUACAAUUACUUGGUGGUCCAUGUUAUGGAAAGACAUUCUUAUCCUCGUAACAACAUAAUCCUUAAUCCACAAUUUUUUAUAAAGUUAAUGGUUUGUCUUAUGCAAACCAGCAUUCACAAAAUCAUGUUCCAUUCAGGAGAGCAUUAUCAUGGGGAAUCUUCACAGUGGUACAAGUCAAAUUUGAUCACGAGGGGUAUGAGUCAAAUUUGAUAAAUGAGGCAUAACAGAAUAGUCAACUUUGAGGAUACACAGGAAAACCACUGUGCAUUCAACAGGAUCAAACAUCAACUUUCUCAACGUUCACAAGGCCUUUGUGCAUUCAACACCAUUCUUUUUUUAUUUACGUUAUCCAAUCUUAAUCUAAAAUUCACUUCACAGAAUGUUGUCAUUGGGUAUAAGCAGUUAAACUUACUGUUCUCCCUAUGCAAAACAAAAGCAGUUGCUUGGUGUGAAACCGUCAAACCAACACCAGCAAAAGAUCAGCCACAAGAAAAAAAAAAAUGCUUCUCAAAGAAGCACUUGACAGGCGAAUAUUCUUUUGAGAAGGUGCUUAACUCCUUUGUCCUUUGAAGAAGCACCAAGUAAAAUAUUCGCCCUCCAAAAUUCCGAAUACUUCUCUUACAUUAUUAAAAAAAGGCAUGUUUGGAAUUGCAGUUGAUUCUUGAAUAAGAAUUUACUCCCGAUUAUGUUCGAAUUAUCAAAUAAUUUUUAUCAAAUAUAAACAAUUUAAGUUGUUCUUUUAGGGAUGUUACACUGACAAGUCAUCAAAGAAGUAAUAAUAACAAACAUAAUUUGGGUAUAGAUUUUCAAACGAGUGACCAUUUGAGAAUCCAUCACAAUUACAGAAACCAACGAAGUCAGAUUUAAAAAAGUAAAAUAAAAAAUUAUAAAUAAAUUAAAAAACAUAAACUAAUCAUAAAUUUACAAAUUUUUAAUUAAUUAAUUAAUUAAUUAACUGAAAAUAGUUUAUUAAUAGUGGCAGCGAAAGACUCAUAUAAAUUCAGGUAUACAGAUAUACCUCGAUUUGGGUGAAAAGGGCUUGAAGACCGCGAGAUUUGAAGAAGAAAUCAACGGCGUCGUUUUGUCCAGAAACAUUGUUCUGAUCAGCCGCGGUGGUGGGCCGAAGCUGGGCCCCACCUACGGCUUGUUUCCCUCCCCUCACAUCACUCCCAGACAAACAUAAUCCCAUCUGUUUUUUUUUUUCUCUCUCUCUGUCUUUAUUCUCAAGAGUACGGAGUCUCACUGUUCGGUCGAUGUUCUUUAAUCGCUCAAAUCCGUAGCCUCUGACAGAGAACUGGGGCGGGGCUUUACUUUUGCCCUCUAUUUAUAGGCUUCUGCGCUUGAGUCGUAUUUGAAUUUGACUCUGUUUCUGCUGCGAAAAUGUCAAGAAAAAAAAAAAAGUUUUUUUUUUUUUGUAUUUGAAUUUGAAUACUUCUAGGGGGAUUGAUGAUGGAUUGUUUUACUGUAUUUGGAAGUUGGAACGUUUAGGCCCACCUAAUUAUCAUUAAUAAUAGAUAGUUAUAUCAAAAUUUACCAACUUCAUUUUAGCUAUGAUAUUAGCUUGCGCACUAUGAAAUGAUUAGGUUUUGUAAAUUUUUUUUUUUUUUUUUACAGUAUCUUAGAGAAUAAGUUUCCAUUGUAUGUAACCGGCUAGAGCCCCUCCCUCACAAAUGUGAGGGAAGGGGUUCGAGCCUCCGCAGUCGCAUUGUAGGGGUUUAAUUUAAAUAUCCUUCCUUGUAGCCCUUGAGCUCGAGUGAAGGCAGUCUUUCUCCCAGGAUGGGAGUUUGACAUCCCUCGAAUAUUUGAGAGGGUUAAAAAAUCUUAGCGGUGCCAUAUCAGCAUUAAUGUCAACAGAGCUCAGUAUAAAUAUAUGAUUGUACAUAUCAAUUAUACUCUCAUGUAAUAUGAGUUAAGCCCUUGAGCUCGAGUGAAGGCAGUCUUUCUCCCAGGAUGGGAGUUUGACAUCCCUCGAAUAUUUGAGAGGGUUAAAAAAUCUGAGCGGUGCCAUAUCAGCAUUAAUGUUUAAGACAAAUUCUAGAAUCUAAAGUAAAGAAUCGGUAAAUUUAUAAAGAAAUAUGAAGAAACAGCAAGGUAUUGAAGAAUUCAAUUUCUCAUUAUAUUUGGACAUUUGGACGUCAUUAAUGUUAAUUGAUUUUUUUCCGCGUAAAAAAGUUUCGGAUUUAUUUUGUUCCUCCAAACGCCAUUCAUUGGAAAUAAGUUUAUUUUUCUGACAACUUCAACUCAUAAAUUUUAAUUAUUUUGUUAUAAUAAUAGUACGAACAAUUCUAUGUAUUACGAACAAAAAAAAAAAAGAAUCUUAAUUUUAUAUCAUAUAUAAUUAUAUAUAUAUAGACUCAAUAAGAGUAUUAUUUAUCAUGUAAUUUAUUAAACUAAUCUCACCUAAAAAGUUGUUGAGAAAAGACAGUAAGUUAAUAAAUAUUUCGUCUUCCCCAAGGUUUUUGAUUAGAAGAAUGACUUGAUAUGGCUGAUAUUGAUAAAUUAAAAAGGGAAAAAUAAUAAACAAUGGAGGAAUUUUCAAAUUAGGUCAACAAUCGUAGUCUAUUUUAUUUCGUAAUAAUGGCAAUGACGAAGCCCUUAUAACAUAAGCUUGCAAACGUAAUCAAGAUAUCCGUGGAAAACAAGCAACAAUUCCAAUGGGGUGGAAUAAAAUGUCUAAUAUUUAAAUUUUUUAUUUCAAUUUCUGUUUAUAUAAUUUAUUUAAUUUAUAAUAAAGAUGAAUAAUUAAAUAAAUUUUAAAAUAUCUUAAAAUAAGAAUAAUACUAUAAAAUUAUGAUAAAUGAAAGUUAUUGAUUAUUAUGAAAACAAUAAGAAGAGAAAUGGUAUGUAUUAAUUUCUACAUGAAGGAAACUGCCAACCUCCCUUUAAUAUGUUGUGACAAUCAUUAGAAUUUCAAUAAAAUGAUAAACUCCUCUACAUAAUCGAUAGUCAUUGAUCACGUACGUGUACAUUUAAGUUGGAAAAAAGAAGAAGAAGAUAAUUCAAGUAUAAUAAAAUCAGAAUGCGUAUGUCAUAACUAAUUUCACUAAAUGGUUAUAAUACGUUUUAUGCACUUGAGAUUUUCUCAAAAUGAGAAAAGAAAAAGGCUCAUUAGUCACUCCUAUAUAUAUGUGUGUGUGUGCGCGCGCGCUUAAACUUAACUCAGGAUAAUCUAUAUUAUAUAGAACGUAAAAUUGAGUUACGUAUAAAAACGUAACUCAAGUGUCACAUUAUACGGCGCGCUUAAACUUUGAUAAUCUAUAUUAUAUGCCCAUAAAAUCAAGAAUUUUACAAUACAUUAAAACCAAUACAAUCAUCUAAUGUAUAUAUAAUAUAUAUAGUUAAAUUUGAUAUAAUCAUCAAUUGCAUGAUAAUUUUACAAAAUAUAAAUAUUAUCUAUUUGUUGAAUGACUAACUUUGUAGUAUGAUGUUUAUAGAAUUUUUCCGUAAAAUCAUUAUUGUAAUGAGGAUUGUUGAGGGACGUGUUAUUAAUGAAAAGGACUGCACAUGUUAUCCAAUAAUUGAGACACUUGUCUUGUUAGAGGACAUUUUCAAAGAUUAAAGGUAUAGAAGCCAUUUGCAAAAUUUCCAAGCGUGGAGAACAUGCAUGCAUGCACGUGGAAUUCCAUGCAUAAAAUGAUAAAAUACUCGUCAAGUCUCACCUUAAAUUGUAGUUUCUAUCGUUUGCAAAGAAGUUUCAUUAUUUAGGUUGUGUUUGGGAUUGAAGUUGGGCAGCUGUAGCUUAAAAACUACAGUACUAAAGUGUUUGGUAAACACUAGCUGCUGUAACUUUUAAGCUAUAUUGAUAUGAUUUUUCACUUGUAUAAUACAAAAUCUAUUAUAUCUUUAAUAAUUUUAUCAAAAUUAUUAUUUAAAAUUUAUAUUUACUAUAUAUUAUUAACUUUUAUUUCAUAAUUACAGCUUGUUUUUCACAACAGCUGUAGCUUAAAAGCUACAGCACCUCAAUCCCAAACGCACCCUUAAUUUCCAAAUCUUGGGUCGUGCCGCCUCGUACAUGAAUAAGAUUACUUGCCACGAUUACCAAUUUUUUAUCACUUUAUUAAUUCCUUUUCUUCCUAUACAUGAAUCUUGUUAAAUUUUACUUGCUAUUUUACUUUUUUUUUUUAAUUUUAAAUUCUUUUCUAUAUCAUACUUUGAAUCUUGUUUAAGGAAUCUUUGUAUUCUUUUGUCCGCAUGUCAUGUGCAACACAAAUAAUAUUUUACGUUACACUUGAUAUUCAUUCAUAUAAAUUAAUCAAGGAUAAGAUAUAUAUUGCCAAAUUGAUUAAAAUAAUUAUUAAUUUAAAAUUAAUAAUUUUUUUAUCCAUAACACUGAUAAUAAAGUCCGAUUAUAUAUAGGCAUGCACACUUUUUCCAUGGGGGAUUGAUAAUAAAAUUUUAUAGUGGGUAAUUAGGUGCAACCGUGUUGGUAGAUCUACCUACCUAAUAUUAAUUAAUGAUUGAAAAGAAGAACAUUUAGUUCAUAAUUAAACCAAGAUUGAAUCUUUUUUUUUCUGUUUUUCUUUUUUAAAUGACAAAUGAGAGAUGAAUUCAAAUUAAUCAGGAAUUUUUAUCCGUUAUUUAUUAGAGUUGUGCUAGUAUUUUUUUUUUUUUAAAAAACUACUAAUUACAACAACCUUAAGUAAAACCAACAUAUAUUAUAUAGGUCAUCAUGUGAGCACAGAAUCCGACAUUCCUUUGAGACUUAUAUCUCUCUCAAAUUAAAAUACCGCAAACAAGAAUAUUAAACAAAGUAAUAAUCAAAAGGGAUAUUAUCAUUUUACUACUAAAGUUUUUCUGACAUAUCAAGUCAGUAUUAUGCUUUGGUAAAAACUACAUUUUACUACCAAACAUUUAAUUUAUUAUCACUUUACUACUUUUCCGUUAAAAAUAAGUUAAUAUUUAACGGAAUAUGAGUUAAAAGACUAUUUUAGCCAUGAAAAGAAAAGAAAUAACAAAAAAGAAAACUACAAAUUACUGUAGCACGCAUCCAUUGUAAUGUGUAACACCGUAUCACGUUUUUUGUCCUUAUUGUAAAGUGUCGUUAGAUGUAAAACGAUUGAAUCCAACGAUCAAAAUCGCUUAAUAGAUUAUUGAGGCAUGAACUGUCAACCGUUGAAGCCAGUUAUCAUCAGAACCUUUCUCCAACUCUUGAUCCUCAUUCUCCUCUCCCUGACCAUUAACUUUUUCUCCAGACCUCUCCUCUGACCUGGUCUCACCCUCAUUGCUAUCAGAUUUCUUCUUACCAUCAUCCGAAUCAGAUUUGUUGCAAGCAAUUAAUUUAUUCCCACAACUGGCUUUUGAGUGCGAAGUAGAAGAAAGCUAAGUACAAUCACACUCACAAGGCAAGCAUUUCUUCAAACCGAAUUAUUUCCCACAUCACACAUCCAAUGACAGAGUCCCCUGGUUUCUCUAUACGGCUUUCCCCUUAAUCAUUUUAACAAACAGCUUCAAUACACAAAGAUUAGAGCAAAAAAAGGAAAAAUAAUGGCUAUGUCAACGCUAGGUGAUGACGAAUUAAUGAAAACUAGUUGCCGAGGCAACUCUUGAGAGUCAAGAGUCGCCACGCAAACACAAUCGUGGUCCCUUUUUGCUGUAUAUGUAGAAAAAAAAAAAGAAGAAGCAAGCAGCACGUGGUGGGAGAAAAGAAAAGGUGGGAGAAAUCUUUUAUAAAAAAAAAAGAGAGAAAAGAAAAGUUAGAGAUUUGGCUUUGCAAAGAUGUAGGGUCCUGUGUGUGUUUGUGUUUUGUUUGUUGCUUCUUGUGCUUGGUUGACCGUGAGAGAGAGAGGGGCCGUGAGAGAGAGAGAGCGAUCGGAGAUGGAGGGUUACAAUUUGGGAAUAAAUUUUCAAACGAGCGACUAUUUAAGAAUACAUCACAAUUACAAACAUGAACGAAGUCACAUUUAAAAAAGUAAAAUAAAAAAUUAUAAAUAAAUUAAAAAACAUAAACUAAUCAUAAAUUUUUAAUUAAUUAAUUAACUGAAAAUAGUUUAUUAAUAGUGGCAGUGAAAGACUCAUAUAAUUCAGGUACACACAUAUACCUCGAUUUGGGUGAAAAGGGCAUGAAGGCCGCGAGAUUUGAAGAAGAAAUCAACGGCGUCAUUUUGACCAGAGACAUUGUGGUGAUAAGCCGCGCUGGUGGGCCGGAGGUGGGCCCCACCUACGGCUUGUUUCCCUCCCCUCACAUCACUCCCAGACAAACAUAAUCCCAUCUGUUUUUCUUUUUCUCUCUCUCUCUCUUUAUUCUCGAAAAUUAAAAAAUUAAUCGAAAAAAUUUACCUAAAAGUUUUUGCAAGUUUGUGUCAAGAGUACGGAGUCUCACUGUUCGGUUGAUGUUCUUUAAUCUCUCAAAUCCGUAGCCUCUGACAGGGAACUGGAGCGGGGCUUUAUUUAUAGGCUUUUUGCGCUUGAGUCGUCGUAUUUGAAUUUGACUCUGUUUCUCCGGCGAAAAUGUAAAGAAAUUUCUACUUUUUAAUUCAAUUGUUUUUUCAUGAGGAAAAAAAAAAGUUUUUUUUCUUAUCUAAAAGAUUUUGUCUUUUCCUUUUCCUCUCCAAAAUAUAGAAUAAUGUAGAUGAUGGAUUUUUUUACUGUAUUUGGAACGUUUAGGUCCACCUAAUUAUCAUUAAUAAUAGAUAAUUAUAUCAAAAUUUACCAACUGAUUAGGUUUUGUUAAUUUUUUUUUUACAGUAUCUUAGAGAAUAAGUUUCCAUUGUAUGAAGACAAAUUCUAGAAUUUAAAGUAAAGAAUUGGUAGAUUUGUAAAGAGAUAAAACAAAUUCUCCGGCGAAAAUGUAAAGAAAUUUCUACUUUUUAAUUCAAUUCCUUUUUAAUGAGGAAAAGAUUUUGUCUUUUCCUUUUUCUCUCCAAAAUAUAGAAUAAUGUAGAUGAUGGAUUGUUUUACUGUAUUUGGAACGUUUAGGCCCACCUAAUCAUUAAUAAUAGAUAAUAAUUAUAUCAGAAUUUACCAACUUCAUUUUAGCUAUGAUAUUAGUUUGCGCACUACCAAAUGAUUAGAUUUUAUUAAUUUUUUUUAACCAUAUCUUAGGGAAUAAGUUUAUAAAGAAAUAUGAAGAAACAGCAAGGUAUUGAAGAAUUCAAUUUCUCAUUAUAUUUGGACAUUUGGACGUCAUUAAUGUUAAUUGAUUUUUUUCCGCGUAAAAAAGUUUCGGAUUUAUUUUGUUCCUCCAAAUGCCAUUCAUUGGAUAUAAGUUUAUUUUUCUGACAACUUCAACUCAUAAAUUUUAAUUAUUUUGUUAUAAUAAUAGUACGAACAAUUCUAUGUAUUAUGACAAAAAAAAAUAAUUUAAAUUUAUAUCAUAUAUAAUUAUAUAUAGAGCUAAUGCUAAGUUACAUGCAUGUAACUUACAACCUUUUCACAUAAAUAGUGAGUGAGCUCACAUCACUCACUAUUAAUGUGAGAGGGUUAUAAGUUACAUGCAUGUAACAUAGGGGAUCCUUAUAUAUCGGCUCAAGAGUAUUAUUUAUCAUGUAAUUUAUUAAACUAAUCUCACCUAAAAAGUUGUUGAGAAAAGACAGUAAGUUAAUAUUUCUUCUUCCCCAAGGUUUUUGAUUAAAAGAAUGACUUGAUAUGGCUGAUAUUGAUAAAUUAAAAAGGGAAAAAUAAUAAACAAUGGAGGAAUUUUCAAAUUAGGUCAACAAGUAAUCUUAGUCUAUUUAAUUUCGUAAUAAUGGCAAUGACGAAGCCCUUAUAACAUAAGCUUGCAAACGUAAUCAAGAUAUCCGUGGAAAACAAGCAACAAUUGCAAUGGGGUGGAAUAAAAUGGCAUUCACAGUCAACUACUAAGAUACUGAAGGUUCAAUCGUUUAAGGGUAUUGAUAGUUUCUCCCCCGUCGAAAUUUUAUGUAAAAUAUGUACACCUCUAUUGUUUUCAUAAUAGCUAAUAAUCUUUUGGUAUGAAAAGUUUAAAGGAGAGUAAAGGUAAAUGGGUCAUUUGCUUAAUAUUUUAUUUUGAAAAUAUAAAAUAUAUAUUUACCAUAAAAAAAUAUGUUUAAAGAUAAAAAAAAAUAAGAAAACUAUAUUCAUACUAAUUUUUUAUCAACACUGAAAAUUAUAUUUCUUAUUUCUAAUCUUUAAAUUUUUUUAUUUCAAUUUCUGUUUAUAUAAUUUAUUUAAUUUAUAAUAAAGAUGAAUAAUUAAAUAAAUUUUAAAUAUCUUAAAAUAAGAAUAAUACUAUAAAAUUAUGAUGAAUGAAAGUUAUUGAUUAUUAAUUUCUACAUGAAGGAAACUGCCAACCUCCCUUUAAUAUGUUGUGACAAUCAUUAGAAUUUCAAUAAAAUGAUAAACUCCUCUACAUAAUCCAUAGUCAUUGAUCACGUACGUGUACAUUUAAGUUGGAAUAAAAAGAAGAAGAUAAUUAUAGUAUAAUAAAAUCAAAAUGCGUAAGUCAUAACUAAUUUCACUAAAUGGUUAUAAUACGUUUUAUGUACUCAAAAUGAGAAAAGAAAAAGGUUCAUUAGUCACUCCUAUAUUUAUGUGUGCGCGCGUGCGCUUAAACUUUGAUAAUUUAUAUUAUAUGCCCAUAAAAUCAAGAAUUUUAUAAUAUAUCAGAGACAAUACAAUCAUCUAAUGUAUAUAUAAUAUAUAUAGUUAAAUUUGAUAUAAUCAUCAAUUGCAUAAUAAUUUUACAAAAUAUAAAUAUUAUCUAUUUGUUGAAUGACUAUCUUUGUAGUUUGAUGUUUAUAGAAUUUUUCCGUAAAAUCUUUAUUGUAAUGAGGAUUGUUGGGGGACGUGUUAUUAAUGAAAAGGACUGCACAUGUUAUCCAAUAAUUGAGACACUUGUUAGAGGGAGAAGCCAUUUGCAAAAUUUCCAAGCGUGGGGAACAUGCAUGCAUGCACGUGGAAUUCCAUGCAUAAAAUGAUAAAAUACUCGUCAAGACUCUCCAUAAAUUGUAGUUUCUAUAGUUUGCAAAGAAGUUUCACUAUUUAAUUUCCAAGUCUUGGGUCGUGCCGCCGCGUACAUGAAUAAGAUUACUUGCCACGAUUACCAAUUUUUUAUCACUUUAUUAAUUCCUUUUCUUCCUGUACAUGAAUCUUGUUAAAUUCAACUUGCUAUUUUACUUUUUUUUUUUUUUAAAUUUUAAAUUCUUUUCUAUAUCAUACUUUGAAUCUUGUUUAAGGAAUCUUUGCAAGGAUAAGAUAUAUAUUGCCAAAUUGAUUAAAAUAAUUAUUAAUUUAAAAUUAAUAAUUCCUUUAUCCAUAACAGUACUGAUAAUAAAAUCCGAUUAUAUAUAGGCAUGCACACUUUUCCAUGGAGGAUUGAGAGUAAAAUUUUAUAGUGGGUAAUUAGGUGCAACCGUGUUGGUAGAUCUACCUACCUAAUAUUAAUUAAUGAUUGAAAAGAAGAACAUUUAGUUCAUAGUUAAACCAAGAUUGUUACAGAAAAGGGAAAAGACUAAGACAGUGCUCAUGAAGUGGAUAGAAAUAACAGAGAAAGAAAUAGCUAUAUACAAUAAAAUAUUUCUCCUAUAUAGCCAUAUAUACUUUAUAUACAAAUAAAAUAUUUCUCCUAUGUAGUCAUACUUUAUAUAGAAAUAAUUUUUAUUUAAUUAUAAAAAAGAUUUAAUCUCAAUUUAAGUUAGUUAUUAAUUUCAUACUCAAUUAAUGACACAUCAUUUGGAAUAACUUUUUGGGAUAAAAAAUUUGGGAUGUGUAGCACUACUGUCUAUGCUCUAUAUUAUAAUAAGUUAUAAUUUUUUAAGUCUUGUCUAAAAAGAAUUUGUCCCCGCAUAGUAAUUGUAUUUGUAUAUUGCAAAAAAGUAUAGACUCUUUUUUUUUAAUUAAGCCUACCUUUGCUAUCAAUUUCUGACAUAAUCCAGUAAUUAAUUAUUAAUAUAGUAAAUAUUUUACCUCUAAUUUAAUUACACGAAGGAUAACUAAGUGAAAACGAUAAUUUCUGUAACUAUAUCUUUACUAAGUUAAUUAUAAUAUUCUCGUAUUAAUAAAAUUAACUUACCCCAAUAUUAUGAUUAUAGAGAAAUUGGACUAUAUUUGCGAAUUUUGAAAAUGAUGGUCAUGACUUAUGUGCUCAAUCUGUGAUUUUACGUUGAGGUUGAUAGAGCUGAACCAUCAAAAACGUUUAAAGCAUAUUGUCGUUAGUCUUUGUUUCCGAAUAGACAAAAGUGUCAAAUACUAUGUUUAUCAAUAAGAACAUUAUUGAAUCUUUUUUUUUUUCUUUUUUAAAUGACAAAUGAGAGAUGAAUUCAAAUUAAUUAGGAAUUUUUAUCCGUUAUUUAUUAGAGUUGUGCUAGUUAUUUUUUUAAAAAAACUACUAAUUACAACAACCUUAAGUAAAACCAACAUAUAUUAUAUAGCUCAUCAUGUGAGCACAGAAUCCGACAUUCCUUUGAGACUUAUAUCUCUCUCAAAUUAAAAUGCCGCAAUCAAGAAUAUUAAACAAAGUAAUAAUCAAAAUAACAUUUUCCUUGCAACGACUCAUUAUGAUUCCUAGUGAAAUGGUUCGUUCGACCAAAAAAUGCUGGAAAAAAUGUAAUUCAAGUUGGCUUCCUCUUUCAUUCAGUUCAGAACUUUAGAUUAUUUGGUGUAAAUGAAGGGAAAAUGCCUACGAAUAUGUUUUCAGCUUGCCCGUCGUCUUUGGCCAGCUUCGAGUUGUUUUCGUAAUUACGUCGUCACAAAGACUGAUGCGGAGUAUGUAGAAAAUAGAAAAAGUCAUUCAAAGCCGUACAAAAGUGGAUAACCAAUCCAAUCCACUUUUGGCUCGUCAUUGAGUUCGAGGAUUUGACAAAUCACUUUUUGGUCUCCGGCGUGUGGUAUACACACUCCCUUUUAAUUACUAUUAACACCAUGUAUACAUAAAAGAUUUCAACCCUCCACAUGUAAGACCAUCGCUAAACCAAUAAGUUGUUCUCAGCACAAAAUGAAUAUUACUUAGUUAUGUCAUAAUUUUAUUAAUAAAGAAAGAAAUUAAUCUACAUCUUUUUUAAAAAUAAUUUUAAAAUUUGUUAAAUAGGCAAAUAUGGUUUUAAUCCCCAUAGUUUGAGUCAAUUAUUCAGUUUGGUCAAAUAUUAUAUUUUAAAAGAUUAUCUAAAUUAAGCAUCUCUUUACUUACUUUCUUAAUUAGUUGUUGGACAUAAAUUUUCAAAGCUAAAUUCUAUAUGAUAAAUUUUAAAACUCAAACUAAUUUAAUAUAUAGCAGAUAAAAGAUAAAAAAAUAAUUAAGUAAAUUUUAACCAAAAAAUAUAUAUAUCACGUAGAUUUUUUUGAGUAAAUUUCUAAAAAUAUAUUGACUCCUCCAUGGGUACGUAAACUACAGGGACAUUAUUGACUAUUCGUUGUGCGUGCACGUACAAUGACAUGUCAUGAGUUAUCCAUGGAGACUUUUCCAAGACAACAUUUUGUGAUGUACUAUAUGCAUACUUAAUUACAAGUGCAUUUGUUGGGUACAUGCAUGCAUGGACGUGGAAUUCCAUGCAUAAAAUGAUAAAAAUACUUUUUCAAUUUUUCUCAGUUUAAUUUGCAAAGAUGUUUCACCAUUAAUUUGAAGUCUUUAGGUCCGGAAAUCUCUAUUGAUCGUAUAUUUGUUCGUCUCUUGGCACACGCGCACACGCACACGCACAUCAAUAGAGUAAAACUAGUGCAAGAUAAAUCCACAUUAAUUUUAUUUUAUUUCUAAACAUUCUAUUAAAUUUCUCUAUUUUAGAGUCAAGUCAAAGUUGUACAAAAUGAAAAAGAGGGGGUUAAAAUGGAUGGAAAUGAGAAUAAAGAAAAUAGCUAGCUUUUUGAAGGAUCUUUUGAAGACGAUAGGCUUGUGCUCUUAUCACGAAGCUUUUACGUCUAAAACUGGUAGAAUUGACCCAGCAAAAAGGUUUAAUGAAUCCCCGUGAGAGUCUUUAAUGUGUUUCUGAGAAGAUAAUCAAUUAAUUAACAGCACCAAUUAAGUAGUUGAAUGAUCUACUAAGCAAGUUCAUAAAAUCUUAAUGUAUUCUAAUUGUUCGGAGAAAGUAUUUAAGAUCGAAUGAAAGAUGAAUUUCAAGAACUCUUCCAAUUGCAACCAGUCAUCAUGGAUAUUCCAAUCAGUGAAGGAUUCUUUCGACACAAGGAAAAAUAAAAGAUAAAAAAGGGUCAAUAAAGACGAUGGAGAAUAUUCGUAUAAAGUCUUUAACGUAUGUAAAUGUAAUGUAACUUUAAUUUGACAGCUGCCGCUGUGACGAAUCCCUUGCAACGUAAGCACAAUGACACAAAAGAGAGAGUGGAACACAAGCUAUCCAAAUUAAGUCAGUCAAGGUAGGUCAAACUAUCUUGCCAUUGUCGUUUUCGGGGAAAAAAUGUUAGAAUAAAAUGUUAAAAGAAAAUUUAGAAUGUCUGCUAACUACUAAUAUGAGAAGAGUAAUAAAGACUUUAGAAAAAAAAAAAAAACAGUUAGUGGCAGACAAUUAAUAGUUGUAAAAGGCUUAAAGUUGUUUCAUAUAACAUUUUAGAAUAAACUUCAAUUUGCACCUCACUUAAAAUGAUAGUCUUCGAUUUACUUCCAGGAGGAUAAGGCUCAAACUCACGUCUUUGGCCCUAAGAAGGCAAUGCUCGAGAUAAGUCUUUGGCUCUAUUAUCGACCAUACAAAGAACAUGCAUCUCUUUUUUAUUUUUCCCCCCCAAAAAAAAAGAAAUCCAUCACCGCAUCCUCAAUUUACUCUCACCUUAUUGAAUGAAAAUGAAGGCUAAAUUGAUAUUUUCACUCUUUUAGGUGAUAAAAUCAAGAUUGUUGUUCUAUCGGGAGAAUGAAUUAAAAUUUACCAACUUUUAAAAUUAGAUUUCUCCGGUAUGUCUCGAAAUGAUUGAGGCUAUAAUAAGUAUAGGUUUUAAUAAAAAGAAAUAUCGGUGGAUUGGUUGUCAAAUAUUCCCUUCACAAAGACAAAAUAUAGAUUUUAUUCUAAUUCUUCAUAGGCUUUAUUUGAUUAUUUCCAAUAACAAUCCAUUAUAACAGUGAAUAGCUUUCUGUCAAGAUUAAAAAAAAAAAUGGCAGCCGAAGUUAGUUAAGAUAUUGGAUUAGAAACACAGUUUGAGAAGCCAAACAAAAACGAUUCCUUGCAAGAAAUGUAUUAAAAACCUUGAAUCACUCAAUAUGUGUAACAAAUUUUCAAGUUACCUUCAAAAUUCCCAAAGCAAACUUGGCCAAAAUUUAAUUUUCCUCCCACAGAAACAAUUUUUUUUGCUUUGAGCAGGUAACUUUCACAGUAGGCUUUUCAACUCAAAAAAAGUCAUAUGCUAGUUAAAGACAAAUCCAGGUCUUCUAAAAGUAGCUUAGGAACCCUCGCUGCGAUAGGAAAUUCUUGUGCAUGAACAUGCAACUCAAGCAAGCACACAUUAUGACAUAAUGGAACCAAAUUAAGUGUCGAACAAAAUACAGAAUGAAAAGAGUUAUAUCAUUGGUAGAAAGUUGUAUUGCUAACUGCUUGACACCAUCAUUCAACUAAUUUUAUGGCCUGACCAUCAGUGACAAAAUGCAACAAAUAUUUUCUAUGAAGUCAUAAAGUUUCCCAAGAGAGCUAAUUGGUUUGACAGGUUUAAAAUAUACUUUCAACGCAAAAAAGCUGUCUACAAUUAAACUUUUAUUAAGACUCAUAUACAGAAAGAAAUUUGCUAACGAAGAAACAAACAGUACAAAGGAUGAAUAGUAAAAAUGUCAUCGGUAACACAUAGAUGGACCGGAAAAGGAGUACCUUGAUGAUACUGGUGCAGCUACCAAAUCUGGCUUGCGCCCUUCGUAUGGGUGUUGCCUGUUGUAGUUUGAUAAAGCACUUGUGGCAUACAAUGAGUAUAGCCUAUCAGCUUGAUCAGUUUCUCCCCUUCUUAAGGGAUCAGUUCCGACCAAAUAAUGUUCUCUCUGUCUAGCAGCGGAGUAGGAACCUGAGGUGAUGUCUUCUCUCCUCAAGAAGGGGAUCUGGCUUGGUCUUCUCGCUGCACAUAAACAUCAAACCAUCAAGCUUAUCUUUUCUCAUUUCCUUCUCUUGGCUCUUUCCUGCGUCUCCUUGUUUCUCUUUGUCCUUGUGAUGCUUCGAACUCGUCUGACACAGGAAUCUUCUCUACACAUCUUUGCUUCCAGUGAUUUUUAUCUGCCCCACCAAUCUCCUCUUCACAUCUUUGUUUCCGGUGAUUCUUAUCGGACCGACCAAUCUCCUCUUGCUUCUUUUUUAUUCUGCUGGCUUGUCUUGGGUCCUUUUCUUUAGAAAGGUUCUCAUUUAGGUUUUCUUCCCUUGCAUUUAGCUUCUUAGAACUCUCUCCUUCAAUGUUGUUAUUAUCUCAUUUAGGUUUCCCUCUCUUGAAUUUAGCUUCUUAGAACUCUCUCCUUCAAUGCUGUUAUUAUCAUUCUUCUCAUCUAAUAAAUUUUUGUUCUUCUUCCUUCUGAAUCUACUCCAAGCUCGUGCAGCAACUUUGGCGUUUUCGGUCUUCAAGUCAUUAACUGGUGACUUUGUUAAGCAAAUAAAAGCACCAGGUCGGCCAUGCUACUAUUUCCACCCCGGCACGAAUCACCUCAGCCAAAUGGUACGAGCAGAACAGGGGGCAACAUGAGCUGAUCAGAGACGAAUACUGACCAGAGGUAUAUACCGAGCCGAUACACGUCCCCCAAAAAGCGGAAACACGAUCUCACAGAAUCACGGUAGUUGCGCUUUCCCCAGAACCGUUGCGGGAGACGCGAGAUCCCACGUUUGCCCAUAAUGCAGCAGUUAGAGUCCCAUGAGGGGCUGCCACUACCCGAAAAAGGUGGGAUGAAGGGCAAACGAGAACGUGGGGACAGCGGCUAUAAAAGAAGAAGAAAUCGAUGAAGAAAGGGAUAGAAAAAUUGAGAGAAGGGAAAACUCUGCCAAAUUGCAACCAGGCCAUUUUCUUACAGAUUUCGAACAAACCUCUUGAAUCCAAAUUGUAUUGUUUUCCCGUAAACACCUUGUACUAACUUAGGCAUCGGAGGGUUUACGCCGGCAAAACCACCGGCGUCUCUGAUCCGUUUUUGGUGAACGCAGGUCUAGUAAGAGAAUGGAGGGUGAUUCCAACCUUAGUGGUUCGAGCAACAGUCGAUAACAUAAACGUUGGUGAAAGGAUUUGGUCGGUCAAAAGGGCGAGCAGAUUUCGGCAUCAACAUUUUGGCGCCGUCUGUGGGGAGCUGGAUAAAAAGCUACCACCGAAUUAGUAGUUACCGGAGAAACAACGAACGAUUAGACAUGGAUUUGCCAAGGAAGGACGCUUUGAGGGAGGAUAACGAAGCUGGGGAGACAAUCACUCUUCGGGAAAUUGCAAAUGAGGCCUGGGAGAGGAUGAUGCAAGAUCGAUUUGAGCGGAUGGAGAAACAAAUGGAAACUCUCGCAACCAUACUGCACGAGCUGAGAGAUGAGCGGAGAAGGGAUUGUGAAACCUCCGGGGGGAGAGAUGAUGUUGGAGCAGAACCCAGCCUCCAGAGUCGUAGAGUCGAGGAAAUUCCUCCGCCUGCAGACCAACCUAACGGGGUGCAUCCCCACAGAAGCGUUGGUCCGGUUUCAGGAGAACGAGUAGAUGAAGGAAGGGACCAGCCUCUCCCCGGACGGGUACUGGAAGUCAAUAGCCGAGGGGCCAUUGUUGAUGAAAGAGAGCUCAGACAUUGGUUGCACAAUGCCGAGCUAGAACGAGACCGGAUGGCUGUACGUGAUCCUGACCGUGCCGUAGAAUUAGAAGGGGAGGUGCGCAGAUUGGCGCAGGUGAUGGAGGAGAUACAAGGCAAGAGAAAGCCCCCGAGCUGGAGGAUAAUGCUGGAUGAAGAAUCCCUGUUAUCAACCGAGAUCAUGGGUACGGUAAUCCCAAGAGAUUUCCGCUUCCCCGACCUCAAAUACUCCGGUCGAAGUGACCCUCUGGUGCAUAUUGAGCGUUUCAACGAUAUGACGGGGGUGCAGGGGUUGACACCAGCUCAGAAGUGUAGGGUGUUCCCGUUGACUCUCGAGGGGCGAGCCCGAGAAUGGUACCGCAAGCUGCCCCGAUGAGGUAUAAAAGGGUACGAGCAGAUGUGCCAAGAGUUAGCCGAAUAGUUCCGAGGGGCGGUAACCUCAGAGGAUGACAUGAUGGAACUGAUGGGGAUGAAACAGGAGGAGCAUGAGUCCCUUCGGGAUUUUGUAAAGCGAUAUCACCGGGCCGUGCUAGAUUUGGGAGCCAUUAAUCACCCAUAGGCGCUGAUGGGAUUAAAAGAAGGUGUAAGAAUUGGCCGAUUGUGGUAUAACUUGAGAAGCCCCCUGGUGCAGAAUUAUUCGGCGGGGUAUGAACAGGAGAGGCGAGACAUAGAAUUCGAAGAGGAGAAAUCGGCAAGGAUAAAGAGUGAACAACUAGAAGAGUUGAGGCGAAAAGAACGGAGAGUCCCGAUCGGGAGCAGAUCGGGAAAGCGAGCUGGGGAAUCAUCAGUUAUGGGCGGAAUAUCAGCUCGGUCCCGCCCUUACCCCAUAGCUCAGAGGCCACAACAGUUCCAACACAGCCGAGCCCAACCUCCGCGCACCCCGUUCCCGGAGCGGCAACGAGAAUUCAGGCAGAUGACUGCCCACCCUUAUCACAACACUCCCAGAGGGUUACAUGCAACUGGUUCCAGGGCUGGACGACCAGAUCAACUAGCGACUGUACCAGCCCGAGAUGACAUUCAUGAUAGCCGAGUAGUUCAGCUAGUAGACCAGCGCUUGGCAUAUAGACAGUACACUCCAUUAAAGAUCUCCAUGGAGGAAUUGUAUGAGAGGAUCGAGGGAUGAAGCCUGCUGUACCCUCCAGUCCCUAUAACAAAACCGGCUCACCGACGGGAUAAGAGCAGAUUCUACAAAUUUCACAACACUCACGGUCACACUGUCAGCCAAUGUCGUGACCUGAAGACUCAGGUGGAGGAUUUAGUGAGGAACCGAUACUUGGAUGAGUAUGUAGAUGGAAUGUCCCCCGUCAUUGAAUCACAGUACACGCGGGAUGAAGAAAAUGAGAGGGGCCUGGAACGUGAACAGCCAACUAUCCACGUGAUAGCAGGAGGGCCAACCUUGGCUGGGGAUUCGAACAGGGCACGGAAGAACCAUGGGAGAUACGCCCUGACUAGCAAAGAAGUGCUUUUCAAUCUGCCAGCAACCAAGAAGGCAAAAGUGCGGCAAGUUCCUAUUAUGUGGACAGAUGACGAUGAAGAGGGUAUCUUAUAUCCUCAUGAAGAUGCAUUGGUGAUUAAGGCAAUGGUGGCCGGUACAGAAUUGCGACGAAUACUAGUAGACACAGGCAGCUCGGUUGACAUCCUGUUUAAGUCGGCUCUAGAUGAUAUGGGGAUUGCAGACUUGAAAUUGGAGCGGACAAAUACAUCCUUAAAGGGAUUUGGAGGGGGACGGCUAACUCCCAUGGGGAUCAUCGAACUCCCAGUUACUAUGGAGACAAAGCCAUUUGAAAGAACGAUGAUGCUGGACUUUGUCGUGGUAGAGGAAAGAAGCCCUUACCAGAUGAUACUGGGGAGACCAUUCAUGAGGAUAAGCCAAUGCGUUGUAUCCACGCAUUACUUGGCACUGAAGUACAGAGUAAAUGGGGUGGUUGGUGUAGUAAAAGGUGACCAGAGAAUGGCAAGGAGCUGUUAUGCUACAGCAGCCAAGGAGACACUACAGGUUACUUCUCUAGAUAAUCGAGGAGAUUCUAAAAAGGGUCGCCAAGAGCCUGUCGAGAAACUAGAAGAGAUUUUGAUAAGCAAAAACAAUCCGAGCAGAGUGGUUAGGAUCGGAUCAGGUUUGGUCGGGGCAGUGAAAGGCGAGUUGGUGAAGUGCUUACAGUCUCACGCAGACAUAUUCGCCUGGUCUCACGAGGACAUACCAGGAAUUGAUCGUGAGGUAGCUUGCCAUAAAUUGGCAAUCAAGAAGGGGGCGAGGCCGGUGAGGCAGAAAAGAAGAUGCUUUAACCAAGAAAGGUACGAAGCCAUAAAUGCCGAGGUGGAGAAGCUGUUAAAAGCAGGAUUUAUAAGGGAGGCCAAAUACCCGGAGUGGAUUUCCAACGUAGUACUGGUAAAGAAGGCCAACGGGAAAUAGAGAAUGUGUGUGGAUUUCACAAACCUUAAUAAGGCAUGCCCGAAGGACAAUUUUCCCUUACCAAAGAUAGAUCAAUUGGUAGACUCCAUAGCGGGUCACAGUCUGCUCAGCUUCAUGGAUGCCUUUUCAGGAUACAACCAGAUACCCAUGGACGAGCAGGAUAAGGAGAACACCACCUUUAUAACUAACAUGGGUUUGUUUUGCUACAUGGUGAUGCCUUUCGGCCUGAAAAAUACAGGAGCUACCUAUCAAAGGUUGGUGAACCAGAUCUUCAAGCCCUUGAUCGAUCAUACAAUGGAGGUAUAUGUGGACGAUAUGAUCACAAAGUCUAAAGAACCGAGGGAUCACGUGAAGCACCUUGAAGAAACCUUUGAGUUACUGAGGAAGUAUGAAAUGAAGCUAAACCCGGAGAAAUGUGCAUUUGGGGUCAGCUCGGGCAAAUUUUUGGGAUUCCUGGUGAGUCACCAAGGGAUUGAGGCCAACCCAGAAAAAAUACGGGCGGUUACGGAGAUGAGGUCUCCACGGACAGUUAAGGAGGUGCAGAGCCUUACAGGGAAGUUGGCAACACUGAACCGAUUCAUCUCGAGGGCCACAGAUAAAUGCCACCCUUUCUUCCAAACCAUAAAGAAAUGGAGAAAGAUGGAGUGGACAUCAGAGUGCGAAGAAGCAUUUGGGCAGCUGAAGGAAUAUCUGACCCGCGCCCCGUUGCUAUCAACUCCAAGAGCGGGUGACCAGCUGUUUCUGUACUUAGCAAUCUCUAAAUGGGCUACCAGCUCGGUUUUGGUCAGGGAAGAAGAAGGAAAGCAACACCCGGUAUACUACACAAGCAAGGCCCUGGUAGACGCAGAAACCAGAUAUCCAUUGCUGGAGAGAUGGGCGUUGGCUCUAAUAAUGGCAGCACGAAAACUCCGACCAUAUUUUCAGGCCCACCAGAUUGUUGUGAUGACUGACCAGUCCCUUCGUCAAACGCUUCAAAAAACAGAUGCAUCCGGUCGGUUAGUAAAAUGGUCCGUGGAGCUAAGCGAAUUUGACCUAUCCUACAGGCCCCGAGGAGCAAUCAAAGCUCAAGCUUUGGCAGAAUUUAUGGUAGACCGAGCUGAGCCAGGGGAAGAAAUUCGGGAGGAGCAACCGAUAGAGCAGGAGAAACCAGAGGGGGUGUGGCUAGUAAUGGUUGACGGAUCAUGUAGUGAGCAAGGGUCAGGAGCAGGAGUUGUAAUACGAAGCCCAGAAGGAACCGAAAUAAUGUAUGCAGUGAAGUUCGAAUUUCAGUUCACGAACAACCAAGCUGAAUAUGAAGCCUUUAUCACCGGGCUCGGACUGGCACACGCUUUAAGAGCAGAGAUGGUAGAAAUUCGAGCGGACUCCCAAUUAGUAUGUAAUCAGCUCAAUGACCAGUUCCAAGCAAGGGGAGAGAAGAUGGGUCUUUAUCUGAAGAAAGCAAAGCAGAUGGUUGGGCUUUUCCAAGAGGUGGAGGUAAACCAGAUAUAUCGGAAUGAGAAUUACCGAGCAGAUAUGUUGGCUAGGAUGGCUGCAAUUGCAGAUCCGAAAUUACCUAAGUCGGUUCCACUAGAGGUAAAGACCUCACCAAGUAUAGGAGAGGAGGUAGAGGUGAUGAGAGUAAGCAUUGGAGAGUCAUGGAUGGACCCGAUUCGCGCAUAUGUCCGGGAUGGAAUCUUACCAGAGGACAAAAGGCAAGCAAGGAUAUUAAAAUGCCGAGCAGCGAGGUACACGCUACUAGAUGGAGUGCUGUAUCGCCGAGGAUUCACCUUGCCCCUUUUGAGAUGUGUGGAUGAUGAGGAGGCAGAUUAUGUACUGAGGGAGAUUCAUGAAGGAAUAUGCGGCAAUCACUCGGGAGCAAGAACUUUAGCCUUCAAGGCACUCCGACAAGGAUACUUCUGGCCAACCAUGCACCAGGAUGCGAAAAGGAUGGCAAAGAACUGUAAAACCUGCCAAAGCUUCUCUGAGGUUCCUGCACAACCCCCAGAAAAGCUGACCACUAUGACAUCCCCGUGGCCUUUCGCUCAAUGGGGAAUCAACUUGAUUGGUCCGUUGCCUAAAGGCCGAGGAGCGGCGACACAUGCAAUUGUGGUAAUAGACUACUUCACCAAGUGGGUAGAAGUGGGAGUCCUCAGCCAAAUCACGGAGAGGAAGACAACAGAUUUUAUUUGGAGGAAUAUCAUCUGCAGAUACGGGAUCUCCUAUGCUAUCAUUACAGACAAUGGGAGACAAUUUGACAACAGCAACUUCAGGAAAUUUUGCCGAAAUUUGGGGGUGGACCUGAAGUUCUGCACCCCCGCACACCCCCAGGCAAACGGACAAGUGGAAGCAGCCAACAAAGUAAUAAAGAAGCUCUUGAAAACUAGAUUGGGAGAGAAGAAGGGAGCCUGGGUUGACGAACUACCAGGAGUAUUAUGGGCUUACCGGACAACUCACAAAACCGCCACAGGGGAAACCCCGUUCGCUUUAGCUUUUGGUCAUGAGGCGGUAGUCCCAGCAGAAAUCGGAGUGGGGACACAUCGAACGAAAUAUUUCGCUGAGGAGCAAAACGACGAGCAGAUCUGCUUAAGCCUGGACCUGCUUGAGGAGAAAAGGGAAGGGGCCUCGCAGAAAGUGGCCCAGUGUCAGCAACGGGUCAUGCGCUAUUACAACAAGAACGUACGCAUGAGGCAGUUCCGAGCAGGAGAUUGGGCACUUAGGAAGGUGGACCAAAACACCAGGGAUCCUAACCAUGGCGCUCUUGGCCCAAAAUGGGAAGGCCUGUACAGAGUGAUACGAGCCACUGGACCAGGAGCUUAUAAGUUAGCGUACCAAGAUGGACGAGACGUGAAGAGGUCAUGGAACGCCGAGCACUUGAAGAAGUAUUUCCAGUAAGCAAAGUGCUCUCCUAAAUCCUCAUUUUGACAAAUUGUUUGUGUUAACUGCAUGAUGACUUGAUGCAUAUGUAUGUAUUCAGUAUUUUUGUAAUACAUUCAAGUUUCAAAUAAAGAUGAAUUCAGCAUGAAAUCCCCCUGCUAGCAAGCCAAAUAAAAAUUUUACUAAGGCAAAUAAGUGCCUAUUUCUGCUCGGUCAACGAAAGAUCAGCAGCUAAUUUUACGAGAAUUUUUACUAAGGCAAGCAAGUGCAUGUUUCUGCUCGGUCAACGAAAGAUCAGCAGCUAAUUCUACAAAAAUUCUACUAAGGCAAGCAAGUGCCUGUUUCUGCUCGGUCAACGAAAGACCAGCAGCUAAUUCUACAAAAAUUCUACUAAGGCAAAUAAGUGCCUGUUUAUGCUCGGUCAGCGAAAGAUCAGCAGCUAAUUUUACGAGAAUUUUUACUAAGGCAAGCAAGUGCCUGUUUCUGCUCGGUCAACGAAAGACCAGCAACUAAUUCUACAAAAAUUCUACUAAGGCAAAUAAGUGCCUGCUUCUGUUCGGUCAGCGAAAGAUCAGCAGCUAAUUUUACGGAAUUUUUACUAAGGCAAGCAAGUGCCUGUUUCUGCUCAGUCAGCGAAAGAUCAGCAGUUAAUUUUACAAGAAUUUUAACUAAGGCAAGCAAGUGCCUGUUUCUGCUCGGUCAAAGAAAGACCAGCAACUAAUUCCACAAAAUUCUACUAAGGCAAAUAAGUGCCUAUUUCUACUCGGUCAACGAAAGACCAGCAGCUAUUUUAACGAAAGUUUUACUAAGGCAAGUAAAUGCCUAUUCCUGCUCGGUCCACUAAAGAACCAACAGGAAAAAUCAAAUAAAUUAUCAAAUUAGUUUGCAGAAACAAUCCAGAAGCAAAAAUGAGAAAAGAAGGCCAGUAAAGAACAUCCAAAAAUUUAUAAACAUUUAAAUGUUUACAAAACUAAUGAAAAUCUAAAGUCUAUACAAAAAUAGACCUAAGGAUUAGGAGGGUCAACGGCUUCAGCCGGUGAAGGAUCAGCUAUCUCUAGAGGUGGAAGAUCAGCAAUACCGGGAGGAGGCGGCAUGGACCCUUGUCCCACUUCCAAGGCACGUCCCCCAGCUUCCCCCUCCUACACCCCAUCUAAAGGAGCCUCCACCUAAUCCUGCUCACCCUGCUCCUUAUCUGCUUGGCCGAUCUCCGCCAUAUAUCGCUGCACUCCGGCCUCCAGCUUGCUAAUGUCCAGCUCGGGAUAUUCUUCCUUAAGCACAGACAUGAUGCACUUAUAGGAGAAGGCAACCCCAGAAUCAUACUCGGCAUCCAGCCGAUCGUUCACAUCAGCGGAUUUGCCUUUCUCCUCAGCCAGCUGCUCACCCAAGGAUUUGAUUUCCCCCUCAAGGGCGGCCCUCAGAGUAUCCCUUUCACUUUGAGUAGCCUGAAGAUCAGAUCUCAGGUCACCCAACUCACCCUCGAGUUUGGAGGAAGUGGAUUCAGCAACCGCAACUUUCUCCUCUAGCUCCGUAAUCUGCUUGUUCAGCUCAGCCAGCUUCUCCUUGGAGCGAUCAACAGAUUCAGCUUUCUUCUUCAAUUCCUGAUUGUCAGCUUGAAGCUUCCUCUCAUGGCGCGCGGACCCAGUCUUGUAGCACGAAACCAUGGUGGCCAGCCUGAAGGACACUCUCUGAACAUAAGCAGCUAACUCGGAGAGGUUCAUACUCUCGAUGUCCUUCACCAUCUUGGGCCCCACCGAUUUUUUGUAAUCCUUCUGAUACGGGCUCAGGUAGUCACCUUGAUCCCGAGAUGGUAGAGGAGAAGAUCGGUCCCCAGACUGGAAGCUGACCUCAGGACUCUUGUCAGAAGUUUUCUCCCCACCACUCUUACGGGGUGGGGGAGGGGGCAGAGCAGGGACAUGAGCCUUGGAAGGGCCGACGCUGGUUUUCUUUGGAGGAGGAGGAGGGUUGCUGGAGCUGCUUGGAGCCCGACCACGCUUCCUGCUCAUCGCGCUGAGGAUCUUGUUAUCCAUUCCAGCGGCUAUGUCCACUAGGCCCGAACCGACCAGGUUUGUUGGUGACAGGAGGUCUUGGCAGGUAGACGCGUUCACCAGAGUAGUUUCCACCUGAAGCAAAGGUCGAUCUUCAAGCCCCCCGAUCAAACCCCACAACUCUGAAAUAGCAAAAGAGGUUAAAGAACUCGAUAAGUGACAAUUUGACUAAGAACAUAGGCAAAAAUAAACGACAUGGGGUGACAAAAUGUAUGGGAAGAUAAAUGUCCCCACCAAGCGACCGAACUGCUGGACACCAGUUCCCUCCAGCAAAGAAGAAUUUGUUCUUAUAAUUUUUACAUGAAGAGGGAAACCCAGUGAUCGGUUUCCUCUUUGCAAAACUGGACAUAAAGUAGUACCAGCCCGCUUCCCUCGGGCUACUCCGCAGCUGGUACAGAUGUUUCACUUCAACAAGGGAAGGCUCCUCCGACCCGCACCUCUCCCACAACACAAACAUUGCCGAGAGAACCCUCCACCCAUUUGGGUGUAGCUGACCUGGGGCUAGGUGCAUACCGCCCAGUAUCUUGGCAAAAUAACGUUGAAGGGGCAGCCGAGCUCCUAGUCUGAAACUCUCCAAGUGCAUCGUCACAUACCCUUUCGGAGGCCGACUAGGGACAUCAUCUUUUCCAGGAACUACAAGAAGAACCUCGUUGGGGAUAUUGUAGAGGUUCCUAAGCUUAAAUAGAUCAGUGGGGGUGGUGGCGCAAGCUAUGAAAUCAAUAGGGUAGGAAUCAGCCUCCACAGUAUGGCCAAGAUUCCUUUUCUUAGCAGGUCCGCUCGGUCUGGAACUGCUCCCCUCACCAUCACCAACUCCUUCAGGGAUCCCAACCCCACCGAAGCUGUGGUUCUCACCAGAGCCCGACGUAGGUCCACCUCUAUUCCCUACAAGCUCUAGUUCGGGGGAGGGAGAGACAACCAAGGGGCGUGGGUACUCAAGGGUAUCCAUGCCAUGGGAAUGACCUACACUACUGGAGGGACCUAAGAAAUCGGUCGGUAUUGACACGUUGAGGCCUGAAUCCCCUGAUUCUUUAUCACCCUCAUCAACAAUUAACUUUCUUUUCCUAUUUGACAUAUCGGAAUCCCAAAAGAAAACAAAGAAAACUCGAAUAUACGGAUACAAAAGGGGGCAACACGGAACCCAAUCAACAACAACCAGAGAAGAGAUUAAAAGUAGUACCUGAAAUGAACUGGCCCUGAUAGCGCUGCCGUGACAGAGAAAAAACCAGCAAGUAGAAACUCUGGACGCAGGAAGUGUGAGUAAAGUUCAGAAAGGGGGUAGGUUAACGACGGAGAGACGAGUAACAAAACGAUGACGAUGUAAAUCUAGGUAUUUGAAACGAAAAGGGGGAAAUGAAAGCAUUUAAGUGAUGGAGAUGCCAGCUCACUCAUCGUACAUCGAGGACAGAUAGCCCGUCGUUUCAAAUUUCAAAUACGAAGAGUCUGGAGAUGUCACGUCACUAACCGCUACAAGGGGCCAGGCUAGAUGUGAGCCCAAAUACGCAAUGGACAUGCUCAGGUCAAAAUCUCCCCUGAAGAAAAAUGAUACCUCAGGUCCGUCCCGGUAGACAGAAGACCAGAGGAGAAGCCCCCGGAUUGGUAAGAUUUGACUAUCAGUUUCUACUCUUGACUCAUUUCACUCACAAGACCAGAAACUGGGGGACUGGUGUUAAGCAAAUAAAAGCACCAGGUCGGCCAUGCUACUAUUUCCACCCCGGCACGAAUCACCUCAGCCAAAUGGUACGAGCAGAACAGGGGGCAACAUGAGCUGAUCAGAGACGAAUACUGACCAGAGGUAUAUACCGAGCCGAUACCCGUCCCCCAAAAAGCGGAAACACGAUCUCACAGAAUCACGAUAGUUGCGCUUUCCCCAGAACCGUUGCGGGAGACGCGAGAUCCCACGUUUGCCCAUAAUGCAGCAGUUAGAGUCCUAUGAGGGGCUGCCACUACCCGAAAAAGGUGGGAUGAAGGGCAAACGGGAACGUGGGGACAACGGCUAUAAAAGAAGAAGAAAUCGAUGAAGAAAGGGAUAGAAAAAUUGAGAGAAGGGAAAACUCUGCCAAAUUGCAACCAGGCCAUUUUCUUACAGAUUUCGAACAAACCUCUUGAAUCCAAAUUGUAUUGUUUUCCCGUAAACACCUUGUAAUAACUUAGGCAUCGGAGGGUUUACGCCGGCAAAACCACCGGCGUCUAUGAUCCGUUUUUGGUGAACGCAGGUCUAGUAAGAGAAUGGAGGGUGAUUCCAACCUUAGUGGUUCGAGCAACAGUCGAUAACAUAAACGUUGGUGAAAGGAUUUGGUCAGUCAAAAGGGCGAGCAGAUUUCGGCAUCAACAGACUUCUUUGCAAUUUUAGAUCUGGCCUUCAAUGAUUUAUGGAUUUUAUUUUCAGAUGAUUUUGCUUCGGUUGAGGCUUCCCCAGCAUUCCCAUCUUCCUUCUUCUCUUCAUUUUCUUGUGCCAUAGUCUACCCAAAUAACCAGGCUCCCAACAGACCAUAAUUUAGGGAUUAUUCUGUUGUUCACUAUUUAAAAUAUGAAAUACAAAACUCAAAAGCCCGGCAAAGGAAUGAAAGAAGCUGAAGAAGUGAAAAUGCAUCAAAAUUUGCAAGAAAAUAAUAAAUAUACAAUGCCUUCAUAAUGCAUAUAGCAGAUGGUGGCUAAUUGCCAAUUACUUGACAAUGAUAGGCAAAUUCUUCUGUCAGAAAGCGGGGUGAAAAAGGUCAGAAUCUUGAGACCUGCUCAAUCACAAGAUUGCAACAAAAAGGAGUCUGAUAAUAUACAAUGGGCAAUAAGAGAGAUUGGGUGUAUUGAAAUUAUGGUAGUGAGCUAAAAUAUUAUAAUAUUUGUAAUUCGCAUAUCACUAGAAAAAUAUUUUUCUUAUGUUUUCGCCCAUGAAUCUAGAUUAAAAGUUGAACCACCUAAAUUUUGAUGUCCCUAUGUGAUUUUGUUGUCUCAUGAUUUUUUAAUUUCACUUUAAUUGCAUAUCUGCUUCACCAAUCAAUAUGCAUUGAAGAAUGCUUACAUUAGUUUGUGUUUGGCUCAUCAUCACAACCAUUUCAUUCAAGAAAUCUCCUAUUCCCUCAAAACAAAACUAAAAAGUCUCAUGUAAUAAAAUCCUCCCCCGUUCCCCCCUCCCCUCUUCUUGUGGGAGUUAAUUUUGCUGUAUCUUCAAAGCAACAAAAGCGCAUUAAAAAGUUAAAGAUGAAAUGAAAUCAAUAUAUAUAUAUAUAUAGAGGGAGAGAGAGAGAGACACACACACACACACAAAAUUGGAGCUCAUAUUAUUUUAUUCAUCAUCACUAUCAUGGACUCCUACAUAGUACAAGAACCUCUUGUUGGCAACAAAUAGAACUUGAAGAGAGAAGAAGGAAAACAACAUCUCGUGAAUCCGAUAAUUAUCCGUCAUUAUAAAAAGGAUUACAAUUUUAUUUCUUAUUGUAUACUACAAAUUACAUGCAUAAUAAAUAAAUAAAUAAGAAUUAAAAAUUUUGGAAUUUAGUAAGGUUAACAGCAGAAUAGGCAUGUUGAAUGGCGUAAAAUCUCUUCGUGGCUUCUUUCACAAAAUUUGAAUCUCUUGAAGUUGAACAACGGCUUGGAUAUAUAGAGCCACAAUCACCUUGUAAAAAAAAAUUCAUACAGAUGUUGCAUGAGAAGAUUGGUUGUAUAAAACUAUUAUAGACCCACAUAAUUUACAAAAAUAAUAGUUAUCGCUUUUUAACUAAUGUCUUUAUGCCACAUUAGUUUGUUUACACAAGUUCAUAUAAAAAUGUUUGUGGUUACAUCAUUAUUGAUUUUGAAAAUAAUAUUUUAAUAUUUUUAUCUCAAAUGAUAGGAUAUUUUUUGACACAUUGGAUGCUUUUGGAUUUAAUGAUACCUUUGUAUAUUUUAUUUAUUAUUUCAUCUAACAUUGUUUGAUGAGUGAUGAUAGAGUUAAAAGCUCUUGUAUAAACUUAUUUUAUAUAUAUUGAUGAAAUUUAAAUUUAUUGGUUGAAUAAAAUUACCAAAUAAUAAAAAUAAAUAAUAUGAGCCAAGAGUUAGGGUUAGCCAAACUCAAUCCAACCCGAUGAACACAAUCCAACUCAAUCUAAUCUAAUCAAAUUUUGAUGGGUUGAGUGAAUUAUUAUAAGGUUAAUUAGGUAAAUUUUUUCGAAUCCAAUUAAUAAUUGAGUUGAGUUAGGUUUGGUUAAUUAUGAUGAACCUGUCUUACCCAACCCCAUCCAUGUAAAUAAUAGUAAUAGUAAUAAUAGUUAGGCAUCCAGUACUGCUUACCAAAUAGAAGCUAAUUCCUGCAAUUUACAUGAAAAUUGCACGAAAUAUCACUAUCCUUAUUUUCUUGAUUUCACCUUCAUUGUGUAUUUUUCUCCAGAAAUUCCAAACUUACGAAGAGGAUUCGGGCCACGUUCUAUGCAUCAUAUGGAAUGCGGCCAUUUUUCUGUGUAAUUUGUGAGGCGUUAUAUUACAUGGAGCUUGACUUCUUUCUUUCUAUGAAUGGUCAGAUGGCAUUGGUGAGAGGUUCUUCUGCUUCUUUGUUGAUUGUUCUGCUUUUGGCUUUUUUAUUAAAGUUAUUUUGAAUCCGCUUUCAGAUUGUGUGUUUAAUGAUUUGAUUAAAUUUGUGUUUAGUUAAAUGUAUUUGGAUUUCUGGAGUAUUUCAGCAGUUAAUGAUGAAAUUCAGCAUUAAAUUAACUUAUAAUCAUUCUAAUUAUCGAUUUUUUUUGUCAUGAAACAUCAUUAAGCACCUGCCAAAGACUGAAAGACACCAGUUUAAGGGUGCAUUUGUGAUUGAAGUUGGGCAGCUAUAGUUUAAAAGUUACAGCACUAAAGUGUUUGAUAAACACUAACUGAUGUAGCUUUGAAGAUAUGUUGAUAUGAUUUUUCACUUAUAUAAUAAAAAAUAUAUUAUAUCUUUAAUAAUUUUAUCAAAAUUAUUAUUUAAAAUUUAUAUUUAUUAUAUAUUACUAACUUUUAUUUCAUAAUUAUAAUUUUUUUUCACAGCAGCUGUAGCCCAGUCCCAAACGCACUCUAAUUUUUAUCUCUCAACACUCUGUUUUGCACCAAGGUAUCCAAUAUAUACUAGUUUAUUAAAUAAUUUUGAUUAGUGCUGAUUGCUAGUGUAUCAGUCUCCUAAUUAAUUAAAUGUGAAAACAUUCUAUUAUAUACUAGUCGAUUGAUUUUUCUUUUAAUCUUCCUGUUAUAUUCCACGACAGAGCUGAUUUAAAGACUUGGCCCAACUCUUCCCUCUAUGUUCAUUAAAUGUUAAUAUUUUUCUGCACCAAGGUUGACUUGAUGGUGCGUUAUUUUCAAUUUUUUUCAUUGACUUGUAUUUUUGUUUAAAUAUUGACAAAAAAUUAAGAAAGCAAUCAGCUCUUGUAACGUGCUCUGUUCUGUUUUCCACCAAAAAUAUAAUCAUUUAUUACCUCUAUCUUAUCAAAUAAUCAUGAUUAAUGCUGCUGGGAAAGUUCUAUUAGUCUUUCUUUUGAUAUAUCUUUACCAAUCUCAUCAGCUUUUGCCUCUUUUAUGAUGUGUUUUUUUAUUUUUUAACUCUUCUCAACCUUGGACGUGAGCCUGAUUCAAGCAGUAUUAUCACUCGUGUAAUUUAUUAAUGAGCUCUUUUCCCGUCAUAUAAUGCCGAUGCUUAUAUAUUCUACUCUUACCAUUCGAUUUUUGUACGCCUAGUACUUGUAGAUCAUUUUAAUUAUAUAUAUACUUCAUACUUGAUGGAGUGAAUAUAAUGCAUAAGAUAUUCAUUCAGUUAUAUGUAGAUAUAUUAAACUUUAGUUUAUGUACUAGACUAACUAAUGGACUUCUAACCUAAAUCAUCGAUAGAUUCUUAAGAUAAUUAGGCUUAAAUACGCAAUCGUCACUAAUUAUUAAUAAUUCAUGAAACCUCUAUUGCAACAGUGAUGAGAAUUGAAGUAUUAGUUGCUCUGGUUAUUCACAUCAUGACAAAUAAAUAGAGAGAUUUUGGCGGUUUCCUCCAUAAAUUUAUCACCUCAUCAUCCUCAAUUAUAUCCGAAACUCUUUACAAUCCCUAAUAUAUUUUAAAAGGUUUACUUUUGACAUUUUAAUAACUUCAAUUAGAUUCUCAAAAAAAAAAUUAAUAAUAAUAACUUCAAUUAGACCAAGCAUAUUUAGUUUCUUGAAGAUUUAUUCCUGAAAAAUCCAACCUGAUUUUUUUUAACUUUUUUUUUUAUAUUUUAUUAACAACUACUUUCUAAUAUUUGUUUAUUAAUCAAGAUAGAAUUGGAGUUUAAUGAUAAAAUGAUCACGAUUUUAAUUUAAAGAUUUGAGCCCAAAAUCACUUGGCUAUCAUAUAUACUCAAUAAUCACUUGAUUAUCAUACUCAUAUAUUACUCAAUAAUCAAAGCUAAUUAUUACUGAAUAAUCACUUGAUUAUUUGAAAAAUGCUGGCAGCACUUGCAACUCCCUGGAACCCUCGUGUAAGUGUAGAUUCCGAGUACAUCAACUGUUCGAAAAAAUGCCCAUUUGAAGAAGUUGAGGACCCGGGGACCCGCCACUGGUACUAUAAGUCUCAUCUUUUGUCUUUUUAUUUGUAUAUCUAUUUUUUUUAUUAAAAAAAAUUGAUAAUAAAGUCCGCAAAAAGUUUGUAGGAGGGUAAUUAGAAAAGCACAUGGGUCACUUCACUUUGGGUCUCUUGGCCUUCAUCAGUUCAUUGUAAUUAUCAACAGUAAAAGACAAUACAACUGUGAUGCAUUUUCACAAAAAGUUUGCAAAGUCUUCAUUUUCACAAAAAGUUUGCUAAUAGAAAAUUUUUAAGUAAUAUUGUUGUUAUUGAAUGUAACUGCCAUGUAAUCAUUCUAAGUAAUAUUGUUAUUUAUGUAGAAGGUUUUUCCCGUAACGUUCUUGACAAAGCGCUUGUGUUUGUUGGUUAAUCGGAUUAGCAUUUUGAUUGUUCGUAAAGCACUGGAAAACUCGCCCUGAAUCAAAAAUCAUUCUCAAUCUAUUUAAUUCCCUCUGGUAUUAUUGCUUAUGAACUGUACCUUUUAAAUUACAGUAGUUAAAUAUUUAAUAAACACUUAAAAUUAAUAAAAGUUACCAUAAAAAUUACUUGAGAAGCCUUACAACUACAAGUUGAAAAAUAUCGGCAACACAGCAGUAACUGGUAACAAGAAAAUUCAAUGAGACGCCAAAAUGCCACCUAGCGCUAUCCAAUUAACCUGUGGGUGAGGGUAUUUCCACCCUACUAUUUGUGUAAAUCCACCCCACUUCUAAAAAUAUUUAUAAUAAAUACACUUUUUUUUAAUAAAUACAAAUCAACAGAAAAAAUUAUAUAAUUAAUCAAUUAAAUCAUUCUUAUAUUUUUUUUUCUUAAGUUAUUUACUUGCGCUGUAAGAAUCGGAAUUGGAAUGAACAACAUUCUCAUUGAUGUGUUUACUUUAUUUUAUAAUUGGAAUAACUAUUUCAAGUUAUUAAAAUGCCCUAAUAUUAUUUGUAUAUAUUAUAACUAAAACAACAAUAAUAAUAAAACUAAAAAUAAUACUUCUGACAAUAAUGUUAAUUAAAACAAAAAAUUAAUAAAAUUUAACAAUAAUAAUAAUAACAAAAACAAAAAAAUUAACUGAAAUAAUAAUAUUAAUAAUGAUAAUAAUUAAAAUAAUAAAAAUCAUUAAUAGUUUUAAUACUAUUAUUAAUAAAAAUAAUAACAACAAUAACUAAUAAUAAUUAAAAUAACAAAGUUAAUAUAAUAAUAACAUUAAUUUUAAUCAUAACAAGAUAAAUAUUAAUAAUAAUGAAUUAAUUACGGUAUAAUAACAAUUAAAAUAAUAAAAGUAAUAAAUUUUAAUAAUAAUAAUGACAAUAAUAAUCAUAAAUAAUAAUAAUAAUUAAAAUAAAUAAAAAUAAUAAAAUUUAAUAGAAAUAAUCUUAUAUAAUAAUAAUAAUGAUAAUAAUAAUAAAAAUAAAUUAAAAUUAUUUUCAAAUGUCAUUUUAUCAUAAAAAUGGACUUAUAUGUAAAAAUUUGUAACAUUUAGUGUCUAUUGAAUUUUACAAAAAAUAUAAGGUGGUGUGGUGUAAUCAACUACAAAAGAAUAAAAGUUGUUGUAUAUUACAACUGUUGCAACAUAGGCGGACCCUAUAUAUAUGUAUUUUAAAAAAUAAUGAAACCGUAAUAACCCUUAUAACUAUGUAUCUCAAUCAUUGAGAAUCUAGUUGACUUGGAAGCACGAGUCUUCACCUCAUAUGAAUUUAGUUCGACAUUUUUGCAUUAUUUGGAUUACCCAUUGAGUCUUGAGAUCAAACUUGUGCCCCUGCAUUUUCUUUUAGUCUAAUCGCUUAGCAUACCUUAUUAUUCGUGUAUUAUCGUUUUUUUUUAUGUUUAUUAACAUCUAAUCACUAAUCUUUGUUUGCUUCGGUGAAAACUUUGAUCAAGAUAGAGUUGUAGUUUACUGAUAAAAUGAUCACGAUUUUUAAUUUAAAGAUUUGAUUCCAAGAUCCUAACAUUCACAUUUUUAAUUAUAUUUGUUGAUAAACAAGAAAAAAAUUGAUUAGAAGAAUACGACAAUAAGAAGAUAAAAAUACUUGCUCAAAUACUCUGCCGUGUGCUUACAUACAAAUCCACUCUCUUAGCUUUUUAAUCACAUAUAUAAAUCAUCAUCAUCACUAGAUGAUCAUAUAUUUACUCAAUAAUCAAAGCUAGUUAGUGAAAGCUUUGAAUGGUCUUCCAAGAUUGAAGAUGAGGGCAGCACUAGGAACUUCCAGGAACCUUCUCGUAAAUUUAGAUAGAUGCCGAGUGUAUGGACUGUUCGAUGAAAUGCCUCUAUGAAGUUGAGGAAUGGAGAGAUUGCAUAACGACCACAUGUUUGGAACUUGAAUUCAGACUGUUAUUAUUAGAAGCACAUGUCAUGGGGUCUCUUCACUUUAACCUUUGGUCCCAUCCUCUGGCCUUCUGCCACCUGGAUCUUCGCAGCAACUUUGCUGAGUAAGAUUGACGAUUGCAGUGCUACGCUAUUUGUCACUUUAGUCUAGAUAUAAAGCUUAAAAUCUUAUCACAGGGUAAUAAUAUCAGUAAACAUUUGACAAAUCACUGAUCAAUUGAUCUUUUCAAGUCACUUGUAUCGUUUCCAUCGGAUUUGACGCCAUCAAACUACAAAAAUUUAUGUAAAAUUUUUGAAGUAACAAAAUUGUCUUACCCAUUAUACACGAUAGAAUCUCGGAUCAUGAAUGAAGUGAUGUCAAUUUCAAUUAAAAAGAUUUCAGUCUCAAGACCCUAACCCGUUUAGGUUAUUGAGCGAACGACUUAUCAAAAUGAGAAAGCUACAAAAUAUGUGACAAUACGAGGACAGCAAAGAAAUUAAGCCAUCAGCUCUUGGAGUGUAUUCUGUUUUGCACAAAAAAUAUAAAUCAGUGAUCACCUCUAGUUUAUCAAAGUAAUCAUGAUUAAUGCUGUAAGGAAAGCUUUAGUAGUCUUUCUUUAUGAAUCUCGCCCGCUUUUGCUUUUCUUUUAGCAUAGUCUUUCUUUGUAUCCCCAGUCAACCCAAAGCCUUUAACUAUGAUCUUCUCUUGAAUAGAUCUUGUCUAAUAAAAAAUUGAGAUCCUCUCUUGAAUAGAGUUUACCCUUGAAAAAUAAGUAUACAUUAUCAUUCAUGUACUGUCAAAAUUUGAGCUUAAGUUCCAACUAUUUAAAAAUUAUUGUUUAUUUUUGUUGGUGAAAGCAAAUCGAUUAGAAGAAUGUGGUACUGGUAAUAAGAAGAUAAAAAUGCUUGCUCAAUACUUUGCCGUGUGUGCUUUCUUACAAAUCCACUAGCUUAGCUUUUAAUCACAUAGAUAAGUCGUCAUAUUCACAUAUAUAAGUCGUCAUAUUAUCAUAUAUUACACAAUAAUCAAAGCUAAUUAUUGAAACCUUUCGAGUUUGAAAAUGCCGGCAGCACUUGCAACUUCCAGGAACCUUCGUGGAAGUGCAGAUGCUGAGUGCAUCCAUCUGUUCGAUUAAAUGCCGAAAUGAUUUCGAGGACCCACACGACCACGCAACAUUUUUUUUUUGUUCAUUUUAUUUGUAUAUCUAUUUGUGGGAAAAAAAAAAGAAUCAUAAGGUCCGCAAACUUUGGCUUUAUAGCAGAGUAAUUAAUUUUUUAUUUAUUACUCAUCAACUUAGAUUUUUAAAUUACAACAGUAAUAAAAUAUUUAAUAAACAAUUACAAAUAAUUAAAGCUGCCAUUAAAAAUGUUUGAAAAGUCUUACGAUUACAUGCUGAAAAAUGUCCGCAUCGGCAUCAUAGCACUUACUAGUAACAAGAAAAUUCAAUGAAAUGCCAAAAUGAUACCUUGCGCUGUCCAAUUAACCUAUAACUUUAACACUAUUUACAUGCAAUUAUAACCAUCUAUCUCAGUUAUUAAGAAUCUAUAGUUGACUUGGAAGCACGAGUCUUCUCCUUGUAUGAAUUUAGUUUGGCAUUUUCCUAAUCAUCCCUCUUCUCUAAUCUCUAGAGUUCUCUGAAAUCUCUUCUUCAUUUUCUGUCUCCCUUUUCUUAAUAAUCCUUGUCCUCGAUCCUAUACAUUCUUUAAAAACCUUCCAUUGCACUCGCUUUUCAAUUUGUCUUGGCAGAAAAAGGAUCCCCCUUUGUUUCAUCUCUAGAUCCGUCACUCUUUUUCUCUCCUCCUCCCUUAAAUCUAUUCAACCUCUUAUUUUAGCAAUUUAUCCAAACUUCUUAUUUCCCUUUCCCAGCUGAUUGAUUAGUUCUGCUUAGUUUGAUUAGUUUUGCUUUCCCCUGUUUUCUGAAAGCGAAAAAUAAAAAAGAAAGGGAUAAUGGAAAUUGUUAUCUCCGUUGCUGCAAAAGUUGCAGAGUACUUGGUUGCUCCCAUUGUUCAUCCAUUUACUUACUGCUGCAGCUACAACACCAACUUGGAGAAGCUGAAGAAUGAAUUUGAGAAGCUAAAGAUUGCUAGAGCCAGUCUGCAGUACAAGGUUGAAGAUUCCAGAAAUAAAGGGAACGGAAUUCAGCAGCACGUUGAGGAGUGGCUGAUUAGUGCGGACAAGGUGAUCAAUGAAGUCGAAACACUUAUUGAAGACAAAGAGAAUUCAAACAACCGGUGUUUGAAGGGGUUGUGUCCUAAUUUGAGGACUCGGUACCAGCUUAGCAAGAAAGCAGAAAGAGAGGCGAAUGCUAUUAUUGGACUCCAUGAAAAAGGGGGAUUCGACAGUGUUUCUUUCCGUAUCAUUCCAGAGGAGCCAUGGCUUAACUCUACCCAGGGUUUCAUGCACUUUGAAUCGAGAAAGUUCACUUUGAAUGAGAUACUAGACGCACUGAGCAACCGUAACUUCAACAUGAUCGGGGUGUACGGGAUGGGCGGCAUUGGAAAGACCACUCUGGUGAAAGAAGUUGGCAGGCAGGUCAAGGAAAAUAAUCUCUGCGAGAAGGUCAUUUCUGCACAUGUAUCCCGAACACCGCAAAUAAAAGAAAUACAAAGAGAAAUUGCAGAGAAGCUGGGCCUGAAAAUAGAUGAAGAGAGUGAAACUGCAAGAGCAGGGAGGCUGCUUGAAAGAUUGAAGAAAGAGAAGAAGAUCCUCAUAAUCUUGGAUGAUAUUUGGGGGAGUCUUGAUUUGGAGGCGAUUGGAAUUCCAUUGGCGGAUGAUAACAGCGGACGUAAAGUUCUGCUGACAUCAAGAAGUGUAGAUGUGUUGUCUUGUAAGAUGGAUUGUCAACAGAAUUUUCGUGUUGAUGUUUUGAAUGGAGGAGAAGCUUGGAGUCUUUUUACGAAGACGACAGGUGAUUGCAUAGAAAAUGAUGAAUUGAGAUCGGUAGCAAAAGAUAUAGUCAAGGAAUGUGCUGGUUUGCCCAUUGCCAUUGUACCCGUAGCAAGGGCAUUGAGAAACAAGAGAUUGUGUGAAUGGAAGGAUGCUUUGCUAGAAUUAAGAAGGCCCUCCUUGAGGAACUUCAGUGGAACACUGGAGGUGGCAUAUAAAAGUAUAGAGCUAAGUUACAGUCAUUUAAACGAGGAGCUCAAGAGUACAUUUUUGCUAAUAAGUUGCGCGUUCAUCUCUUGCGUUGAAGACGUGCGCUUUUAUGGAAUGGGUUUGGGUCUGUUUCAAAACAUCAACACGUUGGAAGAGGCGCGGGAUAGAGCACAUACAUUGGUUGACAAACUCAAAAAAUCUUGUUUGUUGCUUGAUGGCAAUACAAGUGAACGAUUCUAUGCACGAUGUUGUUCGUGAUGUAGCCAUAUCAAUUGCAUCUAGAGACCAACAUGUGUUUGCGGUGGAAAAUGAGGUUAUUCCGCUGACCAGCUGGCCACAUAAGGAGAGACUGAAGGUUUGCAGGGGGAGGUGCGCAGGUUGGCGCAGGUGAUAGAGGAGAUACAGGGCAAGAGAAAGCCCCCGAGCUGGAGGAUAAUGUUAGAUGAAGAAUCUCCGUUAUCAAUCGAGAUCAUGGGUACCAUAAUCCCAAGAGAUUUCCGCUUCCCCGACCUCAAAUACUCCGGGCGAAGUGACCCACUGGUGCACAUUGAGCGUUUCAACGAUAUGACGGGUGUGCAGGGGCUGACAUCAGCUCAGAGGUGCAGGGCGUUCCUGUUGACACUAGAGGGACGAGCUCGAGAAUGGUACCGCAAGCUGCCCCGAGGAAGUAUAAAAGGGUAUGAGCAGAUGUGCCAGGAGUUGGCCGAGCAGUUCCGAGGGGUAGUAGCCCCAGAGGACGACAUGAUGGAACUGAUGGGGAUGAAACAGGAGGAGCACGAGUCCCUACGGGAUUUUGUAAAGCGAUACCACCGAGCCGUACUUGAUUUGGGAGCUUUCAAUCACCCGCAGGCGUUGAGGGGUUUAAAGGAGGGUGUGAGGAUAGGCCGGCUAUGGUAUAACCUGAGAAGCCCCCUAGUGCAGAAUUAUUCAGCAGGAUAUGAGCAGGCAAAGAGAGAUAUCGAAAUCGAAGAAGAAAAAUCGGCAAAGAUAAAGAGUGAACAGCUGGAAGAGCUGAGACGAAAGGAAAGGAGAACUCCAAAUGGGAGCGGGUCGGGAAAGCGAGCUGGGGAACCCUCAGUAAGGGGCGGAACAUCAGCUCGAUCCCGCCCUUACCCCAUAGCUCCGAGAUCACAACAGUUCCAGCACAACCGGGCUCAACCUCCACGUCCCCCAUUCCCGGAUCGGCAGCGAGAAUUCCGGCAGAUGGCUGCCGACCCCUAUCAUAACACUCCCAGAGCAUUACAUGCAACCAAUUCCAGGGCUAGACGACCAGAUCAGUCAGCGACUAUGCCAGCCCGAGGUGACGUUCAUGAUAGCCGAGCAGUUCAGCUGGUAGACCAGAGCUUGGCAUAUAGACAAUACACUCCACUAAAGAUCUCCAUGGAGGAAUUGUAUGAGAGGAUCGAGGGACGAGGCCUGCUGUACCCUCCAGCCCCAAUAACAAAACCGACUCACCGACGGGAUAAGAGCCGAUUCUGCAAGUUCCACAACACUCACGGUCACACUAUCAGCCAAUGUCGUGACCUGAAGAUUCAGGUGGAGGAUUUAGUGAGGAACCGAUACUUGGACGAGUAUGUAGAUGGAAUAUCCCCUGUCAUGGAAUCAUAGUACACACGGGAUGAAGGAGUUGAGAGGGAUUUGGAACGUGAACAGCCGACCAUCCGUGUGAUAGCAGGAGGGCCAACAUUGGCCGGAGAUUCGAACAGGGCACGGAAGAACUAUGGGAGAUACGCCCUGACUAGCAAAGAAGUGCUUUUCAAUUUGCCAGCAACCAAGAAGGCAAAAGUGCGACAAGUUCCCAUUAUGUGGACAGAUGAGGAUGAAGAGGGUAUUUUAUAUCCUCACGAGGAUGCACUAGUGUUUAAAGCAUCGGUGGCUAGCACAGAAUUGCGGCGAAUACUGGUGGACACGGGCAGUUCAGUUGACAUUCUAUUUAAGUCAGCCCUAGAUGAUAUGGGGAUUUCAGAUUUAAAGCUGGAGCGGACAAAUACUUCCUUAAAAGGAUUUGGAGGGGGACGGUUAACUCCCUUGGGGAUCAUUGAACUCCCGAUUACUGUGGGGACAAAGCCGUUUGAACGAACGAUGAUGCUGGACUUCGUCGUGGUAGAGGAAAGAAGCCCUUACCAGAUGAUACUGGGGAGACCAUUCAUGAAGAUAAGUCAAUGCGUUGUAUCCACGCAUUACUUGGCGCUGAAAUACAGAAUAAAUGGGGUGGUUGGCGUAGUAAAAGGCGACCAGAGGAUGGCAAGGAGUUGUUAUGCUACGGCGGCCAAGGAGACACUACAGGUUACUUCUCUAGAUAAUCGAGGAGAGUCUAAAAAGGGCCGCCAAGAGCAUGUUGAGAAACUGGAGGAAGUUGCAGUAAGCAAAAGCAACCCGAGCAGAGUAAUGAAGAUCGGGUCAGGAUUGAUUGGGGCAGUAAAAGGCGAGCUGGUAAAUUGCCUACAGUCUCAUGCGGAUAUAUUCGCCUGGUCUCAUGAAGAUAUGCCCGGAAUUGAUCGCGGGGUAGCUUACCACAAGUUGGCAAUCAAGAAGGGGGCAAGGCCGGUGAGACAGAAGAGGAGAUGCUGCAACCAGGAAAGGUACGAGGCCAUAAACGCCGAGGUGGAGAAGUUGUUGAAAGCAGGAUUUAUAAGGGAAGCCAAGUACCCAGAAUGGAUUUCAAAUGUAGUCCUGGUAAAAAAGGCCAACGGGAAGUGGAGAAUGUGUGUGGACUUCACGGACCUCAAUAAGGCAUGCCCAAAGGACAAUUUUCCCCUACCCAAAAUAGAUCAGCUGGUGGACUCAACAGCAGGUCACAGUCUGCUCAGUUUCAUGGAUGCCUUUUCUGGAUACAACCAGAUACCCAUGGACGAGCAGGAUGAGGAAAGCACUGCCUUUAGAACUAACAUGGGUUUGUUUUGUUACAGGGUAAUGCCUUUCGGCCUAAAAAAUGCAGGAGCCACCUAUCAAAGGUUGGUAAACAAGAUCUUCAAACCGUUGAUUGGAUACACUAUGGAGGUAUAUGUGGAUGAUAUGAUUACAAAGUCCAAAGAGCCGACGGAUCAUGUGAAGCAUCUAGAAGAGACCUUUGAAUUACUGAGGAAGUAUGAGAUGAAACUAAACCCGGAGAAAUGUGCAUUUGGGGUCAGCUCGGACAAAUUUUUAGGAUUCCUGGUAAGCCACCGAGGGAUCGAGGCCAACCCGGAGAAAAUACGGGCGGUGACUGAAAUGAGGUCACCACGAACAGUUAAGGAGGUGCAAAGCCUUACAGGGAAGUUGGCAGCAUUAAACCGAUUCAUCUCGCGGGCCACAGAUAAAUGCCACCCUUUCUUCCAAACCAUAAAGAAAGGGAAAAAGAUGGAGUGGACAUCGGAAUGUGAGGAAGCAUUUGGGCAGCUGAAGGAAUACCUAACCCGGGUCCCAUUGUUAUUGACUCCGAGAGAGGGUGACCAGCUGUUGCUGUACUUAGCAAUCUCUAAAUGGGCUACCAGCUCGGUAUUGGUCAGGGAAGAGGAAGGAAAGCAACACCCGGUAUACUACACAAGCAAGGCCUUGGUAGAGGCGGAAACCAGAUACCCAUUGAUGGAGAAGUGGGCGCUAGCUCUAAUAACAGCAGCACGAAAACUCCGACCAUAUUUUCAGGCCCAUCAGGUUAUAGUUAUGACCGACCAGCCCCUUCGGCAAACACUUCAAAAACCAGAUGCAUCGGGUCGACUAGUAAAAUGGUCCGUAGAGCUAAGUGAAUUCGACCUCUCUUACAGGCCCCGAGGAGCAAUCAAGGCCCAAGCUCUGGCUGAAUUUAUGGUUGACCGAGCCGAUACAGGGAAAGAAAUUCGGGAGGAGCAAGUAGCAGAGCAGGAGAAACCAGAAGGGUUGUGGUUGGUAAUGGUUGACGGAUCAUGUAGUGAGCAAGGAUCCAGAGCAGGAGUUGUAAUACAGAGCCCAGAAGGAACCGAAAUAACGUAUGCAGUGAAGUUUGACUUUCAGCUCACAAACAACCAAGCUGAAUAUGAGGCCUUUAUCACCGGGCUCGGACUUACACACGCUCUAAGAGCAGAGAGGGUAGAAAUUCGAGCAGAUUCCCAACUGGUGUGUAAUCAGCUCAAUGAUCAGUUCCAAGCAAGGGGAGAGAAGAUGGGUCUUUAUUUAAAGAAGGCAAAGCAGAUGGUUGGGCUUUUCCAAGCAGUGGAGGUAAAGCAGAUAUCCCGGAAUGAGAAUUUCCGAGCAGAUAUGCUGGCUAGGAUGACAGCCAUUGCAGAUCCGAAAUUACCGAAGUCAGUUCCACUAGAGGUAAGGACCUCACCGAGUAUUGAGGAAGAAGCAGAGGUGAUGAGAGUAAGUAUUGGAGAAUCCUGGAUGGACCUGAUUCGCGCAUAUGUCCGCGAUGGAGUUUUACCAGAAGACAAAAGGCAAGUAAGAAAAUUAAAAUGCCGAGCAGCAAGGUAUACGCUACUGGAUGGAGUGCUGUACCGUCGAGGGUUCACCUUGUCCCUUUUGAGAUGUUUGGAUGAUGAGGAGGCGGAUUAUGUGCUGAGAGAGAUUCAUGAGGGAAUAUGCAGCAAUCACUCGGGAGCAAGAACUUUAGCCUUCAAGGCACUCCGGCAAGGAUACUUCUGGCCAACCAUGCACCAGGAUGCCAAAAGGAUGGCAAAGAAUUGUAAAACAUGCCAAAGCUUCUCCGAGGUUCCUGCACAACCCCCGGAAAAGCUGACGGCUAUGACAUCCCCAUGGCCUUUCGCUCAAUGGGGAGUCGACUUGAUUGGUCCAUUGCCUAAGGGACGAGGAGCGGCGACACAUGCAAUUGUGGCAAUAGACUACUUUACCAAGUGGGUGGAAGUAGGAGUCCUCAGCCAGAUUACGGAGAGGAAGACAACAGAUUUUAUUUGGAAGAAUAUCAUCUGCAGAUAUGGGAUCCCCUACGCCAUCAUCACAGACAAUGGGAGGCAAUUUGACAACGGCAACUUCAGGGAAUUUUGCCGAAACCUGGGGGUGGACCUGAAGUUCUGCACCCCCGCACACCCCCAGGCAAACGGACAAGUGGAAGCAUCCAACAAGGUGAUAAAGAAGCUCCUAAAGACUAGAUUGGGAGAGAAGAAGGGAGCUUGGGUUGACGAGCUACCAGGAGUACUGUGGGCCUACAGGACAACUCACAAAACCGCCACAGGGGAAACACCGUUCGCUUUAGCCUUUGGUCAUGAGGCAGUAAUCCCAGCAGAGGUUGGAGUGGGAACACAUCGGACGGAAUAUUUCACUGAGGAGCAAAAUGACGAGCAGAUUUGCUUAAGUCUGGACCUGCUGGAGGAGAAAAGAGAAGGGGCAGUGCAGAAAGUGGCCCAGUGCCAACAAAGGGUCAUGCGUUAUUACAACAAGAACGUACGCGUGAGGCAGUUCCGAGCAGGAGAUUGGGUACUUAGGAAGGUGAACCAGAACACCAGGGAUCCUAACCAUGGCGCUCUUGGCCCAAAGUGGGAAGGCCCGUACCGGGUGAUACGAGCCACUGGACCAGGAGCCUAUAAAUUAGCGCACCAAGAUGGACGAGAAGUGAAGAGGUCAUGGAACGCCGAACACCUGAAGAAGUAUUUCCAGUAAGCAAAGUGCUCUACUAAAUCCCCAUUUUGACAAGAUAUCUAUGUUAACUGCAUCAUGGCUUUGCUGCACAUAUAUGUAUCCAGUAUUCUUGUAAUGCUUUCAAAUUUCAAAUAAAGAUGAGUUCAGCAUGAAAUCCCCCUGCUAGUCUAAUCAAUAAAAGUUUCUACUAAGGCAAGUAAGUGCCUACUUCUGCUCGGUCAACAAAAGACCAGCAGCUAAAUUUACGAAGUUUCUACUAAGGCAAGUAAGUGCAUACUUCUGCUCGGUCAACGAAAGACCAGCAGCUAAAUUUACGAAGUCUCUACUAAGGCAAGUAAGUGCCUACUUCUGCUCGGUCAACGAAAGACCAGCAGCUAAAUUUACGAAGUUUUUACUAAGGCAAGUAAGUGCCUACUUCUGCUCGGUCAACGAAAGACCAGCAGCUAAAUCUACGAAGAUUCUACUAAGGCAAGUAAGUGCCUACUUUUGCUCGGUCCACGAAAGACCAGCAGCUAAUUCUGCAAAAAAUCCUACUAAGGCAAUAAAGUGCCUGUUUCUGCUCGGUCAACGAAAGACCAACAGCUAAAGCUUCGACAAUUCUACUAAGGCAACAAAGUGCCUGUUUCUGCUCGGUCAACGAAAGACCAGCAGCUAAAGCUUCGAAAAUUUUACUAAGGCAAACGGAUGCCUAUUCCUGUUCGAUGCACCAAAGAACCAACAGGCAAAACCAGACAAGAAAGCCAAUAGAGAGCAUUCAAGAAUUUUUAUAAACGUUCAAAUGUUUACAAAGCAAAUGAAAAUCUAGAGUCUUUUACAAAAAUAGACCUAAGGAUUAGGAAGGUCAACGGCCUCAGCAGGAGAAGGGUCGGCUGUCUUGGGAGGUGGAAGAUCAGCAAUAACGGGAGGAGGAGGCGCGGACCCUUGUCCCACUUCAAAAACACACUGACCAGCACCUCCCUCCCGCACCUCAUCAAAAGGAACCUCCACCUGCUCCUUAUCUCCCUGGCCGGCCCCAGCCAUAUACCUCUCCACCCCAGAUUCCAGCUUGCUCAUGUCGAGCUCAUGGUAUUCUUCCUUAAGCACAGACAUGAUGCACUUAUAGCUGAAAGCAACCCCGGAGUCAUACUCGGCAUCCAGCCGAUCAUCCACGUCAGCGGAUUUGCUUUUCUCCUCAGCCAGCUGGUCCUUCAGGGAUUUGAUCUCUCCUUCAAGGGCGACCCUCAGAGUAUCCCUUUCACUUUGGGUAGCCUGAAGAUCGGACUUCAGAUCACCCAACUCAUCCUCAAGCUUGGAGGAAGUGGACUCAGCAACAGCAACUUUCUCCUAAAGCUCCGUAAGCUGCUUGUUCAGCUCGGCCAGUUUCUCCUUGGAACGGUCAGCAGAUUCGACUUUCUUUUUCAACUCCUGGUUAUCAGCUUGGAGCUUCCUCUCAUGACGCACGGACCCGGUCUUGUAGCACGAGACCAUUGUGGCCAGCCUGAAGGAAACUCUUUGAACAGAAGCAGCUAACUCGGAGAGGCUCAUGCUCUCGAUGUCCUUCACCAUCUUGGGCCCAACCGAUUUUCUGUAAUCCUUCUGAUAUGGGCUCAGGUAGUCACCUUGAUCCCGAGAUGGAAGAGGAGAAGAGCGGUCCCCAGACUGCAAGCUGACCUCAGGACUUUUGUCGGAGGUUUUAUCCCCACCACUCUUACGAGGUGGAGGAGGGGGCAGAGCAGGAACUGGCGCCUUGGAAGGACCGACGCUGGGUUUCUUUGGAGGAGGAGGAGGGUUGUUGGAGCUACUCGGAGCCCGACCACGCUUUCUGCUCAACGCGCUGAGGAUCUUGUUAUCCAUUCCAGUGGCAAUAUCUACUAAGCGGGAACCGACCAAGUUUGUUGGCGACAGGAGGUCUUGGCAAGUAGACGCGUUCAACAGAGCAGUUUCCACCUGAAGCAAAGGUCGGUCUUCAAGAUCCUUCACCAAACCCCACGAUUCUGAAAAAAUAAACAAGGUUAAAGAACCCAAUGAGUGGCAAUUUAAGAAAGAAUAUAGGCAAAAAAUGAACGACCUGGGGUGACAAAAUGGGUGGGAAGAUAAAUGUCCCCACCAAGCGACUGAACCGCUGGACACCAGUUCCCUCCAGCAAAGAAGAAUUUGUUCUUCCAAUUUUUACAUGAAGAUGGAAACCCAGUGAUCGGUUUCCUCUUUGCGGAACUGGACAUGAAAUAGUACCAGCCUGCCUCCUUCGGGCUACUCCGCAGCUGGUACAGAUGUUUCACUUCAACAAGAGAAGGCUCCUCCGACCCGCACCUCUCCCACAACAUAAACAUUGCCGAGAGAACCCUCCACCCAUUUGGGUGUAGCUGACCUGGGGCCAGGUGCAUACCGCCCAGUAUCUUGGCAAAGUAAGGUUGAAGGGGCAGCCGAGCUCCUAGUCUGAAACUCUCCAAGUGCAUCAUCACAUACCCUUUCGGAGGCCGACUAGGGACAUCACCUUUUCCAGGAACUACAAGAAGAACCUCGUUGGGGAUGUUGUAGAGAUUCCUAAGUUUAAAUAGAUCGGUGGGGGUGGUGGCACAAGCCAUGAAAUCAAUAGGGUAGGAAUCAGCCUCCACCCUAUGGCCUAGGUUCCUUUUCUGAGCAGGUCUGCUCGGUCCGGAACUGCUCCCCUCACCAUCACCAACUCCUUCAGGGAUCCCAACCCCACCAAAGCUGUGGUUCUCGCCAGAGCCCGACGCAGGUCCACCCCUAUUUCCUACAAGCUCUAAUUCGGGAGAGGGAGAGACAACCAGGGGGCGUGGGUACUCAAGGGUACCCCUACCAUGAGGAGGACCUACACUACUGGAGGGACCUAAAAAAUCGGUGGGUAUUGGCACGUUGAGGCCUGAAUCCCCUGAUUCGUCAUCACCCUCAUCAACAAUUAACUUCCUCUUCCGAUUUGACAUACCGGAAUCCCAAAAGAAGACAGAGAAAACUCGAGUAUAUGGACACAAAGGGGCAACACAGAACCCAAUCAACAACAACCGAAGAAAAGGUUAAAGGCUAUACCUGGAAUAGACUGACACUGAUAGCGCCGCCAUGACAGAGAAAACACCCAGCAAAUGGAUACUCCGGACGCUGGAAGUGUGAGCAAAGUGCAGAGAAAAUUUGGUUAACGGCGGAGAAACGAGUAACAAGAUGGUGAAGACUCCAGUCUAGGGAUUUAAAACGAAAAGGGGGAAAUGGAAGCAUUUAAGUGAUGGGGACGCCAGCUCACUCACCGUACAUCGAGGACAGAUAGCCCGUCGUUUCAAAUUUCAAAUACGAAGAAUCGGGAGAUGCCACGUCACCAACCGUUACAAGAGGCCGGGCUAGAUGCAAGCCCAGGUGCGCAGUGGACAUGCUCAUUUAGGCCCACGCCCAGAUCAAAAUCUCACCUGAAGAAAAAUGAAUUGCUCAGGUCCGUCCCGGUAGACAGAAGACCAGAGGAGAAACCCCGGAUUGGUAAGAGUCGACUAUCAGUUUCUACUCUUGACUCAUUUCACUCACAAGACCAGAAACUGGGGGACUGGUGUUAAGCAAAUAAAAGCACCAGGUCGUCCAGGAUACUACUUCCACCCCGGCAUGAAUCACCUCAGCCAAAUGGUACGAGCAGAACAGGGGUAACAUGAGUCGAUCAGAGACGAAUACUGACCAGAGCCACAUACCGAGCCGGUACUCGUCCCCCGAAAAGCGGAAACACGAUCUCACAGAAUCACGGUAGUUGUGCUUUCCCAGAACCGUUGCGGGAGACGCGAGAUCCCACGUUUGCCCAUAAUGCAGCAGUUAGAGCCCCAUGAGAGGCUACCACUACCCGAAAAAGGUGGGAUGAAGGGCAAGCGGGAACGUGGGGACAGCGGCUAUAAAAGAAGGAGAAAUCGAUGAAGAAGGAGAUAGAAAAAAUUGAGAGAGGGAAAACGCUGCCAAAUUGAAACCAGGCUAUUUUCUUAUAAAACUCCGAAUAAUUUAGAAACCAUUUUGAGAUCUAAAUUGCACUGUUUUCCCGUAAACACCUUGAGCUAACUUAGGCAUCGGAGGGUUUACGCCGGCAAAACCACCGGCGUCUCUGAUCCGUUUUUGGUGAGCGCAGGUCUAUUGUGAGAAAGGAGGACGAUUCCAAUCCCAGUGAACGAGCAACAGUAGAUAACACAAACGUUGGUGAAAGAAUCUGGUCGGUCCAAAGGUGAGCAGAUUUAAGCAUCAACAAUAAUGAUUUGAAGCAAGUCAGCUAAGGCCAAGUGUUUUUAUUAUUUAGGCAAUUAGAUCAUGAAUGGUAAUCUUUCAUUUGAUCAAUUACCUCAAAAUACUCUCAUUUUACGAAGAACGUCAAAUAAUCAAAACUAAUCGUCAUUAAUUAAAAGCUACUGUAGAAAGCCAGAACGGUCUUCCAAAUUGCAAGUUGGAAGAUGUGGGCGGCAUUAGCAACUGUCAGGAAUCUUCAUCCAAGUUGCGAGCCACCCGACCCGAGUCUCAUCAUUUACUUUUGUUUACUUUUAUUUCAUUUUCGUUUACUUUUGAGAAAAGGAAAAUGUAAAGAUUGAAUAAGAAUCACUUGUUUGAAAAUUGAAAAAUGAUCGGAGGACUAAAAUAAGACACAAAAUUGAUUUUUUUUUUAAAUAUAUAUAUUCAAAAUGAUAUCGUUCUUGUUUUAUUUAAAGAAAAAAAUUCGCCUAAAAUGACAUUAUUUUAAAUAUAUUUUUUUGGCAAUUUUUAAUCAAAUUUUAUUUCAAAUAUCAAUCUUGAAAAUUAGUUUAAGAUUUUAUAAUUAGAAGCACACGGGGAUGGGGAUCUCUUCGUUUUAACUUUUGGCCUUAAUCAGUUUUCUGUGAUAUUUUGUUGACUGAAACGCCAAAGAGUUUCGGAGUGGACCAACUAUUCAAAUGUGAGAGAAACUUGCGUGGGAGCUGAGGUGGUGGCUGGUGGGAUAAUCUAUUGGUGCUCGGCUCCGUGAUGGAAUAAACGAAUCCCAUCAUGAAAUCUAUGGCUGGUGGGAUAAUCUAUUGGUCUACUUAUGAUCCGAUUUUGGGAGAAUCUCACUCUUAUCAUCACCUCACAUUUCGCACAAUUUUUUUCAAUUCUUCGUCCACUCUUCGUUCAUUUCAAUGAAAAAGAAAAAGAAAUUAAUAUAAUCGAAUACACUACCUCAGUUAAUUUAGUUCUGCUGACUUAAUUUUUUUAAAAUAUAAAGUCAGUGAAUGCCGCUGUAAAAAUCAAAUAAUUGGUUACCAUUGGGCCGACGCACAUCUCCCAACUCUGCAAGUCUUUCUCCUUCUCAAUCAACAUACUCAAUCGUCUUUGUUUGGGUGAUUAUACUACCAGCCACACAUGCUUUCAUCUGGUCGAGUUAAGAAUCUCCUCAGGUCGGUGUAUUAUGAGCAGACACAAUAGUACCAGGGUCCUAUUCGGCGUAUGGCUAAAAGUCGACAAGAGAACUGUUCCUUAAAGAUCAGACACGACACCACAUCUAGGCGAUGGUUUCGCCAUUUCCCAACCGUACGGGGAAAGGUACAAUAACUUAUGCACGAUUUUUACAAAUCCUCAAAACCCACGAAGGCCCGAAUAUGUAGGACCUGGGGAUGUUCUAGAUACAUGGGGAGGCUGCCUAUAAAAACCCCGAAAAAAACAACAAAAGGAAAAAAAGAAAAAAGAGGACGUAGGGAUGUUAUGAUGGAAUGUAUCUCCUCACCCACUAUGCAGCUCUUGUGGAAUGGGGAACUUACGGAAUCGUUCAUCCCUUCGAGAGGAAUUCGGCAAGGCGACCCAAUUUCACCCUAGAUAUUUGUGAUUUGCAUUGGGAGGCUGAGCCAUGGUAUUAAUCAAGUUGUUCGGGAAGGUAGAUGGAAACCAAUUAAGCUUGCUUGUCAAGGUAUCCCUAUCACUCAUGUUUUCUUUGCUGAUGACCUUCUGUUGUUGACAAAAGCCUCUGUUUCUCAGGCGCAUGUAAUCAAGGAUGUUCUCAACGUUUUUUGCACGAGUUCUAGGGAAAAAGUUAGCAAUGGCAAAACGUGGACUUUUUUCUCCCAUAAUGUGAAGGCUUCUGAUGCUAAAAAUAUUGGAGAAAAGCUCAGUUUCACCACAACAAAGGACCUUGGUAAUUACCUAGGUAUGCCUUUGUUGCACAAGAGGAUUAGAAAGCAAACUUAUCAAAGCCUGAUUGACCGAGUUCAACAAAGACUCUCGGGUUGGACGGCCAAGCAUCUUUCUCUUUCCGGUCGGAUAACUUUAACACAAUUGGUCAUUCAAGCCCUACCCAUCUAUUCCAUGUAGACUGUCAUGCUACCUGCAAGUAUUCGAAAUAAAAUCGAUCAGAUUUGCACACUUUUUAUCUGGAGCGGGAUUGAAGAGGCCAAGCGCAUGCAUCUUAUUAAGUGGGAUAAGGUACAGCUUCCUAAAUGUUGUGGGGGUCUUGGAAUUAAAAAUCUUAAUCUCAUGAAUAAGGCUUUGCUGAUGAAAAUUGGUUGGAAUCUAUUUGGCUCUCCUCACAGUUUUCUGGAUCCAGGUGUUAAGUAAUAAAAAGUACUAGCUCGGCCAUGCCCUCAUCUCUUACCCUGAGGCGAAUCUCCUCAGUUGAAAGACACGAGAAGAGUUCGGGUAAAACAUCUUAUACGGGUAUGUGCCAACUAGAGACGAGCACCAACUAGAGAAAUAUACUGACCAGAGAGGAGCACUGACCAGAUGCUCGUCACCCAAAGAAAGGGCAUACGAUCUCACGAAAUCGCGACAGUUUCGCUAUGCCCCGAACCGUUGGGAAAGACGUGGCAUCCUACGUUUACCCACAAUCUAGUGGUUGGAGACCCAUGAGGGUUUGCCAUCACCCGAAAAAGGGGGACAUGAAGAGUAUGCAGAAACGUGGGACAACGACUAUAAGAAUCCAGGAAACCGAUGAAAAAAGGGGGAGAAAAAUCGAGAAAAAAAGGAAAACUCUGCCAAAUUAAAACCCGAUGGUAUUCCAUACAAGUUUUUGAGAGCAUUACAAGAAAUCACACAAUCUAAUUUACAUAGUUUUCUUGUAAACACCUUGUGCUAACUUAAGCAUCAGAGAGUUUAUGCCGGUAAAACUACUGGUGACUCUUAUCCAUUUUUGUGAACGCCGGCUUAGGAAGAGGAAAAAUGGUGAUUCCAACCCCAGGGACUCAAGCAAUCGUUGAAACAGAAAGAAGGUGACAUCUUCUCUAUCGACCAUAUAAACGUUGGUGAAAAGAUCUGGUCGGGCAAAGGGCGAGCAAAUUUCAACAUCAACAUUUUGGCGCCGUCUGUGGGGAGCUGGAUAAAAAUCUACCACCAAGUUAGUAGUCAUUAAAGGAGCAGCGAACGAUCGGUUAUGGAUGUGUCAAGGAAGGAUGCCCUAGGGGGCGACAAUGAAACUGGUGAAACAAUCACUCUCCGAGAGAUCGCAAAUGAAGCUAGAGAGAGGGUGAUGCAAGACCGAAUGGAACAGAUGGAGAAGCAAAUGGAGACUCUCACGGCUAUAUUACAUGAGCUGAGGGAUGAGCAGAGAAGGGAUUGUGAAACCACCGUGGCGAGGGAUGAAGCCGUGGCAAAACCCAGCCUGCGAAGGCAUAGAAUUGAGGAGAUCCCUCCGCUGGUACACCAACCCUAUGGGGUGCAUUCCCAUAGAAGUGCAAGUCGGAUCCCAAGAGAGCGCGUAGGUGAAGGGAGAGACCAAUCUCGCUUCGGACGAGUUCUGGAAAUUGAUGGCUGAGGAGCGAAUAUUGAUGAAGGAGAGCUCAGACAGUGGCUGCAUAAUGCCGAGCAGGAGCGAGAUCAAAUAGCUGCGCGCGAUCCUAACUGCGCUUUAGAAUUGGAGGGUGAGGUACGCAGGUUGGCUCAGGUGAUGGAUGAGAUUUAAAGCAAGAGAAAGCCCCCGAGCUGGAGGAUAAUGUUGGAUGAAGAAUCUCCGCUAUCAGCCGAGAUCAUGGGUACUGUAAUCCCAAGAGAUUUCCGCUUUCCCGACCUCAAAUACUCCGAGAGAAGUGACCCGCUGGUGCAUAUUGAGCAUUUCAACGACAUGACGAGUGUACAGGGGCUGACACUAGCUCAAAAGUGCAGGGUGUUUCCAUUGACACUAGAGGGGCGAGCCCGAGAAUGGUACCGUAAGCUGCCACGAGGAAGUAUAGGGGGAUAUGAGCAGAUAUGCCAAGAGUUGGCCGAGCAGUUCCGAGGAACGGUAGCUCCAGAGGACGAUAUGAUGGAAUUGAUGGGGAUGAAGCAGGAGGAACACGAAUCCCUUCGGGAUUUUGUGAAAAGAUAUCAUUGGGUCGUGCUUGAUCUGGGAGCUUUCAAUCACCCGCAGGCAUUGAGGGGAUUAAAAGAGGGAGUGAGGAUAGGCUGAUUGUGGUACAACUUGAGAAGUCCCAUCGUUCAGAACUAUUCGACGGGGUAUGAGCAGGCGAAGAGAGACAUAAAAAUUGAAGAAGAAAAAACGGCAAGGAUAAAGAGUGAGCAGCUAGAGGAGCUGAGGCGAAAGGAAAAGAGAACCCUGAGUGGGAGCGGGUCGGGAAAGCGAGCUGGGGAAUCAUCAGUGAUGGGUGGAAUAUCAGCUCGGUCUCGCCCUUAUCCCAUGACUCAGAGACCGCAACAAUUUCAACACAGCCGAGCUCAGCCUCAACGCCCCUCAUUCGCAGAGCGGCAACAAGAAUUCCGGCAGGUGGCUGCCCAUCCUUAUCAUAAUGCUCCCAGGGCAUUACAUGCAGUUAAUUCCAGGAUUGGUCGACCAAACCAGCUACCUACAGUGCCAGCCCGGGAUGAUAUCUACGAUAGCCGAGCGGUCCAACUGAUUGAUCAGAGCUCAGCGUAUAAACAGUACACCCCAUUGAAAGUCUCUAUGUAGGAGUUGUAUGAGAGGAUCGAGGGACGAGGCCUGCUAUACCCUCCUGCCCCUAUAACCAAACCCGCUCACAAAUGGGAUAAAAGCAGAUUCUGUAAAUUCUACGAUACUCAUGGCCACACUAUCAGCCAGUGUCGUGACCUGAAGACUCAGGUGGAGGAUUUGGUGAGAAACCGAUACUUGGAUGAGUAUGUAGAUGGGGCAUUCUCUAUCCUUGAGUCACAAUAUACUCAGAGGGAUGGAGACGAGAGGAGUCUGGAGCAUGAGCAGCCAACCAUUCGGGUGAUCGCAGGAGGGCCAACAUUGGCUGGGGAUUCAAACAUGGCACGGAAGAAUUACGGGAGAUAUGCCAUGACCAGCAAAGAGGUGCUUUUCAAAUUGCCAACAGCCAAGAGGGCGAAAGUGAGGCAAGUUCUCAUUAUGUAGACAGAUGAUGACAAAGAGGGUGUUUUAUAUCCUCAUGAGGAUGCACUGGUGAUUAAGGCAAUGAUGGCUGGUAAAGAAUUACGGCGAAUAAUGGUGGACACAGGCAGCUCGGUUGAUAUACUGUUUAAGUUGGCCUUAGAUGAUAUGAGAAUUGCGGACUUAAAAUUGGAGCGGACGAAUACAUCCUUGAAGGGAUUUGAAGGAGGACAGUUAAACCCCAUGGGGAUCAUCGAGCUCCCGAUUACUGUAGGGUCGAAGCCGUUUGAAAGAACAAUGAUGUUGGACUUUGUCGUGGUAGAAGAGAAAAGCUCUUACCAGAUGAUACUAGGACGACCUUUCAUGAGGGUAAGCCAAUGUGUCAUAUCCACGCAUUAUCUGGCAUUGAAAUACAGAGUGAAUGGAGUCGUGGGCGUAGUAAAAGGUGAUCAGAGAAUGACGAUGAGUUGUUACGCUACAACGGCCAAGGAAACACUACAAGUUACCACUCUGGAUAACCGAGGAGAUUCUAAAAAGGGUCGCCAGGAACUAGCUGAGAAAUUGGAAGAGGUUUUGGUGAGCAAGAGUAACUCGAGCAGAGUGGUAAGGAUCGGGUCAGGAUUGGGCGAGGCAAUAAAAGGCGAGCUGGUAAAGUGCCUACAGUCCCACGCAGAUAUAUUUGUCUGGUCGCAUGAAGACAUGCCAGGAAUUGAUCCCGGGGUAGCUUGCCACAAGUUGGCAAUUAGGAAAGGGGCAAGACCGGUGAGGCAGAAAAGGAGGUUUUUUAACCAGGAAAGGUACGAGGCCAUGCUGAGGUGGAGAAGUUGUUGAGAGCAGGAUUUAUAAAGGAGGCUAAAUACCCAUAGUGGAUUUCCAAUGUAGUGUUGGUAAAGAAGGCCAACAGGAAAUGAAGAAUGUGUAUGGAUUUCACGGACCUGAACAAGGCAUGCCCAAAGGAUAGUUUUUCCCUACCUAAAAUAGAUCAAUUGGUUGACUCAACAGCGGGUCACAGUCUGCUUAGCUUCAUGGAUGCCUUCUCGGGAUACAACCAGAUACCCAUGGACAAGCAGGAUGAGGAGUGUACCACCUUUAUAACUAACAUGGGUUUGUUUUGCUACAGGGUGAUGCCCUUUGGCCUAAAAAAUGCAGGGGCUACCUAUCAAAGGUUGGUGAAUAAGAUUUUCAAACCAUUGAUCGGUCACACUAUAGAGGUAUACGUGGACGAUAUGAUCAUGAAGUCUAAAAGACCAAUGGAUUAUGUGAAGCACUUGGAAGAGACCUUUGAACUACUGAGGAAAUACCAAAUGAAGUUGAAUCCGGAGAAAUGUGCGUUUGGAGUUAGCUCGGGCAAGUUUUUGGGAUUCCUGGUGAGCCACCGAGGGAUCGAGGCCAACCCGGAAAAAAUACGAGCAGUAAUAGAAAUGAAGUCCCUCCAAACAGUUAAGAAGGUGCAAAGUCUUACGGGGAAAUUGGCAGCAUUGAACCGGUUCAUCUCGCGGGCCACGAAUAAAUGUCACCCUUUCUUCCAAACCAUAAAGAAAGGGAGGAAAAUUGAGUGGACAUCAGAAUGUGAGGAGGCAUUCGGGCAGUUGAAGGAAUAUCUUGCCCGUGCCCCGUUACUAUCGACUCCGAGAGAAGGUGACAAGCUGUAUUUGUACUUGGUUGUCUCUAAAUGGGCUACCAGCUCGGUAUUAGUUAGAGAAGAAGAAGGAAAGCAACACCCCAUGUAAUACAAUAGCAAGGCCCUUGUGGACGCAGAAACUAGAUAUCCACUGAUGGAGAAAUGGGUGUUAGCUUUAAUAACGGUAGCGUACAAGCUCAGACCGUACAUUCAGGCCCACUCGAUAGUAGUGAUGACUGACCAACCUCUUUGGCAAAUGCUCCAAAAACCAGAUGCUUUUGGUCGGCUAGUAAAAUGGUCUGUAGAGCUGAGCGAAUUUGAUCUAUCUUAUAAACCACGAGGAGCAAUCAAAGCCCAAGCCCUGGCCGAUUUUAUGGUUGAUCAUGUUGAACCAGGGGAAGAAGUUCAGGAGGAGCAACCAGCUGAACAGGAGAAACCAAAGAGGGUGUGGCUGGUAAUAGUUGAUGGGUUGCGUAGUGAACAGAGAUCCGAAGCAGGAGUGGUAAUACGAAGCCUAGAAGGGGCCGAGGUAUCCUAUGCAGUAAAAUUUGAAUUCCAGCUCACGAAUAACUAAGCCGAAUAUAAAGCCUUCAUCACUGGGCUCGGGCUUGCACACACAUUACGAGCAGAGAGGGUAGAAAUCCGAGCAGACUCCCAAUUAGUCUGUAAUCAGCUCAGUGACUAAUUCCAAGCGAGGGAAGAGAAGAUGGGACUUUAUUUGAAGAAGGCAAAGCAGAUGGUUGGGCUUUUCCAAAAAGUAGAAAUAAAGCAGAUAUCCCGAAAUGAAAAUUACCGAGCAGAUAUAUUGGCCAAAAUGGCCAUAAUUACGGAUCCAAAGUUACCCAAGUCAGUUCCAUUGGAAGUGAGGACCUCGCCAAGUAUAGGGGAGGAGGUAGAAGUAAUGCGGGUGAACACUAAAAAAUCCUGGAUGGACCCGAUUCUCUCAUACAUCCGCGAUGACAUUUUACCAUAAGACAGGAAGCAAGUAAGAAAGUUAAAAUGUCGGGCAGCAAGGUAUAUGCUACUCGAUGGGGUACUCUACCGUCGAGAAUUCACUUUGCCCCUUUUGAGAUGUUUGGAUGACGAGGAAGAAAAUUAUGUGCUGAGGGAGGUUCAUGAAGGAAUAUGCGGCAACCACUCGGGGGUAUGGACUUUGGUCUUCAAGGCACUCCGGUAAGGGUACUUCUGGCCGACUAUGCACCAGGAUGCGAAGGGGAUGGCAAAAAACUAUAAAGUCUGCCAAAGCUUCUCGGAGGUUCCUACUCAACCCCUAGAAAAGCUAACCGCUAUGUCAUCCCCAUGGCCUUUUGCCCAGUGGGGAAUUGACCUGAUUGGCCCAUUACCCAAAGGCCGAUGAGGCGCAACACAUGCAAUUGUGGCUAUAGAUUACUUUACUAAAUGGGUAGAAGUGGGAGUCCUCAAUCAAAUUACGGAGAGAAAGACAACAGAUUUUAUCUGGAAGAAUAUCAUCUGCAGAUACGGAAUCCCUAUGCAAUCAUAACAGACAAUGAGAGGCAGUUUGACAACCACAACUUUUGAGAAUUUUGCCAAAACUUGGGUGUCGAUCUGAAGUUUUGUACCCCGGCACACCCCUAGGCAAACGGGCAAGUAGAAGCAGCCAACAAAGUAAUAAAGAAACUUCUGAAAACCAAGCUAGGAGAGAAGAAGGGAGCUUAGUUCGACGAGCUACCAAGAGUGUUAUGGGCCUACCGAACAACCCAUAAAACUGCCACAGGAGAAACCCCGUUUGCCUUAGCUUUCGGUCAUGAGGCAGUAAUCCCAGUAGAAAUGGGGGUGGGAACACAUCGGACAGAGUAUUUCAACGAGGAACAAAAUGACAAGCAGAUUUGCAUGAGCCUGGACCUGCUGGAAGAAAAAAGAGAAGGGGCAUCGCAGAGAGUGGCCAAAUGCCAGCAAAGAAUCAUGCGCUAUUACAACAAGAAUGUACGCAUGAGACAAUUUCGAGCAGGAGAUUGGGUACUUAGAAAAGUGAACCAAAACACAAGAGAUUCUAAUCAUGGCGUUCUUGGCCCGAAAUGGGAGGGCCUGUACAGAGUAGUACAAACAACUAGCCCAGGAGCUUACAAGCUGACUUACCCAGAUGGACGAGAUGUGAAGAGGUCGUGGAACGCCGAGCACUUGAAGAAAUACUUCCAGUAAGCAAAGUGCUUUACCAAGUUUUUAUUUUGAUAAGCUAUUUCUGUUAAAUGCAUGAUGAUGAAUUGUGACACAUGCAUGUAUUUCGCCUUUUGUAAUCUAUGCAAAGUUCAAUAAAGAUGAAUUCAGCAUAAAGUUCCCUUGCUAGACAAAUUUUACUAAGACAAGCAAGUGCCUAUUCCUGCUCGGUCGCCUAAAGGGCCAGCAGGCAAAAUCCAUUAAAUUUACUAAGGCAAGCAAGUGUCUAUUCCUGCUCGGUCGCCUAAAGGGCCAGCAGGCAAAAUCCAUUAAAUUUACUAAGGCAAGUAAGUGCCUAUUCCUGUUCGGUCGCCUAAAGGACCAGCGAGCAAAAUCCAUUAAAUUUACUAAGGCAAGCAAGUGCCUAUUCUUGCUCGGUCGCCUAAAGGGCCAGCAGGCAAAAUCCAUUAAAUUUACUAAGGCAAGCAAGUGCCUAUUCCUACUCGGUCGCCUAUAGGACCAGCAGGCAAAAUUCAUUAAAUUUACUAAGGCAAGCAAGUGUCUAUUACUGCUCGAUCGCCUAAAGGACCAGCAGGCAAAAUCCAUUAAAUUUAUUAAGGCAAGCAAGUGCCUAUUCCUGCUCAGUCGCCUAAAGGACCAGCAGGCAAAAUCCAUCAAAUUUACUAAGGCAAGCAAGUGUCUAUUCCUGCUCGGUCACCUAAAGGACCAGCAGGCAAAAUCCAUUAAAUUUACUAAGGUAAGCAAGUGCCUAUUCCUUCUCGGUCAUUGAAGGACCAGUAUGCAAAAUUCUACGAAACCGUUAAAGCAAGGAAUCGUCUAUUUUUCCUCAGUCACCCAGAGACAAGCAAACAUAUUUUUUAAAGUAAUUUGCAAAAACAACUCGUAAGCAAAAUCAUGGCAAGAAAGCAACCAAAAAGUGUCAAACAUUUAUAAACAUCCAAGCGUUUGUAAACAAAUGAAAAUUCAGAAUUUACAUAAAAAGCAAGCCUAAGGAUUAUGAGGUUCAGCGGCCUCAGUAGGAGAAGGAUCAGUAGUCUCGAAAAGAGGAGGACUAGCGACUUCUGGAGGAGCAGACGUUGACCCAUGGCCUACUUCCAGGGCGUGAUCCCCUGCUUCCUCCUCCUGCACCCCACCUGGAGGUGCCUCAACCUGAUCCUGGUCCCCUUGGUCCUUAUUUUCCUGAUCUAACUCGGCCAUAUACUUCUGCACUCCUGCCUCCAGCUUGCUCAUGUUAAGUUCUAGAUAUUCCUUCUUAAGCACAAACAUGAUGCACUUGUAGCUAAAGGCGAGCCCAAAGUUAUACUCUGCAUCCAGCCAAUCGUCCACCUCAGCAGAUUUACCUUUCAGUUCGGCUACCUGCUCAUUCAAGGACUUGAUUUGCUCCUCGAGGGUCGUCCUCAAGGUAUCUCGUUCACUUUGAGUAGCCUGGAGAUUAGACUUCAGGUCACCUAACUUGCUCUUAAGCUUGGAGGAGUUGGACUCAACAAUGGCCACUUUCUCCUCCAGGUCCAUGAGCUGCUUGUGCAAAUCAACCAGCUUCUCCUUCGAGCGAUCAGCAAAAUCAGCCUUUUUCUUCAAGUCCUGGUUGUCAGCUUGAAGCCUCCUCUCAUGGCGUGUGGAUUUGUUCUUGUAGCAAGAAACCAAAGUAGCCAACUUAAAGGAGACCCUCUGAACGGAUCCAGCUAACUCGCUAAGGUUCAUGCUCUCAAUAUCUUUGACCAUUUUGGGUCCCACCGACUUGCCAUAGUCCCUCUGGUAUGGGGUCAGAUAGUCACUCUGGUCCCGAGGCGGAAGAGGAGAUGAUCGGUCUCCAGAUUGAAUAUUGACCUCAGGACUCUUGUCGCUAACCUUCUCCCCCCCUCCCCCCCCAUUGUUUCGAGGUGGAGGAGGAGGCAGAGCAGGAGCAGAAGCCUUGGAAGAACCAAUAUUGGUUUUCUUCAGGGGAGGGGGAGUUACUGGAGCCACCUGAACCCCGAGCACGUUUCCUUGACAUAGCGCUAAGGAUCUUAUUAUCCAUCCCGACAGCUACGUCCACUAAGCGUGACCCAACGAGAUUUAUUGACGACAGGAGAUCUUGAUAGGUAGACAUAUUCACCAGAGCAGUUUCCACCUUGAGCAAUGGUUUGUCGUCAAGUUUCUUGAUCAGGCCCCACGACUCUGAAAGAAUAAACAAGGUUAAGGAACCCAAUAAGUAACGAUCAGAGAAGUGAAAUAUGCAGAAAAAAUAAACGACCUGGGGUGACAAAAUACGUUGGAAGGUGAAUAUCACCACCAAGCGAAUGGAUUGCUGGACACCAAUUUCCCCCAGCAAAGAAGAAUUUAUUUUUCCAAUUUUUACAUGAGGAAGGAAAGCCGAUGAUAGGCUUCUUUUUUACAGAGCUUGACAUGAAGUAGUACCAGCCUGCUUCCUUUGGGCUGCUCCUCAGCUGAUACAAAUGCUUUACUUCCACAAGGGAAGGCUCUCCGAGCCCACACCUUUCCCAUAGCACAUACAAGGCUGAAAGAACCCCCUAUCUGUUCGGGUGAAGCUGACUUGGAGCCAGGUGCAUACCACCCAAUAUCCUGGCAAAGUAAGGUUGAAGGGGCAACCAAGCUCCUAACUUGAAACUCUCCAGAUGCAUCGUUACAUACCCCCUUGGAGGCCGACUGAGGACGUCACUUUUCUCAGGGAUUACAAGGAGAACCUCUUCAAGGAUAUUGUAAAGAUUUCUAAGCUUGAAUAGGUCAGUGUGGGUAGUAGCACAGGUAAUAUAGUCAAUGGGGUAAGCUUCUGCCUCCAUCCUAUGACCAAGGUUUCUCUUCUUAGAGGGUCUGCUCGGCUCGAAACUGUUAUCCUCACCGUCACCCACUUCCUCAGAGACCCCAGCCCCCCCAGAACUGUGAUUUUCACCAGAGCCCAAAGCUGGUCCACCGCGGUUUCCCACGGGUUCUAAAUCAAGGGAAGGCAAAGUGGUCAUGGGGCGAGGGUAUUCAAGGGUAUCCCUAUGAUAGGAGGGACCUACACAACAAGAAGAGCAUAGGGGAUCAUUGGGUCCAAAUAGGUUGGGGUAUGAAUCCUCUACCUCUUCGUCACUCUCAUCUACAAUUAUUUUUCCCUUUCGGUUUGACAUAUCGAAAUCUUAAAAGGGAAAACACAGCAAAUCCAAGUAUAUGGGUACAAAAAAAGGACAAUACAGAACCCAAGCAACAACAACCUGAGAAGAAGUUAAAUGCGAUACCUGGAAUAGAUUGGCACUGGUAGCGUUGCCGUGACGGAGAAAGGGCCCAGCAAACAGAGGUUUCUAACGCGGAAAGUGCGAUUAAAGUCCAAAGAGGGAGUUGGCUUACGGUAGAAUGGCAGAUAGCGAAACGCGAUGGUAGUUUCAAUUUAGGGAUUUGAAAUGAAAAUGGGGAAUGAAGGCGUUUAAGUUACGCGGAGGCCAGUUCAAUUGCCGUAUAUCGAAGACAGAUAAGCCAUCAUUUCAAAUUUCAAAUGCAAAAGGACAAGAAGCGACACGUCACUGGCCGUUAGAAAAGGCCUGAUGAGAUGUUAGCCCAGUUAUAUAUUGGACACGCUCACGAAGGUCCAUACUCAGGCCGAAGUCUCCUUAAACAAAAGAAGGAACCUCAGAUCCAUCACAAUAACACGAAGACCAUAGAGAUAUUUCCCGAGGUCGGUAAGAUAUAAUUCUCAGUUUCUAAUCUCAACUCAUUUCACUCGCAAGACUAGAAACUGGGGGACUGGUGUUAAGUAAUAAAAAGUACCAGCUCGGCCAUGCCCUCAUUUUUUACCUCGAGGCAAAUCUCCUCAGCUGAAUGACACGAGAAGAGUUUGGGUAAAACAUCUUAUACGAGUAUGUGCCAACUAGAGACGAGCAUCAACUAGAGAAAUAUACCAACCAGAGAGGAACACCGACCAUAUGCUCGUCACCCAAAGAAAAUGCACACAAUCUCACGAAAUCGCGACAGUUUCGGUAUGCCCCGAACCGUUGGGAAGGACGUGGCAUCCCACGUUUACCCACAAUCCAGUGGUUGGAGACCCAUGAGGGUCUGCCAUCACCCGAAAAAGAGGGACAUAAAGAGUACGCAGAAACGUAAGACAACAGCUAUAAAAAGCCAGGAAACCGAUGAAAAAAUGGGGAGAAAAAUAAAAAAAAAAAAAGAAAAACUCUGCUAAAUUAAAACCCGAUGGUAUUCCAUACAAGUUUUUGAGAGCAUUACAAGAAAUCACACAAUCUAAAUUAUAUAGUUUUUCCGUAAAUACCUUGUGCUAACUUAAGCAUCGGAGGGUUUACGCCAGUAAAACUACCGGCGUCUCUGAUCCAUUUUUGUGAACGCAGGCUUAGGAAGAGGAAAAAGGGUGAUUCAAACCCCAGGGACUCAAGCAAUCGUUGAAACAGAAAGAAGGUGACAUCUUCUCUAUCGACCAUAUAAACGUUGGUGAAAAGAUCUGGUCGGGCAAAGGGCGAGCAGAUUUCAGCAUCAACACCAGGUAUUGAUGUCUAAAUAUAUGGUUGAUAAGGACAAUCUCCCUCUUGCACUUCCACCCCGAUAUGGAUCUCCAUUAUGGAAGGCUGUGGGAAAUGUCUUGAAUGAGGUUGUCCAAGGGACUCGUUGGGUUAUUGCGAAUCGGAGGCUAGCUAAAUUUUGGAAGGAAUCUUGGCUGGAGGUCAGAAUUUGUUUGCAAUAUUACGCUCUCGGAUCGAUCCAUGGGAACAUCCUAAAUGAGUGUAUGGCUAAUUUCGUUGAUGUUAUUGGUACUUGGAAAUGGGACCAUUUUUCUUCUUUGUUGCCACACUAUAUUCUCCUCAAAAUAGCUGGCACUAUGCCCCCUUCUACCAAUGGGGAAGAUGAUUGCCGUUAUUGGGGACCAGCGAGGUCGGGUUCGUUUAGUGUGAAAUCUACUUACUUAUCCCUCCUCAAGCCAUUGCCAAGUACGAAUAACUCCUUUUGGAGUUUGAUAUGGAAAUGGCAAGGCCCCCAAAGUAUCCAUUGUUUUCUGUGGCUACUGAUGCAUAAUCGUUUGAAAACCAAUGAGGAAUUAUCACGAAGACAUAUGCUUAAUAAUAGUAUUUGUAUGCGGUGUGGGCAUAUCAGGGAGGAUGCCCUUCAUACAGUCAGGGAUUGUGUGGACUCCAAAUGUAUUUAGUUAGCACUUCUUCCAGAACACACAAGGCAUACCUUUUUUGUGUUGGAUCUACGUGCAUGGAUUGUUUGUAAUCUGAAAAACCUAUUGAAGAUCACUAAGGAGACGGAUUGGCCAGUGUUGUUUGGUGUCACUGUGUGCAGAAUGUGAUAUUGGCAUAAUCAAUUUGUUCAUGCACAUAGGACGAGCAGCCUUUUCAACGUAAUCAUGGACCUGAAGAAUCGUUCGGAAGAGUCAUUGUUGUUUCUAAGUCUUUAUGUAAUCAAAGAAGGCCAAAAACCGUGCAUUGGAUCUCAUGGCAGCCCCCAACAUGGCCAUUUCUAAAACUCAAUAUGGAUGGAGCUUUGAAGAGAUCGGGUUUGGCAAGUGAUGGUGGCUUGGUAAGGAAUUAUUGUGGGGAAUGGAUUUGUGGUUUCAACAUGAAUUUGGGUAGUUGUUCCAUUAUGGAAGCUGAGUUGUGGAGGUUGUACCAAGGCUUAAAAAUUGCUUGGGACUAUGGUUUUCACUUACUGCAGGUUGAGGUGGAUAAUUUGGGAAUCACGCAACUCCUGACUACCUCUAGUGGUAACCAUAAUAGCAUAUCCUCGUUGUUAUAGGGCACCAAGAUUUACUUAACAGAGAUUGGCAUGUAUCAGUGAAGCAUGUGUAUAGAGAGGCGAAUUUUGCUGCCGAUUUCCUUGCAGGGAUGGCUCUCACCCUCCCCUUGGGUGCCAUACUCUUCAUUCACCUCCUAUAGGCGUGCAUUAUUGUUUGUUCAAUGAUGGACUAGGGACUGCUUUUUCUCGUUUUGUUUAGCGUAGCGGCAAUCUAGGCUCCUCUUGUACCCAAAAAAAAAAAAGGGGAAAACUCUGCCAUUUUGGAUCUAGAACUUAUUUCCAAAAAGCUUUCUAAAAAACUUCCUUCAUUUAAGAAUUGUUGGUUUUGAUAAUUCAAUGUUUUUUUCAAAAACCCUGCAUACUGACUUAAGUAUCGGAGGGUUCUCGUAGGAGAAACCACUGGCAUCCCUGAUCCAUUUGUGUGAGUGCAGGUCAGAAGAGAAGGAGCAAGGUUAGUUGAGGUCAUUAAACCUAGGGAUGGGCAAAAUACCCGAUCCGACCCGAUCCGAAAAUUUUCGGGUUCGGAUCGGGUUGUGAAUAAAACUCGAUCGGGUGCAAUUGUGUCAACCCGAUCGGGUCGUGUUUGGAUCGGUUAAAACCCGAUCCAAUCCGAAAACCCGAUCAAGUUGACAUAAAAUCAAAAAUCAUAACCCAAAGGCCCAAACCUUAUCCUAAUUCCUAAACACUCACUAUCACACACACCACUCAACACACGACACACACAACCCUUACAAACAAAAGCCUAACCACUGUAUAUGGCACAACUGCACAAGCACUAAGCAGCAGUGAGCAACCCACUGCCAACUAGUGCGUCAUCCACCCACAGGCGACGGCCUCCCUCGCUUGCAACUUGGAACCCACCACCGACAGCCACAUAGCCCGUCGCCUACAACAUCCUCCCUCAAACAAACAAAACACACACAUACACCCCCACACACGCACACACACAAAGUUAAUGCCUUAACAGAGCAAGCUGUAGCAGACCACCAUGCAGCAACCACCGAGCCUCCACGAGGAUCGUGAUCUGAUUCCGAUCGACCGAUCUACUGCUACAAAGUAUCGGAUCUACUGUGCCACCUCAAAGCCUCCAUUCCUCCACCAUCACCCGAUCCGAUUCAAGCUCCAUUAACCCAGCAAGCAGCAACCCGAAUUUUGGUUGUUGAGUCGAGUUUUGGAAGCUUUGAGUUUGAGCUUUGAAACUUGAUGGUGAUGAUAUUUGUGAAAGUAAAGUGUUAAAUGUUAAUAAGCAUUUUCCUAAUCCGACCUGUCUCGAACCAGAAUCCGAACCGAUCCAAACUCAACCCGAACUUAUAACCCGAUCUAAUCCGAUCCAAAGUUACUUUGGAUCGGAUCGGAUCGGGUUAUAAAUUCGGGUUGAAUUCGGAUGAAUUUUUAUUCAAUCCGACCAACCCGAAAUCCGAUUGGAUUGAUACGAACCCGACCCUAACCUGAUUUUGCCCAGCCUUAGUUAAACCAACUUGAUUAGAGAGAGAACGAGCAGCUUUGCGCCUCACCCAGAGAAAACUUAAGCGUUGACGAGAAAACCUUGUCGGUCCUCCACGUACGACCAUAUUUAUGCAUCAAUAUUUUGGCGCCGUCUGUGGGGAGCUGAACAAAAAGCUACCACUAGCAAAGCAACUCAUAGGGAGAAUUAGGCAUGUGGACAUGAAUAUGGGAAAGAGUGAUGCAUGAGCAAAUGAAGCUGAUGGAAAAGUAGAUGGAGACCCUCACCGCCAUCUUACAUGAGCUGAAGAACAAGCAAAGAAAGGCUUAUGAUGCAAAUGCAACAAGGGAUGAUGUUGCCAUAGAGCCCAGUCACCGAAGGAAUAGAAAUAAAGAGAUCCCUUCAAUAGGGGGAUAACUCAACGGGGUGCCUAACAAUGGAGUAGGAACUCAGACUUUGAGAGAAUGUGAGCACGAAGGGAGAGAUCAAUUCCACAAAUGGACAAAUCUUGAGAAGUUGUAGUAGAGGAGCGAAUGCCGAAGAAAGCAAGCUAAGGCAGCACCUACACAACAUCGAACAAGAAUGUGACUAGGUUGCAACACGUGAUCCUGGUUAAGCCUUGGAACUGGAGGGAGAAGUACGACGAUUGACACAAAUAAUAGACGAAAUGCAGGGCAGGAGAAAGCCCUUCAGUUGGAGAAUAAUGUUGGAUGACGAAUCUUGGCUUUCAGUUGAGAUUAUGGGCACUAUGAUAUUAAGAGAUUUUCGUUUUCCCAACCUCAAAUACUAAGGAAAAGUGACCCGCUGGUGCACGUCGAGCACUUCAAUGACAUGAUUGGAGUGCAGGGGCUAACACCAGCGCAGAGCUGCAGAGUAUUCUCUUUGACAUUGGAAGGACGAGCACGAGAUUGGUACCUUCCCUUUGACACCGGUAGGGACUUGCAACUUCCAAAAACCUUUGAUUAACCCAAAAAAAAAAAAAAUACAUAUAGUUUGAAAUUAUAUGAUGAUCGAUAGGUAUGUAAUUUUGUAGUAAUAUUUUAUUUGAUCAUUUAUUUUUUGGUAUUCCGUGAAAGGUGUGCAAAAUUAGAUAAUAUUUCUCUGAAACUUGUAUUCCUUCUGCGAAACAUCACAUGCUGAGAGCUUCGACUAAACUAGUUUCAAUUGUACGUCGACUAAACUAUCUGCUUAUUCUACGAUUAAUGCCAACUUUGAUGAUAUCAAGGCAGAAACAGAGAAGUGAAAGAGUGAAAGUACAGCCAUUCAGCGCAGAGUUUCUGAGACGAAAGCAAAGUGUAAGAGAUUGAAGAGAAGGCUGAGACCAGUGCGAAACUAGAUCAUUACUCAAGUCUCAUCACUAACCUCUUAGAUGUUUUGUUUCUGUAGGCUACACUGGUUGGUUCUAAUCACAAAACUUAGGAUUCUACUGGAAACAUGUUGUUCAAAAAAUUGCACAAUUCAAUCUUUAUUGUGGCUACCCAGACCGAAAUAAAUGCUCUAUUUGGUUUCACUUUGAAUUCUGCAAAUUUGUGAACAACAAUUUCCAGCAAGAUCCUCAAUUUGUGAUUAUAACUGAUGACGGUAAUCUAUAGAAGGAGAAAUCAUUUAGGACAUCAGUGAAAGAUUUGAGUAAUGAUUAUUCUUACCAACAAAUUCAUCAAUUUGUCAUGCAGACAGUAGACUCAAUUUACAAAAUUAUUUGUGGAUUGCUACAUCAAUUAUGUUGACAGAAAAGUUGAAGUUUGUUGGAAAACAAAGAGCAUUGUUAUUUGAACAGCUGCAAGAUAUUCGGAAGACAUGCAGAAAUAUGGGUAUUGCUUAUGCUAUAGUGCCAUUGCAGCAUAAAAUUGACAGCAAUGUUUAUGCAACAGUACUGUCUUUUUUUGUCUUCUUAGUGUUUUGCUGAUACACAAAUAUCAUUUUCCACAAACAAAACAUGUAAUAGCAUGCUCCAGGAGCAGUUUCUUACACUCUUGAAGUAGCCUACAAUAAGAUCAAAUCGAACAUUCUCCCUCAAUUUAGUGUUCUAAAACUGAUUUAUAUCUUAACAUAGAAAUGCAAUCUAAAAGCACUAUUAACGAAAGCUCUUCUUGUUUGCAUUAAAAACCAAGAAGAGCUUAUUGUGGUGGGGGGUGGGGGGGUGUGGGGGGGAAAGAGAACCUCAGUCAAAUAAGAUAAAAUUACUUUGGAUGGGUUAUUUACUGUCUAAAAAAAAUUCUAAACACUAUUAUAUUUUAUUGGCUCAUCUAGUAAAUUUAAAAUUUUUAUUUUGCAUACUCUAUUAAAUGUAAAAAACAAAUAUCAUCACACAAAACGACAUGAAACCAUCUAUGUAGCAUCUGAAAUGAGGCCAUUUUUCUGUAUAAUUUUUGAGGCAUUGUAUUAUAUGGAGCUUGAUUUCUUUCUCUUUAUCAAGGGUAAGAUGGCGUUGGCGAUCAAUAGGGUCCCCCUGUUUCUUUGUUUUCAUUAAUAUUACUUCGAAUCCGCUUUCAGGUUGAGUGUCUAAAGAUUUUAUUAAACUUGUGUUUAGUUAAAUGUAUUGAAUUUCUGGAGUAUUUGGUAGUUAAUGAUGAAACUCGGCAUUAGAUGAACUUACAAUCAUUCUAAUGAUAAAUGUUUUUGUCAUCGAAAGUCAUUGAGUAUUAUUGCGGCAGUAAGCUACGUUGAACUAGCAUUCAAGAUAUAACUAUCAAAACAUGUACGUGAUUGCCACUGGUAUUAAAAUCAAAACAUUCAUGCAAUGAUUAAUGAUCUUAAAUUUAAGGUUAAAAAUGACCUAAUCAAUUUCAGCAACUACAUCCAAAUGAUUUUGGUUUUGAUGUUUACAAAUACAUGUAACAUAUAUGUAUUUCUUUUAAAAAUUAUCAUAUGAUUAAUACUUAUAUUUAAUUCACACACACAUCAUUCAGCUUUUGGAAUUCGUCAUUUGGGUCCUCACGUGUAAGCAUCACGUGCACCACUCAUUCUGAGUUUCUAACCAAGUCAAAGUUCAGUUAAAAUUCUUUGCAGCAGGAAGGUGGUGUGGUUUGGUGACUGGUGAAUAGCUCACUCAACUUGUGAACCGUGAUUAGUCAAAUAAUCAAGUACACGUUUCGAAGAAUAACCUCGGAAGGUCUGUCCAGUGUCCACUGUCCAGUAUGAUGACAUGUCAGCAACGUUUUACAACAGGAUCAAGAAGCAGCUAUGGUGUAAGCAUGGUAGUGACAGCGUAGAAGCUGUGUAUGCAUAUCACCCGUCUGUUGAAAUGCUCGCAGUAAUCAAACCUCUUAUAACACUGCUUCAUCUGUCAAGUCAAAUUUUCCUCGGAGUCAAGAAAUGGAGAACUAACAGGUAUGCAUUUCUUAAACCAUUAUUAUAUUCAAACACAAGGAUUCGUAUAAAAGCAUAUCGUUAUUAUAUUCAAACACAGGGAUUCGUGUAAAAGCAUAUUAAUGAAUAUGAAUCUGAUCGCUUUAAACUUUAAUUAACAUGAAACUAAGCAUGACGGAAUCAGCAUUUCUUGAUUUUCUUCAAUUAGCAGAUGCGUGAAUAUGCUCGUGUUUGUGCCUUGUAUUCAUAUAAACGAAAACCUGGUCUAUAAUUCAAUAGUUUAUUAUAUUAUUGGAAUUAAAUAAGUAUAAAAGUGUCCCGGAUGCAUGAUCAGUGAUCACAUCACAAGCCUUGUUGUGCUUCAUCUCACGACGGCUGCUUUAUGUUUGCUUGAGUUGCUUCAUAUAUAGCAGUUAGCAGAUGGCCAAAGUUGGCAAUGGCAUGUGGCAAGCUUAGCAAUUAUAUUAAGCACCUGCCAAGGACACCAGGUUAAUUUUUAUCUCUCAACACUCUGUUUUGCACCGAGAUAUCCAAUAUAUACUGGUUUAUCAAAUAAUUGAUUAAUGCUGAUUGUAUCAGUCUCCUAAUUAGUUAAAUGUUGUUGAAGAUAUAGUUGCUGCUGAGCUGGACAGAGCUGCUGAGCUGGACAAGAUUGAAUGUAACUGAAUGACAUGUUUCAAGAGCUCAAUGGCUAAACUAAAUCUGAAGUUGUUAUUAGUUGUUUUGCAGUUGUUUAAUUAGUUAGAAUAAUUGUAUAUAAGCUUAGCUAAGUAAGCUUAAUAAGCAUUGAAUAUUCUGGUUAAUAAAAUCGUGAAGUUUCCUUUUUCAUUUUCUCUGUUUUUCUUUGUUUCCAAACAUCUUAUUAUGAAUUCUAAUAUGGUAUCAGAGCCACGAAACAUGACGAAUCAAAGCAAUUCAGGAUCGUCUUCACUUUCUUUUUCUUUUAUUCAACCAACAAAACUUGAUCGAACAAAUUAUCUGGUGUGGAGAGCUCAAAUUCAAGCUUCGAUUAUUGCCAAUGGACUUGAAGGUUUUAUCAAUGGAGAAUCUCCUUGUCCAGAUCGUUUUCUUUCCUCAUAUGAGAAUGCUGCCAGUAGAUCAGAAGCUCCUAGCUCAAGCAGACGUGAGAAUUCUGACUAUAUUGACUGGAAGAAAGCUGACAAGCUUCUACAGAGCUGGAUGCUGUCAUCUAUGGUAGACAAUGUACUUAUCAUGGUUGUGGAUUGUGAUACUUCACUUGAGAUCUGGGAGAAACUUGCCGAGAUGUUCAUGUCACAGUCAAAGGCUAGAUACAUGCCUCUGAAAAUACAGAUUCAAACCACAAAGAAAGGAGCUAUGUUAGUAAGUGAUUACUUCAAUAAGAUGAAAAAAAAAUUGCAGACAGCUUAGCUAUUGGUGGUAAUCCUCUUGCUUCAACAGAUUUUAUAAUGCAUUUGCUCACUGGUUUAGAUGACAACUAUGAGUCAUUAGUGACAACUAUACUUGCUAGGCUGGAAAAAGAUAAUCUCACUAUUGAAGAAGUGUAUUCCUUAAUGCUUAGUCAUGAAACUAGGGUUGAGAUGAGUAAGGGAAAGGUGCAAAAUGAAUUGUUGCAUGAUAUGUCAGCUAAUUUUGCUCAGAAAGGACAGAAUUACAAUAAGUUCAAUAAUGCUAAUCAGAGAGGUUUUAAUGGUGGAAAUUUUGAUAAUGGCAAAGGAGGAUAUAAUGUUGAUAAGGAAGUAAUUUGUCAAAUAUGCUUCAUACCUGGUCAUGGAGCAUACAAAUGCAGGAACAGAUUUAAUCAGAACUUUAUUCCUAGACAAGGAAGAGGUGGCUUUAGGCCUAGAGGUGGAUUCAAUUUUAGAGGCUUUCCUGGUCAGCCUCAGAACAUGUUUGGAAGAGGUUAUGGAAAUUUUUAUGGAACUGCAACUGGUGCUCCUAGAUAUAAUGCACCCAUGUUUCAAGGGAAUGUUGCAUAUCAGAAUGCAAAUGUUAUGUAUCCUCAAGGGUUUCCUGUGUUUCAAGGAUUACAAGGUCAAUACAAUGGUGCAAUUGCUACUCCAUUUGCUAACUAUGGAGUUGCUCCUUCUGCUAUUCCCACUGCACAAUUUGCUCCCACUGGUCCAGUUGCUGAUUAUGGAGUUGUAGCUGAUCCUGCUUGGUAUAUUGACUCCGGGGCAACCAAUCAUGUGACUAAGGAAGCAGGUAUCUUUUCUUCUUACUCAGUUUAUCAUGGUUUUGAUAAGCUACAUGUACGAAAUGGCAUGGGAUUACAUAUUAAACAUGUUGGGUGCACACGAUUGAAUACACUUGCUGCAACAUCUAUCUAUCUUAAUAAUAUUUUGCAUGUCCCAACUAUAACCAAAAACCUUUUAAGUGUAUCUAAAUUACUUGCUGACAAUGAUGUUGUUGUUGAAUUCCAUAAAACCUCAUGUUUUGUCAAGGACAAGAAAUCAGGGAUCAUCUUGCUCAAGGGGAUUGCUAGAGGAGGAUUAUAUCAAGUUGAAGGUCCUGUUGUAGUGUCUCAUGCUGCAGUUUCAAAUAGAGUUCCGUCUAAUGUUUUCUGUGUCAUCUCAAAUUCCAGUUCUGUGUCAAAUGUCUGUUCCUCUCCAGUGUCAAUGAUUAGUCAUUCCAAUGUUUCAAACUCUGUACAUUCUGGAGAAAUUUUGACAGAUGUAAAUAUUUCUCAAUUCAAUAAUGAUGCCUCAAUGGCCUUGUCUGUUACUCAUUCAAAAUCAGUUGAUUACAAUGUUUUACAUAAAAGAAUGGGUCAUCCAACUGUGCAUGCUCUUAAACAAAUUGUGAAGCAUUUGCAUCCUUCUCUCGAUAUCAAUAGAGCCCUGAAACCAAUUUUUUGUAAUGCUUGCCAAUUUGGAAAGUGUCACAUGCAGCAUUUUCCUUCUAUAGACACCACUACCAUUCAACCACUGGAGCUGUUGCAUGCUGAUCUAUGGGGUCCAGCUCCUUUGCUGUCCUCUCAAGGCUAUCACUACUAUCUUUCUAUCUUAGAUGAUUUCACUAGGUUCACCUGGAUAUUCCCUCUUGUUACCAAAUCUCAAGCCUUACAAACCUUUAUUGAAUUCCAGCAUAUGAUAGAAAAAUGCCUAAAUAGGAAAAUCAAGUGUCUUCAAACAGAUUGGGGAGGUGAAUUUAGGCCAUUUCUUCCUUAUCUUGCUGAGCAGGGAAUCCAAUUUAGACAUCCUUGUCCUUAUAUUCACCAUCAAAAUGGAAAGAUUGAACGCAAACAUAGACAUAUAGUGGAAACAGGCCUUACCCUUCUUGCUCAAGCACAUUUACCACUGAAAUUUUGGUGGAAUGCUUUCCAUACUGCCACAUUUCUCAUAAAUAGGCUCCCUACACCCAUUCUAGAUAACAAAUCACCUUUUGAAAAAUUAUUCAACAAAAGACCAGAUUAUUCUGUUAUGAGCGUUUUUGGAUGUGCUUGUUUCCCAUAUCUGAGGCCUUAUAAUCAUCAUAAGUUAGAGUUUCGAACUGCUAGAUGUAUUUUUCUUGGUUACAGCUCCCUUCACAAAGGCUACUUGUGUCUUCAUUCCUCUGGUAGAAUCUAUGUCAGUAACCAUGUUACAUUUGAUGAGUCAUGUUUUCCUUUUCAGUCAGGAGUUGAUUUUUCCUCUGUCAGUCACUCUUGCUCUUCUUCAGAUCAUUCAUCUCAGUCUUCUUCACAUUGUUCAUCUUCUGUUUGUCCUUUGAUUCAACUUGAUAUAACCAAGUCUUCAUCCUCUACAGCAGCUGAUCUCAGGUUCUCUCAAUCCUCUCCAGACUCUCCUUCUCAAUCUUCUAUACAAUCACACUCAGAACCAUCUACCUCACCUGUUCAUCAUUUAACUCCACCAUUGCAGUCAUCUACUGGUCAUCCAAUGCUCACUCGAUCAAAGGCUGGUAUCUUCAAACCUAAAGCCUAUAUUACAGCCAAUCCUACCAAACCUACAGAACCUGCUACUACCUCAAAAGCCCUUCAAGAUUCAGCUUGGCAUAAAGCAAUGACAGAUGAAUAUCAAGCCUUAGUCAAUAAUCAUACCUGGACUCUUGUCAAACCUACACAUCCCAUUAAAGUAAUUGGGAAUAAGUGGGUAUUUCGGAUUAAAUAUAAUCCUGAUGGCAGUGUCUCUAGAUACAAAGCUAGACUUGUUGCUAAGGGAUUUCACCAAACUCAAGGGCUGGAUUUUCAUGAAACAUUCAGUCCUGUCAUUAAGUCUUCAACCAUCAGAAUUAUCUUGAGUAUGGCUGUCAUGAAUCAUUGGGUACUGAGGCAAAUAGACAUUAAUAAUGCCUUCCUUAAUGGCUACCUCACUGAAGAAGUUUAUAUGCAACAGCCUGAGGGGUUUAUAGAUAGUUCCAGGCCUGAUUAUGUCUGUAAGCUGCACAAAGCCCUUUAUGGCCUUAAACAGGCUCCAAGGGCAUGGUUUGACAGACUCAAACUAGUUCUUACAACUCAGUGGGGCUUUACAAAUUCUAUUUCAGACACUUCACUCUUCUUUAAGAGCACACAAGGUCAUCUGCUACUUGUCUUGGUGUAUGUAGAUGAUAUUAUUAUUACAGGCUCCAAUCCUCAGCUUGUUCAGCAGACCAUCACCAACUUCCAGUCUGUUUUUGCACUUAAAGAUCUUGGUGCAUUGAAUUAUUUUCUGGGAGUUCAGGUCAUUUACAAUAAAUCUGGUAUUCAUCUUUCUCAAUCCAAGUAUAUCACUGAUUUGCUUGCCAAGGUGCACAUGCAGGAUAGUACUCCUUGUUCUACUCCUAUGCUUUCUGGAGUGGCUUUUACUAAAGCUGAUAGUGAACCCUUUUCUGAUGUUACUCUAUACAGAAGCACCAUAGGUGCUCUUCAGUAUGCAACAUUGACCAGACCAGAGAUUGCUUUCUCUGUCAACAAGCUCAGUCAGUUUCUAUCUUCUCCAACUGUCAAUCAUUGGCAGGCUUGUAAAAGGGUUUUACGUUAUCUGAAGGGUACUGUUAAUCUUGGUUUACAGUUCUACAAUCAUGGCAGCAUACAGAUUGAUUGUUUCAGUGAUGCUGAUUGGGCUGGAGACAGAGAUGAUAGGAGGUCAGUGGCUGGUUAUUGUGUCUAUAUGGGUCCAAAUCUAGUGUCUUGGUGCUCUAAGAAACAGGCAGUGGUCUCUCGAUCUAGUGCUGAGUCUGAAUAUCGAGCACUAGCAAUGGCAGCAGCUGAAGUCUUGUGGAUUCGUUCUCUUCUUGCUGAGAUUGGUCUUACUCUUCCCUCCAUUCCAAUCAUAUGGUGUGAUAAUCAAAGUGCAGCUGCUUUAGCCUCUAAUCCUAAGUUUCAUUCCAGAACAAAACACAUUGAAUUAGAUGUUCAUUUUGUUCGAGAGAAAGUUGCUGCUCAAUGUCUUAAGGUUCAAUAUAUUUCUAGCUCAGAACAAACUGCUGAUAUUCUCACCAAAGCUCUUUCUUAUCACCCUUUUCUCUACUUACGUGACAAGCUCAACCUUACUUCCUCGGUUGAGCUUGAGGGGGGAUGUUGAAGAUAUAGUUGCUGCUGAGCUGGACAGAGCUGCUGAGCUGGACAAGAUUGAAUGUAACUGAAUGACAUGUGGCAAGAGCUCAAUGGCUAAACUAAAUCUGAAGUUGUUAUUAGUUGUUUUGCAGUUGUUUAAUUAGUUAGAAUAAUUGUAUAUAAGCUUAGCUAAGUAAGCUUAAUAAGCAUUGAAUAUUCUGGUUAAUAAAAUCGUGAAGUUUCCUUUUUCAUUUUCUCUGUUUUUCUUUGUUUCCAAACAUCUUAUUACGAAUUCUAAUAAAUGUGAAAACAUUAUAUUAUAUACUAGUUGUAGUUGGUUGAUUUUUCUUUUAAUCUUCAUGUGAUACCAGAAUUAUACCAGUAGUCCGCAAGCUCGGGUUUCCAGCCGAUAUACCUCUGUAAUCAAAAACCUUUAAAACAUUUUUCUCAGGUUAUACAACCCAAAACAGACUUUCCUUUAGUCUAAAACAGGGUACCAAACCAGAUAAGAAAUGGUCAAAAGUUUUCUGAUGCACAGGAUCCUUACUAGAAGGCAAGUGCAGAGCAUACUUCCUUAGGUUUUCAAAAUGAACAAAUUUAAUCCUUUAUUCUUUUUCUUUCUUAGAACUUCAUUUGCAGAGAGAGAGAGGAGAGUUUAGAAAUUCAUGGAAGAAAGCACACGAGUUGUUAUUUCUGGAAAACUUCUAUAUUUUUCUAUCUCUUACAAGCAAGGGGAGAAUCCUUUAUAUAGAGGAGGAUUCUUGAGAAGAUAGGACAUGACCCCUAUCUUUUACAAAAGUAAAAGCAAAAGAUAAGAUAAGAUAGGAUAGGACCCCUAUCUUUUACAUAAUGGCACAACUUUAAUUAUUACAAAAGACAAAAGUGCUUUAAUAAUUAAAGCAUGACUUUGACAAAAGCAAAAGCAAAAGCUUAAAGUAAAAGCAAACUUUAAUAAUUAUGCAAGCAUAAAGCGAAACAUCAUUAUGACAAUAAGACAAACUACUUUAUGGAAAGCAAUAAGACAAACAACUUUAUGGAGAGCGGAGGUUCAUGUACUCGUCUUCGGAUGAGCUUUCGGUCUCAUCUGGGUUGUCAGGGUUGCCUUUUGGGAAAAAGAUCUUGGAGAGCUUUGGAUGCUUGCAGGAGGGACCACGGCAUGGUGGAUAAGGGCAAUUAUAGUCUCUGGGAGUACACUUUGGAGUAUACUUAGGGGAAGUUUGGGUGGCUUUGUCAACUUUGGAUGGUUGAGCGGGUCGUUUGGAGGAUUGAGUUGAGGGUCCUGGUUCAGAGGGGCCAGGUUCAUCCAUUGUCGGUUGGGGAAACUGGUGAAGGUGUUGGCUCAGAGGGAGAAAUGCAUCCCAUGGGUCUUGGGAAUCCUGGAACAGGAAAUCAGUGUAGUCUGGUUUUUCUUCUUUGAUGAUGAUACCUGUGGACUUUGGUUUGGAUAUGGCAGAUGGAGUGGGGAUCAUGAGGAGGUCAUGCUGUGGACCUAAGGAGGUGUGGGAGAUAUCUUUAAGUGGCGGAGGUUGGUGGUUCAAUUGGCAAAGGUAGUUGUGCAGGACAUCUUGUAUGUCAUUUUCAAUUACAGCUAUAUGUGGUGCAGUGAACCAUUCAUAUACCUGGUCUUGAGUCCAAAAGAGUUUGGUGUCUGGAUGUUGAAAGUAUGGCCUGUGAAUAAUAAAGACUGAUGUGAACAGUGGUGCUUCAAGGGCAGGCAUACGAUCAAGGUUGUAAAUUUCUGACAGUUGUUGGAGCUUCCUUCUCCACCAUGGUAUGGGGGAGAACCAUUCAAGUAAUGUCCAGGUAAGAGAGGUGGCUUUGUCUGGGUCAAGGAGAUGCUCCAAAGUGGGAGUAAUUGGUAGGACUAACUUAGUGGCAUAAAGGACUGUUAGGCACCAGAUGUACCAUAACACAUCUUCAGUGGUUUCUCUGGUUGGAUCAAGGGUUAAACCUGUAAGGAACAGAUUUUCUGGGUGGAAAGUGGAAAAAGGAAAAGGGUCUGUGACAAGGUAGGCUUUCAUGAAGAAGCGAAAAAGAGCUUUUCUUGCAAACUCUUGGAUGGCGAAGACAGAAGAAAAGGUUUUAUUAAAGGGAAAAGUUUUCUUGGUGAGAGCUUGUGGGGGUAGUGAAGUAGCCAUGGAGAUAAUUGGAAAAUGGUAGGUGGUGGAAAACAGGAUGAGAGGGUUUUCUGGUUUGGAGAGUCUGGAGAGCAUAUCAGGGAUGAGGUUCUGGGAUCCCUUUAUAUGCUUGACUGAAAAGUCAUAUUUAGAAAACCAAUCUUUUAAUCUGAGUAACAUUUUUUCGGGAACAGUUUUACCUUUGAAAUGAAAGAUAUUGGGGAAGGCUGAGCUGUCCAUUCGGAUGAGAAAAUGGUGUCCAAUCAAAUGAUACUCAAACUUUUUGAUGCCAUUCUUGACCGCUAAGAUUUCUUUGAACACGCUAUGGUAGUGCUUCUGUGUAUCAGAAAAAUGUCCACUAGCGUAAGCGAUAAAGUGUUCUUUUCCGUUGAUUUCUUCAAGGAGUAUGGCACCCCAUGAUUCAUCACUUGCGUCUGUUUGUAAGAUGCGCUUGCCAUCUGUAAUCAACUUUAAAGGAGGCGGAUUUUGCGCAAUCUGCUUUAGGGUAGUGACAGCAAAUGUGUGGUCAGCAUUCCAUUCUGGGGGCUUCUUUUUCAAUAAAGCCGAGAGAUGGUGAGUGUAAUGAUCCACGUGGGGGAUGAAAUCACGGAUGUAGUUGAUGAUGCCGAGAAACUGUUGAAUUUGCCUUUUGGAAAGUUGCUGAUCUGGAAAGUGAAGCAAUUCUUGGGCAAUGUGCUUUCCUGGCUGGUAGUGUCCAUCUUUUAUGAUCAUACCAAGGAAUUCAACAUUAUCUGUAGCAAUGAUGCUUUUCUUGGCCGAUAACAUGAUUCCAUGACUUUGGAGAAUAUCAUAGAAUUGAGUUAACAGCUGGCGAUGUUCAUCAUGUGAGCCUGAAAAAAGCAAGAUAUCAUCAAUAUAAAUCAAUGCAUGAUGCAAAAUGGGUUGGAAGAUUUGGACCAUGGAUUUUUGGAAAAUGGAUGGGGCAGUUUUGAGACCAAAGGGUAAGACGGUCCAUUGAAAGUGGGCAUUGGGAAUACAAAAAGCGGUUUUGUAGCGUUCGGAGGGUUCAAUGCCUAGUUGCCAAAAACCUGAUUUUAAAUCAAAUUUUGAAAAGAUCUGGGCAUUUUUGAGAAAAGUGAACAUGCUUUGUCGGCGAGGUAAAGGGAAUUUGUCAUCUUGUAAAAACAUGUUUAAUGGCUGGUAGUCAAUGACUAGGCGUUUCUUUCCUCGGACAAUUUCAGAAUGCUUUUCAACAUAAAAGGCUUGGCAAGCCCAUUGAGAACUUGUGGGCUCAAUUAAACCUUGGGCUAACAAUUGUGAACAUUCUUGUUGGGCUAGGAGUAAGUCAGAAGGACUCAUUCCUGGAUGGGUAGCUUUAGUUGGGUUAAUGUCUUCAUUGAGUUUGAAGGGUAACUUAAUGAAGAAAGACUUAUUUUUCCACAAAGGAUUUGGAUGGGUGAACUCGGAAUGGGACUCUGGACAGAAACUCAAAAGUUUGGUUGAGAUAUCCUGGUAAGACUGGGGAGUUUCAGACAAAUUGUAGAGUUUCAGAAUGUCUGUGAAUGGUUUGAACAUGGACUUGACACGGAUUCCAGUGGGAAUGAUUUGGAGGUGUUUGAUUUGGUGAAGGACUUCAAAUCCUAACAAGAUAUCCUUAUUAGGAAGAGUUGAACCAAUAACCUUGGUCCAAAUGACACAAUUGGGGAAGAUUUGAAUACCAACGGGUUUCUUGGUAAUCAAAGAGGUGGUAAAGAGUUUGCCAUUGAUAGCUUUGAAAUGUUCUUCAGAUUGGGUCCAAUAUUCGGAUGGAAGAAUAUGGGGGUUUAACAUGCUGCGUUGGGCGCCAGUAUCUAUAAGACCAAUUGCUGGAAUGGGCCUUUGGAAUUUUGAGGGUAAGAUCUGGAGUUUGAUGGAUGGGAUAGGAACUGUAGUAUCAAGGGAGAGUGACUGUUGAUGGAAAAUCACUUGAGACUGGUCACUGUCUGAAUCAGAGGAAUUCUGUAGUGCGAACACUGUUUCAUCAUUGGGUUCAUCUUGUUCAGAGAAAUAGAAUUCCAGCUCAUCUUUGGCAGGAGAGUAGUCGGUAGUUGCUUGAAGAUGCUCAACUAACCGGAUGGAUUUUUCUCUGUUGUUGGGGCAAUCUUUGGCAUAGUGGCCUUUUCUCUUGCAGAUGAAACAUCUGCUUGAUUGCUUUCGUUUGAAUUCUCUAGAGGAGGAAGAUUUCUUUCUGAAGAACCGGUAGGGCUUUCGGGAUCUGCGAGGCUUGGAGGAAAAUUCUGGAGGUUUGAAUUUCCGAAAAUGCCGUUUUUUCUUUGAACUGCAAUCGCAAUCUUUUUUCUUGUGGCAUUUGAUCUGCAAAUAAGGCUUUUUGCAAGCACUUCGGAAAGGUUCUUUGUCUUUCAACAGUUCUUUGAAAAACUGUUUUUGCUCGCAAAGUUUGUCAAGACAAGUUUUGGCAAGCUGAAAGAUUUUGCCAAGAGAGAUGUUGUCUAGGGAAAGAUUGGAUGCUGUGAGUUGUCUCUGGAUGUUGGGUUGGAGUUCUUCGGGGAGGGAAGCCAGAAAGACAUGCUUUAAUGUCGGCUCGUUGAAUCCAUUAAGCUUAUAGAACAGCAGGGACAUCCGCUUAUAAUGGAAGUCAAGAUCCUUAGCAUUGAGGGAGCAGCAUUUCAUGUUGAGAUAAUCUCGUCUGGCAGCUUCAAAGACUGCAGAAGGGUCUCCAAGGAAUUGAUCAUGAAGUACAGCAAGAGCACUUGAGACUUCUGGGAGAUCAACAAACUGUAGUUGGCGGUAUUGUCCUAACGAAUCAAACCAAUCUCUUAGAGCACCCGUGAAACGAGUAGCAAAUUCUCUAAGGACUGAUUGAGUUGUUGCUCCUGGUCUUAGCAUCUGGAGGUCAAUCCAGGCAGACAUUUCAUUGAGUCGGUCACGCCAUUUAUGAGAUGGAAGAUCAUCAAAUGUGAACCAUGGACCAUUUGACGAUUUGUGGCUCGAUGGAUUGGUCUGGGUUGGAGGAGGUUGGUUUGUGGCAGAAGAUUCAGGCAUUUCUUCUUCAAGUUCGGAGGGAAUAUCAACAUAUGGUUCUGUAUGAGAGGUUUGGCCUUGGGUAGGUUGAUCAGGUUGAGCCAUCAGGAUUUUGGUGAUAUCAGCAUAGGACUUUUCAGAGUCACUGGUGGAUACUGAAGAUUCUGUAUCAGUUUCGGUAGGGCUAUCUGAAACAGCUGGAUUUGAAUCAGAAGUGUGAUCGACUGUAGUAGAUGAAUGGGUGACUGUGUGAGCAGUAAACUGGUGCAUGGGUUCUUUAUCUUUUGAUUGGGUAGGGACGAAUAAAGGAGCUGGUGGUAAUGUUGGUGCAGAAGUAGGAGAUGGUUGGCCAGGGAUGGUCAGUGAGGAGGGAUGAAGAGGUGCAGGGCGAGGCUGCGGUCUAGGUUUGGGUUUAGGUUUAGGUGGUGGCGGCAAAGGAUUGUCUCUGAAAAGAGUAUGAGUCAUACCAAAUAACUUGGAAGGGUCAUACUGUUUAAUAGGAGAAAGCAUAGAGGCAAAAGGAUGAUAAGUUGGACCGAUGAAAGGGAUAGGAGGUGAAGUGGUGAAAAGGGUAGGUCUCUGUUUUUCAGAUUCAAUCUGAGCAAGUUCAGCUUUUAAGCGUCUGAUUUCCCUUUCUUUUUGGUCAAAUUCGGGGCCUGAGUAACGAUGGGCAAGCAUGGCUUGUAACUCAGAGUCAAGUUGAGAAAUUCUGGACUGGAGGUUUUGGUAUAUCUGCUGCAUCUGUGCAGUGAUGGAGUCAACUUUUGUCUCAAUCUCCACGACAGAGCUGAUUUAAAGACUUGGCCCAACUCAUCCCUCUAUGUUCAUUAAAUGUUAAUAUUUUUCUGCACCAAGGUUGACUUGAUGGUGCUUUAUUUUCAAUUUUUUCAUUGAAUUGUAUUUUUGGUUAAAUAUUGACAAAAAAAAUUAAGAAAGCAAUCAGCUCUUGUAACGUACUCUGUUCUGUCUUCCACCAAAAAUAUAAUCAUUUAUUACCUCUAUUUUAUCAAAUAAUCAUGAUUAAUGCUGCUGGGAAAGCUCUAUUAGUCUUUCUUUUGAUAUAUCUUUACCAAUCUCGUCAGCUGUUGCUUUUCUUUUAACGUGGUGGUUGUUUGUAUUUGAUGAUCCCAAAAUAUACGCAACGCAAUAUAGCAAUUGCCGCUUUCCAUGAUUUGUCUUUUUGGUUGACUUUAACAUGAUUUAGAAUUGUCGAUUCCGCAUUAAUGCGUAUAAAUUAUUAAGUAGGUUAUGUGAUCUUUCAUUAUCAUCGCCUAGUCUCCAAUUGUGUGCGUUAUUUUCUUUUUGAAAAUGAUUCACGAAAUCAAAUUACUGAUAGAGGUCAUGAAUGUCCUGCUCCUGCAUUUUCUUAAUCAUCCCACUUCUCUCAAAUUCUCCGAAAUCCCUUAUACGUCUUCUGGUCCCGUUUUCAUAAUAAUCGUUGUCCUAAACCUUCUUUGCAGAUCUUUCACUGUGCUCCCUUUUUCUUAUUUCUAGCUUUUUGCUUUUCUUUUUCACAUGGUCUUUGUUUAUAUUUGAUGUCCCAAAUAUACACGUUAACGCAACCAUUUGUGACAGCGAAUAUUUUUACCUAGUUGUUGGAUUGUGGCUUUCUAUGUUUUGUCUUUUUGGUCGACUUUAACAUGAUUUAGAGCUUUUGAACGCGUCUUCCAAGUGCACAUGCCGAGUAUAUCCACUGUUCGAUGAAAUGCCCAUUUGAAUAAUUUGAGGACCCACGAGGCCACGCCACUGGUAUUAGACUAAUUGGAAAAGAAAAAAAGAAAAAAGAUAAUAAGUACAACUGUGAUGCAUUUUCACAUUAACUUUACAAAGUCUGGUUAUAAAUUUAUAAUUUUACGCACAUGAAAUCACCAAAGUAUUAUUUAAUUUAACUCUUCUCAACUGGGGACGUGAGUUUGAUUCAAGUAGUAUUAUCACUCAUAUAAUUUAUUAAUGAGCUCUUUUCCUGUCAUCUAAUGCUGAUGCUUGUAUAUUCUAUUCUACCAUUCGAUUUUUUUAUGUCUAGUGCUUGUAGAUCAAUUGAUUAUAUGCUUCAUACUUGAUGGAGUGAAUAUAAUACAUAAGAUUUUCAUUCAGUUAUAUGCAGAUAUGUUAAACUUUGGUUUAUAGGCUAGAUCGUCACUAAUUAUUCAUAGUACGUGAAGCCUCUAAUACAACAGUGAUAAGAUUUGAAGUAUUAGUUGCUCUGCUUAAUCAAAUCAUGACAAAUAAAUACGGUUGCAGGGCUGGGUACUUGUUGGUUGUUCCGUUGAGUCAACACAAAACAAAAAAAAAAAAAUCAUAAAAAUGAAUGGCAAGAAUAGGAAUGAAAUCAUCCACAGAAAUAAACACAAAUGUAAUCAAAUCAUUGAACACUCUUGCUCUAAGUUUUCUUCUUUACUGAUUCUUUGUUUUGUUCAUUGUUUGAUCAUUGAUUCUUGUUAAGCUUUCUGUCACUUCUUGUUUGGGAUCUGCUCUUGGGUCCUUCAAGAUUGUGUUCUUGGUUCAAUUGAGCUUUGGGAAUAGCCAUUACAUCCACGACAUGGAAGUAAUAGUAAAUAUAUAACAUCAUUUUUAUCUUCCAAUCACAAGUUACAAGAUAUAAAAUUCCCAAGGAAAAUUAAAAAGGUAAAAUUAUCUUACAUCACCUGUUGAAAAAUGAAAUAUUUUAUCCAUGUACGUAAGCGAAAUUUUGAAGGAAAACGAGAAAGAAGAAAUGGUCAAUUUCGCAGAACAACAGAGAGAUUUUGGUAGUUUCCUCCAUAAAUUUAUCACCCCAUUAUCCUCAAUUGAUAUCAGUAACACUCAAAUCUAUCCGAAAUUCUUUACAAUCCCUAAUAUAUUUAAAAGGGUUUAAUUUUGACUUUUUAAUAACUUCCAUUAGGCCAAGCAUAUUUAGUUUCUUGAAGAUUUAUUCCUGAAAAAUCCUCAAUUGUUUAUUAAUCAAGAUAGAGUUCGAGUUUAAUGAUAAAAUGAUCAUGAUUUUAAUUUAAAGAUAUGAGCCCAAAAUCCUACCGUUUACAUAUUAAAAUCACUUGAUUAUCAUAUAUUACUCAAUAAUCAAAGUUAUUUAUUACACAUCAAAGUUAAUCACUUGAUUACUUGAAAAAUGCCGGCGGCACUUGCAACUCCCUGGAACCUUCGUGUAAGUUUUCGAGUUCAUCAACUGUUGGAUAAAAUGCCCAUUUGAAGAAACUAAUAGAAAAUUGAGAUCCUCUCUUGAAUAGAGUUUACCCUUGAAAAAUAAGUAUACAUUAUCAUUCAUGUAUUGUCAAAAUUUGAGCUUAAGAUCCAACUAUUUACAAAUUAUUAAUUAUUUUUGUUGGUGAAAGCAAAUUGAUUAGAAGAAUGUGGCAAUAAGAAGAUAAAAAUGCUUGCUCAAAUACUUUGCCGUGUGUUCUUACUUACAAAUCCACCAGCUUAGCUUUUAAUCACAUAAAUAAGUCAUCAUCAUCACUAGAUUAUCGUAUAUUACACAAUUAUCAAAGCUAAUUAUUGAAACCUUUCUUUCAAAGAAAAAGAAUUAUUGAAACCUUCCGAGUUUGAAAAUGCCGGCAGCACUCGCAACUUCCAGGAACCUUCGUGCAAGUGUAGAUGCUGAGUACAUCCAACCGUUCGAUUAAAUGCCGAAGUGAUUUCGAGGAACCCACACGACCACACAACAGGUUUUUUUUUUUUUUUUUUUUUCAUUUUAUUUGUACAUCUAUUUCUUGAAAAAAUAAAAAAUCAUAAAGUUCAGAUUACCCUUGAGACUUGAGAUGACAACUGUCUGCCUCUGCAUUUUCCUAAUCAUCCCUCUUCUCUAAUCUCUAGAGUCCUCUGAAAUCUCUUCUUCAUUUUCUGUCUCCCUUUUUUGAAUCGUUCUUGUCCUCGAUCCUACACCUUCUUUGCAAAUCUUUCAUUUAUUGUACUCGCUUUUCAAUUUGUCUUAGCAGAAAAAGGAUUCCCCUUUGUUUCAUCUCUAGAUUUUUCACUCUUUUCCUCUCCUCCUCCCUUAAAUCUAUUCAACCUCUUAUUUUAGCAAUUUAUCCAAACUUCUUUUUUCCCUCUUCCCAGCUGAUUGAUUAGUUCUGCUUAGUUUGAUUAGUUUUGCUUUCCCCUGUAUUCUGAAAGCGAAAAAUAAAAAAAAGAAAGGGAUAAUGGAUAUUGCUACCUCCGCAGUUGCGAAAGUUGCAGAGUACUUGGUUGAUCCCAUAAUUCAUCCAUUUACUUACUGCUGCACUUACAAGACCAACUUCGAGAAGCUGAAUAAUGAAGUCGAUAAGCUAAAGAAUUCUAGAGACAGUAUGCAGCAUAAGGUUGAUGAUUCCAGAAUUAAAGGGGACGGAAUUCAACAGCACGUUGAGGAGUGGCUGAUUGCUGCGAACAAGGAGAUCAAUGAAGUCGAAACACUUAUUGAAGACAAAGAGAAUUCAAACAACCGGUGUUUGAAGGGGUUAUGUCCUAAUUUGAGGACUCGGUACCAGCUUAGCAAGAAAGCAGAAAGAGAGACGAAUGCUAUUGUUGGACUCCAUGAAAAAGGGAGAUUCGACAGUGUUUCUUUCCGUACCAUUCCAGAGGAGACAUGGCUUAAGUUUACCCAGGAUUUCAUGCACUUUGAAUCGAGAAAGUCCACUUUUAAGGAGAUACUAGACGCACUCAGCAACCGUGACUUCAACAUGAUUGGGGUGUACGGGAUGGGCGGCAUUGGAAAGACAACGCUGGUGAAAGAAGUUGGCAGACAGGCAAAGGAAAAUAAUCUCUUUGAGAAGGUUAUUUCUUCACGUGUUUCGCCAACACCGCAAAUAAAAAAUAUACAAGGAGAAAUCUCAGAGAAGAUAGGCUUAGAAUUGGCUGAACAGAGUCAUGAAACUGUAAGAGCAGAGAGGCUGCUUGAAAGAUUGAAGAAAGAGAAAAAGAUCCUUAUAAUCUUGGAUGAUAUUUGGGGGGUCUUGAUUUGGAGGCGAUUGGAAUUCCAUUGGCAGAUGAUAAUAGCGGAUGCAAAGUUCUUCUGACAGCAAGAAGUCAAGAUGUGUUGUCCUGUAAGAUGGAUUGUCAACAAAAUUUUUUUGUUGAUGUUCUGAAUGAAAAAGAAGCUUGGAGUCUUUUCCGGAAGAUGACAGGUGAUUGUAUAGAAAAUGGUGAACUGAAAUCUGUAGCAACAGAGAUAGUCAAGGAAUGUGCUGGUUUGCCCAUUGCCAUUGUACCCGUAGCCAGGGCACUAAGAAAUAAGAGAUUGUUUGAAUGGAAGGAUUCCUUGCUGGAAUUAAGAAGGCCUUCCUUCAGAAACAUCAGUGGAACACUGGAGGUGGCAUAUAAAAGUAUAGAGCUGAGUUACAAUCAUUUAAACAGGGAGGAGCUCAAGAGAACGUUGUUGCUUAUAGGGUACGCGUUCAUCUCUUGCGUUAAAGACGUGCUUUAUCAUGGCAUGGGUUUGGGUCUGUUUCAAAACAUCAACACGUCGGAAGAGGCGUGGGAUAGAGCACAUACAUUGGUUGAUAAACUCAAAAAAUCUUGUUUGUUGCUUGACGGUAAUACAAGUGAACGGUUUUCUAUGCAUGAUGUUGUUCGUGAUGCAGCCAUAUCAAUUGCAUCUGGAGACCAACAAGUGUUUGUGGUGGAAAGUGAGGUUGCUCCGCAGAUCAGCUGGCCAGAUAAGGAAAAACUAAAGGUUUGCAUCGCAAUCUCCUUAAUUUAUAGUAAUAUUAGUGAGCUUCCUCAAGGUUUCGAAUGCCCGCAACUUAAAUAUUUUCGUAUUGGCAAUGAUCCAUCUUUGAGAAUCCCAGAUAAUUUUUUUACUGGGAUGACUGGGCUUAAAGUUUUAGAUUUCACUGAGAUGCAUUUAUUGCCAUUGCCUUCAUCGCUUGGUCUCUUACAAAACCUUCAAACACUGUGUCUGGAUUACUGCAACCUAGGAGACAUCGCUAUUAUCGGAGACCUAAAGAAAUUAGAAAUCCUUUCACUUCGAGGUUCUGAUGUAGAGAAACUGGUUGGAGAAAUGGGCCAGCUGACUCAAUUGAGGUUGUUGGAUAUGAGCAAGUGUUUCGAACUAAAAGUUAUUCCACCAAAUGUUAUAUCAAGCUUAUCUCGAUUAGAAGAACUGUAUAUUGGUGAGAGUCCCAUUCAGUGGGGGAAGGUUGAAGGGCUCGACAGUGAAAGAAGAAAUGCUAGCCUUCAUGAGUUGAAUCAUUUAUCUAAAUUGACCUCUUUAGAAAUACUCAUCCAAGAUGAAAAGACUCUACCAAGCGACUUGUUGUUCUUCAAAAUCCUGAAAAGGUACAGGAUAUUCAUAGGAUAUCUGUGGUCGGAUGACCCAAUAUUGGAUGGGUUUUCUAGAAAAUUCAAACUGAAAAUCACCAAUGGUGCCAACAUUUGCCUGAACGAGGGGCAUAUCAUGCAAUUGAAGGGUAUUGAACACCUAUCUUUACAUGGAUUGCUGGACAUGAAGAAUGUUCUUUGUGAACCUGGCAGAGAAGGUUUUCCACAGCUGAAGCAUCUCGAAGUCCGAGAUAAUCGCAGCCUUUUUUGUGUUGUUGACAGAGUGGAUUGUGCAACAGCGCUGACAGCGUUCCCCCUCUUGGAGUCAUUAUUUCUGGAAGAUUUGGGUAACCUAGAGAAAAUAUGUCGUGGUUCACUCACAGCAGAGUCCUUUUGCAAAUUAAAGAACAUAAGGGUGCAAAGGUGUGAUAAAUUGAAAAAUGUGUUUCCAUUGCCCAUUGGCAGAGGCCUUCAACAACUUCAGUCCAUUGAAGUGACAAAAUGCCAGAAUAUGGAAGUGAUUUUUGCUGCCGAUAGAGGAGAUGAAUCCAGCAAUAAUAACACUCAAGUGAUUGAACUCACUCAAUUAAGGACACUUGAACUUGGUUCUCUUCCGCAGCUUACAAGCUUCUGCACAGGAGAUCUGCAUUUUGAAUUUCCAUCCUUGAAACAAUUAACAAUAAGGGGAUGUCCCCAUGUGAAAUUUAAAAGCACUAUUCAUGAGUCCACCAAAAAGGUACGUGCAAGACUGUUGUAAUUAUUGUUCAAUUCUUACGUACUUAAAAGUAUUUCUACUUGAGAGUUUAGAGCUUUAUUGUCGUCAUAUAUUGCCCUCAUCAAUUUGUCUUUUAGUAACAAAAUGUUAGUUCUAUAAAUCAGCUUAUUUAUACUAAUAUAAUAUCCUUAUAAACAUAAUUAUCAAUAUUCGAUAUAAACAUAAUUAUCAUUCUUCAAUAAUUCUUCUCAUUAUCGAAUAUUGAAUCGGCUACAACCAUAGAUGGAUUUGGAUGUCAGUUAGAAAGAAUGAAUACAAAAUUAUUUAGUAUUUUUUUUCCUUCUCGUUCAAUUUUUUUCUCUUAAUUAUCAGAUUUUUUCUUCUUCGUCUACUUUUUAGUUUAUGUCUAUAUGUUUAGUUAAAUACACGAAAGAGACUCUGCAUUUGAUUAGCCAAACGAAGAAAAUACUCAAAAUAUCUACGGUUUUUCAAGCCACAGUUAAUUCCCUGAUAAUCUUUUAAGAGCUAUUUAAAAUUAGUAGUCCUUACUACAGUAUUGUUACAUACAAAAUGAUUGUCAAUUUUGAUGUUGAAGAAGAAAUUGGUCAUUUUGUGUUAACAAAAAUUAUAUUUUUAAAAAUAUAAAGAGAGAGAUGGACAAAACUCAAAUGAAGAAACCUUAUCUUAUUAAACUUUAUGUACAAGAAAAUCCAUUCUUGUACAAUAGUAAAUAUAUCCAAUUCCAUUGAGUUGGAUGAAUAUUAAUGAAAUACCAGCUUCUUACUAUAUUAUUAAACUUUUUAAAAUCAAGUUAUUUAUUCAUUUUUGCUCUUGAAAAGAAAAAAGUUAAAAAAACCAAUUAAAAAAAAAAAAGAAAUUUGUAAGAUUUUCAACUAAAACCAAAUAAGCGGAUCGAUUAAAAGAAUCUAGAAGUUCAAAUGCAAUUUGAGAAUAAUUGAAGUCUUUUUUGUAGACAUUAUGCACAAAUCUAAUAAAUUUUGAAAGUUAAGAAGAGAGGAUGAAAAAAAAAAAAUACACAUCACUUACUAUAUUUGAAAAAAAAUAAUAAUAAUUACCGCUGAAAAUCAUACUCUCUCUACAUAUCCAUAAAUUUGUCCGGCCAUCAAUAUUCAUCAUUGAAAUGCUUUGUAUUUACUUCAAUUUUUGAAAUCGUUAGAAAGAAGAUUUAACUCCCUCUUGCUUUUUUUUUUUUGUUAUUGUUGAUCACCCAGAUGUUCCCCAAUUUGGAAGAUUUGAGUAUUGAUGAAAAGUACAUAGGUCUAUUUCCAGAAGACUUGCUUUGCAAACUUAAACUUCUUGAUGUCUGGAUUGAUGAGUCAACAGCUAUUUUAUCACUCGACGAUUUCCUCCAGAAAUUUCACACAACCAAAAUUCUCAUUAUAGGAGGAGACGAGUAUAUUUUUAGACUAGUUAGAAAGGUUGAAAACGGGAUGAAGGCAAUGAUAAGAGGAAUAAACCGGCAUCGUGGUCUGAAGCAAAUUUUGAAACAAGAGUCCUCCAAUGCCAACAAUUUGGAAAACCUGGACAUAUGUGACUGUCACAAUUUGAUUAAUCUAGUGCCAUCCUCGACAUCGUUUCAAAAUCUAACUACUUUGAUGGUAUAUAAUUGCAUAGGAUUGAUAAAUGCACUAACAUCCUCAAUUGCAAAGAGUCUGGUGCGACUGAGGGAAAUGGGCAUAGGUAGAUGCAAGAUGAUAAUAGAAAUAGUGGCAGAUGACGGUGCUGAGGGAGAUAAUUAUGCAGCAAAAAAUGAAAUUGUUUUCAGCGAAUUGAAGGAAUUGCUGCUCUGGAACUUAGAAAGUCUGACAGGAUUCUGCUCUGGCAAUAAUUGCGCCUUCAAAUUCCCAUCUCUGGAAAGAUUAGUGGUGGAUAAUUGCCCCAAUAUGAACAUUUUCUCAGGAGGAGAAUUAAGCACACCCAAGUUACACCAAGUGCAGCUUAAACGGUGGGAUGAUGAAGAAUGUUGGACUUUGGAUCGCGACCUUAAUACAACCAUUCAAUACCUAUAUCUUAAAAAAAAGGUAUGUAUUCAUUCAAUACGAGAUGUUGAUUUUUUGUAAAAGUUUGAUUCAAUAACGGAUAUAUAUAAAAAAGGAAAAAGAAAAAGUACCCAUCAAAUUUUUGACAAAUUCAUUUUAAAUCUGAUUAGGAAGAGAAGGAAAAAAAAGAAUGAGACGUCCAACAAGGCUAAUGAAAAGAAGGAAGAUGCAAAAGACAGUGGCAAGGUAAAAUCCAUACAAAUUGGGAGGUUUUGAUUUUAUUUUUGUGCUAAUUAAAUACGUUUUAUUUAUGUUAAAUCACAUUGGUACAUCUUUUUAAAACAUAACUACUCUGUUGUAUUGUUAUGUUGAAGAUUAGUUGUUAGAUAUGAUAUAGCGAACAAGAAAUUGAAAAAAAAUGAAAGUAAUUGCUUAUAGAGAGAAUUGAAGGAUUUCUGUGUUCUUAAGCAUUAACUGGUUAUGAUGGAGGCUAAUUUGUGCAAUUUAAUUAUGUGAAAACUACACCUUCAAUGUGUUUUUGCUCUUUGUUUAUAGAGAGUCCAAACUUAUGAAGACGAUUCGGGCCAACCUUCUGUGCAGCAUCUAGAAUAAGGCCUCGAGUUCUUUCUAUAUACUAAGAGUCAGAUGGCGUUGGUGAGGGGACCUUUUGUUUCUUUCUUCAUUUCGUUAUUAUGCUUCUUGCUUUGUUUGAGUAAUUAGAAAUCUAAUUUAUUAUGCUUCUAGCUUUGUUUGAGUUCUUCGAAAUCUAAUUUGAAGCUAGUUUUAUUUCUCAUGGAUGGUGUCCAAGAGCUACCAUGUUCAAUUUGGAUUCAACCGAAAGAGUAUUUAAGCCUUGAAUUAAUUAAAGAGAUGAGUGUAUCAUAUUUGUGUUUGUGCACUUGUUAUUGAUGUAUUGAAUAAUGUAGGAAGUUAAUUUACAUUAUUUGAGGUAAUAUAGAAUUUUAGAAUAUUUAUUGUUUUAGGAUUUUCUAUUUUAGUUUGAGUCAAUUUUGGUAUAUAUCUUAGUCUUUUAUUUCUAUUAUAAUUGUGAUUUAGUUUCUUUUUUAGGUUAACUUAGGGAAUUGGGUUUCCUCUAUUAUAAAUAGAGAGAUCUUAUCAUUAUUUUGAGCAUUUCAAAUUCAAUUAUUCAAUAAAACUCACCUUUUAUAAUUCCUUCUGGGAUUAUCUAUCAAAAUCUCUCUUGUAAAGUUAUUUGGAUUAAAAAGUCAUCUAAUCUCGCAUUAUGCGUUAUUAAAAAGCUCAUUGAGUUGUCUGGAUUAGAACGAUAUCUGAUCAUGUUUCAAUUAGAGCAUAACUUAAUCGUGUUGGCUUAGUCCUGUACUAGAAUGAUAUCUAGUAUUUCAUGUCCUAUCAAUUUCCGCUUCCGCUACGCCUCGCUCCAUUAGUUGGUAUUAGAGCAGUUUUGUGUCAAUUGCACAACUUUCCUGACUACCCAUAUCCAUCCACAUCAGAUCCAUCACAAAAAAUAAAUAAAUAAAAUAAAAUAAAUCAAAACUUUACAAAUUUGAAAACCCUAGCCACCACAUCAACUUCCACCACCGAUCAGCCAGCCAACACCACCACAAACCUCGCUAGCCACUGCCGACCAAGUCUCAGCCAUUGCCGCCUCAACCGCUGCCUAAACAGCUGCAAAUCACCAACCCAAACCCGUGGCUCCACCAAGCAAUCCACCACCAUUCAACCACUUUCACAGCCAGCAACCUCUACCAACAAGCUUGCAGGCCUCCACUAACCAAAACACCGACCAACUUCAGCCCAUGAUCGCCGCCCGCAGCAACCACACGAAACGACAACCCAUGAGUGCUUCCCACAUGCGCCGCCACCAAACCACCUCCUUUUUCUGUCAAUUUGCACUACCACCACCCUAAUCCCUAGCAAUCGGCGACCAUAAAUCCAGCCGUCCGCCACCAUAAGGCCGCCAUAAACCAAAAGCCACAUCACUAAAAUCAACCGCCACUUUAAGUCAGAUUUCCGACCAAAACGCAGCGAAUCUGGCCGAUCCACAACCAUCAUCGAGUUCCUUAUCACCAAAUCUCCCAGAUCCGAUACCCUCUGGUCCCAAUCACGGCCACCAGCUGCCAACCAUACCAAACCCGAGAGUUGAGCCUUAAUUACAAUUUUGCCAUUGUGUGGAAACUUAAAUGGCAAGCUACCAUCAUUGCCCUCCUAUUUAUCAUGUGCCGAUAUUAUUUACAAAAUAUACGUCCAAACAAAUUUCUUGAAUAGCUGGACAAGGUUAAGCACUAGUUUCUAUUUUGGCACACUCCUAAAGAAAAGCAAGUCUUGUUUACUGCCAGUAGAUUAAGCAUAAGUGCUUCAGAAUGGCGCGAUGAGUUGCAAAUUUCUCGACUUGACCAAGGCAAAUGCCAAGUUCAAUCAUCGAACCGUAUGAAGCAUAUUUUACGAUAUGAGUUUAUUCCUCUUGAUUAUUGUUUGGUACAGUAAGGUAUGAGAUCUGUUUCUGCUUGUGCUUAUGAGUUUGAACGAUUUUAUGGAUGCCAUUAUUAUUAUGAGCCUGAAGAGAAUACAGUUACAAGAUUUAUUAAAGGGCUUGAUUUGCAUAUUCAAGAAAGGAUGCCUAUAUACACUAUCUACAAUUUACAGCAUGCAAUUCAUUUAGGCAAGAAAAUUGAAUUGCAAAUUAAGUUGUAACGUCAAAGAAACUUUGAUGAUGUGAUUAAAAAACUUGACGAAAUCCAGAAUUUAAGCAAGAAAUGGUGUGUCACCAUGAAAGUGCCCAAAGAUGUACCAAUGAGUUCUCCUAUUGUUAAGGAAGAAGACUCCCAUGAGUUGCUAGAAGAAAAUGUACAAUUUAUUAUUGAUUUAAGGUUUCAAUCUGACAAGUUGUUCGAGAAUGUGAGUGAUGUUUCCUUAGAAGAGAAGAUAAGUGUUGAAGAUGAUGAUAUUAUUGAUCUAUUUGAUAUGUUUAAAGAAGAUAUAUAAUCUGCUCUUAAUUUAAGCAGUGAGCUUAACAAUAUAAUCGAGGUUGUACAACAAAAUCAAGGUGAAGAAGUUGAAAUGAUUGAAAUGGUUCUGCCUAUUCACAUUGAAGAAAAAAAGAUUGUGCUUGAAGAAGAUUUGGUUGAAAAGGUGAAACUUAUUGGCGAGCGCAUUGAGCGACAAUUGGGGAAGUGCAAGAGUUAUUUGAUCAUUGUUCGUUCUUGAAAGUCGUCAUCGACUCGAAGAAUGUACAAGCGAAGGAAGUUGAUGAAGUUAGGAUACUUCAAAGUUUCGAGGAAGAUUGAUGAGCAAGGCUACAGGUUCAAAUUACAAGAUGAUUUGCUCCGACACUAUAAGUUUCCUCCUCCAGACUGUAUUCAAACUCAAGGACGAGUUUCUUUUAAGAGGGAAAGAAUGAUGUAGGAAGUUAAUUUACGUUAUUUUAGGUAAUUUAGGAUUCUAGAAUAUUUAUUGUUUUAGGAUUUCCUAUUUUAGUUUGAGUCAAUUAUGGUAUGUAUCUUAGUCUUUUAUUUCCAUUCCAAUUGUGAUUCAGUUUCCCUUUUAGGUUAAUUUAGGAAAGUGGGUUUCCUCUAUUAUAACUAGAGAGAUCUUGUCAUUGUUUUGAGCACUUCAGAUUCAAUUAUUCAAUAAAACUCCCAUUUUAUAAUUCCCUCUGAGAUUAUCUAUCAAAAUCUCUCUUGUAGAGUCGUUUGGAUUAGAGCGUCAUCUAAUCUCACAUUACAUGUUAUUAAAAAUCUCAUUGAGUCGUUUGGAUUAAAACGAUAUCUAAUCACGAUUCGAUUAGAGUAUAACCUAAUCGCAUUGGCUUAAUUCUGUACUAAAAUGAUAACUAGUGUUUCCUAUCCUAUCAAUUUUCGCUUCCGCUACGCCUCGCUCCGUCAGGAUUUCUGGUGUAUAUUUUUUUAGUGUAUGAUGAAACUAAAACUAUCUCAAUUUCUGCUAUGUUAGUGCCUCCUGAACACAUGUUUGGACCAUCUGAACAUUGAGUGGCUUGAUAUCUCUAACAAUAAUGCUUGUACAACUGAAAUCUACCCACCUUGCUCUAGCACAAUGAAGAGAAAUUGUGUCAUUUCGACAAAAAGGUGUCAUAUGUGCAGUCACUAUGAAUCAUUCGCAUUGGAACAAAUUGUACAAUGUCUCAAGUCGCUACUCAAUCAGUAGAACUCUCUAAUCUACGACUUUUGUCAUUUAUCAGCAUCAAGAAUCUGCCAAUUAAGAUAUGAUCACCUGUAAUUUUAAGUUCUUUCAAUCUCCAAAAACUAGAUGAAAAAAAUGCUCCAAUAAUUAGUAAGUCUUAAUCAAAUUCCAUAUUUUAGGCUUCUAAAUUUAUUAGCAAUUUUACCUAUCAUAACUUGUAUAUGUUAACCGGAUUGCAUAAACACUUGAGAAGCUUCAAGUUCAUGUCCUAAUGUGUUACAAUAUAUAUAUAUAUAUAUAGGCUUCUUUUUUGGGGGGAACUAAAAUAAGUUAGAUCAGUACCGAAGAUCAUAGUUAAAGCUCGCAAUGUUUUAUGGAGACCUUUUUCUUAUGGUAGGAGCUUCAUACUAGGAGAAGUCAUCACUUUUGAGAACAAUAAAUGUAACAACCUAUUUAAAGGGCGGAUCUAAAAAUUUGGCUUAAAAGGGACAACACAAUAAUUAAAAAAAAUUUAAUGAAAUUGAUAGACUUUGUAUUCAUUAGGGGCAAUUAUGCAAGUAUUUAUGUAAUUUCAUGAAAAUAUAAAAAAUAAAUAGAAAAUUAUGGAAAAAAAAUUUACGGGAGUCAAUUAAUUGCCCACUAUAGGCUCCGUGUGGAUCCACCUCCGAACGUAAAUGAAGAUUGAGGAUUCUCUUAAUCCAAAAAUUUUUAAGAAGUGAAAAAUAAAAAAAAUAAAAUUUUUUUUCAUCAACUUUGUAAUUCCUUAAGCGAUUAAAAUAAGAUAUAUUCAAUAAAUAAGUAUAAAUUAUUAUUCGUAUACUGUCAAAUCUUUUUUUGUUUGGGCUCUUUUAUAUUUUGUUAACAAAUAAGCUCUAAUCUAUAUUUGUUGAGUUGAAAAUUUUGAUCAAAAUAGGGUUGUAGUUUACCGAUAUUAAUUUAUAGAUUUGAACCCAAGUUCCUCCAUUUACAUUAUUAAUUAUUUUUGUUGGUCAAAGCUAAUUGAUUAGAAGAAUGCGACAAUAAGAAGACAAAAAUAUUUGCUCAAAUGCUUUGCCGUGUGCUUGCUUACUUACAAAUAUCAACUGUUCGAUGAAAUGCCCGUUUAGCUGUUCCCAACUUGGGGCAUGAGUUUGAUUAAAGUUCUUAUAUCACUGAUAUAAUAUAUUAAUGUAUAAAUGAGCUCUUUUCCUAUCAUCUAGUGCCCAUGGUAAUAUUUCAGUAAUUGAUCAUAAUAUUAUUAAGCUUUAAUUUAUAUCCUACACUCUUUUCCUAUCACCUAGUUUUUCUAAAGCGUGUAAGGUAGAAAUAUUCUCAUGUUCGAAAAAAGGUCAUACAAGCUCUAAGCUUGUACAUAUUUGAAGAACAAUACUAGACUUUUCCUUCAAACUAAUAUCGAAAUAUUUUUAUUCCUAAUGUAGUUAUUCGUCUUUGACAUUCAGCUCAGUAUCCAUUAGCAUUUAGCAAGAACAAACUUAUUUAAUAAUUAAAAGAAUUAUUGAAUGAUUUGGAACAAGUCAGCUGAGGCUAAGUAUUUUUAUUAUAUCGGCAAUUAGAUGAUGAAUGGGAAUUAUUGAACAAUUAUUUUUAUUAUUUAGGCAAUUAAUUAAGGCUACGUAUUUUUAACGUUGUUGCAAGUUGGAAGAUGUCGGCAGCAUUAGCCACUGUCAGCAUUAGCCACCCGAGCCGAGACUCAUUCUCUUUUUCAUUUCAUUUUCGUUUACUUUUGAGAACAGAAAAUGUAAAAUUUGAAUAAGUACCAAAUAACUUUUGAUAUUAAAACUUAAAUAAGCUUAGUUUUUUUCAUUUCGUUUUCGUUCACUUUUGAACAAGACAAUGUUUACUUUUGAUAUGCUUUAUUUAAGAGUCAUAAGUGCUUAUUUAAUCUUAUAAACUCUUAUCAUAAUUUUUGUUGUUGUUUGGUUGUUUUUAUAAUCAAGCUUUUAAAACUUAAAUAAGUUAUUUUAUCUCUAUUAGAAAAAAUUCAAAUUUUAGGUUUUGGGAGUAGAGGUUAAUUUUUUUUAAAUGUUAAAAUAUCUAAAAUAUCAUCUCCUUAUUGACAAUUUUAUUUUAUUCUUUUCAUAACAUAACUUUAAAAAAUUUACCUCUUAAAGUAAUUUUAUAAAUUUUUAAUAAAAACUCUUAUUGACAACCAAAUAACUAAUUUUUUUUUUGUAAAAUCUCUAUUUAUAAAAGCUCUACUUAAAUAAACUCUACUUGAAAAAAUGUACCAAACAGAGCCUAAGAAUCACUUAUUUGAAAGUUAGAAAAUGAUUGGAGACAAAAAAAAAUUGAUAAAGAAAUAUAUUUAAAAUGAUGUGGUUUUGGUUUUAUUUUAAAAAAAUUAACCUAAAUGAUAUAAUUUUAAGUAUAUUAUUUUUCAUUUCCCUAAUAUUCUUCAUAACUGAUCUUUGUACAACUCCGACCAAUUUUCACUGACAUUACAGUGUAGUUGACAUUUUCUUUUCACCGCCUUCAAUGUUUUUCCCAAAACAAUGGAAUAACCCAAACUUGUUUUUUUCCUACCUUCACCAACCUCAUUGACAAAAAUAAAAAAGACUGUCAAUUUCUCCAACCAUGUGACAAUGCCCUCACCACGUGACCUUUUGCUCACAUCCGGUUGCACAUUAACCAUCAAAGCCGGUUUCCCAUGAAUGUCCAUUUUUUUUAACUUCUUUUUCCUACCGUUAAAUUUCUCAUGAAUGUCAGUGAGUGGGAUCCAGCUACGGUACCACCGUGGUACCGUACAACUGAUUUUAUCUUUUGUGUCAGUAGUGUUGUAAAAUUUCAUUGAACCCCUUUCAUUCAUUUUUAUUUAACCUUUACCUCAUAAAUAUUAAAUUAAUUUCUAUUCCAUCCAUAUAACAUUAUAAUAGCACCUUAUACUAUUUGUUAUUUAUACAUUUUUCUUCUAUAUUGCACAUUUAUCACAAUACCCCUCUCUUUACCACAAAUACCGGUGAACCCGACCUGAAUUUCGUUUCUGUUUUCGUCCAUGCCACCGCCCAAGGUUGGUACCGAUCAGAAGAUCGUGUGAUGCCGGUCAUCUCCACGCCAUCCUUGUCGAAAAAAUAACUAGGUCAACCUGACCCGCAAACCCGACCCGGAUUUUGUUUUCGUUUCCAGCUACUCCACCGGCCAAGGUUGGUACCGAUCAGAAGCUCGUGCUACGCCAGUCAUCUCCAUGCCAUCCUUGUCGCCGUAAAGCAUUCGGAAAGCUGCCGAUCGAAGCCGUGAAAGUUACAGAAUCCCUGCUUCAAUUCGCGGCGGUUUCUCCGGUUUCCAGUGACGCCACCACUUGGGGUUUGUUCUCCACAGUUUCCUCUGUCUUUUCUGACCAACCACAGCCACCAGAGGAGCCGAUUUGCCGUUGAUCGGCCAUUGAAGGAUUCACGGGUUUGGGAGAAAUGAACUUAAUAUUUGUGAAGCAAAGUUCAAAUAAGAAUAAGUGAAAGGACUUUAUGAAAUUUUACCAAGAAAAGACAAAAGCGGUGGCAUGGUGCUACUGUUGCACGGUAGGCGAGUCCUUAUUUGUAUAUCUAUUUCUUAAAAAAAUAAAAAAUCAUAAAGUCCGGCAACGGCAGCAUAGCACUUACUGGUAACAGGAGAAUUCAAUGAAAUGCCAAAAUGCCACCUUGCGCUGUCCAAUUAACCAACAACUUUGACAUUAUUUACAUGCAAUUAUAACCAUCUAUCUCAGUUAUUAAGAAUCUAGUUGACUUGGAAGCAUGAGUCUUCUCCAGUAUGAAUUUAGUUUGGCAUUUUUGCAGUAUUCAGAUUACCCUUGAGACUUGAGAUCACAACUGCCUGCCUCUGCAUUUUCCUAAUCAUCCCUCUUGUCUAAUCUCUAGAGUUCUCUGAAAUCUCUUCUUCAUUUUCUGUCUCCCGUUUCUGUAUCGUUCUUGUCCUCGAUCCUACACCUUCUUUGCAAAUCUUUCAUUGCACUCGCUUUUCAAUUUGUCUUAGCAGAAAAUGGACCCCCUUUGUUUCAUCUCCAGAUUUUUCACUCCUUUCCCCUCCUCCUCCCUUAAAUCUAUUCAACCUUUUAUUUUAACAAUUUAUCCAAACUUCUUAUUUCCCUCUUCACAACUGAUUGAUUAGUUCUGCUCAGUUUGAUUAGUUUUGCUUUCCCCUGUUUUCUAAGAGCAAAAAAUAAAAAAGAAAGGGAUAAUGGAUAUUGUUAUUUCCGUUGCUGCAAAAGUUACAGAGUACUUGGUUGCUCCCAUAAUUCAUCCAUUUACUUAUUGCUGCACUUAUAAGACCAACUUCGAGAAGGUGAAUAAUGAAGUCGAUAAGCUCAAGAAUGCUAGAGACAGUGUGCAAUAUAAGGUUGAUGAUUCCAGAAUUAAAGGGGACGGAAUUCAACACCACGUUGAGAAGUGGAUGAUUACUGUGGACAAGGCCAUCAAUGAAGUCGAAACCCUUAUUGAAGACAAAGAGAAGUCAAACAACCGGUGUCUGAAAGGGUUGUGUCCUAAUUUGAAGACUCGGUACCAGCUUAGCAAGAAAGCAGAAAGAGAAGCGAAUGCUAUAGUUGGACUCCAUGAAAGAGGGAGAUUCGACAGUGUUUCCUUCCGUACCAUUCCAGAGGAGACAUGGCUUAAGUCUACCCGGGAUUUCAUGCACUUUGAAUCGAGAAAGUCCACCUUGAAGGAGAUACUAGACGCACUCAGCAACCGUAACUUCAACACGAUUGGAGUGUACGGGAUGGGUGGCAUUGGAAAGACCACGCUGGUGGAAGAAGUUGGCAGACAGGCCAAGGAAAAUAAUCUCUUUGAGAAGUUCAUUUCUUCACGUGUUUCCCAAACACGGCAAAUAAAGAACAUACAAGGAGAAAUCGCUGAGAAGAUAGGCUUAGAAUUGGCUGAACAGAGUCAUGAAACUGUAAGAGCAGGGAGGCUGCUUGAACGAUUGAAGAAAGAGACGAAGAUCCUUAUAAUCUUGGAUGAUAUUUGGGGGAGUCUUGAUUUGGAGGCGAUUGGAAUUCCAUUGGCAGAUGACAACGGCGGAUGUAAAGUUCUGCUGACAGCAAGAAGUCAGGAUGUGUUAUCUUGUAAGAUGGAUUGUCAACAAAAAUUUUUUGUUGAUGUUCUGAACGAAAAAGAAGCUUGGAGUCUUUUCAAAAAGAUGACAGGUGAUUGCAUACAAAAUGGUGAACUGAAAUCUGUAGCAACAGAGAUAGUCAAGGAAUGUGGUGGUUUGCCGAUUGCCAUUGUACCCGUAGCAAGGGCAUUGAGAAAUAAGAGAUUGUCUGAAUGGAAGGAUGCUUUGCUGGAAUUUAGAAGGCCUUCCUUGAGAAACUUCACUGGAACAACGCAGGUGGCGUACAAAAGUAUAGAGCUAAGUUACAAUCAUUUAAACGGAGAGGAACUGAAGAAAACAUUUUUGCUAUUAGGGUACACGUUCUUCUCUUGUGUUGAAGACCUACUCUAUUAUGGCAUGGGUUUGGGUCUGUUUCAAAACAUCAACACGUUGGAAGAGGCACGGGAUAGAGCACAUACAUUGGUUGAUAAACUCAAGAACUCUUGUUUGUUGCUUGAUGGCCGUUCAAGUGAAUGGUUUUCAAUGCAUGAUGUUGUUCGUGAUGUAGCCAGAUCAAUUGCAUCAAGAGACCAACAUGUGUUUGCGGUGGAAAAUGAGGUUGUUCCGCUGACCAGCUGGCCAGAUAAGGAUACACUGAAGGUUUGCACCGCAAUCUCCUUAAAGAAUAGUAAUAUUAGUGAGCCUCCUCAAGGGUUCGAAUGCCCGCAACUUAAAUUCCUUUGUAUUGGCUGUCAUGCUUCUUUGAGGAUCCCAGAUAAAUUUUUUACUGGGAUGACAGAGCUUAGAGUUUUAGAUUUCACUAAGAUGCAUUUGUUGGCAUUGCCUUCAUCGCUUGGUCGCUUGCAAAACCUUCAAACAUUGUCUCUAGAUGAUUGUGAACUAGGAGACAUGGCCAUUAUCGGAGACCUAAAGAAAUUAGUCAUCCUUGCGCUUCGAGGUUCUGAUAUGGAGGAACUGGCUGGAGAGAUAGGCCAGCUGACUCAAUUGAGGUUGUUGAAUUUGCGCCUAUGUUACCGACUGAGAGUUAUUCCCCAAAAUGUGAUAUCAAGCUUAUCACGAUUAGAAGAACUAUAUAUUGGUGAGAGUCCCAUUGAGUGGGGGAAAGUUGAAGGAGUAGACGGUGAAAGAAGAAAUGCCAGCCUUGAUGAGUUGAAUAAUUUAUCUAAAUUGACCUCUUUAGAAAUACUCAUCGGCGAUGAAAAGACUCUAUCAAGAGACUUGUCGUUCUUCAAAAUGCUGCAAAGGUACAGGAUAUCUAUAGGACAGUUGUCGCAGUUUAUUGUGGUUCCCCCAUCGGAUGGGAUUUCUAGAAUAUUCAAACUGGGGCUCACAAAUGGUGCCAACAUUUGCUUGAACGAGGGGCAUAUCAUGCAAUUGAAGGGUAUUGAAGGCCUGUCUCUAGAUGGAUUGAUCGACAUGAAGAAUGUUCUUUUUGGAUCAGACAGAGAAGGCUUUCCAAAACUGAAGGGUCUCCAAAUCGAACAUAAUGGCAACCUUUCUUGUGUUGUUGACACAAUGGAUUGUAUGCCAGCUCGGACGACUGCAUUCCCCCUUUUGGAGUCAUUAUUUCUAAGAGAUUUAAGGAACCUUGAGGAAAUAUGUCGUGGUCCACUCACAGCAGAGUCUUUUUGCAAAUUAAAGACCAUAAGGGUGGAAGGGUGUGAUAAAUUGAAAAAUGUAUUGCCGAUGGUCAUAGGCAGAGGCCUUCAACAACUUCAGUCCAUUAAAGUGAGUAGUUGCCAAAAAAUGGAAGUGAUUUUUGCUGCUGAGAGAGGAGAUGAAUCCAGCAAUAAUAACAGUACUGAAGUGAUUGAACUCACUCAAUUGAGGACACUUGAGCUUCAUUCUCUUCCGCAGCUUACAAGCUUCUGCACAGGUGAUCUGCAUUUUGAAAAGGUACACGUGCAAGAUUUGUUUAAUUAUUUUUCAAUUCUUACGUACUGAAAUGUAUUUCUACUUUGAGAGUUCAGAGUUUUAUUGUCGUCAUCGCCCUCAUCACUUCAUCUUUUAGUAACAAAAUGUUAGUUCUAUAAAUCAGUUUGUUUAAUUAUACUUUAUAAUAUCCUUACAAACAUAAUUAUUUUUUUAUUUUUGGAUGUCAGUUAGACCGAAUGAAAAAAAAAAAAGAUAUAUGGUAAACAAUUAUUUUUUUCCUUCUUGUUCAAUUUUUUUUCUCUUAAUUAUCAGAGUUUUUCUUCUCCCUCUACUUUUUAUUUUAUGUCUACAUGUUUAGUUAAAUACACGGAAAGAGACAGUGCAUUUGAUUAGCCAAACAAAGAAAAUACUCAUAAGAUCUAGAGGCUUUCAAGCCACAGUUAAUUCCCUGAAAAUCUUUCAAGAGCUAUUUCCAAAUUAGUACUCCUUAGUACAGUAUUGUUACAUACAAAAUGAUUAUCAAUUUUGAUGUUGAAGAAGAAAUUGGUCAUCUCGUGUUAACAUAAAUAAUAUUUUUAAAAUAUAUAUAGAGAGAUGGACAAAACUCAAAUUAAGAAAUCUUAUUCUAUUAAACUUUAUGUACAAUAAAAUCCAUUCUUGCACAAUAGUAAAUAUAUCCAAUUCCAUUGAGUUGGAUGAAUAUUAAUGAAAUACCAGCUUCUUACUAUAUUAUUAAACUUUUAAAAUUCAUAUUAUUUAUUCAUUUUUGCUUUAAGAAAAAGUUAAAAACUCCAAUAUUUUUUAAAAAAAGAAAUUUGUAAGAUUUUCAAUUCAAACCAAAUAAAGGGAUCAAUUAAAAGAAUCUCAAAGUUUAAAUGCAAUUUGAGAAUAAUUGAAGUCUUUUUCAUAGAGAUUAUGCACAAAUCUAAUAAAAUUUGAAAAUCUAUCUACUGGACAAGAGUUAAGAAGAGAGAAUGGAAGAAAAUACACAUUACUUAAAUGGAAUGCUUUGUUUUUACUUUGUAUUUACAGCUGAAAAUCAAACUCUCUCCGCAUAUCUAUAAAUUUGUCCGGCCAUCAAUACGCAUCAUUGGAAUGCUUUGUAUUUACUUGAAUUUGUGAAAUCGUUAGAAAGAAGUGCUAACUCCAUCUUGCCACUUUUGCGAUUGAUGAUCACCCAGGUGUUCCCCAAGUUGGAGAAAUUGAGGGUUGAUGAAAAGCACAUAUGCCUAUUUCCAGAAGACUGGCUUUGCAAACUUAAAUGUCUUGAUGUCCGGCUUGAUGAGUCAAGUACAAUUUUAUCACUUGACGAUUUCCUCCAGAGAUUUCACACCAUCAAAAUUCUCUUUAUAGAAGGAGACGAUUUUGUUUGGGGAGAAUCACUUGAAAACCUUGAAAAUGGGUUGAAUGCAAUGAUGAGGGGAAUAAACCAGCGCCGUGAACUGAAGCAGAUUUUCAAACAAGAGUCAACCAAUACCAACAAUUUGGAACAGCUGGAGAUAUUCGAGUGUGACAAUUUGACUAAUCUAGUGCCAUCCUCGACAUCUUUUCAGAACCUAACAACUUUGAAGUUAAGUCUUUGCCAUGGAAUGAUACACCUUCUAACAUCCUCAACCGCAAGGAAUCUGGUGCGACUGAGACAAAUGGAGAUAGGUUGCUGCAAGAUGAUAACAGAAAUAGUGGCAGAUGAGGAUGAUGAGGGAGAUAAUUAUGCAGCACAAUAUGAAAUUGUUUUCAGCGAAUUAAAGGAAUUGCGGCUUUGGGACUUACAAAGUCUGACUAGUUUCAGCUGCUCUGGGAAUAAUUGCGCCUUCAAAUUCCCAUCUCUAGAAAGAUUAGUGGUGGAUCGUUGCCCCAAUAUGAAGAUUUUCUCAGAAGGGGAAUUAAGCACACCCAAGUUACAGAAAGUGCAGCUGAGCUGGCUUGAUAAUAAACUUUGGGCUUGGGAUCGGGACCUUAAUACAACCAUUCAAUACGUAUAUCUUAAAAGGAAAAAGGUAAGUAUUCAUUCACUAUGAGAUGUUGAUUUUUUUUUUUCUAAAACUUACUGAUUUAAUAACAGAUAUAUAUAAAAAACUAAAAAGAAAAAAGUAUAUAUUAAAUUUUUUAUAAAUUCAUUUUAAAUCUGACUAGGAAGAGAAGGAAAAAGAGAAUGAGAAAUCCGCCGAGACGAAUGAAAAGGAGAAAAAUGUGAAAGACAGUAGUAAGAUAAAAUCUAUACAAUUUGGGAGGUUUUGAUUUGAUUCUAUUUUGCUGACUAAAAAUGUUUUGUUUAUGUUGAAAUUUUUGUUAAAUCAUAUCGGUACAUCUUUUUAAGAUAUAACUACUCUGCUUUGUUGUAUGUUGAGGAUUAGUUGUUAGACAGACAUAGCAAAAAAUAAAAGAAUAAAAAAUAAAAUGCUUACAGAGAGAAUUGAAAGAUUUCCGUGUCCUUAAUAGAGGCUAAUUUGUGCAAUUUGAUUAAGUGAAAACCGCACCUUCAAUGUGUUUUUACUCUUUGUUUACAGAGUCUCCAAACUUAUGAAGACGAUUCAGGUCAACCUUCUGUGCAGCAUCUUGAAUAAGGCAUCGAGUUCUUACUAUAUAUUAAAAGUCAGAUGAUGUUGGUGAGAGGAUUUUUUGUUUCAGUUUUCAUUCAUUAUUAUGCUUUUAGCUUUGUUUGAGUACUCAGAAAUCCAAUUUGAAGCUAGUUUUACUUCUUGUGGAUGGUGUCCAAGAGCUGCCAUAUUCAAUUUGUAGGCAUCUGAAAAUCUCUUUAAUCCCUAAAUUAAUUAAAGAGAUGUGUGCAUCAUAUUUGUGUUUGUGCACCUAUUGGUAUUUUUUGGAGACAAUUAUAUAAGAAAUUAUGUAAUUUCAUGAAAUUAUCAGUAUUUUAUAUAGAAAAUUAUGGAAAAAUCAAAGUUUACGGGUCAAUUGCUCACUGUGGACAACAUGUGGAUCCUCCCUAGAGCCUAGGCGAAAUUGUAGUUUAUUGGUAUUAAUGAUCAUCAUUUUAGUUCAGAGAUUUGAGCCCAAGUUCCUCCAUUUACGUUAUUAUUAAUUAUUUUUGUUGUUGAAAGCUAAUUGAUUAGAAGAAUGCGACAAUAAGAAGAUUAAAUACUUUGCCGUGUGCUUAUUUACGAAUCCACUAGCUUAGCUUAUAAUCAGACACAUAAAAUCAUCAUCAUCACAAGAUUAUCACAUGUGUAAUAUCAAAGCUAAUUAUUGAAAACCUUUGAAUGGUCUUCCAAUUUUGAAAAAGCCGGCAGCACUUGCAACUUCCAGGAAACUUCGAUUAAGUGCAGAUGCCGAGCAUAUCAACUGUUGGAUGAAAUGCCCAUGUAGCUCUUCCUAACUUGGGACAUGAGUUUCAUUAAUUGAUCAUAAUUAUUAAAUUCUAGUAUACAUACUACACCCAUAACCUAGAUCAUUAAGAAAUUAGGCUUAAAUAUGCAAUCGUUCACAAUUAUUUAAUAAUUGUCAUUUAAGAAGGGGGGGGGGGGGGGGGGGAAGAAAAAAGAAAAAGAAGAAGGCUUCAGUUUUUCUAAAGCGUGUGAGUUAGAAAUAUUUUCACCUUAGAAAAAAGUCAUACAAGCUCUAAGUUCGUAUAUAUUUUAAGAACAAUACUAGCAAGUAAAACAAUUAUUUAAUACAAGUGUUUUUAUUAUUUAGGCAAUUAGAUAAUGGGAGAAAAUUAUGGUGCAACAGUAAUACCAUGUCACGGUUGCGUCCAGUCAUUGAAUCCCAAUAAAUCCGUUCAUUCAAGUGGAUCCAACAGCUGGAUGCCCGUAGCCGGACCCUAGAUAAUGAAUAGUAAUCCUUUAUUCGAUCAAUGACCUCAAAAUACUCUCAUUGUACGAAGAAAGUGAAAAAAUCAAAACCAAUCGUCAUUAAUUAAAGGGAAAAGGACACAGAGACCCCCAACGUUUAAAUAAGGGACACAAAACUCCCUAAUGUUUCAAAAAAGACACUCAGACCCCCAUUUGUUAACAGUAAAUUAUAAUUUUACCAUUAUACCCUUAUAACAUAUUAAAAAAUAAUUGUUCAUUUUCCAAUUUAUUCCUAUAUUAUUAAUAAAAUUACGAAUAUAACUUCAUUAUCCAAUUUUUCCAUUUAAUUUUUGUCAAAUUUUCUCUUCAAACUAAAUAAAUUUAAUCCAUUACUCAAGAAUAAAAAUAAAUUAAAUUGAUUACUAAUAUAAUAAAAAUAACAUAUAUUUAAUAUAAAAAUAACAUAUAUUAAAUUAAAAUAAAUUUAAUUUAUAUAUGGAGAAUUGUUAUUUUUAAGAAAUUAUCAAUUUAAUUUAUAUAUAAGAAAUUAUAGGAAAUAACAUAUGGAGAAUUGUUAUUUUUAUUAUAUUAAUAAUCAAUUUAAUUUAUUUUUAUUUUUGAGCAAUGGAUUAAAUUUAUUUAGUUUGAAGAUAAAAUUUGAUAAAAAUUAAAUGGAAAAAUUGGGUAAUGAAGUUAUAUUCGUAAUUUUAUUAAUAAUAUAGAAAUAAAUUGGAUUUUUUAAUAUGCUACAAGGGUAUAAUGGUAAAAUUAUAAUUUACUGUUAACAAAUGGGGGUCUGAGUGUCUUUUUUGAAAUAUUAAAAAAUUUUGUGUCCCUUAUUCAAAUGUUGGGGUCUCUGUGUCCUUUUUCCUUAAUUAAAAGCGACUGUAGAUAGUCAAAUAAUCAAAACAUUUCGCAUAAAGUUUUUCUCAUUCUUUGUCCACUCUUCGCAUUCAUUGACCUACGUACCCAGUUAAUUUAAUUCUGCUGACUUAACUUUUUAAAAUAUAAAGUCAGUGAAUUCCGCUGGUCCGACGCACAUCUCCCAACUAUGCAAGUCUUUCUCCAUCUCAAUCACCUUAAUUGCUUUUAUUCUUCAGCUUUGUUCAUUUCUAAAGAUUUUUUAAGAAGUGAAUUUUUUUUUCAAAAGAAUAAAUUAUUGCAUAAACUUUGUAAAUCCUUAAGCGAUUAAAAUGAGAUAUAUUCAAUAAAUAAGUAUAAAUUAUUAUUCUUGUACUGGAAAAUUCUUUUCUUUUUUUUAGGGUUCCUUUAUAUUUCUUGAAUUGAAAACUUUGAUGAAAAUAGGGUUGUAGUUUACCGAUAUUAAUUUAUAGAUUUGAGCCCAAGUUCCUUCAUUUACAUUACUGAUUAGAUUUGAUGGUGAAAGCUAAUUGAUUAUAAGUAAGCGACGAUAAUAAGAAGAUAAAAGUACUUGCUCAAAUACUUUGCCGUGUGUUCUUACUUACAAAUCUGCUAGCUUCGCUUUUAAUCACAUAUAUAAAUCAUCACUACCUUAUCAUAUAUUAUUACUUAAUAAUCAAAGCUAAUUAUUGAAACCUUGAAGGGUCUUCCAAGUUUGAUUAUGGAGGCAACACUUGCAACUUCCAGGACAGAAACAUCCGUGUAAGUGCAGCUGCCGGGUAUAUCAACUGUUACAUGAAAUGCCCGUUUGGCUGUUCCCAACUUGGGCAUGAGUUUGAUUAAAAGUUCUUAUAUCACUAAUAUAAUGUAUUAACGUAAUAAAUGGGCUAUUUUCCUAUCAUCUAGCGCCCACGGUAAUAUUUCAGUAAUUGAUCAUAAUAUUAUUAAGCUUUAAUUUCUAUCCUACACUCUUUUCCUAUCAUCUAGUUUUUCUCAAGCGUGUAAGGUAGAAAUAUUCUCAUCUUCGAAAAAAGGUCAUACAAAUUACAAGCUCUGAGCUUGUACAUAUUUGAAGAACAAUACUAGACUUUUCCUUCAAACUAAUAUCGAAAUAAGUUUAGCAAGAACAAACUUAUUUAAUAAUUAAAAGAAUUAUUUAAUGAUUUGGAACAAGUCAGCUGAGGCUAAGUAUUUUUAUUAUAUCGGCAAUUAGAUGAUGAAUGGGAAUUAUUGAACAAUUAUUUUUAUUAUUUAGGCAAUUAAUUAAGGCUACGUAUUUUUAACGUUGUUGCAAGUUGGAAGAUGUCGGCAGCAUUAGCCACUGUCAGCAUUAGCCACCCGAGCCGAGACUCAUUCUUUUUUUCAUUUCAUUUUCGUUUACUUUUGAGAACAGAAAAUGUAAAAUUUGAAUAAGUACCAAAUAACUUUUGAUAUUAAAACUUAAAUAAGCUUAGUUUUUUUCAUUUCAUUUUCGUUCACUUUUUAACAAGACAAUGUUUACUUUUGAUAUGGUUUAUUUAAGAGUCACAAGUGCUUAUUUAAUCUUAUAAACUCUUAUCAUAAUUUUUGUUGUUGUUUGGUUGUUUUUAUAAUUGAGCUUUUAAAACUUAAAUAAGUUAUUUUAUUUCUAUUAGAAAAAAUUCAAAUUUUAGGUUUUGGGAGUAGAGGUUAAUUUUUUUUAAAUGUUAAAAUAUCUAAAAUAUCAUCUCCUUAUUGACAAUUUUAUUUUAUUUUUUUCAUUUCAUAACAUAACUUUAAAAAAUUUACCUCUUAAAGUAAUUUUAUAAAUUUUUAAUAAAAACUCUUAUUGACAACCAAAUAACUAAUUUUUUUUGGUAAAAUCUCUAUUUAUAAAAGCUCUACUUAAAUAAACUCUACUUGAAAAAAUGUACCAAACAGAGCCUAAGAAUCGCUUAUUUGAAAAUUAGAAAAUCAUUGGAGACAAAAAAAAAAAAAGAUAAAGAAAUAUAUUUAAAAUGAUGUGGUUUUGGUUUUAUUUUAAAAAAAUUAACCUAAAUGAUAUAAUUUUAAGUAUAUUAUUUUUCAUUUCCCUAAUAUUCUUCAUAACUGAUCUUUGUACAACUCCGACCAAUGUUCACUGACAUUACAGUGUAAUUGACAUUUUCUUUUCACCGCUUUCAAUGUUUUUCCCAAAACAAUGGAAUAACCCAAGGGUCCGCCUACGUUACAUUUAAUGUAACGUACAGUCAGCCUGUGGAAUUUUAUCUAGCCCCUUAUACUCUAUGUUAUUUAUAUUUUAUUCAUGAAUAUUAUAAAUUUUUUGAAAUGUAAAAUUUCGUUUAACCCCUUAUAUUCAAUUUUAUUUUAUUAAAAUCCUAAAGUAUGAAUUCGCCCCUAUAAUAUUAAAUUCUCAAAAUAACCUCCAUUUAAUUAAAAAAUAUAAUUAUUGUUAAAUGAAUUAUAAUUAUAAUUAUUAUUUUAUUAUAAUCAUAAAUAUUUUUUUAAAUAGAUUAUUUUUAUUAUUAAUAACAAGAAUAAAAAGUAUUAUAAUUAAUUAAUCUAUUACCAAUAAUUAAUAAUAUUUUUUAUUAAAUUGUUAAUAAUAAUAAUAAUAAUCAAUGAUAAUUAACAUAUUUAUGAUUAUAAUAAAAUAUGAAAGGAGAGCGGAGACUUUUAUUUUGAAUAAACUAGUUCCGAUUAACAUAUUUAUGAUUAUAACAUAUUUAUGAUUAUAAUAAUAUUUUUUGAGAUGUUUGGGCAAGGGGGUCUCAUGGGUGUGUGGACUUUUAGGCUGCCAGGAGAGCGGAGACUGGAAAAAUACCUUGCGUUUAGAUAGUGACUUGUGUGUGAGUAAUAACAAUUUUUAUUAUAAAAAUAAGUUUUAUACCAAAUAUUAAAAAAAAUCUGGAUAAUCAUUAAUUAUUAUUAUUAAUUAUUUAAUAAAAAAUAUUAUUAAUUAUUGUUAAUAGAUUAAUUAAUUAUAAUGCUUUUUAUUCUUAUUAUUAAUAAUAACAAUAAUCUAUUAAAAAAAUAUUUAUGAUUAUAAUAAAAUAAUAAUUAUAAUUAUAAUUCAUUUAACAAUAAUUAUAUUUUUUAAUUAAAUGGAGGUUAUUUUGAGAAUUUAAUAUUAUAGGGGCGAAUUCAUACUAUAGGGUUUUAAUAAAAUAAAAUUGAGUAUAAGGGGUUAAACAAAAUUUUACAUUUCAAAAAAUUUAUAAUAUUCAUGAAUAAAAUAUAAAUAAUAUAAAGUAUAAGGGGCUAGAUGAAAUUUCACAGGCUGACCGUACUUUACAUUAAAUAUAAUGUAGGCGGACCCAUAACCCAAACUUGUUUUUUUCCUACCUUCACCAACCUCAUUGACAAAAAUAAAAAGGGUCCGCCUACGUUACAUUUAAUGUAACGUACGGUCAGCCAGUGAAAUUUUAUCUAGCCCCUUAUACUCUAUGUUAUUUAUAUUUGAUUCAUGAAUAUUAUAAAUUUUUUGAAAUGUAAAAUUUCGUUUAACUCUUUAUACUCAAUUUUAUUUUAUUAAAACCCUAGAGUAUGAAUUCGCCCCUAUAAUAUUAAAUUCUCAAAAUAACCUCCAUUUAAUUAAAAAAUAUAAUUAUUGUUAAAUGAAUUAUAAUUAUAAUUAUAAUUUUAUUAUAAUCAUAAAUAUUUUUUUAAUAGAUUAUUGUUAUUAUUAAUAAUAAGAAUAAAAAGCAUUAUAAUUAAUUAAUCUAUUAACAAUAAUUAAUAAUAUUUUUUAUUAAAUAAUUAAUAAUAAUAAUUAAUGAUUAUCCAGAUUUUUUUUAACAUUUGGUAUAAAACUUAUUUUUAUAAUAAAAAUUGUUAUUACUCACACACAAGUCACUAUCUAAACGCAAGGUAUUUUUCCAGUCUCUGCUCUCCUGGCAGCCUAAAAGUCCACACACGCAUGAGACCCCCUUGCCCAAACAUCUCAAAAAAUAUUAUUAUAAUCAUAAAUAUGUUAUAAUCAUAAAUAUGUUAAUCGGAACUAGUUUAUUCAAAAUAAAAGUCUCCGCUCUCCUUUCAUAUUUUAUUAUAAUCAUAAAUAUGUUAAUUAUCAUUGAUUGUUAUUAUUAUUAUUAACAAUUUAAUAAAAAAUAUUAUUAAUUAUUGUUAAUAGAUUAAUUAAUUAUAAUGCUUUUUAUUCUUGUUAUUAAUAAUAAAAAUAAUCUAUUUAAAAAAAUAUUUAUGAUUAUAAUAAAAUAAUAAUUAUAAUUAUAAUUCAUUUAACAAUAAUUAUAUUUUUUAAUUAAAUGGAGGUUAUUUUGAGAAUUUAAUAUUAUAGGGGCGAAUUCAUACUCUAGGGUUUUAAUAAAAAAAAUUGAGUAUAAGGGGUUAAACGAAAUUUUACAUUUCAAAAAAUUUAUAAUAUUCAUGAAUAAAAUAUAAAUAACAUAGAGUAUAAGGGGCUAGAUGAAAUUUCACAGGCUGACUGUACGUUACAUUAACGUAGGCGGACCCAAAUAAAAAAUGCUGUCAAUUUCUCCAACCAUGUGACAAUGCCCUCACCACGUGACCUUUUGCUCACAUCCGGUUGCACAUUAACCAUCAAAGCCGGUUUCCCAUGAAUGUCCAUUUUUUUUAGGGUGACCCUAAGUUACGUUAAGUGUAUCUUACGUUUUUUGUCUUUUUCUUGUGGCAAUUUUCAUACAAGUCCUUACAUUUAUUACUUUUAUAUUUAAGGAUGCAUUUGCCUUCUUCUAUCAAUUAUACACCUAUUUUUCAUUCUUUCUAAUGUUUUCUUUAUUUCUUUAAACAACAAUAUAUGGUUAUCGAAUUCAUAUAAAUCUGUAAAUUCAGAAUAAAUUUCGGGUCCUAAAUUUAUUAUUCCCAUUCUUUCUUGUUCUAAUAGUUCUAUUUUUUGGGUUAUUUGAUUUAUAUAACUUAUUAUGAUAUUUUCCCAGCCUAGAUUCAUAUGAUCUAUAGUUUCUGCUAAAUUAUGUAUCAUAUUAAAAGCAUGUUGGUUCAUGGUAAUGCUUCUUUUUUAUACCAGUAUACUAAAAAUUUUAUAAAUUCAUCUAUAAAUUUCAUUUUCUUUUCUAUUAAAAUAUCACCCCCUAAAGUUUCUAUAUUUCUUUCUUGUAAUUCUUGAGUUACUUCAAGCUCGAUAUUUCGGAUGUUAUUCUUUUUCAAAUACCUUUAAAGUAUAUAAGCUAUCUGUUAUAUUUUUUAUAGGGUCCAUGGCUCUGAUACCAUUUUAUGGGUUGUGUAAAAAUGUAAAAACAAAAACAAGACAAAAACAAAACUAAUAAAAACUAAAAUAAAUUCAGUCAACAAAAUUAAACAAAACAAAUAAAUAAAUAAUAUUAAGUAGAUGAAUGAAAACUAUUAGGAUAAUAGAAUUUUGAUGCAAAAAUUCAAAAAGAUAUAUCUAUUUUAUGUCUUUAGUAUUAUUAUUCAUCUAAAAGAGUAUAUCUAUCAUAUCUUGUAUUAUCAUUAUUUCUUAAAUAUAAGGCUAUAACUUCUUCCCCAUUAAUUAUACUAGGUAUAUUUCCGGGAAAACUAGGAACAUAAAAAUCGUAAUAAUUAUUAUGAGUUUCUAUAAUAAAUGUAGGGUUAUUAAUCUGAUUUGAAAUUUCUAAAUUAUGGGAUAUGUUUACUGGAUAAUAGAAUAUUUCUACUUUUAUGAAAUAUAUAUUAUUAUUUAUUAUACUAGUAUAAUAUCUUGUUUCCUUGUAGGUGUUCAUGAUUACAGAAUAUUAUAUCGACUUAAGAUUUUAUAUUUCUAGUUCUUCAUUAUCUGAAUUAUCUAUAUAUUCUAUGUAUGAGGGUUCUAUUCUUAAACUUUCAUUUUCUAUUUUAGCUUUAAUUAUAUCAAUAGUCUCAUCUAUAGUUAACAUUGUAAUUAAGUGUUUUAGAUUAUCUAUUUCUAAAAUGUUUAAGAUUCUUCGUUUUAUUUCUGGUGGUAAUUCUAGUGUAUAUAUAGCUUCUAUCUUUUCUUUACUAAUAAGUUCUUCUUUACUAAAUAUGUAUUAACUUUGCUUAAAAGAUCCAAGAUUAAAAUCUAUUAUCAUCAUGUAGUUAUUAUAUGUUAUCCUAGUUGUAGGAUUUAUCAUUUUUUCUUUUGGAUUUCCACGUCCUAAUCUAACACUCAUAUUUUGAUAAACACUCAUUUUUCUUAUUUUUAAUAAUUUUGAUUAAGAAUUCGAAUAAGAUUCACUUCUGAGAGAUGCUCAUCCACCAUCAAUCUCCUCAUCUACAAUCAUUACCCAACUUCUACCAACAGAUAAGGUUAGAGAAUUAUUACCUAAGUUAUCCUUUUUCUUCGUCUUAAGAUCUGUCUCCAGUGACCUGCAGCAUAUGCGUCCUUCAUUCCCUCAACGGCCUCCUGCCUUAACGGGAUCAAGCGGACUCCAAUGGCCUUUCUGUAUGGAUCCUGAUCUUCUUUCUUAGAAAUAAAGAUAAUUUUAGGUUUCUCUUUCCUUUCUAUGGGGUUGUUUGUUUAUGAUUGAUGAUGUAUUGAUUUCUGGUUUUGAGCUUAAGAGAAUUUAGCUAUUCAUUUUCAUAGAGUUUUUCCACUAUCGAAAAUAUUGCAAAAGUGAAAUAUGGUGUGUAAUCUGAGCCCCUUGCUCCUUCUUUUUUCUUUUUAUUUCAAAACUUUUGCCUCGAGAUUACAUUCUUGCCCUUUUUGCUUUUUCUAAUUAUUACAAAUGCUUUUCUAAUUACAUUAUUACAAAGGCGUUUCUUUCCUCUAUCAUGCGCUUCUGCUUUUGCCUUUUUAUCUUGUCUGCUAAAGCAUCUUUUAUUUGUCUGCCACGUUUAUUGUCUUGAUCAUGCUUUUUUAUCUGAUCUGCUAAGGCAUCUUUUAUUUUGUCUGCCACUUGCAUUAUUCUGAUUACGCUAUGCGUAUCUGAUUGCUUGUCUCCAUGAGCUGGAAAGCAUGUUGUAUGGUUUCACUGCUGCUUGGAAAGCGCCUAGUGCUUAUUUCAUUGAUUAGCUCCAGCAAGAUAUUUGAUGGUGUAUGGCUGUCUUCUGCUGUCACUAAGAUAUAAUUCUGGAAUCUGAUGAUGGUUAUGAAAUUCCUCUUGUAUAGGUCUUUUGCUAUGCUCCAAAUGGCUUUUAUUCCUUUGGCUCUUCGGGUUUUUAUCCAGGACUUGGUUAUAUGAGGAACUUCUGUGUAUCCAGUUCCUACUUCUACUUUAAAAUUUUUUGUGAGGUGACCUACGGAAAUCAUAUAGAAUGCUUGAUAUUCUAUAUUUUGAUGGUAUUCUGGACUUAUGGUGUAGAAUUUGAGGUAUAUGGGUUUUUUCUGGGCAAAUUUUGACACUUCUUUGACUAAAAGUUCGUCAAAGCUGGCUAUUUCUCUCAGAUCUAUAUCUGGAUAAACUAAAUCUAAGAAUCCAUAUCGGGCUAUUUUUCCAACAAUAAGGGGGUCAGCCCCCUUUGUGGCUAUAAAUCUGGGAUAUAUGUUUUUUCCUGGUGCUUUAAAGAUGCUAUUAUUAUGAGAACAAAUAGAGUAUACCCAGGUAGCAAACUGUUUAUACUCAUCUUCUUUUUGGUUCAGAGGUUCUUCUUUUUCUUCAGUAUAGGGACUGUCUAUUUGAAUGAAUUUCUUUGUUGGGCUUAUUUUUGGAGAAUCAACCUCUAUGGAGAUUGUUUGGGUAGGAGCUGUAUCAGAGAUUGGUUUAUAGUCUCUCAGGGGUUCACUACUGCUUCCUGUAUUCAUUGGACUAGUGCACACUGGCACAGUGUUUAUUGAGAGUGCCUUUGUGAGAUCUUUUAUGUAUGAUCCCAACAAAUGGACUCCUUUUUCAUGGGCUUCUGAAGCCUCUUUUAUAUAGUUUAUUGCAUCAAUUAUGUCUGAUGCUUCUGUUGCCAAUCUUUGUAUUUCGGCAUUUAUUUCAGAAAGGAUUUUAUUUAUGUCUGGAUCCAUCUCCAAAUUCUAUGUUCCUGCUUAAGAAAUCUGCAAGAAAAUUGUUAGAUCCCUUUAUAUGUAUAAUUUUAAAAUUAUAAUAUGAUAAAUAAGCUUGCCAUCUAUGUAACCUUCUGUACUGGGGUUCAUUUGGUAAAACUUUAUUUAUUAAUGAGUUUCCCUGAGAAUUGUCAGUUUUUAUAGUAAAUUGUUUUUGUAAUAAAAACAAAGAAAACUUUUUUAUUCCUUUAUAUAUAGCAAGCAGUUCUUUUUCAUGUACAGGAUAAUUGACCUGUGCUUGGUUGAAUGUACCACUGGUGUAUCUACAUAUUUCAUUUAUGUCAGUCUUAAGUAUAACUCCCCAAUAUAGAUCAGAUGCAUCAGUCUGCAUUACUAACUUAUCAGUUUUAUCUGGUAAUCUUAAAGAAGGGAGAUUUUUACAUUCCUCCUUUAAGUUUUUUACAGUUUCUGUAUGUUCUAUACUCCAUCCUCUAGUAUUAUUUUUCCUAAGUAGCUUUUGAAGUAUAUUUUUCUUUUUAGCUAGAUUUUCUAUAAAUCCUUCUGCAUAAUUUAAGCAGCCUAAGAAUUUUUGUAUCUGUUGUUUAUUUUCUAAUUUAUCUGGAAAAUCAAUAAUUUUUCUUCCUAUAUGGCUUUGAAGUCUGAUUCCUUGUUUAUCUAGAAUCAUUCCUAAAAAUUCAAUUUUCUUAUGUUCUAUUAUUGCCUUUCUUUCUGACAGUAUUAUUCCUUCUUUGACACAUACAUUUACAAAUUCUUUUAAAUGUUUUCUGUGUUCUUCUAGUGUUUCAGAGGCUAUUAAUAUGUCAUCAACAUUGUUGAGUGUUAGAAAAUGCAUAUUUAUAAAGGAGAAAACCGUCAUUUUACAUUUCAAGUCUUAUUAACAACCCUUACUUUUAUGUAUUUAACCUUCUUGUGAUUUAAUUACAUGUGUUUUAUUUUAAUUAAGUAUUUUAUGUAUUUUAGGGGCAUUAUAGUCAUUUCACAAUAAAGGAGAGAUCAGAUGGCAAAACGGACAUCACUUUUGAACUCAGGACGGUCGAAAACCUUAGGAGGGGCAUAAAAGGAAAAAUGGCACUAUUCACAUGUACGGUACUAUUCACGUAUACGGUACUGUAUAUGUUACUGUUCACGGCACUGUUCACAUAGACGGAUCGAUGACGUGGCAUUGACCGAUGAUGUGGCAUUGACUGAUGAGGUGUCACGAUCCUGUUGGACUAAAAUUCUUAUGUACUGUUGAUGGUGACGUGGCAGCAUAUCAGUGGACGAAAAAUCUCGCGUACGGUGCAUGCAUCACACAGGAUUAUUUUCAACCAAACCGCGUUACUGUUCAUCCGGGUCAAACCGUGUUACUGUUCAUCCGCGUGGUCAAACCGUGGACUGUUGACUGAUGACGUGGCGCAAUCCUGAGCGUCCAAACUGUUUUUAAUCCGAUGGCCAUGAUUUACUCCAUGUAUCUAUAAAAAGGGGGCCUUCCCCCCCUAAUUUGAUAUCUCUGAAUCCAUUUUUGGGAUCCAUUUUCUGUAAUUCCCUCUCCAUCUUGUAUUUUCUUUGUAUUUUAAUAAAUUCCCAUUUUGCCCCUAGUUCAAUUAUGAGUGGCUAAUUUUCUUUCAAGCUUGGGUUGAAGGUGAAGUCUCAACAUGUGUCAUGGGCUUAAUUGGUAAAUUUAUUUUCUCUUCCCCUCUAGUUUUUGUGGAUGUUUUGACUUCUCGUCGACAAAUAAUACUGAUCUUGUCUAGAUACCGCCUUGGUUACACCGGCUCUCUAGUAUAAGGUUAUUAUUAUUUGGCACGAUAAGCCCUUAGCACCAUAUUGAUUAGAGCGUGGUUCAUGAGGUGUGGAUUCCCCCUCAUGAUUUAAUUGGCAUUAAUACGGAUUAUUUAGCCCAUGAUGCAUGUUGAUACGGAUCCAGAUACCCAAGUACGUCAAUUUAAUCGAUUUUCUCUACAAUUUAUUCUCGCCAUUGCAAUUCCAAUUUUAGCAUAUUUUAAAUCACUUCCACCACAAUUCCAACCACCCAUUUACAAAAUUAAUUCUAUAUAUAAUUAAAAAUCCACCUCCUCGUGGGAUCGACACUCGUCACCAUUAGUCUAUACUACAAUAGAUUCGUGCGCUUGCGAGUACAUUAAAAUUUGCACAACAAACAUAUACUAUUAUGUAUCUAUAAUCUCUAAAUAUUUUAUUCAUUCUACUUUGGAAUAUUUGUGGGGCAUUUUUUAAUCCAAAAGGCAUUACUAACCAUUCAUAAUGUCCUUGUGGAGUACUAAAGGCUGUAUAAGGAAUACUAUUUUCUUUCAUUUUUAUCUGCCAAAAGCCUGAUUUACAGUCAAACUUUGAAUAAUAAGUUUUAUUUUUUACUAGAUUUAUUAGUACUUCUUUAUUUGGUAAAAAAUAUCCAUCAAAUUUUGUAUAUUUGUUUAGUUCUUUAUAAUUUAUUACCAUUCUAGCUUUACCUCUAACUUGUUCUGCUCUUUUUCUAACCAUGAAAGCUGGGCUGUUGUGUGGACUAUUACUAUUUCGUAUUAAGUUUAAUUUUAAUAAUUCUUUUAUUUGAAUUUUAAAUUCUUCUCGAUCUUCUUCCGUGUACAUCAUAGGUUUAAGUCUUAUGAUUCUAUUUUCUAUUAAUUCUAUUUUUGCUCUGGGGUGAUCUGGUUUCCAUAAGGCUAAUGGGAUUUUCUUUAUAGACAUUUUCAAGUUGGGAUUUUAUUGUUUCUAAUUUUAUGUUUAUGUGAUAACUCUUUCCUUUUGAAAUUAAAUAAUGUUUUUCAUAUAUUGUCUUAUCACCACGCGAGGCUGGCUGAACUCGAUAAGGACGAAAUUCACGAGGAAUGCGAAGAAUAUGAUUGCAUGGGGUUUUAAGAGUAAUCAUAUAGGUCGUCUGUUGGUAAUAUUGAAAUUGUUGUAAGAAAUCAUUACCUAAGAGUAUAUCACAGUCCAUUUGGUCAUAUUGGAAGAUAUGAUUAAUACGGACAAUUUUACUUCCUAAAAGAGUUUCAAAAUUCUCUAAGGAUUGAGUGAUAUGUUGUUUAUCUCCUGUGAUACCUACGAGUUUUAUUUUGCUAUUUGAUUUCCAUUGGUUUGACAAAAAGGUUUUCAUAAUUGUAAUUUCACUUCCUGUGUCUAUCAAGGCGCAAGUGUCUAUAUCUUUUUCUACUAUGUUUAUUUGUAUAUAAACAGACAUAGGAUAUUUUAUAUAUGCUUGUCUUAACAUGUUUCACAAAUUAUCUUUUGUCCUUCUAUUUGUAAAGUUAUUUGGCCUUUUUCUAUUUUAUAAUAUUCUAGACUGUUUAGGAAACUAUUUCCCAAAACUAUAUGUUUUUCUGGAUCUGUAGUCAUAAAAGAGUCUAUGUAGCAAGAUACUAUUAUUCGUAUUCCUUCAAUUAUUAAUGGAACUUUUACUUCUUGUCUACAUAUAUGCUUAUUACCAUUGAAGUCAGUAUAUUCAUACGGAAUUUCUUUUUCUUUUAUUAAGAGUCUUUUAUUUUUUGUAUGAUUCAUAUAAUUAUGACUUGUUCCUGUAUCUACUAGAAUAGGUAGUUUUAUUGUAUAUUCUAUUCCAUUGAAGUAUUGUCCAAGUAUUUUUACUACACUACUAAUUAGUAUAGGUUUUACUAUUUCUUUAUUUAUAUUGAUUAUUUGUCUAUCAGUACUUAAUCUUCUAGAAGACCCUCCUCGCAAAAGGGUUCUUCCUGCAAAACUUAUAGGGAUUAUAGAAUUCUCAUUAUUAUCAUUUAAAAAUUAUUUUUUAUCAUCUACAUCUAAUUCGUAUGUUAUAGGAAUUUUAUAAUCCUGUAUGAUAGGUUCUAUUAAGGUUGCUAUAUCCUCACAUUCUUUAUUUAUUUCUAUAUAUGGUUUAUUUCCAUAAAUUUCUCCAUAAUUUGAGUUACAAAAACUAUAUAAUGCUGAAUAGAGUAUAGUCAUUAAUCUAUUUCCUUCUUUUAUUAAGUUCUUUUUUAGGAGUUUAAAAUGUAGGCUUAAAGUUUCAUCUAUGUUUUUUUCUUUUAUAUGUACACAGUAUCUAGGGUGACAUGCAAAUAGUAAUUUAGUAUAACAUAAGUUUCCUUCUACUGUUCCUAGAUGUCCUAUGCUAGGAUCAUGAAAUCUUUGGUCAUGGAUUGAUAAAACUAUUGGGCUAUCUACCCCUUCUUUGAAGAGAGAUUUUAUCAAAAUUUGGAUUUCAGCUAAAUAUACAUAUUGUAUUUUUUCUUUCGUUGAUUCAUUCUUUAUUUUUCUUAAGGCUAAAUCUAUUGUUCUUUUAUUUAUUAAACUGAAUCGUAUAUUUCCUUCAGCUUGUGUUAUAGUUACAGCUUUUUCUUGUUCAUAGUAUUCAUGUAAGAUUAUCCUUUUUCUUUUAAAUAAAUCUCUUAGUUUUUGUAAGAUACCAUACUCUGGUUUUUCCACAUUUAAUCUUAAAAGUUUAUUAUAUUUUUCCUUAUUAAAAGUGGCUACUAAGCUAUAUCCACUUUUGUUUUCUUCUCUUUCUAUUUCUUCAAUGUCUUCUAUUUCUUCUUUUUCCAUUAUGUCUUUUUCUUUAUUCUGAUUCAUUUUCCUCCUCUUUUUCCAUAUAUACCUCCAUCCCUUCGUAUUCUGACAUGCUUGUUAUUUCUUCUAAUUCAUCUUGUAUUUGAUCAAAAUCUUCUUGUAAAAUUCUAACCUUUUUCUUUUUACAAUCUGUACUGAUAUGUCCUAUUUCACCACAAUUCCAGCAUUUGCAUUUUGAUUUAUCUACUAAUUUUCUUUGGUUUUUAUGUUUCCUUUUGUAGUAUUUCCUUCCAGGUUUCCUGUAUUUAUUUUUAAAAUUGUUAUAUUUUUUAUAUCUUUUUUCUUUUUUAUGCCAUUUUCUUUUUCUAUUAUAGGCUAUAGAACAUCCCCAUUGCGUUGGCAUUUCUGUCUUUUCACAACAUAUUUCUGUUAUGUUUCUACUCUUUUUUAUUAGAUUUCUCUGGAUACAUAUACCACUAAGUCUUGUAUUUACAAAUCUUAUUCUAGAUCCUAAGUUAUCUGGGAGUUUAUUUGAAGUACUAAUUUUCUCAUAUUCAUUUAUAAAGUAACUAUUCCAAGGGUAUGGUAACUUGGAGUAAUAUAGGUUUUUAUAAACUUCUUGAUCUUCUAAACUCACAUAUUGUUCAUAGUAAUAUUUACUAAAUUCACAAGUAUAUUCUUUGAUAAAACACAUAUUGCAUAUUGUUAAGUUUAAUAGAUUUAAUCUUGCUCUUUGUUUUUCAUUAUUUGCUUCUCGCUCUGAAUUUUCUAACCAAUCUUCUCCUAGAAAUUCUCUGGCAAUAUAUUCAAGUAUUCUUUCUAUUCCUAGAGCAGUGCUCCUUCUAAAAGCUAUUUUGGUUGAAUCUUUUAUUAACAUUUGUGUAUCAUCACUUAAUCCUCUCCACCAGUUAAAUAUAUUUCCUGUAAAACUGGUUAUUAAGAUGUCUGUAAAUAUGUCUAUUUUUUCUUCAUUGGUAGUUACAUUCCAGUCAUCAUUAGCUCCAUUAUAUGUGAAGAAUAGCUUCAUUUGCAUUCCCCAUUCUGCUAAUGUUUUUCGAGGGUUUUCCUUGCAAUCUAUAUUUAGAAAUGAUCCACUAUUGCUUAUAGGUACUAAUGUAUCCUGAUUGGGUUUGUAUUCUUUUUUCCAGGGAGUAGCUUUUACUUUAGGUGUAUAUUCAUAAAAAGGUUUAUUAUUUUUCUUAGGUAUAAACCUAUGGCUAGGUUCUGCAACAUUUGGUUUCAUCUCUGGUCCUCCUGCUGUAUUCAUUUUUAUUUGGUAUUCUUUUUCAAAUUCUUCUAAAUCACUAAGAUUUAUGUCACUAAAUUUUUCAGUUAAAUUUUCUAUUGUAUCUUCCAUUAUUCAGAAUUAGACUCAGUUUGUUCUUUUAUUUCUAAUUUCUCUUUUCCUUUUUCCUUCUUUUUUAUUUCUGCUUUUAAUUCUUCAGCUUCUUGUAAUAUUUUUGGAUAUUGUGUUUCCAUAAACCAGUAGUCAUAACUACCUUUUUGGGGUUUUUGUGUAGGUUUCUUAAAGUUUGUUCCAAUAAUACCUGAUUUUAUUAUCUCAAGUCUUUCUAUUUUCUUAUUUUUCUUUUGCCCUUUUUGUAACAAGGAUAUUUCUAUCUUUAAUUUUCCUAUCUCUUGUCUUAUUUCUUUUAUUUCUUCUUUUAGAUUUAAAAGUAUCUCUUUUAAUUCUAUUAUUGUGGUUUCCAUAAAGUACAAGGGAGUUUAUUAAUAUUUUGUUUAUUUGAAUGUAUGUUACGUUGCAUGUAACAUAGGCUUGGCCUUUUUUUUAACUUCUUUUUCCUACCGUUAAAUUUCUCAUGAAUGUCAGUGAGUGGGAUCUAGCUACGGUACCACCGUGGUACCCUGCCACUGGUUUUGUCUUUUGUGUCAGUAGUGUUGUAAAAUUUCAUAGAGCCCCUUUCAUUCCUUUUUAUUUAAACUUUACCUCAUAAAUAUUAAAUUAAUUUCUAUUGCAUCCAUAUAAACAUUAUAAUAGCACCUUAUACUAUUUGUUAUUUAUACAUUUUUCUUCUAUAUUGCACAUUUAUCACAAUACCCCUCUCUUUACCACAAAUAUCAACAAACCCGACCCGAAUUUCGUUUCUGUUUUCGUCCACGCCACCGGCCAAGGUUGGUACCGAUCAGAAGAUCGUGCGACGCCGAUCAUUUCCACGCCAUCCUUGUCGAAAAAAUAACCGGGUCAACCUGACCCGCGAACCCGACCCGAAUUUUGUUUCCGUUUCCAGCUACUCCACCGGCCAAGGUUGGUACCGAUUAGAAACUCGUGCUGCGCCGGUCAUCUCCAUGCUAUCCUUGUCGCCAUAAAGCAUUCAGAAAGAUGCCGAUCGAAGUCGUGAAAGUUACAGAAUCCCUGCUUCAAUUCGCGGCGGUUUCUCCGGUUUCCGGUGACGCCACCACUUGUGGCUUGUUCUCCACAAUUCCCUCUGUCUUUUCUGACCAACCACAGCCACCAGAGGAGCCGAUUUACCAUUGAUCGACCGUUGAAGGAUUCAUGGGUUUGGGAGAAAUGAACUUAAUAUUUGUGAAGCAAAGUUCAAAUAAGAAUAAGUGAAAGGGCUUCAUGAAAUUUUACACAGAAAAGACAAAAGCGGGGGCAUGGUGCCACUGUUGCACGAUAGGCGAGUCCUUAUUUGUAUAUCUAUUUCUUAAAAAAAUAAAAAAUCAUAAAGUCCGGCAACGACAGUAUAGCACUUAAUGGUAACAGGAGAAUUCAAUGAAAUGCCAAAAUGCCACCUUGCGCUGUCCAAUUAACCUAUAACUUUAACACUAUUUACAUGCAAUUAUAACUAUCUAUCUCAGUUAUUAAGAAUCUAGUUGACUUGGAAGCAUGAGCCUUCUCCUGUAUGAAUUUAGUUUGGCAUUUUUGCAUUAUUCAGAUUACCCUUGAGACUUGAGAUCACAACUGCCUGCCUCUGCAUUUUCCUAAUCAUCCCUCUUGUCUAAUCUCUAGAGUUCUCUGAAAUCUCUUCUUCAUUUUCUGUCUCCCGUUUCUGUAUCGUUCUUGUCCUCGAUCCUACACCUUCUUUGCAAAUCUUUCAUUGCACUCGCUUUUCAAUUUGUCUUAGCAGAAAAUGGAUCCCCCUUUGUUUCAUCUCCAGAUUUUUCACUGCUUUCCCCUCCUCCUCCUUAAAUCUAUUCAACCUUUUAUUUUAACAAUUUAUCCAAACUUCUUAUUUCCCUCUUCACAACUGAUUGAUUAGUUCUGCUCAGUUUGAUUAGUUUUGUUUUCCCCUGUUUUCUAAGAGCAAAAAAUAAAAAAGAAAGGGAUAAUGGAUAUUGUUAUUUCCGUUGCUGCAAAAGUUACAGAGUACUUGGUUGCUCCUAUAAUUCAUCCAUUUACUUACUGCUGCACUUAUAAGACCAACUUCGAGAAGGUGAAUAAUGAAGUCGAUAAGCUCAAGAAUGCUAGAGACAGUGUGCAAUAUAAGGUUGAUGAUUCCAGAAUUGAAGGGGACGGAAUUCAACACCACGUUGAGAAGUGGAUGAUUACUGUGGACAAGGCCAUCAAUGAAGUCGAAACACUUAUUGAAGACAAAGAGAAGUCAAACAACCGGUGUCUGAAAGGGUUGUGUCCUAAUUUGAAGACUCGGUACCAGCUUAGCAAGAAAGCAGAAAGAGAAGCGAAUGCUAUAGUUGGACUCUAUGAAAGAGGGAGAUUCGACAGUGUUUCUUUCCGUACCAUUCCAUGUUGAUGCUAGAUUCUGGUUGUCCUCGUUCUACGACCAGGGUCUCUGCUCGAUCAACUUCACCACGACCAGGAUCUCUCCUCGUAAAGCUUCUUCUCCAGAGGUUCCUACGCACACAGACAGGUCAGAGUACGCCGGUUGUUUUCCCGGCGCAAACCCUCCAACGCUCAAGUCAGAUAUGAAGGUUCGGGGAACGCUUGCCACAGAUCUUAUGGCUUUUGGGUAGUCUUCUCUUCUUUAGAAUUGCUUUUAUCUCUCUUCUAAUCUCAAAAUUGCUAACCCUUUUACCUUCGUUGGCUACAUUUUUAUAGGCCUCCUCUGAAUCCCAGUUUUCCACAGUCUACGUCCGUUAUCCUCCCACCUCUUGAACGUGGAUUCCCCAUUUUCGUAGUUGUGGGUGGUUGCGUGGCCUUCGUGCCUAGAUUCUCGGGCUGGAGAGCAUGCCUCGCCAACUGUCGUUGACCGGGUCUCCUCGAAUCAACCCUUAGCAAGAAUACAACAUGAAUGGCUUUAUGCUUCUUACAGGAAAUUGGCCUCGCAGAUGACGUGCUCGUGGAUGAGCAGGAUAUUCCUGCCCCUGUUCCCCUGCUACCUGGCUCUUACAGGACACACCUGCUCGCAGACUUCUGCCAACAAACAUCUGCUCAUCACGUCUGGUCUCGUCGGAGUAUUUCCCUCAAACACCGGUCCCCCAGUUUCUGGUGUUGGGUAAUGUAAUGGACCAGCAGUAGAAACUUAGUGGUUCUUGGUCGCGCGGGACUGGAAAAGGCUGCCAAGAGUCAUAUCGCAUUUAAUUGCGGACGAGGUGAUGUGGCAGAAAUAUGCCCCUCUAUUCGAAUUUCAAACCAACGGUUAUGAGGCCCUUGGGGUCAAGUUGCACAAAUAGACGGGAAGGAUUAUCGCGUCCCACCCCGUUUCACGGUCCCAGGUUGCCUGCUCGCUUUAGAUGUCUUGUGUCCGUAAUUGUUCUCGCUUUGUUGGUUUGUCUCUAACCAAGUGUCUGUUUGUGUUGUAGUUUCUUGGGGUGUUCAUUUCUCGCUCAAACCUGGCCAGCUCAAACGGGUCGAGGCUGUGCUAGCCAAUUCCUGCUCGAGCCGGGAGCUGAUAACUAUAUACAACUUGCUCGAGUCUCGCUUGAUACUCCCUGGUCAUAAGAUGGAGGACGCUGUGAUUGGGGCUCUGAACAGGAAACGUUCUCGACCUCAAACCACGAAGAGAGACCAGAAUAAGGACGCCCCUACUGCAAAGCGGGCCAACUUCGUGCAGCAGGUCUCUCCCUUGAAGAUUUUACCUCCUGCUCCUGCCAAAGUCGGGGAAACUAGUGGAGCAGCCACCGAUCCUGCUUCUUCUUCUCCUCCUGUCGGGCCUCGAUCUCGCUUACCUGACAGCCGAGCAGAACACUUGGUCCCCUAUCUCAAUGAGUUAUCUAAACUCGUGAGCAAGAAGGACCUGGAGGACUUUGAUGGCUGCACUCUGGGCGAGCUGGUGGGAGCCAUGCAGUAUAGCGCUUUCCAUCUCAGCUGCAUGACCACCUACUAUAAGGCCAAGGUCGGCCGUUAUGACAGGAAGAUGAAGGAGGACAUUCAGUCAGCGAUGACCAGAGCUGACGGCGCCGAGAAGAAAGCAGGAGCGCUGAAUGUCGAGAACCUGAAGCUGAUAGAGCAAGAAUCUCUUGCUCAAGCGAAAGCCAUUACCCUCGAGGAGGAGCUGACCAAGGUCAAGGAGGAUCUUCAAAGGCAGAAGGCUAUGUAUGAGGCUCAGCUCGAAUCUCUCCGUGAUUCCCAUCGGGUUCAGGUCGAGAACUUAGAGAAGGAGGCUGACAACCAGUACGACCAGGGACUUCGGCAUUCUUAUCGUUGCAUCAUGGCCGUCCUCGGGAAGCAACACCCUGAUCUGAAGAUGGAUGACCUUGCAGCUGGUGUUGCUCAACAUAUGGACGAGGAGGCGGCCAGGGAAGACGCUGAAGGGGUAGAGCCGAUCGUGAUUGAGGAGGAAAACUCUCUUCCUCGUGCAGUACCUGCUGAUGUUGGCGAGGCGAGCACCCCCCCCGGAUGCAACUGGUGAUACCCCCCUGCACCUGAGGAGGUCCAACCAACCGAUGCUGCUCGGCUUACUGAUCCACCAUCUUCUUGAUAUAUUUCUUGUAUUGUAAUGAACAAUGUUUGUGAAGAUUAUCUCCUCUGUUAAUUAUUAACAAAUUAAUAAAGAUGUUUUUGAUUACUUUCUUGUGUUGUAAUCAUAAGUUAUUUUUCGUUUGAGAAUCUGCUCGUCUUUGUCUGGUCGAGCAGGUUCUGGCUUGGCACAUGGUUUUGCCACAUGCCUUUGAAAAUUCUUCAAUGCUUGGGAUUCUGCUCGCCUUCGCGUGGUCGAGCAGAUCCUGGCAUGCUUGGCUUCUGGUCUCGCCAUAAGACAGGCUUUGAGACUUGGUGAGCUUUUGCAUGCCUUAGGAAUUUUUUCGAAUGCUUUGGAGUCUGCUCGCCUUCUCGUGGUCGAGUAGAUCCUGGCACGCUUGGCUUCUGUCUCGCCAUAAAACAGGCUUUGAGACUUGGUGAGCCUUUGCAUGCCUUAGGAAUUUUUUCGAAUGCUUUGGAGUCUGCUCGCCUUCUCGUGGUCGAGUAGAUCCUGGCACGCUUGGCUUCUGUCUCGCCAUAAAACAGGCUUUGAGACUUGAUGAGCCUUUGCAUGCCUUUGAUAAUUUCUUGAAUGCUUUGGAGUCUGCUCGCCUUCUCGUGGCCGAGCAGAUCCUGGCACGCUUGGCUUCUGGUCUCGCCAUAAACAGGCUUUGAGACUUGUCGAGCCUUUACAUGCCUUAGGUAAUUUCUUCAAAGCUUGGGAUUCUGCUCGCCUUCUCGUGGCCGAGCAUAUCCUGGCACGCUUGGCUCUGGUCUCGCCAUAAACAGGCUUUGAGACUUGCUGAGCCUUUGCAUGCCUUCAAUUCUUCAAGGAUAGGGAUUCUGCUCGCCUUCUCGUGGUCGAGCAGAUCCUGGCACGCUUGGCUUCUGUCUCGCCAUAAAACAAGCUUUGAGACUUGAUGAGCCUUUACAUGCCUUUGAUAAUUUUUCGAAUGCUUUGGAGUCUGCUCGCCUUCUCGUGGUCGAGUAGAUCCUGGCACGCUUGGCUUCUGUCUCACCAUAAAACAGGCUUUGAGACUUGAUGAGCCUUUACAUGCCUUUGAUAAUUUCUUGAAUGCUUUGGAGUCUGCUCGCCUUCUCGUGGCCGAGCAGAUCCUGGCACGCUUGGCUUCUGGUCUCGCCAUAAACAGGCUUUGAGACUUGUCGAGCCUUUGCAUGCCUUAGGUAAUUUCUUCAAAGCUUGGGAUUCUACUCGCCUUCUCGUGGCCGAGCAUAUCCUGGCACGCUUGGCUCUGGUCUCGCCAUAAACAGGCUUUGAGACUUGCUGAGCCUUUGCAUGCCUUCAAUUCUUCAAGGAUAGGGAUUCUGCUCGCCUUCUCGUGGUCGAGCAGAUCCUGGCACGCUUGGCUUCUGUCUCGCCAUAAAACAAGCUUUGAGACUUGAUGAGCCUUUACAUGCCUUUGAUAAUUUUUCGAAUGCUUUGGAGUCUGCUCGCCUUCUCGUGGUCGAGUAGAUCCUGGCACGCUUGGCUUCUGUCUCACCAUAAAACAGGCUUUGAGACUUGAUGAGCCUUUACAUGCCUUUGAUAAUUUCUUGAAUGCUUUGGAGUCUGCUCGCCUUCUCGUGGUCGAGUAGAUCCUGGCACGCUUGGCUUCUGUCUCGCCAUAAAACAGGCUUUGAGACUUGAUGAGCCUUUGCAUGCCUUUGAUAAUUUCUUGAAUGCUUUGGAGUCUGCUCGCCUUCUCGUGGCCGAGCAGAUCCUGGCACGCUUGGCUUCUGGUCUCGCCAUAAACAGGCUUUGAGACUUGUCGAGCCUUUACAUGCCUUAGGUAAUUUCUUCAAAGCUUGGGAUUCUGCUCGCCUUCUCGUGGCCGAGCAUAUCCUGGCACGCUUGGCUCUGGUCUCGCCAUAAACAGGCUUUGAGACUUGCUGAGCCUUUGCAUGCCUUCAAUUCUUCAAGGAUAGGGAUUCUGCUCGCCUUCUCGUGGUCGAGCAGAUCCUGGCACGCUUGGCUUCUGUCUCGCCAUAAAACAAGCUUUGAGACUUGAUGAGCCUUUACAUGCCUUUGAUAAUUUUUCGAAUGCUUUGGAGUCUGCUCGCCUUCUCGUGGUCGAGUAGAUCCUGGCACGCUUGGCUUCUGUCUCACCAUAAAACAGGCUUUGAGACUUGAUGAGCCUUUACAUGCCUUUGAUAAUUUCUUGAAUGCUUUGGAGUCUGCUCGCCUUCUCGUGGCCGAGCAGAUCCUGGCACGCUUGGCUUCUGGUCUCGCCAUAAACAGGCUUUGAGACUUGUCGAGCCUUUGCAUGCCUUAGGUAAUUUCUUCAAAGCUUGGGAUUCUACUCGCCUUCUCGUGGCCGAGCAUAUCCUGGCACGCUUGGCUCUGGUCUCGCCAUAAACAGGCUUUGAGACUUGCUGAGCCUUUGCAUGCCUUCAAUUCUUCAAGGAUAGGGAUUCUGCUCGCCUUCUCGUGGUCGAGCAGAUCCUGGCACGCUUGGCUUCUGUCUCGCCAUAAAACAAGCUUUGAGACUUGAUGAGCCUUUACAUGCCUUUGAUAAUUUUUCGAAUGCUUUGGAGUCUGCUCGCCUUCUCGUGGUCGAGUAGAUCCUGGCACGCUUGGCUUCUGUCUCACCAUAAAACAGGCUUUGAGACUUGAUGAGCCUUUACAUGCCUUUGAUAAUUUCUUGAAUGCUUUGGAGUCUGCUCGCCUUCUCGUGGCCGAGCAGAUCCUGGCACGCUUGGCUUCUGGUCUCGCCAUAAACAGGCUUUGAGACUUGUCGAGCCUUUGCAUGCCUUAGGUAAUUUCUUCAAAGCUUGGGAUUCUGCUCGCCUUCUCGUGGCCGAGCAUAUCCUGGCACGCUUGGCUCUGGUCUCGCCAUAAACAGGCUUUGAGACUUGCUGAGCCUUUGCAUGCCUUCAAUUCUUCAAGGAUAGGGAUUCUGCUCGCCUUCUCGUGGUCGAGCAGAUCCUGGCACGCUUGGCUUCUGUCUCGCCAUAAAACAAGCUUUGAGACUUGAUGAGCCUUUGCAUGCCUUUGAUUCUUCAAGGAUUGGGAUUCUGCUCGCCUUCUCGUGGUCGAGCAGAUCCUGGCACGCUUGGCUUCUGUCUCGCCAUAAAACAGGCUUUGAGACUUGACGAGCCUUUGCAUGCCUUCAAUUCUUCAAGGAUUGGGAUUCUGCUCGCCUUCUCGUGGUCGAGCAGAUCUUGGCACGCUUGGCUUCUGUCUCGCCAUAAAACAGGCUUUGAGACUUGAUGAGCCUUUGCAUGCCUUUGAUUCUUCAAGGAUUGGGAUUCUGCUCGCCUUCUCGUGGUCGAGCAGAUCCUGGCACGCUUGGCUUCUGGUCUCGCCAUAAACAGGCUUUGAGACUUGGUGAGCCUUUGCAUGCCGUUGAUAAUUUCUUGACCAGUACAGUUGGCUGAAACUCCUCAUUGAUUCAUUUAUUAUUGAAUUCGGCUUACAUGAGAUUGCUUUGACAUAAAACAUAAAAAAUGAAAGAUAAAGAGCACGAGCAGAAAUUGCUUUAAAAUGUGAACAAGUCUUACUGGAAGUAUUUUCAUAGGUGUACUGCGUUCCACGGGCGUUUCACCUCGUGGCCGUCCGUGCGAACCAGCUUGUAAGCUCCGGGUCCCACUAUCUGCUUGACUCUAUAUGGCCCUUCCCAAUUCGGUCCCAGGCUUACUGUCUCCAGAUCCUCUACAGACUCUUGUCUGUCAUUCUUGUUUUCCACUCGGGUAUCAAGCGAUGUUAUCUGCAUUGCAUCCUUUGCUGCCGAGGAGUAGCAGCUUCUCGCAAUUCGUUGAGCCUCAUAUCACCCCCUUGUGCACUACUUCCUCCCGUCUCCAUUGCUUUUCACUUGCUUCACUCCUCUUCUUGCUAUCAACAGAAGCUUUUUGAUCAGCCCCCCACAGACGGCGCCAAAAUGUUGAUGCGAGAUUCUGGUUGUCCUCGUUCUACGACCAGGGUCUCUGCUCGAUCAACUUCACCACGACCAGGAUCUCUCCUCGUAAAGCUUCUUCUCCAGAGGUUCCUGCGCACACAGACAGGUCAGAGUACGCCGGUUGUUUUCCCGGCGCAAACCCUUCGACGCUCAAGUCAGAUAUGAAGGUUCGGGGAACGCUUGCCACAGAUCUUAUGGCUUUUGGGUAGUUUUCUCUUCUUUAGAAUUGCUUUUAUCUCUCUUCUAAUCUCAAAAUUGCUAACCCUUUUACCUUCGUUGGCUACCUUUUUAUAGGCUUCCUCUGAAUCCAAGUUUUCCGCAGUCUACGUCCGUUAUCCUCCCACCUCUCGAACGUGGAUUCCCCAUUUCCGUAGUUGUGGGUGGUUGCGUGGCCUUCGUGCCUAGAUUCUCGGGCUGGAGAGCAUGCCUCGCCAACUGUCGUUGACCGGGUCUCCUCGAAUCAACCCUUAGCAAGAAUACAGUAGGAAUGGCUUUAUGCUUCUUACAGGAAAUUGGCCUCGCGGAUGACGUGCUCGUGGAUGAGCAGGAUAUUCCUGCCCCUGUUCCCCUGCUACCUGGCUCUUACAGGACACACCUGCUCGCAGACUUCUGCCACUAAACAUCUGCUCAUCACGUCUGGUCUCGUCGGAGUAUUUCCCUCAAACAUUCCAGAGGAGACAUGGCUUAAGUCUACCCGGGAUUUCAUGCACUUUGAAUCGAGAAAGUCCACCUUGAAGGAGAUACUAGACGCACUCAGCAACCGUAACUUCAACAUGAUUGGAGUGUACGGGAUGGGCGGCAUUGGAAAGACCACGCUGGUGGAAGAAGUUGGCAGACAGGCCAAGGAAAAUAAUCUCUUUGAGAAGUUCAUUUCUUCACGUGUUUGCCAAACACGGCAAAUAAAGAACAUACAAGGAGAAAUCGCUGAGAAGAUAGGCUUAGAAUUGGCUGAACAGAGUCAUGAAACUGUGAGAGCAGGGAGGCUGCUUGAACGAUUGAAGAAAGAGACGAAGAUCCUUAUAAUCUUGGAUGAUAUUUAGGGGAGUCUUGAUUUGGAGGCGAUUGGAAUUCCAUUGGCAGAUGACAACGGCGGAUGUAAAGUUCUGCUGACAGCAAGAAGUCAGGAUGUGUUAUCUUGUAAGAUGGAUUGUCAACAAAAUUUUUUUGUUGAUGUUCUGAACGAAAAAGAAGCUUGGAGUCUUUUCAAAAAGAUGACAGGUGAUUGCAUACAAAAUGGUGAACUGAAAUCUGUAGCAACAGAGAUAGUCAAGGAAUGUGGUGGUUUGCCGAUUGCCAUUGUACCCGUAGCAAGGGCAUUGAGAAAUAAGAGAUUGUCUGAAUGGAAGGAUGCUUUGCUGGAAUUUAGAAGGCCUUCCUUGAGAAACUUCACUGGAACAACGCAGGUGGCGUACAAAAGUAUAGAGCUAAGUUACAAUCAUUUAAACGGAGAGGAACUGAAGAAAACAUUUUUGCUAAUAGGGUACACGUUCUUCUCUUGUGUUGAAGACCUACUCUAUUAUGGCAUGGGUUUGGGUCUGUUUCAAAACAUCAACACGUUGGAAGAGGCACGGGAUAGAGCACAUACAUUGGUUGAUAAACUCAAGAACUCUUGUUUGUUGCUUGAUGGCCGUUCAAGUGAAUGGUUUUCAAUGCAUGAUGUUGUUCGUGAUGUAGCCAGAUCAAUUGCAUCAAGAGACCAACAUGUGUUUGCGGUGGAAAAUGAGGUUGUUCCGCUCACCAGCUGGCCAGAUAAGGAUACACUGAAGGUUUGCACCGCAAUCUCCUUAAAGAAUAGUAAUAUUAGUGAGCCUCCUCAAGGGUUCGAAUGCCCGCAACUUAAAUUCCUUUGUAUUGGCUGUCAUGCUUCUUUGAGGAUCCCAGAUAAAUUUUUUACUGGGAUGACAGAGCUUAGAGUUUUAGAUUUCACUAAGAUGCAUUUGUUGGCAUUGCCUUCAUCGCUUGGUCGCUUGCAAAACCUUCAAACAUUGUCUCUCGAUGAUUGUGAACUAGGAGACAUGGCCAUUAUCGGAGACCUAAAGAAAUUAGUCAUCCUUGCGCUUCGAGGUUCUGAUAUGGAGGAACUGGCUGGAGAGAUAGGCCAGCUGACUCAAUUGAGGUUGUUGAAUUUGCGCCUAUGUUACCGACUGAGAGUUAUUCCCCCAAAUGUGAUAUCAAGCUUAUCACGAUUAGAAGAACUUUAUAUUGGUGAGAGUCCCAUUGAGUGGGGGAGGGUUGAAGGAGUCGACGGUGAAAGAAGAAAUGCCAGCCUUGAUGAGUUGAAUAAUUUAUCUAAAUUGACCUCUUUAGAAAUACUCAUCCAAGAUGAAAAGACUCUAUCAAGAGACUUGUCGUUCUUCAAAAUGCUGCAAAGGUACAGGAUAUCUAUAGGACAGUUGUCGCAGUUUAUUGUGGUUCCCACAUCGGAUGGGAUUUCUAGAAUAUUGAACGAGGGGCGUAUCAUGCAAUUGAAGGGUAUUGAAGGCCUAUCUCUAGAUGGAUUGAUCGACAUGAAGAAUGUUCUUUUUGGAUCAGACAGAGAAGGCUUUCCAAAACUGAAGGGUCUCCGAAUCGAAAAUAAUGGCAACCUUUCUUGUGUUGUUGACACAAUGGAUUGUACGCCAGCUCGGACGACUGCAUUCCCCCUUUUGGAGUCAUUAUUUCUGAGAGAUUUAAGGAACCUUGAGGAAAUAUGUCGUGGUCCACUCACAGCAGAGUUUUUUUGCAAAUUAAAGACCAUAAGGGUGGAAGGGUGUGAUAAAUUGAAAAAUGUAUUUGCCGAUGGUCAUAGGCAGAGGCCUUCAACAACUUCAGUCCAUUAAAGUGAGUAGUUGCCCAAAUAUGGAAGUGAUUUUUGCUGCCGAGAGAGGAGAUGAAUCCAGCAAAUUCCCCCUUUUGGAGUCAUUAUUUCUGAGAGAUUUAAGGAACCUUGAGGAAAUAUGUCGUGGUCCACUCACAGCAGAGUCUUUUUGCAAAUUAAAGACCAUAAGGGUGGAAGGGUGUGAUAAAUUGAAAAAUGUAUUGCCGAUGGUCAUAGGCAGAGGCCUUCAACAACUUCAGUCCAUUAAAGUGAGUAGUUGCCAAAAUAUGGAAGUGAUUUUUGCUGCCGAGAGAGGAGAUGAAUCCAGCAAUAAUAACGGUACUGAAGUGAUUGAACUCACUCAAUUGAGGACACUUGAGCUUCGUUCUCUUCCGCAGCUUACAAGCUUCUGCACAGGUGAUCUGCAUUUUGAAAAGGUACACGUGCAAGAUUUUUUUAAUUAUUUUUCAAUUCUUACGUACUGAAAAGUAUUUCUACUUUGAGAGUUCAGAGUUUUAUUGUCGUCAUCGCCCUCAUCACUUCGUCUUUUAGUAACAAAAUGUUAGUUCUAUAAAUCAGUUUAUUUAAUUAUACUUUAUAAUAUCCGUACAAACAUAAUAAUUAUUUUUUUUUUGGAUGUCAGUUAGACCGAAUGAAAAAAAAAAGAUAUAUAGUAAACAAUUAUUUUUUUCCUUCUUAUUCAAUUUUUUUUUCUCUUAAUUAUCAGAGUUUUUCUUCUCCCUCUACUUUUUAUUUUAUGUCUACAUGUUUAGUUAAAUACACGGAAAGAGACAGUGCAUUUGAUUAGCCAAAUAAAGAAAAUACUCAUAAGAUCUAGAGGCUUUCAAGGCACAGUUAAUUCCCUAAAAAUCGUUCAAGAGCUAUUUCCAAAUUAGUACUCCUUAGUACAGUAUUGUUACAUACAAAAUGAUUAUCAAUUUUGAUGUUGAAGAAGAAAUUGGUCAUCUCGUGUUAACAUAAAUAAUAUUUUUAAAAUAUAUAUAGAGAGAUGGACAAAACUCAAAUUAAGAAAUCUUAUUCUAUUAAACUUUAUGUACAAUAAAAUCCAUUCUUGCACAAUAGUAAAUAUAUCCAAUUCCAUUGAGUUGGAUGAAUAUUAAUGAAAUACCAACUUCUUACUAUAUUAUUAAACUUUUAAAAUUCAUAUUAUUUAUUCAUUUCUGCUUUAAGAAAAAGUUAAAAACUCCAAUAUUUUUUUUAAAUAUAUAGAAAUUUGUAAGAUUUUCAAUUCAAACCAAAUAAACGGAUCAAUUAAAAGAAUCUCAAAGUUUAAAUGCAAUUUGAGAAUAAUUGAAGUCUUUUUCAUAGAGAUUAUGCACAAAUCUAAAAAAAUUUGAAAAUCUAUCUACUGGACAAGAGUUAAGAACAGAGAAUGGAAGAAAAUACACACUACUUAAAUGGAAUGCUUUGUAUUUACAGCUGAAAAUCAUACUCUCUCCGCAUAUGUAUAAAUUUGUCCGGCCAUCAAUAUGCAUCAUUGGAAUGCUUUGUAUUUACUGUAAUUUUUGAAAUCGUUAGAAAGAAGUGUUAACUCCAUCUUGCUUUUUUCGUGAUUGAUGAUCACCCAGGUGUUCCCCAAUUUGGAGAAAUUGAGUGUUGAUGAAGAGCACAUAGGCCUAUUUCCAGAAGACUGGCUUUGCAAACUUAAAUGUCUUGCUGUCGGGAUUGAUGAGUCAAGUACAAUUUUAUCACUUGACGAUUUCCUCCAGAGAUUUCACACCAUCAAAAUUCUCUCUAUAGGAGGAGACUAUUUUGUUUGGGGAGAAUCAUUUGAAAACCUUGAAAAUGGGAUGAAUGCAAGGAUGAGAGGGAUAAACCAGCGUCGUGAACUGAAGCAGAUUUUCAAACAAGAGUCAACCAAUACCAACAAUUUGGAAAAGCUGGAGAUAUUCGAGUGUAACAAUUUGACUAAUCUAGUGCCAUCCUCGACAUCCUUUCAGAACCUAACAACUUUGACGGUGUGUUUUUGCCAUGGAAUGAUAAACGUACUAACAUCCUCAACAGCAAGGAGUCUGGUGCGACUGAGACAAAUGGAGAUAGGUUGCUGCAAGAUGAUAACAGAAAUAGUGGCAGAUGAGGAUGAUGAGGGAGAUAAUUAUGCAGCAAAAGAGGAAAUUGUUUUCAGCGAAUUAAAGGAAUUGAAGCUUUUUAACUUAGAAAGUCUGACAAGUUUCAGCUGCUCUGGGAAUAAUUGCGACUUCAAAUUCCCAUCUUUGGAAACAUUAGUGGUGGAAAAUUGCCCCAAUAUGAAGAUUUUCUCAGAAGGGGAAUUAAGCACACCCAAGUUACAGAAAGUGCAGCUGAGCCAUCUCAAUAAAAAACUUUGGGCUUGGGAUCGGGACCUUAAUACAACCAUUCAAUACGUAUAUCUUAAAAGGAAAAAGGUAAGUAUUCAUUCACACUGAGAUGUUGAUUUUUUUUUUCUAAAAAUUACUGAUUUAAUAACAGAUAUAUAUAAAGAAGUAAAAAGAAAAAAGUACAUAUUAAUUUUUUUUUAUAAAUUCAUUUUAAAUCUUAUUAGGAAGAGAAGGAAAAAAAGAAUGAGAAGUCCGCUGAGGCGAAUGAAAAGGAGAAAGAUGCAAAAGAUAGUGGUAAGAUAAAAUCUAAACAAUUUGAAAGGUUUUGAUUUUAUUCUAUUUUGCUGACUAAAAAUGUUUUAUUUAUGUUGAAUUUUUUGUUAAAUCAUAUUGGUACAUCUUUUUAAAAUAUAACUACUCUGCUCUAUUGUUAUGUUGAGGAUUAGUUGUUAGAAAGACAUAGCGAAAAAUAAAAGAAUAAAAAAUGAAAUUAAUUGCUUACUGAGAGAAUUGAAGGAUUUAUGUGUCCUUAAUAGAGGCUAAUUUGUGCAAUUUAAUUAUGUGAAAACUGCACCUUCAAUGUGUUUUUACUCUUUGUCUACAGAGUCUCCAAACUUAUGAAGACGAUUCAUGCUACUUGUGCAGCAUUUUGGAUAAGGCUCGAGCUCUAGUUCUUUGUAUAUAUUAAGAGUCAGAUGGUGUUGGGGCGAGGAUUUUUGUUUCAGUUUUCAUUUAUUAUUAUGCUCAUAGCUUUGUUUGAGUACUCAGAAAUCCAAUUUGAAGCUAGUUUUAUUUCUUAUGGAUGGUGUCCAAGAGCUGCCAUAUUCAAUUUGUAGGCAUCUGAAAAUCUCUUUAAGCCCUAAUUAAUUAAAGAGAUGUGUGCAUCAUAUUUGUGUUUGUGCACCUAUUGGUAUUUAUUGGAGACAAUUUUGCGAGAAAUUAUGUGAUUUCAUGAAAAUAUCAAGAAUUUAUAAAGAAAAUUAUAGAAAAAUAAAAGUUUAUGUUGAAGCAACAUGUGAAUUUAUAAAAAAAAAGUCACACAAGCUCUAAUUUUGUAUAUAUUUUAUGAACAAUAAUAGCAAGUAAAAAAAUUAUUUAAUGAUUUGAAGCAAGUCAGCUGAGACCAAGUGUUUUUAUUAUUUAGGGAAUUAGAUCAUGAAUGGUAAUCUUUCAUUUGAUCAAUUACCUCAAAAUACUCUCAUUUUACGAAGAACGUCAAAUAAUCAAAACUUAAUCGUCAUUAAUUAAAAGCUACUGUAGAAAGCUUGAACGGUCUUCCAAAUUGCAGGUUGGAAGAUGUGGACGGCAUUAGCAACUGUCAGGAAUCUUCAUCCAAGUUGCGAGCCACCCGAUCCGAGUCUCAUCAUUUACUAUUUUUUUUUUAACCUUUUUAAUUUCAUUUUCGUUUACUUUUGAGAAAAGGAAAAUGUAAAGAUUGAAUAAGAUAAGAAUCAUUUGUUUGAAAAUUGAAAAAUGAUUGGAAGACACAAAAUUGAAUUUUAAAAAAUAUAUAUUGAAAAUGAUAUCGUUCUGGUUCUAAUUUAGAAAAAAAAAAUUCACCUAAAAUGACAUUAUUUUAAGUAUAUUUUUGUCAAUUUUGUUGACUGAAAAGCCAACGACUCAAGGAGUGGGCCAACUGUUCAAAUAUGUGACAAGCUUGCGUGGGAGCUGAGGUUGUGGGCCUGUGGCCAGUGGCACAAUCUACUGGUGCUCGGUUCCGUGAUGGAAUAAACGAAUCCCAUCAUGAAAUCUAUGGCUGGUGGGAUAAUCUAUUGGUCUACUUAUAAUCCGAUUUUGGGAUUCUCACUCUUAUCAUCACCUCACAUUUCGCGCAAGUUUUUUUAAUUCUUCGUCCACUCUUUGCGUUCAUUUCAAUGAAAAAGAAAAAGAAAUUAAUAUAAUCGAACACACUACCUCAGUUAAUUUAGUUCUGCUGACUUAAUUUUUUUUUAAAUAUAAAGUCAGUGAGUGCCGCUGUACAAAUCAAAUUAUUGGUUACCAUUGGGCCGACACACAUCUCAAGACUCUGCAAGUCUUUCUCCAUCUCAAUCAACAUACUCAAUCGUCUUUGUUAGGGUGAUUAUACGACCAGAGCACCAGCCACACAUGCUUUCACCUGGUCGAGGUAAGAAUCUCCUCGGGUCGGUGUAUUAUGAGCAGACACAAUAAUACCAGGGUCCUCUUCGAUGUAUGGCUAAAAGUCGACCAGAGAACUAUUCCUUAAAUAUCGGACACGAUACCAUAUCUAGGCGACGGUUCCCGACCAUGCGGGGAAAGCCACGAUAACGGAUGCACGAUUUUCACAAAUCCUCUAAACCCACGAAGGCUCGAAUAUGGAGGACGUGGGGAUGUUCUAGAUACAUGGGGAGGCUGCCUAUAAAAACCCCAAAAAAACAACAAAAGGAAAAAAGAAAAAAAGGAAAAAGGGGGGAAAACUCAGUCAUUUUGGAUCUAGAACUUAUUUCGAAAAAGCUUUCUGAAACACUUCCUUCAUUUAAGAAUUGUUAGUUUUGAUAGAUGGAUAAUUCAACCUUUUUUUCCCCCCCGAAACCUUGCAUACUGACUUAAGUGUUGGAGGUGUUUGAGGAAUUAAAUAGAGCGACCAUGAUCUCCUCCAAGUGAAAGUGAGCAAAUGGUUGAGCAGACCACCUCGACCAGGUGGUAUGAGCUUGAGCAGAUCACCUUGACCAGGUGGUAUGAGCUUGAGCUGAUGACCAUGUGGUAUGAGCUUGAGCAGAUCACCUCGACCAGGUGGUAUGAGCUUGAGGAGACCACCUCGACCAGGUGCUAUGAGCUUGAGGAGACCACCUCGACCAGGUGCUAUGAGCUUGAGCAGAUCACUUCGACCAUGUGAUAUGUGCUUGAGCAGAUCACCUCGACCAGGUGGUAUGAGCUUGAGCAGAUCACCUCGACCAUGUGCUAUGAGCUUGAGCAGAUCACCUCGACCAGGUGGUAUGAGCUUGAGCAGAUCACCUCGACCAGGUGGUAUGAGCUUGAGCAGAUCACCUCGACCAGGUGGUAUGAGCUUGAGCAGAUCACCUCGACCAGGUGAUGACCAGGAAUCAAGACUCAGUUAAAAUAAACCACCACAAAGCUCCUCCGAAAAAUGAGAGCACGAAUUUGAUCAAUUAAUGGUUAUUGUCACGAUCUAAGGUCGUGGGUGUGGGGUGUUUAUAAAAACCCCGAGAAAACCAUGCCAAAGGGGGAGAAAUGGGGGGCUCUUUUUCUCUUGAUCUCACUGAGAAAUUCUUUCUAGAUACUCUACUUUACUUUUCUGUAAAUUAUUCAAAAAGCUUUUGGUUUUAAGGCAAUGUUUAUUAAGCCAUAUGAGAAACAUCAUAUUUGGUUUUUCCUGUAAACCCCAUAACUGACUUGAGCGUCGGAGAGUUUACGCCGGAAAAACUUCCGGCACCUCUGACCAUUCUCUGUAAUUUCAGGUACUUAUUGAUCGUCAGCUUGAAGAUUAUAUGCUCAUGAAUGUUCUGCUCAUAGUCAGAGAAUAUUCUUGGAGAUCAACCAGCAGCUUCCCACCAAACAAAUUUAAUGCUGAUGCAGGGAUCCGAAAUUGAGUCACUAACCAAGUGGUUCGGAUUUCGGCAUCAACAGGAGGGUUCUGAUACCAAAUUGAAGUUUAAUCAAGCUAUUUGUGCUUGUUUGGUUGUAGAGAAAGUGAGGGAAAAUUUAAUGAGCAUUAAGAGAAAAUAUAAGAAAAACAGAUCAAAUCUUAUUUAACUAAUUAUGAGUACAGAAAGUGAGCUUAUAUACUGAGAUCCAGAACCUUCUACAUUUGCUCACACACGUGUAAAGAAUAAGCUGUGAUUAACUAACUUUCCCAGCUCUAUAACAAACAUACAAACUAACAAUAACAACCUUGCUUACUCAGCUGCCAUAUCAGCAGAACCAUUACAAGAAUAUUCUUUACAUUUAUAUCUCUAACAGCCACAGAGCCCAGUCAUCGGAGGAAUAGAAAUGAGGAGAUCCCUUCAAUAAGGGGGACAGCUCAAUGGGGUGCCUAACAAUGGAGUUGGAACUCAUACUUUGAGAGAAUGUGAGCAUGAAGGGAGAGAUCAAUUACACAACGGACGAAUCUUGGGAAGUUGUAGCAGAGGAGCGAAUGCCGAAAAAAGGGAGCUCAGGCAGCACCUGCUCGGGCCUUGGAACUGGAGGGAGAAGUACGGCAAUUGGCACAAAUAAUAGACGAAAUGCAGGGUAGGAGAAAGCCCCUCAGUUGGAGAAUAAUGCUGGAUGAUUAAUCUCGGCUUUCAGCUGAAAUCAUAGGCACUAUGAUACCAAGAUAUUUUCAUUUUCUCGACCUCAAAUACUCAGGAAAAAGUGGCCUGCUGGUGCACGUCGAGCGCUUCAAUGACAUGACUGGAGUGCAGGGACUAACACCAGCGUAGAGGUGCAGAGUAUUCCCUUUGACAUUGGAAGGACGAACACGAGAUUGGUACCUUCCCUUUGACACCAGCUGGGACUUGCAACUUCCAGGAACCUUCGAUUAACCCAAAAAAAAAAACACAUAUAGUUUGAAAUUAUAUGAUGAUUGAUAGGAAUGUAUUUUUGUAGUAAUCUUUUAUUUGGUCAUUUAUUUUUUGGUAUUCCGUGAAAAGUGUGCAAAAUUAGAUAAUAUUUCUCUGAAACUGGUAUUCCUUGUGCGAAGCAUCACAUGCUGAGAGCUUCGACUAAACUAGUUUCAAUUGUACUUUUACUUACACGCUGCCGCUACAGCUUUGGAAGCGUAAAAAUAUGUGUGCAAUUCCUUCAUUUGAUCAUCUUAACUAAAGAUGUGUGAACUUACCAUUUCUGUGCAUCCCUUUUAUUAUUGUUAUGUGCAACAAUUUUCUGGUGAAUGUGAGAGAUUCUAUUCAAGUUUAUUUUUGUGAUCACGUGCGCACGUCAGGCAUUGCAAGCGUAAAUGCAAAUUAAGUCACCUGAACAUGCAUGCGAUAUAGUAAUUUAUUGUUAUUAUCAAUUAUUCCAUUCUUUUCUUUCGAAACUAAAUUUCAACUACUUGAGAUGUGAAAUUCUUAAUAGCAGAUAUUCUUUGUAUAUGUAUGAUCGGAUCCUGAGUACAGGGCACCUGCUGUCUCUGUUUUUAAUUGAAGCAUGUUUUUCGGCUUGAGUCAUUGAGAAGGCAAGUGAGCUGGAUGUUAUCUGGAUUCGACCUCCUAAAUAAUAACACAACUAACUGAGUCUAUUCACAUUUCGUCUCAUAUUUGACUGGCAAUAGCACAUCAAAAAAGUCUUGUGAGAGUCACCUCGUAUUGAUGUGCUUAAUUUACAAAGAUCAAAACCAGUAUCACGUUGCUUUAGUAAUUUGAAUUUGUGUUGGACUGAGUCGACAAAAAAGUCCUUCACCUCGCACUGAUAAUACAUUUAAAUUACAAAGAUCGAAACCAGAUCUGUCAUUACAUGAAUUGGCUGUAUAAAAUAAUCAACUCACUUCUUAUUCAGUCAUCCGUUCUGUCAGCUCUUCACAUUGGUCCUUUUCUUGUUUCUGUUUUCGUCUGAAAAAAAACCUUUGCUUCUGUUUGUUUUUUAAUCUCACUUUCCUUUGGCCUCCUUCACUUUUAGAUUGUUAUCUGCUUAUUCUACGAUUAAUGCCAUCUUUGAUGAUAUCAAGGCAGAAACAGAGAAGCAAAAGAGUGAAAGUACGGGCAUUCAGCGCGGAGUUUCUGAGACGAAAGCAAAAGGGCAAGAGAUUGAAGAGAAGGCUGAGAACAGUGCGGAACUAGAUCACUACUCAAGUCUCUCACUAAUCUCCUAAAUGGUUGUUUUUGCUUCCAUAGGCUACACUGGUUGGUUCAAAUCACAAAUUUGAGGAUCUUGCUGGAAACAUAUUGUCUAAAAAAUUGCCCAAUUCAAACUUUACUGCGGCUAUUCGAACAGAAAUAAGUGUUCUGUUUGGUUUCACUUUGAAUUCUGCAAUUUUUUGAACAAUAGCUUCCAGCAAGAUCCUCAAUUUGUGAUUAUAACCAACCACUGUAAUCUAUAGAAGGAGAAAUCAUUUAGGACAUCAGUGAAAGAUUUGAGUAAUGAUUAUUCUCACCAACACAUUCAUCAAUUUUUCAUCCAGGCUCAAUUUACAAAAUUAUUAGCGGGUAGCUACCUCGAUUAUGUUUACAGAAAAUAGAGGUUUGUAGGCAAACAAAGAGCAUUGUUAUUUGAACAGCUGCAGGAUAUUCGGAAGACAUGCAGAAAUAUGGGUAUUGCUUAUGCUAUAGUGCCAUUGCAGCAUAAAAUUGACAGCAAUGUUUAUGCCUCAGUACUGUCUUUUUUUGUCUUCUGAUUGUUUUGCUGAUACACAAAUAUCAUUUUCCACAAACAAAACAUGCAAUAGCAUGCUCCAGGAGCAGUUUCUUACACUCUUGAAGUAGCCUACAAUAAGAUCAAAUCGAAUAUUCUCCCUCAAUUUAGUGUUCUAAAACUGAUUUAUAUUUUAACUUAGAAAUCCAAUCUAAAAGCACUAUUAACGAAAGCUCUUCGUGUUUGCAUUAAAAACCAAGAAGCAGCUUUUUUUUUUGUGGGGGAGGGGGGAGAACCUCAGUCAAAUAAGAUAAAAUUACUUUGGAUGGGUUAUUUACAUUCUAGAAAAAAAAAAUAUUUCUGAACACUACUAUACUUUAUUGGCUCAUCUAGUAAAUUUAAAAUUUUUAUUUUUAUUUUGUAUACUCUAUUAAAUGUCAAAAAAAAAAAUCAUCACACAAAACGAGGAUUCAUGAAAACCAUCUGUGUAGCAUCUGAAAUGAGGCCAUUUCUGUAUAAUUUGUGAGGCAUUAUAUUAUAUGGAGCUUGACUUCUUUCUCUUUAUCAAGGGUAAGAUGGCAUUGGUGAUCAAGAGGGUCCCCCUGUUUCUUUGUUUUUAUUAAUAUUACUUCGAAUCCGCUUUCAGGUUGAGUGUCUAACGAUUUGAUUAAAUUUGUGUUUAGUUGAAUGUAUUGGAUUUCUGGAGUAUUUUGGUAGUUAAUGAUGAAACUCGGCAUUAGAUGAACUUACAAUCAUUCUAAUGAUAAAAAUUUUUGUCAUCGAAAGUCAUUGAGUAUUAUUGCGGCAGUAAGCUACAUUGAACUAGCAUUCAAGAAAUAACUAUCAGUAAUUAUUCUGGAUAUUCAACGUGAAUGAAACCUCUAUUACAAUAGUGAAAUGAAUUGAAGUUUUAGUGGAGCUCUGUUUAAUCAAAUCGUGGGAAAUAAAUUCAGUAGCAAAACUGGGAAAUUAUUAGUUGCUCCGUCGAGUCAACCCAAAAAAAUCAUAACAAUGACUGAAAUCAUUUAUAGAACUAAACACAAAUUUAAUCAAAUCAUUAAACGUGUACGUGAUUGCCGCUGGUAUUAAAAUGAAAACCUUUAAUUCACACGUACAUCACUCAGCGUUUGGAAUUCGUCAUUUGGGUCCUCACCUGUAAGCAUCACGUGCACCACUCAUUCUGAGUUUCUGACCAAGUCAAAGUUCAGUUAAGAUUCUUUGCAGCAGGAAGGUGGUUCGGUGACUGGUGAAUAGCUCACUCAACUUGUGAACCGUGAUUAGUCAAAUAAUCAAGUACACGUGGCAUCAUGAAACGCUUCGAAGAAUAACCUCGGAAGGUCUGUCCACUGUCCAGUAUGAUGACAUGUCAGCAACGUUUUACAACAGGAAGCAGCUAUGGUGUAAGCAUGGUAGUGAUCGCGUAGAAGCUGUGUAUGCAUAUCACCCGUCUGUUGAAAUGCUCGCAGUAAUCAAACCUCUUAUAACAUUGCUUCAUCUGUCAAGUAAAAUUUUCCUCGGAGUCAAGAAAUGGAGAACUAACAGGUAUGCAUUUCUUAAACCAUUAGUAUAUUCAAAAACAAGGAUUCGUAUAAAAGCAUAUUAAUGAUUAUGAAACUAAGCAUGACGGAAUCAGCAUUUCUUGAUUUUCUUCAAUAAGCAGAAAUAGUGUUUCCCAAUAAAUUUAUAAAAGAUGCGUUAAAACAUUAUAUUAUAUACUAGUCGAUUGAUUUUUCUUUUAAUCUUCCUGUUAUAUUCCACGACAGAGCUCAUUUAAAGACUUCUGGUCCCGUUUUCAUAAUAAUCGUUGUCCUAAACCUUCUUUGCAGAUCUUUCACUGUGUUCCCUUUUUUUUAUUUCUAGCUUUUUGCUUUUCUUUUUCACAUGGUCUUUGUUUAUAUUUGAUGUUCCCAAAUAUACACGCAACCAUUUGUGACAGCGAAUAUUUUUACCUAGUUGUUGGAUUGUGGCUUUCUGUGUUUUGUCUUUUUGGUCGACUUUAACAUGAUUUAGAGCUUUUGAACGCGUCUUCCAAGUGCACAUGCCGAGUAUAUCCACUGUUCGAUGAAAUGCCCAUUUGAAUAAUUUGAGGACCCACGAGGCCACGCCACUGGUAUUAGACUAAUUGGAAAAGAAAAAAAGAAAAAAAGAUAAUAAGUACAACUGUGAUGCAUUUUCACAUUAACUUUACAAAGUCUGGUUAUAAAUUUAUAAUUUUACGCACAUGAAAUCACCAAAGUAUUAUUUAAUUUAACUCUUCUCAACUGGGGACGUGAGUUUGAUUCAAGUAGUAUUAUCACUCAUAUAAUUUAUUAAUGAGCUCUUUUCCUGUCAUCUAAUGCUGAUGCUUGUAUAUUCUAUUCUACCAUUCGAUUUUUUUAUGUCUAGUGCUUGUAGAUCAAUUGAUUAUAUGCUUCAUACUUGAUGGAGUGAAUAUAAUACAUAAGAUUUUCAUUCAGUUAUAUGCAGAUAUGUUAAACUUUGGUUUAUAGGCUAGAUCGUCACUAAUUAUUCAUAGUACGUGAAGCCUCUAAUACAACAGUGAUAAGAUUUGAAGUAUUAGUUGCUCUGCUUAAUCAAAUCAUGACAAAUAAAUACGGUUGCAGGGCUGGGUACUUGUUGGUUGUUCCGUUGAGUCAACACAAAACAAAAAAAAAAAAUCAUAAAAAUGAAUGGCAAGAAUAGGAAUGAAAUCAUCCACAGAAAUAAACACAAAUGUAAUCAAAUCAUUGAACACUCUUGCUCUAAGUUUUCUUCUUUACUGAUUCUUUGUUUUGUUCAUUGUUUGAUCAUUGAUUCUUGUUAAGCUUUCUGUCACUUCUUGUUUGGGAUCUGCUCUUGGGUCCUUCAAGAUUGUGUUCUUGGUUCAAUUGAGCUUUGGGAAUAGCCAUUACAUCCACGACAUGGAAGUAAUAGUAAAUAUAUAACAUCAUUUUUAUCUUCCAAUCACAAGUUACAAGAUAUAAAAUUCCCAAGGAAAAUUAAAAAGGUAAAAUUAUCUUACAUCACCUGUUGAAAAAUGAAAUAUUUUAUCCAUGUACGUAAGCGAAAUUUUGAAGGAAAACGAGAAAGAAGAAAUGGUCAAUUUCGCAGAACAACAGAGAGAUUUUGGUAGUUUCCUCCAUAAAUUUAUCACCCCAUUAUCCUCAAUUGAUAUCAGUAACACUCAAAUCUAUCCGAAAUUCUUUACAAUCCCUAAUAUAUUUAAAAGGGUUUAAUUUUGACUUUUUAAUAACUUCCAUUAGGCCAAGCAUAUUUAGUUUCUUGAAGAUUUAUUCCUGAAAAAUCCUCAAUUGUUUAUUAAUCAAGAUAGAGUUCGAGUUUAAUGAUAAAAUGAUCAUGAUUUUAAUUUAAAGAUAUGAGCCCAAAAUCCUACCGUUUACAUAUUAAAAUCACUUGAUUAUCAUAUAUUACUCAAUAAUCAAAGUUAUUUAUUACACAUCAAAGUUAAUCACUUGAUUACUUGAAAAAUGCCGGCGGCACUUGCAACUCCCUGGAACCUUCGUGUAAGUUUUCGAGUUCAUCAACUGUUGGAUAAAAUGCCCAUUUGAAGAAACUAAUAGAAAAUUGAGAUCCUCUCUUGAAUAGAGUUUACCCUUGAAAAAUAAGUAUACAUUAUCAUUCAUGUAUUGUCAAAAUUUGAGCUUAAGAUCCAACUAUUUACAAAUUAUUAAUUAUUUUUGUUGGUGAAAGCAAAUUGAUUAGAAGAAUGUGGCAAUAAGAAGAUAAAAAUGCUUGCUCAAAUACUUUGCCGUGUGUUCUUACUUACAAAUCCACCAGCUUAGCUUUUAAUCACAUAAAUAAGUCAUCAUCAUCACUAGAUUAUCGUAUAUUACACAAUUAUCAAAGCUAAUUAUUGAAACCUUUCUUUCAAAGAAAAAGAAUUAUUGAAACCUUCCGAGUUUGAAAAUGCCGGCAGCACUCGCAACUUCCAGGAACCUUCGUGCAAGUGUAGAUGCUGAGUACAUCCAACCGUUCGAUUAAAUGCCGAAGUGAUUUCGAGGAACCCACACGACCACACAACAGGUUUUUUUUUUUUUUUUUUUUCAUUUUAUUUGUACAUCUAUUUCUUGAAAAAAUAAAAAAUCAUAAAGUUCAGAUUACCCUUGAGACUUGAGAUGACAACUGUCUGCCUCUGCAUUUUCCUAAUCAUCCCUCUUCUCUAAUCUCUAGAGUCCUCUGAAAUCUCUUCUUCAUUUUCUGUCUCCCUUUUUUGAAUCGUUCUUGUCCUCGAUCCUACACCUUCUUUGCAAAUCUUUCAUUUAUUGUACUCGCUUUUCAAUUUGUCUUAGCAGAAAAUGGAUCCCCCUUUGUUUCAUCUCUAGAUUUUUCACUCUUUUCCUCUCCUCCUCCCUUAAAUCUAUUCAACUUCUUAUUUUAGCAAUUUAUCGGAACUUCUUAUUUCCCUCUUCCCAGCUGAUUGAUUAGUUCUGCUUAGUUUGAUUAGUUUUGCUUUCCCCUGUAUUCUGAAAGCGAAAAAUAAAAAAAAGAAAGGGAUAAUGGAUAUUGCUACCUCCGCAGUUGCGAAAGUUGCAGAGUACUUGGUUGAUCCCAUUAUUCAUCCAUUUACUUACUACUGCACUUACAACACCAACUUCGAGAAGCUGAAUAAUGAAGUUGAUAAGCUCAAGAAUGCUAGAGAGAGUGUGCGGUAUAAGGUUGAUGAUUCCAGAAUUAAAGGGGACGGAAUUCAACAUCACGUUGAGGAGUGGAUGAUUACUGUGGACAAGGCCAUCAAUGAAGUCGAAACACUUAUUGCAGACAAAGAGAAUUCAAACAACCGGUGGUUGAAGGGGUUGUGUCCUAAUUUGAAGACCCGGUACCAGCUUAGCAUGAAAGCAGAAAGUGAAGCGAAUGCUAUUGCUGGACUUCUUGAAAAAGGAAGAUUCGACGGUGUUUCUUUCCGUACCAUUCCAGAGGAGACAUGGCUUAACUCUACCCAGGGUUUCAUGCACUUUGAAUCGAGAACUUCCACUUUGAAGGAGAUACUGGACGCACUCAGCAACCGUAACUUCAACAUGAUUGGGGUGUGCGGCAUGGGUGGCAUUGGAAAGACAACGCUGGUGAAAGAAGUUGGCAGGCAGGCCAAGGAAUAUAAUCUAUUCGAGAAGGUCAUUUCUGCACAUGUAUCCCGAACACCGCAAAUAAAAGGAAUACAAAGAGAAAUUGCAGAGAAGCUGGGCCUGAAAAUAGAUGAAGAGAGUGAAACUGGAAGAGCAGGGAGGCUGCUUGAAAGAUUGAAGAAAGAGACGAAGAUCCUUAUAAUCUUGGAUGAUAUAUGGGGGAGUCUUGGUUUGGAGGCAAUUGGAAUUCCAUUGGCAGAUGAUAUCGGCGGAUGUAAAGUUCUGCUGACGGCAAGAAGUCACGAUGUGUUGUCUUCUAAGAUGGAUUGUCAAAAAAAUAUUUUUGUUGAUGUUCUGAAUGCAAAAGAAGCUUGGAGUCUUUUCAAAAAGACGACAGGUGAUUGCAUAGAAAAUGGUGAACUGAAAUCUGUAGCAACAGAGAUAGUCAAGGAAUGUGCUGGUUUGCCCAUUGCCAUUGUACCCGUAGCGAGGGCAUUGAGAAAUAAGAGAUUGUCUGAAUGGAAGGAUACUUUACGACAAUUGAAAAAUAAGUCUUUUUUGGGGCCCGCCUAUUCAAGUUUAGAGCUGAGUUACUAUCAUUUAGAAGGUGAGGAACUCAGGAAAACGUUUUUGCUAAUAGGGUACACGUUCAUCUCUUGCGUUGAAGACGUGAUCUAUUAUGGCAUGGGUCUGGGUCUGUUUCAAAACAUCAACACGUUGGAAGAGGCACGGGAUAGAGCACAUACAUUGGUUGAUAAACUCAAGAACUCUUGCUUGCUGCUUGAUGGCAAUACUAGUGAAUGGUUUUCUAUGCACGAUGUUGUUCGUGAUGUAGCCAUAUCAAUUGCAUCUAGAGUCCAACAUGUUUUUGCGGUGGAAAAUGAGGUUGUUCCGCCGACCAGCUGGCCAGAUAAGGAUGCACUGAAGGUUUGCACCGCAAUCUCCUUAAAGAAUAGUAAUAUUAGUGAGCCUCCUCGAGGGUUCGAAUGCCCGCAACUUAAAUUCCUUUGUAUUGGCUGUCAUGCUUCCUUGAGGAUCCCAGAUAAUUUUUUUACUGGGAUGACAGAGCUUAGAGUUUUAGAUUUCACUAAGAUGCAUUUGUUGGCAUUGCCUUCAUCUCUUGGUCUCUUACAAAACCUUCAAACAUUGUCUCUGGAUUAUUGUGAACUAGGAGACAUGGCUAUUAUUGGAGACCUAAAGAAAUUAGUUAUCCUUACGCUUCGAGGUUCUGAUAUGGAGGAACUGGUUGGAGAGAUAGGCCAGCUGACUCAAUUGAGGUUGUUGAAUUUGCGCCGAUGUUACCGACUGCGAGUUAUUCCCUCAAAUGUCUUAUCGAGCUUAUCCCGAUUAGAAGAACUAUAUGUUGGUGAGAGUCCCAUUGAGUGGGGGAAGGUUGAAGGAGUCGACGGUGAAAGAAGAAAUGCCAGCCUUCAUGAGUUGAAUAAUUUAUCUAAAUUGACCUCUUUAGAAAUACUCAUCCAAGAUGAAAAGACUCUACCAAGAGACUUGUCGUUCGUCAAAAUGCUGCAAAGGUACAGAAUAUUGAUAGGAAGUCAGUGGACGUGGGAUUACGUAUCGAGUGAGAUAUCUGAAAUAUUCCGACUGAUGGUCGCCAGUGGUGCCAACAUUUGCUUGAACGGGGGGCAUAUCAUGCAAUUGAAGGGUAUUAAAGACCUAUGUUUAGGCGGAUUGCUGGACAUGAAGAGUGUUCUUUAUGGAUCAGACGGAGAAGGUUUUCCACAGCUGAAGCGUCUCGAGGUCGUAAAAAAUAGCAACCUUUUAUGUGUUGUCGACAUAGUGGAUAGAGCAACAGCUCGGACGACUGCAUUCCCCCUUUUGGAGUCAUUAUUUCUGAGAGAUUUAAGGAACCUUGAGGAAAUAUGUCGCGGUCCACUCGCGGCAGAGUCUUUUUGCAAAGUAAAGGACAUAAGGGUGGAAUGGUGCGAUAAAUUGAAAAAUGUAUUUCCAUUGGUCAUUGGCAGAGGCCUUCAACAACUUCAGUCCGUUGAAGUGACUGGAUGCCAGAAUUUGGAAGUGAUUUUUGCUGCCGAGAGAGGAGAUGAAUCCAGCAAUAGUAACACGCAAGUCAUUGAACUCACUCAAUUAACAACACUUGAACUUUGUUAUCUUCCGCAGCUUACAAGCUUCUGCACAGGAGAUCUGCAUUUUGAAUUUCCAUCAUUGGAACAAUUAAAAAUACUGGAAUGUCCCCAAGUGAAAUUUAAAAGCACUAUUCAUGAGUCCACCAAGAAGGUACGUGCAAGACUUUUGUAAUUAUUGUUCAAUUCUUACGUACUUAAAAGUAAUUCUACUUUCAGAGUUCAGAGUUUUAUUGUCAUCAUCAUCGCCCUCAUCACUUUGUCUUUUAGUAACAAAAUGUUAGUUGUAUAAAUCAGUUUAUUUAUACUUCAUAAUAUCCUCAUAAACAUAAAUCAGUUUAACAAAAUGUUAGUAAACAAUUUUUUUUAAUUCUAGUUCAAUUGUUUUCUCUUAAUUAUCUGAGUUUUUCUUCUUCCUCUACUUUUUACUUUUUUUUUAUGUCUCUUAUGUUUACUUAAUACAUGAAAGAGAGUGUGCAUUUGAUUACCCAAACAAAGAAAAUUCUAAUAAGAUCUAGAGUUUUUCAAGCCACAGUUAAUUCCCAGAUAAUUUUUAGGAGCUAUUUUUAGAUUAGUAUGCCUUAACAAUUAAUAUUGUUACAUACAAAUUAUUAUCAAUUUUGAUGUUGAAGAAGAAAAUGGUCAUCUCGUGUUAACAUAAAUACUAUUCUUAAAAAUAUAUAUAGAGGGAUGAACAAAACGCAAAUGAAGAAAUCUUAUCCUAUUAAAUUUUCUACAUAAUAAAAUCAUUUCUUGUACAGUAGUGAAUAUAUCCAAUCCGAUGAAUAUUAAUUAAAUACGAGCUUCUUACUACAUUAUUAAACUUUUUAAAUUCAAGUUAUUUAUUCAUUUAUACUUUUGAUAAAAAGAAAAGAAAAGUUAAAAUAUCCAUUUUCAAAAAAAAAAAAAAAAAUUUGUAAGAUUUUCAAUUCAAACCAAAUAAAUCGAUCGAUUAAGAGAAUUUGGAAGUUUAAAUGUAAAUUGAGAAUAAUUGACGUCUUUUUUGUAUGCUAUAUAUAUAUUUAUCUGGCCAUCAAUAUUAUUCAUCAUUAGAAUGCUUUGCAUUUACUUUGAUAUGUGAAAUUGUCACAAAGAAGAUCAAUUCCACCUUGUUUUUUCUGUGAUUGUUAGAAAGAUCAUAUGCUACACACUCACACACAUAGAGACACACAUACACGAUAGGCCAUCAAUAUUCAUCACCGGAAUGCUUUGCAUUUACUUUAAUUUGUCAAAUUGUUAAAAAGAAGAUCUAACUCCAUCUUGCUUUUUUUUUUUUUUUUUUUUGAUUGGUAAUCACCUAGGUGUUUCCCAAUUUGGAAUAUUUGAGUGUUGAUGAAAAGCACAUAGGUCUAUUUCCAGAAGACUUGCCUUGCAAACUUAAAUGUCUUAAUGUUUGGCUUGAUGGGUCAACUGCUAUUUUAUCACUUGACGAUUUCCUUCAGAGAUUUCACACCAUCAAAGUUCUCUGUAUCGAAGGAUACGAUUAUGAUGGGGAAGAACUAUUUGAAACGGUUGAAAAUGGGGUGAAUGCAAUGAUAAAGGGAAUAAACUUCCAUCCUAAUCUGAAGCAGAUUUUGAAACAAGAGUCCUCCCAUGCGAACAAUUUGGAAGUACUGGAUAUAUAUGGAUGUGACAAUUUGAUUAAUCUAGUGCCAUCCUCGACAUCGUUUCAGAAUCUAACAACUUUGGCCGUAGAUUUUUGCUAUGGAAUGAUAAACAUACUAACAUCCUCGACAGCAAAGAGUCUGGUGCGACUAAAACAAAUGAAGAUAUUUGACUGCAAGAUGAUAACAAAAAUAGUGGCAGAUGACGAUGAUGAGGGAGACAAUUAUGCAGCAAACUAUGAAAUUGUUUUCAGCGAAUUGAAGGAAUUGCUGCUUUCGGACUUAGAAAGUCUGACAAGUUUCUGCUCUGUCAAUAAUUGCGCCUUCAAAUUCCCAUCUCUGGAAAGAUUAGUGGUGGAAGAUUGCCUCAAUAUGAGCAUUUUCUCAGGAGGAGAAUUAAGCACACCCAAUUUACGCAAAGUGCAGCUGAGUCGGAUUGAUAAAGAACUUUGCGUUUGGGAUCGCGACCUUAAUACAACCAUUCAAUACCUAUAUCAACAACAAAGGUACGUGUUCAUUCACUAUGAAAUGUUGAUUUUUUUUCUAAAAAUUACUGAUUUAAUGACAGAUAUAUAUAUAUAAAAGGAAAAAGAAAAAAGUGAUUAUUAAUGUUUUUAUAAAUUUAUUUUAAAUCUGAUUAGGAAGAGAGGAAAAAAGAGAAUGAGAAGUCCGCCAAAGUGAAUGAAAAGGAGAAAGAUGCGAAAGACAGUGGUAAGUUAGAAUCUAUACAGUUUGGGAGGUUCUGAUUUGAUUUUGUUGUGCUGACUAAAAACAUUUUAUUUAUAUUGAAAUUUUAGUUAAAUCAUAUCGGUAUAUCUUUCUAAAAUAUAACUACUCUGCUUUAUUGUUAUGUUGAGGAUUAAUUGUUAGACAAACAUAGCAAUAAAUAAAUAAAUAAAUAAAUAAAAUGAUAUAAAAAAUGAAAUUAAUUGCUUCCAGAGAGAAUUGAAGGAUUUAUGUGUCCUUCAUAGAGGCUAAUUUGUGCAAUUUAAUUAUGUUAAAACUGCACCUUCAAUGUGUUUUUGCUCUUUGUUUACAGAGAGUCUAAACUUAUGAAGACGAUUCAGGCCAACCUUCUGGGCGGCAUCUUGAAUAAGGCAUUGGGUUAUUUCUAUAUAUUAAGCGUCAGAUGGCGUUGGUGAGAGGAUUUUUUUUUUGUUUUAGUUUUCAUUUCCUUAUUAUGCUUUUAGCUUUGUUUGAGUACUCAGAAAUCCAAUUUGAAGCUAGUUUUAUUUCUCAUGAGAGGUGCCAUAUUGAAUUUGUAGGCAUCUCUAAAAGUCUCUUUAAGUCUUAAAUUAAUUAAAGAGAUGCGUGCUUCAUGUUUGCGUUUGUAUACCUAUUGGUAUUUAUUGGAGACAAUUAUGUACGAAAUUAUGUAACUUCAUGACAGUAUCAAUGAAAAAAGAAAAGUUUAGGGGGUCAAUUGGACACCAUCUGCCAUCAUGUUUGCUCACUGUAGGCACCAUCUUGAUCCUCCCCCGACCCUAGGUGAGGAUUGAUGAUGAUUGUCGGUUAAUCCAAAGAUUUUUUAAAGGUAAAAAAAAAAAAAAAACUAUAAAUUGUGGCAUAAACUUUGUAAUUUCUUUAAGCCAUUAAAAUAAAAUAUAUAAAAGUUGGGUCCUCUCUUGAACAGAGUUUAAAUUUAAUAAAUAAGUAAACAUUAUUAUUCUUGUGCUGUCAACAUUUUUUUUUUUUUUGUUAAUUUUAUUAACAACUAAACACUAGUCUAUAUUUGUUGAGUUGGAAACGUUGAUCAAGAUAGACUUGUUGCAGUUUGCUUAUAUUAAUGAUCACGAGUUUAAUUUAGAGAUUUGAACCCAAGUUCCUCCAUUUUCGUUAUCAAUCAUUUUUGUUGAUUAACGCUAUUUGAUUAGAGGAAUGUGAUAAUGAAAAGAUGAAAAUACCUGCUCAAAUGCUUUGCCGAGUGCGUACUUACAAAUCCACUAGUUUAGCUUUUAAUCACAUAUAUAAACCACCAUCGUCACAAAAUUAUCAUAUAUUACACAAUAAUCAAAGCAAAUUAUUGAAAAGCUAUGAAUGGUCUUUCAACUUUGAAAAUACCGGCAGCACUUGUAACAACCAGCAACAUUAAGUGCUGAUGCCUAGUAUAUCAACCGUUCGAUGAAAUGCCCAUUUCGCUGUUCCCAACUUGGGACACAAGUUUGAUUAAAGUGAUACUGUAUCACUCAAAUAAUGUAACAAUGGAAUAAAUGAGCUCUUUUCCUGUCAUCUAAUGCCCGUGGUAAUAUUUCAGUAAUUGAUCAUAAUUAUUAAACUUUACUAUAUAUACUACACUCGUAACCUAAAAUCAUUCAGGAUUGAUUAUUCAAUAAUUGUCAUUUAAGUAGGGAAAAUGUGCUAACAUCCUCAACAGCAAAGAGUUUGGUGCGACUGACAGAGAUGAGUAUCGUUGACUGCAGCAUGAUAACAGAAGUAGUGGUAGAUGUUGAGUACAUAAAGGCACCAAGUCAGCCAUGCUACUGUUUCCGCCCCGGCACGGACCAUUUCAGCUAAGUGGUACGAGCAGAACACGGGGGCAAACAUGAGCCGAUCAGAGAUGGAUGCAACCAGGGAAACAUACCGACCAGAAGUAUAUGCCGAGCCAAUACUCAUCCCCAGGAAAGCGGGAACACGAUCCCACAAGAUCGCGAUAGUUGCGCUUCUCCCAGAACGGUUGAAGGACACACGAGAUCCACGUUUGCCCACAAUGUAACAGUUAGAGCUCCAUGAGGGGCUACCACCACCCGAAAAAGGAGGGAUAAGGGGCAAACGGAAAACGUGGGACAAAGGGCGGCUAUAAAAGAGAAAGACAUCGAAGAAGAAAGGGACAGAAAAAUUGAGAGAGGGAAAACGCUGCCAAAUUGCAACCAGAUUAAUUUCUUACAGAUUUUGAACAAACUUCUUGAAUCCAAAUUAUAUUGUUUUCCCGUAAACACCUUGUGCUAACUUAGGCAUCGGAGGGUUUACGCCGGCAAAACCACCGGCGUCUCUGAUCCAUUUUUGGUGAACGCAGGUCUAGUGAGAGAAAGGAGGGUGGUCCCGGCCUUAGUGGUUCGAGCAACAGUCGAUAACUUAAGCGUUGGUGAAAGGAUCUGGUCGGUCUAAGGACGAGCAGAUUUCAGCAUCAACAUUUUGGCGCCGUCUGUGGGGAGCUGAAUAAAAAGCUACCACCAAAUUAGUAAGUACCGGAGAAGCAGCGAGCAAUUGGAUAUGGAUGCGUCAAGAAAUGAUACUUUAAGGGAGGACAAUGAAACGGUGGAGACAAUUACUCUCCGGGAGAUUGCAAAUGAAGCCCGAGAGAGGAUGAUGCAAGAUAUACUGGAGCGGAUGGAGAAACAAAUGGAGACUCUCGCGGCCGUAUUGUUUGAGCUGAGGGACGAGUGGAGAAGGGAUUGUGAAACCCCCGUGGGAAGAGAUGGAAUUGGAGCAGAACCCAGCCUCCGGGGGCGUAGGGUCGGGGAAAUCCCUCCGCCCGCAGACCAACCUAACGGAGUGCAUCCCCACCGAAGUACUGGUCGGGUCCCAGGGGAAUACGUGGAUGAAGGGAGAGACCAACCUCGCCCCGGACGGGUACUGGAAGUAAAUGGCCGAGGGGCCAGUGUUGAUGAGGGAGAGCUCAGACAGCGGUUGCAGAACGUCGAGCAGGAGCGUGAUCAGAUAGCUGCACGUGAUCCUGAUCGUGCUGUAGAAUUGGAGGGGGAGGUGCGCAGAUUGGCGCAGGUGAUAGAGGAGAUGCAAGGCAAGAGGAAGCCCCCGAGCUGAAGGAUAAUGCUAGAUGAAGAAUCCCCGUUAUCAACUGAGAUCAUGAGUACCAUAAUCCCAAGAGAUUUCCGCUUCCCCGACCUCAAAUACUCCGGGCGAAGUGACCCGUUGGUGCACAUUGAGCGUUUCAACGACAUGACGGGUGUGCAGGGGUUGACACCAGCUCAGAGGUGCAGGGUGUUCCCGUUGACACUAGAGGGACGAGCCCGAGAAUGGUACCGCAAGCUUCCCCGAGGAGGAAUUAAGGGUUAUGAGCAGAUGUUCCUGGAGUUGGCCGAGCAGUUCCGAGGGGCAGUGGCCCCAGAGGAUGACAUGAUGGAAUUGAUGGGGAUGAAGCAGGAGGAGCAUGAAUCCCUUCGAGAUUUUGUAAAACGAUAUCACCGAGCCGUGCUGGAUCUGGGAGAUUUUAAUCACCCACAGGCGUUGAGGGGAUUAAAAGAAGGUGUGAGAAUCGGCCGAUUGUGGUAUAACUUAAGAAGCCCCCUCGUACAGAAUUACUCGUCGGGGUAUGAGCAGGCGAGACGAGAUAUAGAAAUCGAAGAAGAGAAAUCAGCAAGAAUUAAAAGUGAACAGCUGGAAGAGCUGAGACGAAAGGAACGGAGAGCCCCGAAAGGGUGCGGGUCGGGAAAGCGAACAGGAGAAUCUUCAGUGAUGGGCGGAAUAUCAGCUCGUUCCCGCCCAUACCACAUAGCUCCGAGAGCACAACAGUUCCAACACAGCCGGGCUCAACCUCCGCGCCCCCCGAUCCCAGAACGGCAGCGAGAAUUCAGGCAGAUGGCUGCCCACCCUUACCACAGCACUCCCAGAGGAUUAGGUGCAACUAAUUACAGGUCUGGACGACCCGAACAGAUACCGGCUAUACCGGCCCGAGGUGACAUUCAUGAUAGCCGAGCAGUGUAGCUAGUAGACCAGAGCUUGGCCUAUAAACAGUACACUCCGUUAAAGAUCUCUAUGGAGGAGUUGUAUGAGAGGAUCGAAGGACGAGGCCUGCUGUAUCCUCCAGCCCCAAUAACAAAACCGACUCACCGACGGGACAAGAGCCGAUUCUGCAAGUUCCACGACACUCACGGUCAUACUAUCAGCCAAUGUCGUGACCUGAAGAUUCAGGUGGAGGAUUUAGUGAGGAACCGAUACUUGGACGAGUAUGUAGAUGGAGUGUCCCCUGUCAUGGAAUCACAGUACACACGGGAUGAAGGAGUCGAGAGGGAUUUGGAACGUGAACAGCCGACCAUCCGUGUGAUAGCAGGAGGGCCAACAUUGGCCGGGGAUUCAAACAGAGCACGGAAGAACUAUGGGAGGUACGCCAUGACUGGCAGAGAGGUGCUUCUAAAUUUGCCAGCAGCCAAGAAGGCAAGAGUGCGGCAAGUUCCCAUCAUGUGGACGGAGGAUGACGAAGAGGGCAUUUUGUAUCCUCAUGAGGAUGCACUGGUGAUUAAAGCAUUAGUUGCUAGCACAGAAUUGAGGCGAAUACUGGUGAAUACGGGCAGCUCAGUCGAUAUUCUGUUUAAGUCGGCCCUAGAUGAUAUGGGGAUUUCAAAUUUAAAGCUGGAGCGGACAAACACAUCAUUAAAGGGAUUUAGAGGUGGACGAUUAACUCCCAUGGGGGUCAUUGAACUCCCAAUUACUGUGGGGACAAAGCCCUUUAAAAGAACGAUGAUGCUGGACUUUGUCGUGGUAGAGGAAAGAAGUCCUUACCAGAUGAUAUUGGGGAGACCAUUCAUGAGGAUAAGCCAAUGUGUAAUGUCCAUGCAUUAUCUGGCGUUGAAAUACAGAAUAAAUGGAGUUGUGGGUGUAGUAAAGGGCGACCAGAGAAUGGCCAGGAGCUGCUAUGCUACAGCGGCCAAGGAAACGCUGCAGGUUACCUCUCUAGAUAACCGAGGAGAUUCAAGAAAUGGUCGUCAGGAACCUGUUGAGAAGCUGGAGGAAGUUGUUGUAAGCAGGAGUGACCCUAGCAGAGUUGUUAAGGUCGGGUCAGAAUUGGGCGAAGCAAUAAAGGCCGAGCUGGUGAAGUGUCUACAGUCCCAUGCAGACAUAUUUGCCUGGUCUCAUGAGGAUAUGCCAGGUAUUGACCGCGGGAUAGCUUGUCACAAGCUGGCGGUUAAGAAAGGGGCAAGGCCGGUGAGGCAGAAAAGGAGGUGCUUUAACCAUGAAAGGUACGAGGCCAUAAAUGCCGAGGUGGAAAAGCUGCUGAAAGCAGGAUUUAUAAGGGAAGCCAAGUACCCGGAGUGGAUUUCCAAUGUGGUACUGGUAACGAAGGCCAAUGGGAAAUGGAGAAUGUGUGUAGACUUCACGGACCUCAAUAAGGCAUGCCCGAAGGACAGCUUUCCCCUACCAAAAAUAGAUCAGCUGGUGGACUCAACCGCGGGUCAUAGUCUGCUCAGUUUCAUGGAUGCCUUCUCCGGAUACAACCAGAUACCCAUGAACGAGCAGGAUGAGGAAAGCACCACCUUUAUAACUAACAUGGGUCUGUUUUGUUACAGGGUGAUGCCUUUUGGCCUGAAAAAUGCAGGAGCUACCUAUCAAAGGUUAGUGAACAAGGUCUUCAAACCAUUGAUCGGUCACACUAUGGAAGUAUAUGUGGACGAUAUGAUCACCAAGUCGAGGGAACCGAGAGAUCAUGUGAAGCACCUGGAGGAGACUUUCGAAUUGCUGAGGAGGUACGAAAUGAAGCUGAACCCGGAGAAAUGUGCAUUUGGGGUCGGCUCGGGCAAAUUUUUGGGGUACCUGGUGAGCCAUCGGGGAAUUGAAGCCAACCCAGAAAAAAUACGGGCGGUAAUAGAAAUGAGGUCCCCACGAACAGUUAAGGAGGUGCAAAGCCUUACGGGGAAAUUGGCAGCAUUGAACCGAUUCAUUUCGCGAGCCACUGAUAAGUGCCACCCUUUCUUUCAAGUCAUAAAGAAAGGGAAGAAGAUGGAAUGGACACCGGAAUGCGAGGGGGCAUUUGGACAGCUGAAGGAAUACCUAGCCCGCGCCCCGUUACUGUCAACUCCGAGAGAGGGUGAUCAGCUGCUCUUGUACUUGGCAAUCUCUAAGCAGGCUACCAGCUCGGUCUUAGUCAGGGAAGAAGAAGGGAAGCAACACCCGGUAUACUACACAAGCAAGGCCCUGGUGGACGCAGAAACCAGAUAUCCGAUAAUGGAGAAGUGGGCGCUGGCUUUGAUAACGGCAGCACGCAAACUCCGACCAUACUUCCAAGCCCACCAGAUCGUUGUGAUGACUGACCAGCCACUUCGGCAAGUGCUUCAAAAACCAAAUGCGUCUGGUCGGUUAGUAAAAUGGUUCGUGGAGCUGAGCGAAUUUGACCUGUCCUACAGGCCCCGAGGAGCAAUCAAGGCCCAAGCCCUGGUAGAUUUCAUGGUGGACCGUGUUGAACCAGGGGACGAGGUCCAAGAGGAACAACCGGCAGAGCAAGAGGAUUCAAAAGGGAUAUGGCUGGUAAUGGUUGACGGAUCAUGUAGUGAGCAAGGAUCCGGAGCAGGAGUUAUAAUACGGAGCCCAGAAGGAACCGAGAUAACAUAUGCGGUGAAGUUCGAAUUUCAGCUCACAAACAACCAAGCUGAAUAUGAGGCCUUUAUCACCGGGCUCGGACUUGCACACGCUCUAAGAGCAGAGAGGGUAGAAAUCCGAGCAGAUUUCCAACUGGUGUGUAAUCAGCUCAAUGAUCAGUUCCAAGCAAUGGGAGAGAAGAUGGGUCUUUAUUUAAAGAAGGCCAAGCAGAUGGUUGGGCUUUUCCAAGCAGUGGAGGUAAAGCAGAUAUCCCGGAAUGAGAAUUUCCGAGCCGAUAUGCUGGCUAGGAUGGCAGCCAUUGCAGAUCCCAAAUUACCGAAGUCAGUUCCACUAGAGGUAAGGACCUCACCAAGUAUUGAGGAAGAAGCAGAGGUGAUGAGAGUAAGUAUUGGAGAAUCCUGGAUGGACCCGAUUCGCGCAUAUGUCCGCGAUGGAGUUUUACCAGAGGACAAAAGGCAAGCAAGAAAAUUAAAAUGCCGAGCAACAAGGUAUACGCUACUGGAUGGAGUGCUGUACCGCCGAGGGUUCACCUUGCCCCUUUUGAGAUGUUUGGAUGAUGAGGAGGCGGAUUAUGUGCUGAGAGAGAUUCAUGAGGGAAUAUGCGGCAAUCACUCGGGAGCAAGAACUUUAGCCUUCAAGGCACUCCGGCAAGGAUACUUCUGGCCAACCAUGCACCAGGAUGCCAAAAGGAUGGCCAAGAAUUGUAAAACAUGCCAAAGCUUCUCCGAGGUUCCUGCACAACCACCGGAGAAACUGACGGCUAUGACAUCCCCAUGGCCUUUCGCUCAAUGGGGAAUCGACUUGAUUGGUCCAUUACCUAAGGGACGAGGAGCGGCGACACAUGCAAUCGUGGCAAUAGACUACUUCACCAAGUGGGUGGAAGUAGGAGUCCUCAGCCAGAUCACAGAGAGGAAGACAACAGAUUUUAUUUGGAAAAACAUCAUCUGCAGAUAUGGGAUCCCCUACGCCAUCAUCACAGACAAUGGGAGGCAAUUUGACAACGGCAACUUCAGGGAAUUUUGCCGAAACCUGGGGGUGGACCUGAAGUUCUGCACCCCCGCACACCCCCAGGCAAACGGACAAGUGGAAGCAGCCAACAAGGUGAUAAAGAAGCUCCUAAAGACUAGAUUGGGGGAGAAGAAGGGAGCUUGGGUUAACGAGCUACCAGGGGUACUGUGGGCCUACAGGACAACUCACAAAACCGCCACAGGAGAAACACCGUUCGCUUUAGCUUUUGGUCAUGAGGCGGUAAUCCCAGCAGAGAUUGGAGUGGGGACACAUAGAACGGAACAUUUCGUUGAGGAGCAAAAUGACGAGCAGAUCUACUUAAGCCUAGACCUGCUGGAGGAGAAAAGGGAAGGGGCCUCGCAGAAAGUGGCCCAAUGUCAGCAAAGGGUCAUGCGUUAUUACAACAAGAAUGUACGCGUGAGGCAGUUCCGAGCAGGAGAUUGGGUACUUAGGAAGGUGAACCAGAACACCAGGAAUCCUAACCAUGGCGCUCUUGGCCCAAAGUGGGAAGGCCCAUACCGAGUGAUACGAGCCACUGGACCAGGAGCAUAUAAAUUAGCGUGCCAAGACGGACGAGACGUGAAGAGGUCAUGGAACGCCGAACACCUGAAGAAGUAUUUCCAGUAAGCAAAAUGCUCUAUUAAAUCCUCACUCUGGCAAGUUAUUUCUGUUACAAUGCCUGAUGGCCUGUCGCACAUGCAUAUAUUCUAUGUUUUUGUAAUACAUUCAAAUUUCAAUAAAGAUGAAUUCAGCAUGAAAUCCCCCUACUAGCAAGAUCAAUAAAAAUUUCACUAAGACAAGUGCCACUUCUGCUCGGUCAACGAAGACCAGCAGCUAAAUUCUCUAAAUUUCAUUAAGGCAAGAGCCUACUUCUGCUCGGUCAACGAAGACCAGCAGCUAAAUUCUCUAAAUUUCACUAAGGCAAGAGCCUACUUCUGCUCGGUCAACGAAGACCAGCAGCUAAAUUCUCGAAAGUUCACUAAGGCAAAUCAAUGCCUACUUCUGCUCGGUCAACGAAUGACCAGCAGCUAAAGCUACGAACACUCUCCUAGGGCAAGUGCCUACUUCUGCUCGGUCAACGAAGACCAGCUAAAUUCUCGAAAGUUCACUAAGGAAAAUCAGUGCCUACUUCUGCUCGGUCAACGAAUGACCAGCAGCUAAAGCUACGAACACUCUCCUAGGGCAAGUGCCUACUUCUGCUCGGUCAGCGAAGACCAGCAGCUAAAGCUUCGAAAAUUCUACUAAGGCAACAGAGUGCCUGUUUCUGCUCGGUCAACGAAUGACCAGCAGCUAAAGCUACGAACACUCUCCUAAGGCAAGUGCCUACUUCUGCUCGGUCAGCGAAGACCAGCAGCUAAAGCUUCGAAAAUUCUACUAAGGCAACAGAGUGCCUGUUUCUGCUUGGUCAACGAAUGACCAGCAGCUAAAGCUACGAACACUCUCCUAAGGCAAGUGUCUACUUCUGCUCGGUCAACGAAGACCAGCAGCUAAAGCUUCGAAAAUUCUACUAAGGCAACAAAGUGCAUGUUUCUGCUCGGUCAACGAAAGACCAGCAGCUAAUUCUACGAGAAGUUUACUGAGGCAAGUAAAUACUGUUGAGUACAUAAAGGCACCAAGUCAGCCAUGCUACUGUUUCCGCCCCGGCACGGACCAUUUCAGCUAAGUGGUACGAGCAGAACACGGGGGCAAACAUGAGCCGAUCAGAGAUGGAUGCAACCAGGGAAACAUACCGACCAGAAGUAUAUGCCGAGCCAAUACUCAUCCCCAGGAAAGCAGGAACACGAUCCCACAAGAUCGCGGUAGUUGCGCUUCUCCCAGAACGGUUGAAGGACACACGAGAUCCACGUUUGCCCACAAUGCAACAGUUAGAGCUCCAUGAGGGGCUACCACCACCCGAAAAAGGAGGGAUAAGGGGCAAACGGAAAACGUGGGACAAAGGGCGGCUAUAAAAGAGAAAGACAUCGAAGAAGAAAGGGACAGAAAAAUUGAGAGAGGGAAAACGCUGCCAAAUUGCAACCAGAUUAAUUUCUUACAGAUUUUGAACAAACUUCUUGAAUCCAAAUUAUAUUGUUUUCCCGUAAACACCUUGUGCUAACUUAGGCAUCGGAGGGUUUACGCCGGCAAAACCACCGGCGUCUCUGAUCCAUUUUUGGUGAACGCAGGUCUAGUGAGAGAAAGGAGGGUGGUCCCGGCCUUAGUGGUUCGAGCAACAGUCGAUAACUUAAGCGUUGGUGAAAGGAUCUGGUCGGUCUAAGGACGAGCAGAUUUCAGCAUCAACAGUAGAUGAUGAGGGAAAUGCUGCGAAAGAUGAAAUUGUUUUCAGCGAGUUGAUGUACUUGGAGCUUUGUGAUUUAAGAAGACUUACAAGCUUCUGCUCUGGCAACUGCGCCUUCAAGUUCCCAGCUUUGACAUAUUUUAGUGUGGAUAAAUGCCCCUUUUUUUAACCUUGUUGCAACUUGCAAGUUGGAAGAUGUCGGCAGCAUUAGCCACUAUCAGGAAUCUUCGUGCAAGUUGUGAGCCACCCGAGCCGAGUUUCAUCAUUUAUUUUUUCUUUUUUCUUUUUUGUUCAUUUCAUUUUCUGUUUCACUUUUGAGAACAGAAAAUGUAAAAAAUGAAUAAGAAUCGCUUGUUUGAAAAUUAGAAAAUGAUUGGAGACAUAAGAAUUGAUAAAAACAUAUAUAAAAUGAUGUGGUUUUGGUUUUAUUUAAAAUUAAAAAAAAAACCUAAAAUGAUAUAAUUUUAAGUAUAUAAUGUUUAUACUGAGAUUUAUGCGACUAUGUGCUUAGGUGCGAAGCUGAAUCAAUUAUUUGAUCAUCGUCGUUGUGGCUGAGAUUUAUUAUAAGUUUAUUCAAUCAUUGAAUAAGAAUUACCUGUAACUUGCUUGAAAAUUUUUAAAAUGAUUGGAGGACUAAAAUUAGCUAAAAAAUGACAUCGUUUUUGUUUUAUUUAAAAAAAAAUCACCUAAAAUGACACCAUUGCUUAUGUUUUUUUGUCAAUUUUUAAUCAAAUUUUAUUUCAAAACAUCAGUCUUGCAAAUUAUGCGAAGAUUUUAUAAUUAGAAGCACAUGUGCAGAUGGGAUCUUUGUUUUAACUUUUGGCCUUAAUUAAUUACUUGUUCAGACCUUUUAAGUUAUAUUAUGAUGUAAUUUAUAUUAACCAUUAAAUUAUCAUUAGUGAUUUAAAACUAAAAUUAACUAAACUACUUUUUAAAUUAUUAAUUACAACUUUUAAAUUAAUAUAAAUUACAUUAUAAUAGAAUUUAACAACACCCUUUCUGUGAUAUUAUGUUGACUGAAACGACAAAGACCUGACCGUGGGCCAACUGUUCAAAUGGGAGAGAAACUUGCGUUGAAGCUGAGGUGGCGGCUGGUGGGAUAACCAUUAUGAAAUCCCAUUGGCUUUCGACUUUGGGAUUCUCACUAUUUUUUAUUUUUAUUUUUAUAAAAUUGAUUAUUGAGCAUCAGUGAACUUAACUAUCUCAUCACCUCACGUUUCGCAUAACUUUUUCACAUUCUUUGUCCACUCUUUGGCCUUUGCGUUCAUUUCAAUGACAAGAAUUAAUUCUGCUGACUUAAUUUUAAAAAAAUAUACAGCCAGUGAAUCCCGCUGUAGAAAUCAAAUAAUUGGCUACCAUUUGUCCGACGCACAUCUCGCAACCAUGCAAGUCUUUCUCCAUCUCAAUCAACAUUCUCAAUCAUCUUGAUUGUUUUUAUUCUUUAGCUUUGCUCCUUUCCGCCACCAACUCUUUGGACCUUUCACUGGAUCAAGCAACACCUUUGGUUAUUACAAUCUUCGGAUCUCAACAUUAAUACGAAUCGUACGUGUAUCUGUUUUCUUUAUUUAUUUUUGCUCUGUUCCCUGUCCACUUGUCUCUGUUUUGUUCUGUAUCUACUCUUCUGAUGUAUGUUUACUCUGUCAAUAAAUCCCUUCUCUUCUUCUUCAUCUCUACAUCUUUUUAGUUGUUGUCUCUGUUCAGUUUCCUUUUGGUUCGCUUCACUUCACAUCUACAUACUUUACAAAAUUCUAAAAUUUAAAAAAAAAAGAGAGAAAAGGGAAAGAAUUGAAAAUAGUGGAAAGCAUAGUAACUGUUGUGUUAGAAGUUGCAAAGUGCUUGGGUCCUCCCACUGAAAGACAAUUGAGUUAUGUGCGCAACUACAGGAGCAACUUUGAGAAUCUCAAGACUGAACUUGAGAAGCUCAAGGAUGACGGUGCCAGUAUGCAGCACGGGGUUGAUGAGGCUAAAAGAAAAGGAGAAGAGAUCGAAAAGAACGUUGAGAAAUGGCUUGCAAGUGUCAACAACAUCAUUACUGAGGCUGAGAAAUUUACAGGCGAUGCAGAUAAAGCAAACAAGCGUUGUUUCAUGGGGCUGUGUCCAAAUUUGAAGACCCGCCAUCAGCUUAGCAAGGAAGCGGUGAGGCAAUUCGAAGCUAUUGUCAAACUUCGGGAAGCUGGGAGAUUUGAUAGAAUUUCCUACCGUAAAGCUCUGGAGGACAUAAGGCUUAUAUCUAACAAAGACUACGAGGCAUUUGAAUCAAGAACCUCCACUUUGAAUAAUGCACUUCGUGCAUUACAAGAUCCUGAUGUGAACAUGGUUGGGAUUUAUGGUAUGGGCGGCAUCGGAAAGACGACACUAGCAAAAGAGGUUGCUAUUCAGUUCAAGAGAGACCAGCUAUUUGAUCAAGUGAUUUUUGUGGAGGUGCCCCAGAUUCCAGACAUAAGAAAGAUUCAAGGAGAAAUCGCUGAUAAAUUAGGUCUCAUAUUUUUCGAAGAGACCGAAUCUGGAAGGGCAAGGAGUCUUUAUAAUCGAUUGAAGGAUGAGAAAAAAAUCCUUGUAAUUUUAGAUAAUGUUUGGGAAAGUGUUGAUUUGCAGGAUGUAGGAAUUCCUCACGGAGAUAAUCACAAGGGGUGUAAAAUAUUGAUGACGGCAAGAAGUGAAGAUAUAUUGUCUGGCAAGAUGGAUUGCCGACAUAAUUUCUCAGUUGGCGUUCUAAGAGAAGACGAAGCUUGGAGUCUAUUUGAGAAGAUGGCAGGGGAGUACAUCGAAAGUAGUGAAUUCAAAGGGGUGGCAACGGAGGUGGCAAAUGAAUGUGCAGGUUUGCCUGUUUCCAUUGUAACAGUAGCGAGGGCGUUGAGAAAUAAGAGAUUAUUUGAAUGGAAGGAUGCUUUGGGACAGUUAAGAAGGCCUUCCUCAACGAACUUUAAAGAUAUACAGCCGGCUGCUUAUUCAGCUAUAGAGUUGAGUUACAACAAAUUAGAAGGAGAGGAGCUCAAGAAGAUCUUUUUGCUAAUAGGCUACACCUACAUAUCGUCCAUUAAUGACGUGUUAAUGUAUGGCAUGGGUUUGGGUUUGUUUCAAGGCAUCAAUAGGAUGGAAGAAGCACGAGCUCGAGUGUAUACAUUGGUGUACAAACUCAAGGCUUCUUGUAUGUUGCUUGAGCAUGGAAGCAAAAAUGAACAUUGGUUUUCUAUGCAUGAUGUUGUUCGUGAUGUUGCCAUAGCAAUUGCAACCAGAGAACAAAAUGUGCUUACGAUGAGAUAUGAACUGGUUAAUUCACGGGAAUGGCUAGAUGAAGGUGCGCUUAAGUUUUACACUUCGAUUGUCUUACACGACAGCAAGAUGAAUGUUCUUCUUCCUGAAGUUUUGGAAUGUCCUCAACUGCAACUUCUCUCUUUGUGGACUGAGAAAUCUUCAUUAAUCACACUUCCAGACAAUUUUUUCAGGAAGUUGACGCAAGUCAGAGUUUUAGACUUGACUUAUAUGCAUCUAUCAUUACUGCCUUCAUCACUUGGUCUCCUAACAAACCUUCGAACAUUGUGUUUGUAUUGCAGCGAAUUGCAAGAUAUAGCUGUUAUAGGAGAAUUAAAGAACCUAGAAAUCCUUUGCUUAAGGGGUUCUUAUAUUGAGCAGUUGCCUGUGGAAAUAGGCCAAUUGACUCAGUUAAGGUCGCUUGAUUUGAGAGACUGUGACAGACUACAGGUUAUUCCCCAAAUGUUUUAUCAAAUUUAUCCCAUUUGGAGGAAUUAUACAUUCGUAGCUUUAAUAAGUGGGAGGUGGAGGUGGAGGUGGAAGCUGCAGGGGUCAAGAAUGCAAGCCUUGAAGAGUUGAAGCGUUUGCCUAACUUGACCACCUUAGAAUUAUGCAUCCCAGAUGUCAACACUCUGCCGAAGGGGCUGUUCUUCGAGAAGCUGGAAAGGUACAGAAUAUGUAUUGGACGUUGGUGUUGGGAGGAUACCUCACCUACGUGUUCUAGAACAUUCAGACUCCUCCUUGGCACCGACAAUUGUAUCAGCUUCAAGAGUGGGCAUAUCGUGCAACUUCAGCGAAUUGAAGACCUUUGUUUAUCUAGAUUGCCAGACCAAGAUAUCAUUGAAUUAGUUAAUAACAAAUUGGGCUCUUAUUCUUCCCAACUGAAGCAUCUCUGGGUCGAAGGUUGUCAAGCCCCCAGUCCGAAAGAGUCAAAGGUAUGAUAUGAUCUUCCUAAAUUUCGAACAUAUCAAAGCAGCCAGUGCAAAAACAGAUUCUUCAUUUCUUAUGAGUAUGACUAUGUUCUAAACAGAGAUGCAAGGAAUCGACAAGUGAAAUGCGAUCGAAUGAAAUCAUUUUGGAGGACCAUGUCAACGUUCCUAAUACAUUUUUCCUCAAGGUCGGAUAUUAAUGAUCCAAUGGUCAUAUUCUUAUGAUUUUUUCCUUUUUUUUUUGCUGCUUUAUUAUAUAUUCUCCUUUCCUAGGAAAUAUAGGCUAGAGUGAAUCAGGGAUUAACGAACAUAUUUCAUAAUUAUAUUAAAAUUUUCAUCCUGAGUAACGUAGGUGUAACAAAUACAUUCUCGGAUGAAAGAAAAAGUACCCUGAAUGCACUUAUAUACUAACUUUGAUCUCCUCAUAUAACGGUUGGAAAGUUUUGUGAACAGGGUGGGUUACCAAACUUGGAGACCUUGGAGCUGUAUAAUGUAAAUGUGGAGAGGAUUUGGAAAAGCCAACUUCCGGCCAUGUCUUGUGGCAUUCAAACUUUAACCCGGUUGAUUGUAUAUGGCUGUGGGGAAUUAAGAUGUCUGUUUUCAUCUUCUAUAGUUAACAGCUUUAUUCGACUCCAACACCUUGAGAUAGAUGAGUGCCCUAUUUUGGAAGAGAUAAUAGUCAUAGACCAGCAAGAAAGGAAGAAUGUUGUGUUCCCUCAGUUACAAUUUCUAAAGAUGGUAGAUCUCGAAAAGCUCACAAGCUUCUGCACAGGAGAUGUGCACAUUGAAUUUCCAACAUUGGAAACUUUAGAAGUAAUAAGGUGUCCUGAAUUCCUUUUAACUGCUCAUGACUUGACAAAAGAGGUACGUACAAGAUUUAAAAUUUACUCUUAAUAAUUGGCAUUACGUUUUCUUUUUGGUCCUGAUUUAUCAUGCAUCCAACCAGGUAUUCCCCAAUUUGAAAUAUUUGACCAUUGAAGGAAAGAAGAUACCAAUGGCAGCUGAGUUUCCAGAGGACAUGUUUUGCAAACUCAACUUUCUUGAUGUUAUAUUUGAAGAGUCAACUACUAUUUCAUCACUUGAUUUCCUUCGGAGAUUUCACAGCAUAAGAGAACUCACAAUAAGGGGAGGAGGAUAUGUUGGGGGCGUUAAGCCAUCAUAUGGAGUAGAAAAUUGGACGAAGGCAAUCAUAAGGAAUCUACACAAUUGUUGUGAUCUGAAGCAUAUUUUGAUCCAGGAAUCCAAAAUGGACAAUUUGGUUCAUCUAACAGUUGAGUAUUGUGACCAUUUGAUUAAUCUAGUGCCACCUUCAACAUCGUUUCAGAAUCUGACAACUUUGAAGGUGUGGAGAUGCAAAGGAUUGAUAAAUGUGCUAACAUCCUCGACAGCAAAGAGUUUGGUACGACUGACAGAGAUGAGUAUCGUUGACUGCAGCAUGAUAACAGAAGUAGUGGCAGAUGAUGAGGGAAAUGCUGCAAAAGAUGAAAUUGUUUUCAGCGAGUUGAUGGACUUGGAGCUUUGUGAUUUAAGAAGACUUACAAGCUUCUGCUCUGGCAACUGUGCCUUCAAGUUCCCAGCUUUGACAUAUUUAAGUGUGGAUAAAUGCCCCAAUAUGAAGAUUUUCUCUGGAACAGAAUUAAGCACUCCCAGUUUACACGAAGUAGAGAAACGCUGGCUGUCUGGUGAGUAUUGGACUUGGAAGGGCGACCUUAAUUCUACCAUACAACAGAUAUAUCUUGAAACAAAGGUACGUAUUCAUUACUCAGAGACCCAAAAGUUACUGUUCAAUUAGAUUAAGCACUCCCAUUUUAUUUGAAAACUGUUGUUCCUGCUUUCACCUUCAAUUUGUUUUGUUCGUUGUUUACAGGAAGUUCAAAAUCAUAAAGAUGAUUCAGGCCAACCUUCUGUGCAGCAUCAGGAAUGAGGCCAAUUUUCAUUGAAAUUUGUGAGACAUGGUAUGCAGCUCGUGUAAUUUCUAUCAAAGUUAAGACGGUAAGAGGGCCUUCAUUUUUUAUUGUUAUUGUUCUACAUUUUGGCUUCUCUUGAUUACUCAAACCCAGUUUCAAAGAGUUAUAAUACAACACUUUCGGAAAUUUCUGUCACUCACAUCAUUCCAGGUUGAAUGGUGGAAGGGUCCUUCAUCUAUGCUGUUUCAGACAUCUUGAAAGACUAUAUAAGAAUCUAAAUUAAAGAUGUGUGAAUCAGACUUGUCUUGUGUGCACGUGAGCCAUGUGUUAGAUUGCUGGUGUAGUAGUAAAAGUAGACAUUCAGCACAUGUUCAUUGUAGUAAAUAUUCAACAAAGAUGAUAAUACAGCAACAGAAAUUGGAGUUUUAGGCCAUCAGACAAACAAUUGUGAAACAAGUGGGUAGAGGGAAUAAUAAAAAUCGAAAGACAUGGAUGGGAAGAAUAUGAGAUCAUUGAUAGAACCUAAAUACAAAUUCAAUCAAUUCAUUAAGCCAUCAAAAGUUAGUUACAAACCACUCUAUCUUAACAGAUGUAAUUUACCAUCAUCUAAAACCGCUAUAUCCUAACAUAUGUAAUGUACCAUUAUCAAUUUCUGCUAUGUUAUGUUUGUAUAGCCUAAUAUGUUUGGCUUGGUCUUGUCUAAUAUAUUUGGCUUGGUUUUGUAUCCUUUCCAAACAUAUGAAUAUUUACUCAAGCGCAUGUUUGCGCCAUCUGAACAUUGAGUGGUUUGAUAUCUCUGCAGCGCAUGUAGGUCAAAAACUGACCAGGCAGCUCCUCCAAAAGUGCUUGUACAACAGAAAUUUGCCCACCUGUUCAGAAAACAAUGGGUUCGUUUGUUAAGGCAUGAAAAAAUUCAGAAACUU
Molecule: long non-coding RNA, 200390 nt
Filed under: Citrus maxima (pomelo)
Lineage: Eukaryota; Viridiplantae; Streptophyta; Magnoliopsida; Sapindales; Rutaceae
Description: long non-coding RNA (CMAX_LNC004230)
Source: RNAcentral